RNAcentral lists this long non-coding RNA (228094 nucleotides) under Triticum aestivum (bread wheat). RNAcentral's name for it is "long non-coding RNA (TAES_LNC008548)". The stretch from base 222001 to 222115 matches the Rfam family "MIR1120/MIR1122 microRNA precursor family". The record is from RNAcentral. Lineage: Eukaryota; Viridiplantae; Streptophyta; Magnoliopsida; Poales; Poaceae.
CAAGUUCAAACUGAAAACUACCACAAAGACCAAAUCAUUAUGCUUCAGGAUCAGUAAUCAGAGGUCAAAACCAUCAGGGAAGUCCAUCUUGCAAUAAAACCUCCAACAAUGCAAAUCAAUGAACAACCCAAAUAUAAUCAGCAUACUUAAAGUUUCUUCAAGGAAAGUCAGACCAUAGUGAAAUCUGGUAAUCAGUUGAAACAAGCAUGGAGUCCAGGUGUAAGUUUUUGUGGUUGAAGAAGAUUCCGAACGAAGAUCCCAAACAGCCAUCAGACGAACAUAAAUCGAAGAACUUAAUGUAUAUUCACUCAAAUCUGACGUCGCCAAGCACAGAUGAGGAAUCCAGUAAACCAAUGCGACCAAACAUGGGAAACUGACCUGCCUCGAGUCCCCUUCACCAUACGUUCACAACCCACAUGGAGCUUUACUUCCACACCAGAUCGAGAUCUAGUCCUGCAAGCCAAAUUGUAGAGGAGGCGACAACAGAUGAAAUCCAUGUACAGAGCAAAGGUUUGGGCCCAAACUCCUAAUAACAAUUAUAUCUUGCCAACCCACACACGCAUAAGAAGAAAACACAGGGAUCAAGAGUACAGAUAACAAGCAUGGAGAGCUAGUCAUUGGCAACAUGGCCUGGGCUAAAUAAAAAUCUGUAACCAUAGGAAGGGCAGGGGAAAAAACCUAUAUCAGAGAGAUGCCCAAGUAACUAAAUGAAAUUAGAAAAAAUAGGAUCGUAUGAGUCUUUUUCGGUUGGAGGAUGUGCCAUUAGUUGAAAGCUCUGGAUUAUCCUCAUAUUCGUGCUGCAUAUGAAUCUGUAUUUAAAAUAGUGUCUAGUAAGAUAAUCAAUAGGUUAUGUAAGUUACAAUGAAUUGAAACGAUACUAGUAGAUUUAGAAGAUCAGCAGACGGAUUCAUCAUCAAGCUGAACAUGAGUUCGUCAACUACAACCUGCAGCAAGCAAUAAAAAAAAAUUUAGGGGCAAAUGCUGCUUAUAAAUAGCUAAAGCACGGACGAAAAGAUGAGUGGGAACAAGCAGGUAUGGAUGAUGGAGGACAACAACGCCGGUUCCAAACUGCAGUUAUAUCCUUUCCAAGUCAGUAUCUGCAAGAGCUGAGAAUUACUAAGGCAAAGAAACCCUAAUGUCUAUAGAGUUCAAUUAUAGAGUAAAAAAGUUUUAGCCACGGAAGGAACCGCCACACCGAGGCAAAAUAGGACCGCCUUCUAAAAACAGAUAGUUUAAAUCAGAAAACUGUGAGAAACCAAAACAGAUCAGUGAAGACGAAAGAGUAAAACAGAGGGAGUGAUAAUUAUCCAAACACAGAGCAUCAAGAUGCGUCGCUCCUGCUAAGCCAUAGCCACCGACAUAUCCAAUUAUAUCCUGCACAUAGGCCCAGACUUCCUAAAUAUAUCCUGCAACUGAUACGUGCAGAAGACCAGCACAGGGAUCAAGAGUACAAACAACAAACGAUCCACACACACAGAGAGAGAGAGAUCGCAAACCAAACAAUUUUAACAGAUUCCGACUCACUACCAGCAUGGUUUGGGCUUAAUCUGCAACCAAAGGGAGGGUAGAAGGAAAAACCUAAAUCAAAGACAUGAACAAGUAACUACGUGAAACAAAAAUAGGAGGUGAGUUAAAACUGGAGGAGUCUUUUUCAUUGUAGGAUGUUCCAUUAGUUUGAAUCUCCAUUGUUGAACCUUGGCAGAUAAAUCUGAAUUCAAAAUAUUGUCUGGUAAGAUAAUUUUAAAGGCUGUCUAAGUUCUGAUGAAUUGAGAAAAUAAUAGAAUUAGAAGAACUGCAAACAGAUUCAAGUCAGCAUCAGGUUGGAAGAGUCAUCAACUACGACCUGCAACGAGGGAGAUACCUUUCUACAAGUUACAAGAGGAAAACUAGGCUCAGCUAAAGCAUGCAUCAAAUGUUGAGGUAAAGGGUAAGUAAGCCUGUCUCGGCCGGAGUCGGGUAGACAACACUGGUUCCAAUUAUUUCGCUCCCAAGUCAGCAUCUGCAAGAGCUGCGAAUUACCAACCAAGGCAAAGAAACUAACAUUUGGAAGUUCAAUUAUCAAGGGAGGAUAAAAGGUCAGAUAUGUUGGGCCACAGAAAGAACCUCCAUGCCGAGGAAAAAUAGGACCACCCGCUAAUCCAUAUAAUUCCAAUUUCUGGAGAACCAGCAAAUAUUCUAAAUCAGAAUUGUCGGGCAACUAAUUGAGCUACGGAGAAGAAAUUAAACAGAGAGAGUAAUGAUCAUUCAAGUGCAGGUCAGCAAGAAGAUAGGUCGCUCCCGCUAAGCCAUAUAAUCCCAAUUUCUGGACAACCAGCAACAAAUCCGAAUCAGAAUUGUCGGAGACUAAAAUUGAAUUGAGGAGAAGGAAUUAAAUAGAGGGGUUCGUAAUCAUUCAAAUGCAGAUCAGCAAGAAGAUAGGUUGCUCCUGCUAAACCUUACUAAGCCCAAUUUCUGAAAACAAAUAUAGAUCAGAACUGCCAAGACUAACUUGUACUGUGCAAACCAAAUAAAUUGAAUCGGGGCAGAAUUCAUUAUCCAAACGCUGAUAGCAAGUUCCAGGUUCCAAAGCUACAUUAUCCAACCAAUCAAAAUGAUGAACAGAAACCAAAUCUCCACCAAUUAACCUCAAUUUCUGGAAAACCACAAACGAAUACAGAUCAGAACUACCAAGGGCUAAAUUGUACUGUGCGAACCAAAUAAAUUGAAUUGGGACGGAAUAUAUAUUAUCCAAACGCAGAUCACAAGUUCCAGGUUGGUAAGAGAUCCAAAGCUUCAUUAUCCAAUCAAUCAAAGAACUACUACACUCCUGCAUCUGCUGCAAGCAAAGGAGCACAAACACACACCAACAGCGCGAUCAGCUGCUGCAAUAAGAAUCCAACAGGACCUCUAAUCCACCUCAUAUUAGCUGAUGAUGAAGAAACACGUGAUGAGAACCAGAAGACCACACGGGCGAUAGCCAUUCAAACCUGACCUGCUCAAAUCCCCUUCAACAUACAACACCACAGGAUCUCCACGUUCCAGAUCCAAUCCUGAAACCAAUGUGUGGAGGAACACAACUAAACCAAACAAACCGUUGAUAGAACACUGACCUGACUCACUGUACAGAGAUUUACCCAUAAGCCCAAACUUCCUAAAUAUGUCCUGCAGUGGACAGGAUAAGAGUACAGAUAACGAAUUGAACCGCUUUGAGAUAUAUUGCAAACCAACCGAUUUUAACAGAUUUCGACUCACUACCAAGUACCAACAUGCUCUGGGCUAAAAUAAAUCUGCAAUGCAAGCCUAAAUCAAAGGCAUGAACCAAGUAGUUUGGUGAAAUAAAAAUAAGAGGCAAGAGUUAUAAAUGGAGCAGAGUCUUUUUCUGUUGUAGGAUGUGCCAUUAGUUUGAAGCUCCAUUCUUGCACCUUUGCAGAUGAAUCUGAAUUCAAAAUAUUGCCUGGUGAGAGAUCUUAAAGGUUAUCCAAUUAAUAAUGAAUCGAAGGUUAUCCAAUUAAUAAUGAAUUGAUUAGAUUUAGAAAAAAUGCAAGCAGAUUCAACUCAGCAUCAGUAUAGACUUUGCGUUUGUCAAAACUGCAACUCGUCAAACCUGAAACGAGCAAGGUACUUCUCUGUAAAUUAGGGGGAAACUAAGCUCAGCUAAAGCAUGCUUCAAAUGAGGAGGAGGUAAAAGUUAUAAGAAAGUCUUGUCUGGGAAAGCCAGGUAGACAGCACCGGUUCCAUCCAAGAUGAUGUCUGCAAGAGCUGAGAAUUGACAAACUAAGGCAAAGAAAACUUGUCUGGUGUGUUUUAAUAAUUAUAUUAUUGAGUAAGAAAUAUUUUGAGCCACAGAAAAAGAACCGCCAUGCCAGGGAAAAUAGGACCACCCGUUCAGCCGUAUAAUUCCAAUUUUCUGGAGUAGGAGCAAGAAAUCGAAAUCAGAAUUCUGUGGAGGCUAAUUGAACUGUGGAGAAAAGAAAAUGAACAGAGAGGGGAUGAUCAUCCAAACACAGGUGAGGAAGAAUGACAAGUCGCUCCCAGUAAGCCGUACAAUCCCAAUUUCUGGACAAGCAUGAACAAAUCUAAUUCAGAACAGACUAAAAUUGAACCGUGUAGAUGAAGGGAUUAAGUAGAGGGGGGUAAUUAAUCAUCCAAACGCAGAUGUUGCCCCCGCUAUGCCGUGUAAUCCAAUUUAUAAUUUCUGGAGAAGCAAAGAAUUCAGAUCAGAAUUGCAUGCCGUUGACUACUGUGCAGACCAAGAAACUAAAGUUGGGAGGGUUCAGGUUGGUAAGAGAUCCUAGGCUUCAUCACCCGAGAAGAUCAGACCAUAUCAGGGUAACCGCUGGUCCGUAGCCAAUCAGAAUAACCUCUGAACCUUAACCAACCAUCAAUCAAUCAGAAUAACCAUGAAAAGAAACCAAACCUCCAGAUCUGAAGAACUAGCGCGCCCUCUGGAUUCCUCUGCAUCUAGGUUGAGAGCACAAGACAUACCAAAACCGAGAUCAGCCGGUACAAUUAUAAGAAUAUUAUACGAGGGCCUCGAAUUAAUCCACCUCGUACCAACGGAUGACACGGAGUAAACCAGAGCGGUCGGGGAACCAGAAGAUGACGCGGGCCAUAUCCAUUUGAAAUCUGGAAUCACGGAUGAGCGCAGAGGAAGCGGUGUGAACGAGCACGGGAAUCUGACCAACGCGCGCGGAUGCGAACACGAAUACGAGGAACACGGGAUCCACAGUUGUAAACAGAACCGUACACACGAAACAGAAUCUGAGAUAGACUCGCAAACCAAAUGAAUGAAUCCCCCGAUCGAUCGCUUCCCGGGAUCGCACGGAGGCGGAGGAGACGAGACGGGUCGAAUCCAAGGCAACGGCGACGGCGAGUGAAAUCAAAUCAAACGCGAUUCGGAACGAAUCGGGAAUUGGUGGAGGAGACGCGAGGACGCGAGGAGGCGACUCGGGCGAUCGAGGGCGGAGGCGCGGCCGGAACGAAAGCUCCAGAGGAGAAGAGAGGAGGCCGGAGCGCGGGGUGGAGGGGGCGCACCUGGGGCGCCUUUUCUAGCCGGCGCAGAGGCGGUGCGGGAGGCCUGGCGCCAACCGGUUCCUUACCGGACCGGACACGGCUUCGCCUCGCAAGGAAGGGAUUAAUCAGGCUUUCUGGUCACAGGUGGGCGGCGGAAAUCAAACGGGAGUGGACCUGGUGAGACCGGACUUGGUUUGGUUUGGUUCGGUUCGGGUGGGGCGGCUGGCGGGUCGGCAAAGCAUCGGGUUGGGACGUGGGCCGCACCGACGGAACGCGAAAUUUCUAGGCUGCUCGCUGCUCGGGGUUGCAGACGGGCCAUGUGAUGUGAGAUGCCGUGUGUGGCUGCCGUUGAUUGCUGACCGUGUCCGUGAGCGCGAGCCACGAUGAACGCGUGGAUGGAUGAGAACCUGGAACAGGCCGUGCGCUGGGGGAGGAUCGCUGCCCUGGUCUUAACGCUCGCGUCCACCACCUUGCUUGGAUGCCCGAAAUCACUAGUUAAGGCCCACUCCAGCGCUAGACCCCGUUUUAUCCGCCGAAGGCAGUUUGAAUAAAAACGGAUGCAUGCAACGACCUAGCGCGCAGAAGAAUACCCAUAUUUUAUCCGGUCCGUGUCCGUUCUGCCUCAUCUUCACACUAAACUUGAGCUGGAUUUGGGACCAAAGCGGACAGAAAACAAACAAGUCUGUGGCCUCCUCGUCCGCUCCUGUCCGGCCCGGGCUCAUUUGUCAACCUCUUUGCACCCUACCUAUCCCGCUUUUGUCUCUCUCCUCUCGCUCGUGCCCCCUCUUGCGCCUGGAUCCCUUUGCCUAACCGAUAACCAUCGCCGUCGGGGAGCGGCGGCGGGCGCAGUGGCGCGACGCCGAACUGGAAGGGGAAGACGCAGAUGGAGCGGCUGGUGGUGAGUGACGCGCCCACGCCCCGCGGCGACGGGAGCAGCGGAGGUGCGGCUAGGAGCGCAACAGCCGGAUGCCGGCGUGCAUGUGGACCGGCUCCCUCUUGGGCCGCCGCCCCGCCAGCGCAUGCGCGUGCAUGGACGACGACGCGGCCGCCACCCCGGCAAUGUUCGGCACCAUGGCACCAUGGCACGACGAGUAAUUGACAAAAAAUUACCACAUUUCACGUAAUCGUCCCACAGAACUACCACAUUUUGAAAACUGACCAAAAACUCAAGUUUAGCGCUGAUUUUGUGACAAAAACUACCAGAUCGAGUUGAUGACAUAUUGAAGUGUUUUAAACGGCUUUCUGACAUAUCCGGCCCACCGGCCAGGACGGAGGCCGCGCUAACGGCUAACGGCGCUCGCCUGCCACCCGUUAGCCGCGCGCGUCGGUCGGGCCCGGUCGGACCAGGACUAGCCUGGCCGACCGGCUAGCUCGUCGUCCUCCCACCUCACUCUCCCCCGAGCUCACUGUCCUAGCCCUAGCCGUCUUCGUUCACGGCGGCGGAUCCAAACUCUGGCGCCAAAUCGCUUGGAGGAGCGCCCCUCGAUGUGCUAGGCGGCGGGGAUGCCGUCUUCGUUGAGGUUGAUAACUGGCUAGGCAGCAGUAGCUUUGCGGUCGAAAACCAAUCACAACCUCAAUCUCAGCCGUCCCAAACGAUUGUGAGGCGGCCUGUAGCAACAACGUCGAAGAGAAGAAGCGCAGGUCGAGGCCGGUGCAAGCUUCCUUGUCCUGCUGGUGGCGCGAGGUAUGACAACAGAUCUAUAAUUGUUUUUCUGAAAUGAUUUGUUUUGUUAGGAAUCACGAUAUAUAGGCUAGUUGCAUAGUUAGAUUUACAUUAGAACCAUGUUUGAGCACAACGGGAAUUGAAAUCUGUUGGGAACAUUAACAUUUUGUUUUGCUGUGACUGAAUCCAACAUGUCAGAAAAUAGAAAAUUUGAACUGUCAAACACUAAAUAUUGUGCAGAACAUUUAAUUACAAAUUUUCCAAUUUGUGGUGCAGUAUUGAUGACCCAAAGUGAGAAAUUUGAUGACCCAAAGUGGGAAAUUUGAUGACCCAAAGUGGGAAAUUUCUUAGCCAGAGAAUCUGUGGUUAGAGGAAUUUACCAGUUAGACAUAUCAUUUUUGACUAUGGUUUCUCUUAUUCGGAGUGAGGGCUAUGGAGCUGAUGAUUAUAUGUACUAUGUUCUCAAUGAGGAGAAAGGAAUAGAAGGUAUGGAGCAUCUUGGUUCUGAACAUGAUGUGCAGCAGAUGUUGAUCCACUUUGAGAAGGAAAAGAGUGUGAACAUACGAGUUGUCAGGGCAGAUGAGCAAUGUAAUGCAGAUGAAAAUAGAGAUAGUUAUUUUGCUGAACAUUGCAUUAACACUCAACAAAGUUGCACAAAGUUGGUGGAUGCAAUCAGUGACAGAAAGGAUGAGCUUAAGCAAAGUAGUCUGCAGAUGAAAGCUGACUUUAACCAUUUUGAAGGUGACACUAAUGUGUCUGAAUUUCUUUCUAAUGAUGCGUAGUCAGGUUUAGAUGACAACAAUGUGCAAUUACAUCCAGGUUCCCCCUCUGAAGAAGAAGCUGCAGAAGUAGAUACAUCAGUGGUCAAGAAACUUAAGCCAGUCAGAAACCCCUGGUCCAACCAUUAGAUCCCACCAAGAGGUUGAGAAAGAGGUAAAACCAGACUGGUUUCCUAAAGCAGAUGAAUUUUGUUUUCCUGGUGAUGUUGGCAUUAGUGAUGAAGAAGAAGAGCCUGAAGGAGCUUUCAAACUAGCAAGUGGCAGGAAGAGAGUGUUGAAGAAGUCAAAGGAUAGAGUAUGGUUCAAUGAGAAGCUUCCAGAUCCACAUGAACAGUUUUGUAAGGGAUUGUGCUUCACCACUGUUUAUGAGUUCAGAGAUGCACUUAGGGAUUUUCACAUCAGGACUCUGAGGAAUUUCCAGUAUCACAGAAAUACCCCUAAUAGGAUUAUUGUUUGGUGCUCAGAGAGAGCCCAUGGAUGUGAUUUUCAUAUCAGUGCAUCUAAGAUAGCUCAUGAAAAAACGUAUGCAUCAAGAAGUGUGAUAUGUUGCAUAAUUGUGGAGCAUGUGUAGAGACCACAAAGGUUACUACAAAGUGGUUGUCCAAAUUAGUACAACCAGCAUUGAGAUAAGACAUUAGAUCUCCUAUGGAUGCAUUAAUAAAGAAGACUAAGACUAAAUUCUCAGUUGAUGUUUCAAGAAGUGUUGCAUAUUGUUGGGGAACAUAGUAAUUUCAAAAAAAAUCCUACGCACACGCAAGAUCAUGGUGAUGCAUAGCAACGAGAGGGGGAGUGUAUCUUCAUACCCUUGAAGAUCGCUAAGCAGAAGCGUUUAACAACGCGGUUGAUGUAGUCAUACACCUUCACGAUCCGUCCCGAUCAAGUACCGAACGUACGGCACCUCCGUGUUCAGCACACGUUCAGCUCGAUAACGUCCUCACCUUCUUGAUCCAGCAAGACGGGCGAAGUAGUAGAUGAGUUCCGGCAGCAUGACGGUGUGGUGACGGUGUUGUUGAAGAACAAUCUUCGCAGGGCUUCGCCUAAGCACUACAAAAACUAUGACAGAGGAUAAACUAGAUGGGACGAGGUUGCCGGCACACGGCUUGGUGUUUCUUGAUGUGUCUUUGGUGCUAGCCCUUCCCCUCUAUUUAUAUGUUGAGCCUUGGGGUCGAAACUUGGAGUAAAAGCCUCCACAAAAUCGGUUUCACCCAAAGGCAAGAGUCCUUCUCGGACUCCAGGGCCAGACGCCUGGGACCUUGGCGUCUGGCCCCUGGACUAUGCAAAACUUCCUUUUACGCUUUCCAAAAACCUUGUGGGCUUUCCACUUUGGCCCAAAUAAAGUGUUCUCGCACCUAAACAUUUCGGGAAACAUCAGGAACCCCUUCCGGUGAAUUCUGGAACCCUUUCGGAGACCAAACACUAUUAUCCCAUAUAUCAAUCUUUAUCUCCGGACCAUUCCGGAAUUUCUCAUCACGUUCGUGAUCAUAUCCGGGACUCCGAACAACAUUCGGUCACCAACAUACAUAACUCAUAUAAUACUAUAUCGUCAACGACCAUUAAGCGUGCGGACCCUACGGGUUCGAGAACUAUGUAGACAUGACCGAGACACCUCUCUGGUCAAUAACCAAUAGCGGAACCUAGAUGCCCAUAUUGGAUCCUACAUAUUCUACGAAGAUCUUUAUCGGUCGAACCGCAUAACAACAUACGUUGUUCCCUUUGUCAUCGGUAUGUUACUUGCCCGAGAUUCGAUCGUCGGUAUCUCAAUACCUAGUUCAAUCUCGUUACCGGCAAGUCUCUUUACUCAUUCCGUAAUACAUCAUCCCGCAACUAACUCAUUAGUCACAUUGCUUGCAAGGCUUAUAGUGAUGUGCAUUACCGAGAGGGCCCAGAGAUACCUCUCCGAUAAUCAAAGUGACAAAUCCUAAUCUUGAUCUAUGCCAACUCAACAAGUACCAUCGGAGACACCUGUAGAGCACCUUUAUAAUCACCCAGUUACGUUGUGAUGUUUGGUAGCACACAAAGUGUUCCUCCGGUAUUUGGGAGUUGCAUAAUCUCAUAGUCAUAGGAACAUGUAUAAGUCAUGAAGAAAGCAAUAGCAACAUACUGAACGAUCAAGUGCUAAUUAAGCUAACGGAAUGGGUCAAGUCAAUCACAUCAUUCUCUAAUGAUGUGAUCUCGUUAAUCAAAUGACAUCUCAUGUCUAUGGCUAGGAAACUUAACCAUCUUUGAUUCAAUGAGCUAGUCAAGUAGAGGUAUACUAGUGACAUUCUAUUUGUCUAUAUAUUCACACAUGCACUAAGUUUCCGGUUAAUACAAUUCUAGCAUGAAUAAUAAGCAUUCAUCAUGAUAUAAGAAAAUAUAAAUAACAACUUUAUUAUUGCCUCUAGGGCAUAUUUCCUUCAGUCUCCCACUUGCACUAGAGUCAAUAAUCUAGAUUACACGGUAAUGAUUCUAACACCCAUGGAGUCUUGGUGCUGAUCAUGUUUUACUCGUGAGAGAGGCUUAGUCAACGGGUCUACAACAUUCAGAUUCGUAUGUAUCUUGCAAAUCUCUAUGUCUCCCUCCUUGACUUGAUCGCAGAUGGAAUUGAAGCGUCUCUUGAUGUGCUUGGUUCUCUUGUGAAAUCUGGAUUCCUUUGCCAAGGCAAUUGCACCAGUAUUGUCACAAAAGAUUUUCAUUGGACCUGAUGCACUAGGUAUGACACCUAGAUCGGAUAUGAACUCCUUCAUCCAGACUCCUUCAUUUGCUGCUUUCGAAUCAGCUAUGUAUUCCGCUUCACAUGUAGAUCCCGCCACGACGCUUUGCUUAGAACUGCACCAACUGAUAGCUCCACCGUUCGAUAUAAAUACGUAUCUGGUUUGUGACUUAGAGUCAUCUAGAUCAGUGUCAAAGCUUGCAUCGACGUAACCAUUUACGACGAGCUCUUUGUCACCUCCAUAAAUGAGAAACAUAUCCUUAGUCCUUUUUAGGUAUUUCAGGAUGUUCUUGACCGUUGUCCAGUGAUCCACUCCUGGAUUACUUUGGUACCUCCUUGCUAAACUAAUAGCAAGGCACACAUCUGGUCUGGUAUACAGCAUUGCAUGCAUGAUAGAGCCUAUGGCUGAAGCAUAGGGAACACCUUUCAUUUUCUCUCUAUCUUCUGCAGUGGUCGGGCAUUGAGUCUGACUCAACUUCACACCUUGUAAUACAGGCAAGAACCCUUUCUUUGCUUGAUCCAUUUUGAACUUCUUCAAAACUUUAUCAAGGUAUGUACUUUGUGAAAGUCCAAUCAAGCGUCUUGAUCUAUCUCUAUAGAUCUUGAUGCCCAAUAUAUAAGCAGCUUCACCGAGGUAUUUCAUUGAAAAAAUCUUAUUCAAGUAUCCUUUUAUGCUAUCCCGAAACUCUAUAUCAUUUCCAAUCAACAAUAUGCCAUCCACAUAUAAUAUUAGAAAUGCUACAGAGCUCACACUCACUUUCUUGUAAAUACAUGCUUCUCCAAAAGUCUAUAUAAAACCAUAUGCUUUGAUCACACUAUCAAAACGUUUAUUCCAACUCCGAGAUGCUUGCACCAGUCCAUAGAUGGAUCACUGGAGCUUGCACACUUUGUUAGCAUCCUUUGGAUCGAUAAAACCUUCAGGUUGCAUCAUAUACAACUCUUCUUCCAAAAAUCCAUUCAGGAAUGCAGUCUUUACAUCGAUUUGCCAAAUUUCAUAAUCAUAAAAUGCAGCAAUUGCUAACAUGAUUUGGAUGGACUUAAGCAUCGCUACGGGUGAGAAAGUCUCAUCGUAGUCAACUCCUUGAACUUGUCGAAAACCUUUCGCAACAAGUCGAGCUUUGUAGACAGUAAUAUUACCGUCAGCGUCAGUCUUCUUCUUGAAGAUCCAUUUAUUCUCGAUGGCUUGCCAAUCAUCGGGCAAGUCAACCAAAGUCCACACUUUGUUCUCAUACAUGGAUCCUAUCUCAGAUUUCAUGGCCUUAAGCCAUUUCGUAGAAUCUGGGCUCAUCAUUGCUUCCUCAUAGUUCAUAGGUUCGUCAUGGUCAAGUAACAUGACCUCCAGAAUAGGAUUAUCGUACCACUCUGGUGCGGAUCUUACUCUGGUUGACCUACGAGGUUCGGUAGUAACUUGAUCUGAAGUUUCAUGAUCAUCAUCAUUAGCUUCCUCACUAAUUGGUGUAGGAGUCACAGGAACAGAUUUCUGUGAUGAACUACUUUCCAAUAAGGGAGUAGGUAUAGUUACCUCAUCAAGUUCUACUUUCCUCCCACUCACUUCUUUCGAGAGAAACUCCUUCUCUGGAAAGGAUCCAUUCUUAGCAACAAAUGUCUUGCCUUCGGAUUUGUGAUAGAAGGUGUACCCAAAAGUUUCCUUUGGGUAUCCUAUGAAGACACAUUUCUCUGAUUUAGGUUCGAGCUUAUCAGGUUGAAGCUUUUUCACAUAAGCAUCGCAGCCCCAAACUUUAAGAAACGACAACUUUGGUUUCUUGCCAAACCGUAGUUCAUAAGGCGUCGUCUCAACGGAUUUAGAUGGUGCCCAAUUUAACGUGAAUGCAACCGUCUCUAAAGCAUAACCUCAAAACGAUAGCGGUAAAUCAGUAAGAGACAUCAUAGAUCGCACCAUAUCUAAUAAAGUGUGGUUACGACGUUCGGACACACCAUUACACUGUGGUGUUCCAGGUGGCGUGAGUUCCGAAACUAUUACGCAUUGUUUCAAAUGAAGACCAAACUUGUAAAUCAAAUAUUCUCCUCCACGAUCAGAUCGUAGAAACUUUAUUUUCUUGUUAUGAUGAUUUUCUACUUCACUCUGAAAUUCUUUGAACUUUUCAAAUGUUUCAGACUUAUGUUUCAUUAAGUAGAUAUAUCCAUAUCUGCUUAAAUCAUCUGUGAAGGUGAGAAAAUAACGAUACCCGCCGCGAGCCUCAAUAUUCAUCGGACCACAUACAUCAGUAUGUAUGAUUUCCAAAAAAUCUGUUGCUCGCUCCAUUGUUCCGGAGAACGGAGUUUUAGCCAUCUUGCCCAUGAGGCAUGGUUCGCAAGUACCAAGUGAUUCAUAAUCAAGUGAUUCCAAAAGUCCAUCGGAAUGGAGUUUCUUCAUGCACUUUACACCAAUAUGACCCAGAUGGCAGUGCCACAAAUAAGUUGCACUAUCAUUAUCAACUCUGCAUCUUUUGGCUUCAAUAUUAUGAAUAUGUGUAUCACUACUAUCGAGAUUCAAUAAAAAUAGACCAUUCUUCAAGGGUGCAUGACCAUAAAAGAUCUUACUCAUAUAAAUAGAACAACCAUUAUUCUAAGAUUUAAAUGAAUAACCGUCUUGCGUCAAACAAGAUCCAGAUAUAAUGUUCAUGCUCAACGCUGCCACUAAAUAACAAUUAUUCACGUCUAAAACUAAUCCUGAAGGUAGAUGUAUAGGUAGUGUGCCGACCGCGAUCACAUCGACUUUGGAACCAUUUCCCACGCGCAUCGUCACUUCGUCCUUAGCCAAUCUUCGCUUAAUCCGUAGUCCCUGUUUUGAGUUGCAAAUAUUAGCAUCAGAACCAGUAUCAAAUACCCAGGCACUACUGCGAGCAUUAGUAAGGUACACAUCAAUAACAUGUAUAUCACAUAUACCUUUGUUCACCUUGCCAUCCUUCUUAUCCACCAAAUACUUGGGGCAGUUCUGCUUCCGGUGACCAGUCCCUUUGCAGUAGAAGCACUCAAUGUCAGGCUUAGGUCCAGACUUGGGCUUCUUCACUUGAGCAGCAACUUGCUUGCCGUUCUUCUUGAAGUUCCCCUUUUCCUUUAACCUUUUUCUUGAAACUGGUGGUCAUGUUAACCAUCAACACUUGAUGCUCCUUUUUGAUUUCUACCUCCGCAGCCUUUAGCAUCACUGUCGGUGUCAAAACCGGCGGAUCUCGGGUAGGGGGUCCCGAACUGUGCGUCUAGGCGGAUGGUAACAGGAGACAAGGGACACGAUGUUUUUACCCAGGUUCGGGCCCUCUCGAUGGAGGUAAAACCCUACUCCUGCUUGAUUAAUAUUGAUGAUAUGGGUAGUACAAGAGUAGAUCUACCACGAGAUCAGAGAGGCUAAACCCUAGAAGCUAGCCUAUGGUAUGAUUGUUGUUCGUCCUACAGACUAAAACCCGCCGGUUUAUAUAGACACCAGAGAGGGUUAGGGUUACACAGAGUUGGUUACAAUGGGAGGAGAUCUACAUAUCCGUAUCGCCAAGCUUGCCUUCCACGCCAAGGAAAGUCCCAUCUGGACACGGGACGAAGUCUUCAAUCUUGUAUCUUCAUAGUCUAGGAGUCCGGCCAAAGGUCAUAGUCCGGCUAUCCGGACACCCCCUAAUCCGGGACUCCCUCAGUAGCCCCCGAACCGGGCUUCAAUGACGAUGAGUCCGGCGUGUAGAUUUAUCUUCGACAUUGCAAGGCGGGUUCUUCUCCAAACUCCAUAUACCUGUUGAAUAGUGUCCGACUUCUGAUGAAUGUCGCACUCCUUGGCUUCUGCGCCCAAUAAUGGCCAUCUUCCACGUGUCAAGCGAAUGCGAAAAGCCAGGGUGUUUUUUCAUUUACCCCCUAGCUGCGCAAAUGAGCCGCCUAUAAAAGAGACGGGGAUUUAGAUCCGAAUCACAUAAUCUUCCCUCCGCGAGCAUUCAUCGGAGUGCAUUCGACAGAGAUCCAUUCCAUCAUGGCCAGUCGACGCAGCUCCUCCUCUCGCCCCCAGCCCUCAGCCUGGAGAUUGGGAGAGAUGCUCUGUCCCGCACAGCAAGCUAGUGGCGCUCCAAACCAAGGGGUUUCUCCCCCAGCCUACAUGGUCCUGAUUCGAGCCGGGCUUGCCACCUAUAAUGGUGGAGAGCAAGCGGAGAGCGUCCCCAAUCCCUCCAAAGGAGAGCGGGUAUGCCUUGUCCCUUAUUUGAUAAGAGGGCUCGGAUUUCCAAUUCAUCCGUUUCUCUGGGGGCUCCUGGAGUUCUACGGCCUCCAGUUGCACAACCUUACGCCCGCCUCCAUAUUGCAUAUUGCGGGCUUCAUAGCCCUUUGCGAGCUGUUUCUGGGCGUCAAGGAUCAUUUCGCGCCAUGGAAGAAACUGUUCUGCCUUGUGCCCCGUUCACAGGAGGGGUCGAUAUAUCAAGUGGGCGGAGCCGAACUAUGGCGCAUCACCGGGACUGGAUAUCUAUUCGGAACCCCAAAGAAGGCGUCCGAAGACUGGCCCUCAGAAUGGUUUUAUAUAGAAGAUGCCCCCCUGCCGGAUCCUGUUCGGAUCAGCCUCCCUGAGUUUAAUAAUGCUCCUUUGAAGAAGCGCCUAAGCUGGCGUCCACGGAGCCCUCAGAAGGAAAAUGAUAGGGACGUCCUUUACCUGAUGAGCCGGAUAAGGUUGUUAGCUCAUUCCAGACUGACCAUGAUCGAGGUCAUGGCCACAUGCAUUAUGCGGGGGGUGCAACCGCUUCAGUAUAGAGGCCACCCCAUGUGGGAUUUCAACGGGGAGGACGACGCCACCCGGUGCGGCCGUAAGGGGCCGGAGUCAGUUGCCGCUCUAAUAAAGAUCUUGUCCACUUUGUACAAGGGAGAAGGGGAGGAAUUUCUCCGUGUCAACCCACGGGGCGGAUUCUCCAUGUACAAUCCUCCAAGUUGGGUAAGCGAGCACUUUCACUCGUCCAUCCGUUUCAUAUUCCCAUAGUUAAGUAUUCAGCCUAGCAAUUUCAAUGCAAGAGCUACGCCAGGCUGUAAAGGAGAUAAACAACCCUCCUCCACAACCUGAGGACCCGGAACGGUCCUUCGACCCGGACUCCCAAGAGGACCCGGACUUAGCUGUGGAGCUGAUCGAUGGGGUGUUUCAUCAAUUGAGCAAGGACAACACCUUGGUGGCCAUUACGGCCAAUUAUCCCAGACUACUUCCAGCCUCACAAGUAACCAAGACCGAAGUCCCCGUACUUUUAAAAUGAUCUACCCGUGCUUAUUUUUGACCACCAUAUACCAAUGGCGUUUUUGCGGGGGAAGUCCUUGAGGCAGAGGGCCGAGCCUGCGGUGGCUAGCCAACAAGGGGUGUCAAGGCCCGGCAGGCUUAAAAGAAGUGCGAUCCGGAUUGAGACACCGGUGCAGCGGUAUGGCGCGCGAUUUUAUUCCCAGGUUUUAUUCCCUCAAGGUAUACUAACGCUCGUGCUCUCUUCAGGAAGAAGAGCGCUCGCCGGACUAUAUCCAGAGAGGUUGCCAAUCGCACCUCCACCGGCCAGGCUCCAAGGCCGGGUCCGGAAGCGGAGACGAACAUGAGGCGCGCACCGGGCGCUCCUCUGACAGAGGAUGCGGACGGGCUGUCUGCUGCCAAUUCCGAGGUGGAAAGUGCCAUGAACCACAGGCGUCACCGGACAGUUCUUCGUGACACUUGUUUCUCCCAGGAGGCAUUGGAUACCUUUAAUAUGGGAGAUGCGUACCUCCGUGCCACUCAAAAUGGUCUAGCCAGAGCCACAUAGCAGUAUGUAAAAGACAUACGGGUGAGAAAAUUUGAUGGUUAUAUAUGUCAGUAGCCCCCGAGACUUGAAACAGUUAGAAUAACUGAUUGAAGGAUCAUUUGUUAUGCAGGAUCUUACAGAAAAGAAUACCCAACUGUCCCAGGAGCUGGAAGAGUGCAAAGCCCAACUUGAGGCUGCACUAGCCGCGGUGGGGGAGACCAAGGAGACUCCCUCUGGUAAUAUAUGCUUCGAAAGAUAAGUAUGUUGUGAAGGGCGGCAUGUGUGCGAAUCUGACAAUAACAUUGCAGAUGGUGCCGGAGUGGAUCCGGACAAGCAACAACUCUUGCGCCGGUUAAAGGCCAGCGAGAACGUGCUUACGAGGGUGAGGCAAGAGAAGAAUAAGCUCCAAGAUGCCAACACCCAGCUGGGCGAGGAACUAAAGGAUGUUCGUGCUCAGCUGUCGGACUCCGUGAAGGAGAAUCGGCGGCUUCGACGCGACAUUUUUAGUAAGUGCUUGAACGAACUUCGAAAAAGAGUUCGGCGAGGAACUCGAUUGACAGAGUUAUGUCUGUAGGUAUGCUGACAGGUCAGCCUGCCGAGGAAAUGCCCGGUUCUACGGGUGACCUUCUUCCCGAGCUCUUACAACUGCACGAACGAGUUCAGCAGGUAAUGCAAGGCAUCGUCCAGGCCCUAUGGCCAUCCGUCUCCAUGCCCGAAGGCCUUGGAGAGCUUGCAGAGAAGCUAAAGGGAGUGCGGCGGCGCUUUCGAUUAUGGAAGAUAUCAGCCUGCCGUCAAGGCGCUAGGGAGGCCUGGGCCAUGGUGAAGACGUGGUACACGAAGGCCAACCCAAACCACAUGGCCGAGGUCAGACCUAUGGGGCCCGAUGGGAAGGAGAUCCCUGUGAGUUUAGUGUACGGCCAGGUAGAGUUGGCCGCCAAAUAUUCCCAACAGGACUGUAAACUAGACAGCCUGUUGGAUGGUAUUGAAGAGGAAUAUACCCAGUCAAAUUGACUAUGUAAUUUAAAAUGACAUAUAAAAUGCCUUCUAGCCGGAUUGUAGAUCGUUUGUCAUGGCGGACCUUUUCGCUUCAACCUCGGGACCCAAUAGUCUGGAGUGUGUCCGAAUACCCUCUCGGUUAUGUAAGAACCGGGGCAUGCGUGGAGACCAGGCGUAGGGGUCAUUAGUGCUUGAACAGACAAGUGCCCAACUAGUUAUGUUAUAUUACAUGGUUAGUAAGAAACAUCUUCCAGGGAGAAUAGUUCCGUUAGGGGUUCCUUUCCCUGGGGAGGCAUGCCCUAAAGUGCAUGUACGGACUGCAAAAAGAGCAGAAAAGCAUCUGGGGGCAGAUAGAUAAACGAGUGGGAAAUCAUCUUUAGUUCACCGACCGAAUAUUCCCUUAAGAACGCUAGAUUUCGGCUUCACCCAGUCUGAGGUACACAUCCGGCUGACCCGGCAGUAACAAUCGCAGAGGUGCUCCCUUUACCGCCUAGCCGAACAAUCGGGAACGUAGGGGUAAGCACAGGAGCCAGGCAAGCCUGCUUGGCCAAAACUUAAGUCAUAUUGAUGCAUAUAAUGGUGAGAAAAAAGGUACAUGCAGAAGUGUGACACAUGUGUUGGGCAUGAAGCCCUAUAUAAACAAGCUUCUGUUAAAGAAGCCCCCAGGUAUGAUGAGCGCGGGUAGCGCGUCAAUUUGUGUGCGAACAAGGCGCGAACGAGCCCUUAAAGGCUGUAAGAGAAAAGGAGGGAGAAGUAGAGAAAUGUAAGACAGCUAAUGUAUAAUAAAUGGACAGAGGAAAAAGACGAACACAGAGUCCGGUGCUAGGCAUAGAAUCUCCGGAGACGGGCUGCGUUCCAUGGGUUCGGCUCGAGUCGGUUAUGCGAUGCAUCACGCAGACGGUACGCUCCACCAGUGAGGACUUGGUCAAUAAUGAAGGGACCUUCCCAUUUGGGCUUGAGUUUGUCCUUUUUCUUGUCCGGCAGGCGUAGAACUAACUCGCCAACAUUGUAAGUUUUGGCCCGUACUUCCCUGCUUUGAUAUCUUCGAGCCUGCUGUUGAUAGAAUGCUGAAGGUGCUUUUGCCACGUCACUCUCCUCCUCCAAGGCGUCCAAACUGUCCUGCCGAUCGAGUUCGGCUUCUCUUUCUUCGUACAUGCGCACGCGAGGUGAGUCAUGAAUUAUGUCGCAGGGCAGAACUACCUCUGCACCGUAUACCAUAAAGAAUGUUGUCAAUCCGGUUGUGCGAUUUGGAGUGGUCCGUAGCCUCCAGAGUACGGAGUCGAGCUCCUCUACCCAGUGCGUGUUAGAUUCCUUGAGGGACCGCACUAAUCUGGGUUUGAUGCCGCUCAUUAUUAGACCAUUUGCUCGCUCGACUUGACCGUUAGUUUGUGGGUGAUAGACUGAAGCGUAGUCGAGCUUGAUGCCCAUGUUUUUGCACCAGAGUUUGACCUCGUCGGCCAUAAAGUUCGUGCCGUUAUCAGUGAUGAUGUUGUGGGGGAUGUCGUAACAGUGUACGACCCCUGAUAUCAAGUCUAUCACUGGUCCGGAUUCGGCCGUCUUAAUAGGCUUGGCCUCUAUCCAUUUGGUGAAUUUGUCCACCAUGACAAGUAGGUAUUUUUGCUUGUGGGUUCCUCCUUUAAGGGGUCCAACCAUGUCAAGCCCCCAGACCGCGAAGGGCCAGGUGAUGGGUAUAGUUUGGAGGGCGGUAGGUGGCAUAUGGCUUUGGUUAGCAAAGAGUUGGUAACCGACGCAUCAUUGGACUAAGUCCUGAGCAUAUGCCCGGGCCGUCGGCCAAUAAAAUCCUGUACGGAAGGCCUUGCUAACAAGGGCCCGGGCUGCGGCGUGGUGCCCAUCGAGUCCGGCAUGAAUUUCAGCCAGAAGAUUCCGCCCCUCCUCUUCAGAGAUACACCUUUGAAGGACUCCGGUAGUGCUUUUCUUAUAAAGCUCCCCUUCAUGGACUUUAUAGGCUUUAGAUCGCUGCACUAUGCAGCGUGCCUCGUUUUGGUCCUCGGGAAGUUCCUGCCUAGUUAGAUAGGCUAGGAAUGGUUGUCCACAGGGCAAUGACUGCCAUUAUUACGUGGGCUGAGGAUGUUACUUCGUUGGCAUAGCCUCCCGCUGUGUCAGAAUGUUCGGUGUUGGGCGGUGCGGUUGGGUCCGGGCUGUUAUUUCAGGAUUCCCCUUCCCAUGAUACGGAUGGCUUGAAUAGCCUCUCCAAGAAAAUGUUGGGGGGGGGGCUGCAUCGUGCUUUGCGCCGAUGCAUGCCAAUAUGUCUGCUGCCUGAUUGUUUUCCCGUGCUAUAUGGUGAAAUUCGAGCCCCUCGAACCGAGCUGACAUUUUUAGGAGGCGUUGCGAUAAGCUGCCAUUUUCGGAUCCUUGGCAUCAAAGUCUCCAUUUAUUUGGGAUAUCGCAAGGUUCUAAUCCCCACGCACCUCUAGGCGUUGGAUGUCUAUGGAGACUGCUAUCCGGAGACCAUGUAGAAGGGCCUCGUAUUCGGCUGCGUUGUUAGAGUCUGUAUACAUUAUCUGGAGUACAUAUUGAACUGUAUCUCCUGUUGGGGACGUCAGAACGAUGCCAACCCCCAGACCCGCUAACAUUUUGGAGCCGUCGAAGUGCAUGAUCCAGUUGGAAUAUGUGCCAUACUCUUUAGGGAGUUCGGCUUCAGUCCAUUCGGCGACAAAGUUGGCCAAAACUUGCGACUUGAUAGCCCGCCGUGGCUUAUAGGUUAUGUCGAACGAGAGGAGCUCAAUGGCCCAUUUGGCAAUCCAGCCCGUCGUGUCGCGGUUGUUUAUAAUAUCGUUAAGUGGUACUUCGGAGGCUACUGUUAUCGAGCACUCUUGAAAGUAGUGUCGUAGCUUCCGGGAUGCCAUAAACACCGUGUACACUAUCUUUUGAUAAUGCGGGUACCGUGACUUGCAUGGAGUGAGGACAGUGGACACGUAGUAAACUGGUUUUUGAAUGGGGAAUUUGUGUCCGUCCGCUUCUCGUUCGACGACGAGCACUGCGCUUACAACUUGAUGGGUUGCCGCAAUGUAUAAUAGCAUUGGUUCGCCGAUGUUAGGCGCGGCCAAGACCGGGUUUGUUGCCAAUAUGGCUUUUAUUUCUUCUAGUCCCGCCAUGGCAGCAUUCGUCCACUCAAAGUGUUCGGUGCGCCGGAGGAGGCGAUAAAGGGGUAAUGCCUUUUCUCCCAAGCGGGAGAUGAAGCGGCUUAGAGCCGCCACACAUCCAGUCAAUUUUUGUAUUUGUUUGAGGUCCUUUGGAAUAUCCAAUUGUGACAGAGCUUAGAUCUUGGCUGGGUUUGCUUCAAUUCCUCUACCGGAUACAAUGAAGCCCAAGAGCUUUCCGGCUGGUACGCCAAAACACAUUUUUCCGGGUUGAGCUUAAUGUCAUAUGUUUGGAGGUUAUCAAAUGUGAUCCUUAAGUCGUCUACUAGAGUUUCGACAUGCUUGGUUUUGACGACCACGUCGUCUACGUAUGCUUCUACUGUUUUGCCGAUCUGGUUUGCCAGACAUGUCUGAAUCAUGCGCUGAUAUGUUGCGCCGGUGUUUUUGAGCCCCAAGGGCAUUGUGUUGAAGCAGAAUGGGCCAUAUGGGGUGAUGAAUGCCAUUGCGGCUUGGUCUGGCUCUGCCAUCUUAAUUUGAUGGUAGCCGGAGUAUGCGUCAAGGAAACAAAAUGAAUCGUGUCCUGCGGUAGCAUCGAUAAUUUGCUCGAUGCGAGGGAGGGGGAAGGGAUCCUUUGGGCAAGCCUUGUUGAGGUCCUUGAAAUCGACACAGUGGCGCCAGGAUUUGUCCUUCUUUGGUACCAUUACCAGGUUUGCUAGCCAGUCCGGAUGUUUUAUAUCUCUGAUGAAUCUGGCCUCCAGUAGUUUGGCUAGCUCCUCUCCCAUGGCUUGUUUCUUAGGUUCAGAGAAACGCCGGAGAGCCUGCUUGACAGGCUUGAAUCCUUUUAGGAUGUUUAGGCUGUGUUCGGCCAGCCUGCGUGGGAUUCCUGCAUGUCUGAAGGGUGCCAGGCAAAGAUGUCCCAAUUUUCGCGUAGGAAUUCUCAUACUGCGGCGUCUACAUCAGGGUUUAAGUACGCCCCGAUGGAGGCCGUUUUUGUAGGGUCCAUUGGAUGGACUUGGAAUUUGACUAUUUCGUCCGCCGGUUUAAAGGAGGUGGACUUGGAUCUUUUAUCGAGUAUCACGUCGUCCCUGUUCACCGUGGAGCGUAGCGCAGUCAGUUCUUCGGUCGCUAGGGCUUCGGAUAGUGCCUCAAGGGCCAGUGCGGCUGUCUUGUUUUCGGCGCGGAGUGCUAUGUCCGGGUCACUAGCAAGAGUGAUAAUUCCGUUGGGUCCGGGCAUUUUGAGUUUCCGUAAUGGGUAUAGCUUGAAAAAUUGUGAAUGCCUCUCGUCCUAAUAGAGCGUGGUACCCGCUGCUGAACGGGGCCACUUGAAACGUGACCUCCUCGGACCUGUAAUUAUCCGGCGUGCCGAACACCACAUCCAGUGUGAUUUUUCCCGUACAACACGCUUCCCGACUGGGGAUUAUUCCUCUAAAGGUUGUGUUGCUUCGCUCAAUACGGCUCCAGUCUAUUUCCAUUUUUUGAAGGGUUUCCUCAUAAAUGAGGUUCAAUCCGCUGCCACCGUCCAUGAGUACCUUGGUAAGGCGAAAGCCAUCCACUAUUGGACUGAGGACCAAUGCGGCUGGUGCUCGGGCUGUUCGGAAUUUAGGUUCAUCACUGGCAUUAAAGGUAAUAGCCGUGUCACUCCAUGGGUUUAUUGUUGCUACUUGGUAGACUUCGGCAAGGCUGCGGAGUGUUCGUUUCCGCAUAUUAUUUGAUGCGAAAGUCUCGAAGACUGUUAAUACCGUACUGGUAUCCCUGGGCUGGUGCUCUGUGAAUUCUGGAGUUAGAAGCUCCUCGCCACUCCUGGCCACCUGCCGGAGUAUCCAACAUGCUCUAAGGCUAUGAGUUGGUGUGGCACCCUCUAUACUAUGAAUUUUAUAGGGUCCAUUGAGCCAUCCCUCCAGUAUGGUUCCAUGCCCUAUAGACGGUUUUUGCUUUUUGGUGUUUAACCCAGGUGCCUGGUGAUAAUGCACCCUUUCAUUUCGGACUGUGGUUGUAUUCAGGGCCGUAUUGUCCCAAAAUUUUAUUUCGGUUUUCCAGGCACUUUCCAUCGCACAGUACUUUCGUACUAUGGAUGCCAAGUCGGCGAAGCGUGUAAUUUCACGGCGACUUAUGGCGUUGAGGAUUCCGUUGUCCGUGCAAUUAUUGCAGAAGAACGGAAUUGCAUCCUCCUCGCGGCAGUCCUUUAUCCUGUUCAUAACCAGGAGGGAUCUGGCCCAGUAAUGGUGUACUGUUUCUGCGGCCUCUUGCCGAAUUUGGGAUAGAUCCCUUAUAUUUGGGUGGGCGGGUGGAAUCAAAUCCGGAACCUCGCCCAAUCUGAGACUCGGGGGCCAAGGAGUUUCCGAACUCGGAAGCUCGGGUUCUUGGAUGUUGUCCAAUGAAUCUAGCCCGCUGCCUGACUUUAGGUUUAGUGCUUGAGUGACGUCCUCCCCUCCGUGGGUAUCCGGCUUGGAGGGGUCGGGAAUCCGGACAUAACUAGUCCUUAAGAUAGGUGAAGACUUACCGCAUUGUUCCUCCACCAUUGCGACGUGGUGGGUGACCUGGGGAGAGUUAAUCUCUCUCGGAUCGGGUUUAAGCCCAAUCUGAUCGUAGUCUGCAGCGACUCCCAGGGCAGCGAUGUGAUCCAAGAGCUCGUUUACGGAAGAGAGAUCCAUCGGAUCUAACUACUCGGCGAGUUCCGAGUUGACGUGGAGAUUGCUUUUGAUGACCCGAGAAGUCAUCGUCGGCGCGGCGGCCGAACAGGCGGUCAUAAGAAAACCGCCUAGCCGGAGAGUUUGGCCGAUAGCCAAAGCUCCUUUAGCGACAGCGCCGUCUUUAAAGACGGGAUGAGGCAUCCUUCCUGAUGGCGACAGCACAGCGGAACUCUCAAUGAAAGCACCAAUGUCGGUGUCAAAACCGGCGGAUCUCGGGUAGGGGGUCCCAAACUGUGCGUCUAGGCGGAUGGUAACAAGAGACAAGGGACACGAUGUUUUUACCCAGGUUCGGGCCCUCUCUAUGGAGGUAAAACCCUACUCCAGCUUGAUUAAUAUUGAUGAUAUGGGUACUACAAGAGUAGAUCUACCACGAGAUCAGAGAGGCUAAACCCUAGAAGCUAGCCUAUGGUAUGAUUGUUUUUCGUCCUACGGAUUAAAACCCUCUGGUUUAUAUAGACACCGGAGAGGGUUAGGGUUACACAGAGUCGGUUACAAUGGGAGGAGAUCUACAUAUCCGUAUCGCCAAGCUUGCCAUCCACGCCAAGGAAAGUCCCAUCCGGACACGGGACGAAGUCUUCAAUCUUGUAUCUUCAUAGUCCAGGAGCCCGCCAAAGGUCAUAGUCCGGCUAUCCGGACACCCCCUAAUCCGUGACUCCCUCAAUCGCGAAGAGCUCGGGAAUUGUCUUGUUCAUCCCUUGCAUAUUAUAGUUCAUCACGAAGCUCUUGUAGCUUGGUGAUAGUGAUUGAAGAAUUCUGUCAACGACACUAUCAUCCGGAAGAUUAACUCCCAAUUGAAUCAAGUGAUUGUUAUACCCAGACAUUUUGAGUAUAUGCUCACUGACAGAACUAUUCUCCUCCAUCUUGCAGCUGUAGAACUUAUUGGAGACUUCAUAUCUCUCAAUCCGGGCAUUUGCUUGAAAUAUUAACUUCAACUCAUAGAACAUCUCACAUGCUCCAUAAUGUUCAAAACGUCGUUGAAGUCCCGGUUCUAAGCCGUAAAGCAUGGCACACUGAACUAUCGAGUAGUCAUCAGCUUUGCUCUGCCAAAUGUUCACAACGUCCGGCGUUGCUCCUGCAGUGGGUCUUGCACCUAGUGGUGCUUCCAGGAUGCAACUCUUCUGUGCAGCAAUGAGGAUAAUCCUCAAGUUAUGGACCCAGCCCGUGUAGUUGCUACCAUCAUCUUUCAACUUAGCUUAAUCUAGGAACGCAUUAAAAUUCAACGGAACAACAACACGGGCCAUCUAUCUACAACAACAUAGACAUGCAAAAUACUAUCAGGUACUAAGUUCAUGAUAAAUUAAAGUUCAAUUAAUCAAAUUACUUAAGAACUCCCACUUAGAUAGACAUCCCUCUAAUCAUCUAAGUGAUCAUGUGAUCCAUAUCAACUAAACCAUGUCCGAUCAUCACGUGAGAUGGAGUAGUUUUCAAUGGUGAACAUCACUAUGUUGAUCAUAUCUACUAUAUGAUUUACGCUCGGCCUUUCGGUCUCAGUGUUCCGAGGCCAUAUCUGCAUAUGCUAGGCUCGUCAAGUUUAACCCGAGUAUUAUGCGUGUGCAAAACUGGCUUGCACCAGUUGUAUGUGAACGUAGAGCUUAUCACACCCGAUCAUCACAUGGUGUCUCGGCACGACGAACAUUCGCAACGGUGCAUACUCAUGGAGAACACUUAUACCUUGAAAUUUAGUGAGAGAUCAUCUUAUAAUGCUACCGUCGAUCUAAGCAAAAUAAGAUGCAUAAAGGAUAAACAUCACAUGCAAUCAAUAUAAGUGAUAUGAUAUGGCCAUCAUCAUCUUGUGCCUUUGAUCUCCAUCUCCAAAGCACCGUCAUGAUCACCAUCGUCACCGGCACGACACCUUGAUCUACAUCGUAGCAUCGUUGUCGUCUCGCCAACUAUUGCUUCUACGACUAUCGCUACCGCUUAGUGAUACAUACAAUAAAGCGACAACCAUAUGGCUCCUGCCAGUUGCCGAUAACUUUGUUACAAAACAUGAUCAUCUCAUACAAUAAAAUUUAGCAUCAUGUCUUUGACCAUAUCACAUCACAACAUGCCCUGCAAAAACAAUUUAGACGUCCUCUACUUUGUUGUUGCAAGUUUUAUGUGGUUGCUACGGGCUAAGCAAGAAGCGUUCUUACAUACGCAUCAAAACCACAACGAUAUUUCGUCAAGUUAGUGUUGUUUUAACCUUCAACAAGGACCGGGCGUAGCCACACUCGAUUCAACUAAAGUUGGAGAAACUGACACCCGCCAGCCACCUAUGUGCGAAGCACGUCGGUAGAACCAGUCUCGCGUAAGCGUACGCGUAAUGUCGGUCCUGGCCGCUUCAUCCAACAAUACUGUCAAAUCAAAGUAAGACAUGCUGGUAAGCAAUAUGACUUGUAUCGCCCACAACUCACUUGUGUUCUACUCGUGCAUAUAACAUUUAUGCAUAAACCUGGCUCGGAUGCCACUGUUGGGGAACGUAGUAAUUUCAAAAAAAUUCCUACGCACAUGCAAGAUCAUGGUGAUGCAUAGCAACGAGAGGGGGAGUGUAUCUUCAUACCCUUGAAGAUCACUAAGCGGAAGCAUUUAUACAAUGAGGUUGAUGUAGUCAUACACCUUCACGAUCCGCCCCGAUCAAGUAGCGAACCUACGACACCUUCGCGUUCAGCACACGUUGAGCUCAAUGACGUCCUCGCCUUCUUGAUCCAGCAAGACGGGCGAAGUAGUAGAUGAGUUCUAGCAGCACAACGGCGUGGUGACGGUGUUGGUGAACAACAAUCUCCACAGGGCUUUGCCUAAGAACUACAAAAACUAUGACGGAGGAUAAACUAGAGGGGACGGUGUUUCCGGCACACGGCUUGGUGUUUCUCGAUGUCUCGAGGCAUAAGCUAACAUACUUUCUCUUCUUGGAUUAUAUGCACUUAUGAUUGGAACUCUAGCAAGCAUUUGCAACUACUAAAGAUUCAUUAUAAAGGGACAAUUGCAUUUUUACCCCUAGUUGGUUCCUACCCACGGGUUUUGCCCUUACUUUUCGAGCUUGCUCAGUUUUGCCCUUACUUUUUCCAUCGAGGUCCCUCGAAUGCCCUUUGACCGUUUGACCAAAACUUUGAAAAUUCAUAACUAAUUCAUACGAACUCAAAAAAAUGCAAAUAAGAUAUCAAAAUGUUCAAAUAAAAAUUACCUUUAUGGGCAUAUCAUUUGCAUUCAGGACAAAAGCAUCAUUUAAACUACCCGAGGUAAUUAAUGUUAUUAACAUUAUUAUAAAUAAAUAGGUAUAAAUAAUAUUUUUUUCAUGAAUAAAAAUUACAUCAAAUGUAGGUGAUGUUUUCUGAACAUCCUGAUACCUUAUUUCCAUUUUUCUGAGUUUGUAUCAACUUGUUAUGAAUGUUCUAACGACUUUGACCAUUAUUUGGAAACUUCAUAACAAGUUGAUACGAAGUCAGGAAAAUGCAAAUAAGGUAUCAGGAUGUUCAGAAAACAUCACCUACGUUUGCAUACAAUUUUUAUUCACGAAGAAUAUAUUGUUUAUACCUAUUUAUUUUUAAUAAUGUUAAUAACAUUAAUUACCUCAGGUAGUUUAAACGAUGCUUUUGUCCUGAAUGCAAAUGAUAUGCCCAUAAAGGUAAUGUUUAUCUGAACAUUUUGAUAUCUUAUUUGUAUUUUUCUGAGUUCAUAUGAAUUAGUUAUGAAUUUUCAAAGUUUUGGUCAAACGGUCAAAGGGCAUUCGAGGGACCUUGAUGGAAAAAGUAAGGGCAAAACUGAGCAAGCUCGAAAAGUAAGGGCAAAACCCGUGGGUGGUAACCAACUAGGGGUAAAAAUGCAAUUGUCCCUAUGGUAAAACCCAACCAUAGCAUUAAAGUAUCAAGUCCCCUUUAUCCCAUUUGCAACGAUCUACUUACUCGGGUUUGUGUUUCAGUCACUCACGCAACCCACUAUACGCGAAUCAUGAACGCAUUGCAACACCCUACAGCGGGAAUCCCUCACGCUUGAGCGACACGGAGGGCACCAUAGGACAUCACCAAUAAUAAAAUAUGCAACUCAAACCAACCAUAGCAAUUCAUCAAUCACCGAUAGGACAACAAAAAUCUACUCAGACAUCAUAGGAUGGCAACACAUCAUUGGAAAAUAAUAUGAAGCAUAAAGCACCAUGUUCAAGUAGAGGGUACAACAGGAUGCGGGAGAGUGGACCGCUGGAUAUAGAUGGGGGAAGGUGAUGGAGAUGUUGGUGAAGAUGGCGGAGGUGUUGGUGAAGAUCGCGUUGAUAAUGAUGGCCCCCGGCAGCGCUCCGGCGCCACUGGAAGCAAGGGGGAGAGAGGGCCCCUUCUUCUUCUUCUUCCUUGACCUCCUCCCUAGAUGGGAGAAGGGUUUCCCCUCUGGUCCUUGGCUCCCAUGGCUUGGGAGGGGCGAGAGCCCCUCCGAGGUUGGAUCUAUCUCUCUGUUUUUGCGUCCUCUGUUUCUGCCCCUUCACUGUUUCCUUUAUAUUUGGAGAUCCGUAACUCCGAUUGGGGCGAAUCUUUCGCCCACAUUUUUCUUGUAAAAUUAGCUUUCUUGCGGAAAAAGAAGAGCGUCAACUGCCUUACGGGUAGCCCACGAGGGUCCAGGGCGCGCCCAGGGGGGUGGGCGCGCCCCCCAGUCUCGUGGUCACCUCGGACACUGUUUUGCGUUGAUUCUUCCUCCGGAAAAUCCCAAAUAUUCCAAAAUAAUUCUCCGUCCGUUUUUAUCCCGUUUGGAUUUCGUUUGAUAUGGGUUUCCUGCGAAACAUAAAACAUGCAACAGACAGGAACUGGCACUGGGCACUGGACCAAUAUGUUAGUCCCAAAAAUAGUAUAAAAAGUUGCCAAAAGUAUAUGAAAGUUGAAUAAUAUUGGCAUGGAACAAUCAAAAAUUAUAGAUACGACGGAGACGUAUCAACAUCCCCAAGCUUAAUUCCUGCUUGUCCUUGAGUAGGUAAAUGAUAAAAAAGAUAAUUUUUGAUGUGGAAUGCUACCUAGCAUAAUCUUGAUCAUAUGUCUAAUCAUGGCAUGAAUAUUAAGACACGAGUUAUUCAAAGCAAUAGUCUAUCAUUUGACAUAAAAAACGAUAAUACUUCGAGCAUACCAAUAAAGCAAUCAUGUCUUUUCAAAACAACAAGGCCAAAGCAAGCUUAUCCCUACAAAAUCAUACAGUUUGUCCAUGCUUCAUCUUCGUCACACAAAAUGCUCCCAUCAUGCACAACCCCGAUGACGAGCCGAGCAAUUGGUUCAUACUUUUUAACGCGCUUCAGCUUUUUCAACCCUCAUGCAAUACAUGAGCGCAAGCCAUGGAUAUAGCACUAUAGGUGGAAUAGAAUAUAAUGGUGGAGGUUUAUAUGGAGAAGACAAAAAAGGAGAAAGUCUCACAUCGACGCGGAUAAUCGACGGGCUAUGGAGAUGCCCAUCAAUUGAUGUCAAUGCGAGGAGUAGGGAUUGCCAUGCAAUGGAUGCACUAGAGCUAUAAGUGUAUGAAAGCUCAAACUGAAAACUAAGUGGGUGUGCAUCCAACUUGCUUUGCUCAUGAAGACCUAGGGCAUUUGAGGAAGCCCAUCGUUGGAAUAUACAAGCCAAGUUCUAUAAUGAAAAAUUCCCACUAGUAUAUGAAAGUGACAACAUAAGAGACUCUCUAUAUGAAGAACAUGGUGCUACUUUGAAGCACAAGUGUGGAAAAAGGAUAGUAACGUUGCCCCUUUUCUUUUUCUUUUAUUUCUUUUUUCUUUCGGUGGGCUUCUUUGGUCCCCUUUUUUAUUUAGGCUUCUUUGGCCUUUCCUUUUUUUCUUUUUUUUCUUUUUCUUUUUUAUGGGGCAAUGCUCUAUAAUGAUGAUCAUCACACUUUUAUUUACUUACAACUCGAUAUUACAACUCGAUACUAGAACAAAGAUAUGACUCUAUAUGAAUGCUUUCGGCAGUGUACCGGGAUGUGCAAUGAUCUAGCGGAGCAAUGACAUCAAAACGGACAAGCCAUGAAAACAUCAUGCUAGCUAUCUUACGAUCAUGCAAAGCAAUAUGACAAUAAAUGCUCAAGUCAUGUAUAUGAUCAUGAUGGAAGUUGCAUGGAAAUAUAUCUCGGAAUGGCUAUGGAAAUGCCAUAAUAGGUAGGUAUGGUGGCUGUUUUGAGGAAGAUAUAAUGAGGCUUAUGUGUGAUAGGGCGUAUCAUAUCACGGGGUUUGGAUGCACCGGCGAAGUUUGCACCAACUCUCGAGGUGAGAAAGGGCAAUGCACGGUACCGAAGAGGCUAGCAACGAUGGAAAGGUAAAAGUGCGUAUAAUCCAUGGACUCACAUUAGUCAUAAAGAACUCAUAUACUUAUUGCAAACAUUUAUUAGCCCUCGAAGCAAAGUACUACUAUGCAUGCACCUAGGGGGAUAGAUUGGUAGGAAAAGACCAUCGCUCGUCCCUGACUGCCACUCAUAAGGAAGACAAUCAAAGAAACACCCCAUGCUUCAAAUUUGUCACACAACGGUUACCAUAUGUGCAUGCUACGGGACUUGCAAACCUCAACACAAGUGUCUCUACAAUCCACAGCCACCCACUAGCAUGACUCUAAUAUCACCAUCUUUGUAUCGCAAAACUAUUGCAAGGAAUCAAACAUAUCAUAUUCAAUGAUCUACAAGUUUAUGUAGGAUUUUAUGACUAACCAUGUGAAUGACCAAUUCCUGUCAUCUCUCUAAAUAGAUAUAAAUGAAGCAAGAGAGUUUAAUUCUUUCUACAAAAGAUUUACCCACACUCUAACAAAUAUAACUGAAGAAAAAGAGCAUUCUACAAAUGGCGGUUUUCUAUAUGAAGAGAAACAUGCAAUCCAAACUUCAAAUGGUAUAAGUGAAGCACAUGAAGCAUUCUAUAAAGCCAUACUCAAAAGAUCUAAGUGAUGUGCAAUGAGCAUUAUAUAAAUCAACCAAGGACUAUCUCAUACUAGCAUAGUGCAUAAAAGAAAAGUGAAAACUAAAUGCAAAAGACGCUCCAAGACUUGCACAUAUCGCAUGAACGAAACGAAUACGAAAACAUACCGAUACUUAUUGAAGAAAGAGGGGAUGCCUUCUGGGGCAUCCCCAAGCUUAGAUGCUUGAGUAUCCUUGAAUAUUUACUUGGAGUGCCUCGGGCAUCCCCAAGCUUGAGCUCUUGCCUCUCUUCCUUUUCCUCAUAUCGAGACAUCCUCGCUUAGACACUUCAUCCACACAAAACUUCAACAGAAAACUCGGUAAGAUCCGUUAGUAUAAUAAAGAAAAUCACUACUCUAAAUACUGUUGCAAACCAAUUCAUAUUUUGUUUUUGCAUUAUGUCUACUGUAAUAUAACUUUUUCAUGGCUUAAUCCACUAAUAUAAAUUGAUAUUUUCAUCAAAACAAGAAAACUAUGCAUUAAAAAACAGAAUCUGUCAAAAACAGAACAGUCUGUACAAAUCUGAACAUCCACCAUACUUAUGGUACCCCAAAACUUCUACCAAAAUUAGGAACAAUAAACAAGUUGUAUAGAAAGACAGUGCAAAAGGAAUCUGAACCAAUUAACCUUCCAUUUAAAAAUGUAAAAUCGAGCACUACAGCCAAAGUUUCUGUCCUGCACCGUACAAACCAACAAGCAUUGUAAACAUCCUAAAGGCAAACCUUGGCACAUUAUUUUUAUAAUACAAUGGAAUUGUACAAGGGGAUAAUUAUUUUUGUUGAGAAGUUUCCGUAAUCAAGAUUCACAAAGUUUCCAUGAGCAUGAAGAAAGUCCAAGGCUAGCUCCCACUUCAACAAUGCUUGUCUUUCUCACUUUCACUUUCCUUUUUGAAAAGUUUUUAGGUUCCCCUCUUUAUUUUUUUUGUUUUUAAACUAUACAAAAGCACUCAGCAGAAAUAAAUGACUCUCUAAAACUUCCGGGUUAUCUCCCUGGCAGCGCUUUCUUUAAAGCCAUUAAGGUAGGCAUUUAGUGCUCAAGUAAUGAAUCCACCCGGAUCCCAAGGUAUAUCAAAGCCAAUUUUAAUUAACAAUGAUUUGUAAUUUAGUAGUGAGCACAAAGUAACAUAUAUCAUGCAACAAUGAACUCUAACUCUCUUCCUAUGCAUCAGCAUGUCAUAACAGAAUAAUUCAUGCACACCAAGUAAAGGCCAAUGCAUACUAUAAACAGUUUCUUGCAAUUCUAUCGUAUUGGAAACAUAGAGAGGUGGAGAUAAAGUUCCUCUCUCAUAAUAAUUGCAAGUAGGAACAGCAAGCACAUGCAUAUUAUAUUCAUCAAAAUCAUCAUGUGCAAUGGUAAAAGGCAACCCAUCAAUAUAAUCCUUAAUAAGCACAAACUUCUCCGAUAUAGUGUAGUAGGGAGAAUUCAAGAAGAUAAUAGGACUAUCAUGCGUGGGUGCAAUAGCAACAAUUUCAUGUUUAACAUAAGGAACUAUAGCAAGUUCAUCUUCAUAAGCAUAAUUCAUAUUGGCAUCUUGGCCACAAGCAUAGCAAGCAUCAUCAAAAAUGGAUAUUUCGAGAGAAUCAACGGGAUCAUAGUAAUCAUCAUAGCAACCAUCCUUCCGUAAGCACGAAGGGGAAUUAAACAAUGUAUGAGUUGAAGAGUUACUCUCAUUAGAAGGUGGGCACGGGUGAUCAAUCCGCUCUUCCUCCUUUUGUUCUUCGCUCUCCUCAUCAUCUUUUUCAUCCAAUGAGCUCACAGUUUCAUCAAUUUCUUCUUCCAUAGCUUCUUGCAAAAUAUUAUCUCUUCUUGGACAGCGGAGAAGACCUCAAUAUAUGGUUUAACAUAGGCAUUAGAAGCAUAAUUAUCAUAACAAUAUUCAAGUAUGGCAAAGUUUUCAGAUUUGUAGAGAGUAGCAUCAUACUUUUGAAUCAAAGAAGCAAUUUCAUAAGCACCCUUAAAGCAACAAAUUCUUCAGUUUGUUGAACAUCAUAGUAAUUAUAAACACCUUUAGCAUAUGAAGAUACAAUCCCAUUAUCAAACUCACAUUGGUAGGGAAGGUGUUUCUUAGGGUUUUCAGAACAACAAGUAAUAUCAUAUAUUUCACAUAAAUUCCAAGCAUAGCAUCGCAAACAUUGAAUUCGAUCCCAUAAUAGUUUCCCUUUUUCCAGAUAUACGGUGUCGCACAUAACAGGCAUGCUCAUCUAAAGAUUUGCCCUCAACUAAGCUAGUGGGGGUUUCAGCACGAGCACAUAGGGAUCGAAGAUGAUCAAAGUAAAAAGCUUUAGGAGUGCGAUAGAUUUUGAGUGGUUCUUCAACCAUUGGUGUAGUAGGUACAACUAACUUUUUUGGUAUUUUGCGUUUCCUACCCAUAACUAAAGAUAGAAAAUAACUAAGAACAGCAAAUAAAAAUUACUUAGUGAUAAAGCAAACAAGCACACACAAGAAUAUUCACCCCACGCUAUGACUCCCCGGCAACGGCGACAGAAAAAGGUCUUGAUAACCCACAUGUGUAGGGGGUCGCAACAGUUUUUGAUAAGUAAGAGUGUUGAACCCAACGAGGAGCUAAAGGUAGAAUAAAUAUUCCCUCAAGUUCUAUCGACCACCGAUACAACUCUGCACGCUUGACGUUUGCUUUACCUAGAACAAGUAUGAAACUAGAAGUACUUUAUAGGUGUGAUAGGAUAGGUUUGCAAGAGCAUAAAGAACACGUAAAUAAAAAGUAGGGGCUGUUUAGAUAAAGAUGCAAGAAAGUAAAUAUAGCGAGUGUGGAAAAGUGGUGGUAGGAGUUGUGAAAUUGUCCCUAAGCAAUUGACUAUGUUACUAGACCGGUAAUCACUAUCACAAUUCUAUUUGAGGGAGAUGCAUAAGCUAACAUACUUUCUCUUCUUGGAUCAUAUGCACUUAUGAUUGGAACUCUAGCAAGCAUCCGCAAAUACUAAAGAUUCAUUAAGCUAAAACCCAACCAUAGCAUUAAAGGUAUCAGGUCCCCUUUAUCCCAUACGCAACGAUCUACUUACUCGGGUUUGUGUUUUAGUCACUCACGCAACCCACUAUAAGCGAAUCAUGAACGCAUUGCAACACCCUACAACAGGAAUCCCUCACGCUUGCGCGACAUGGAGGGCACCAUAGGACAGAACCAAUAAUAAAAUAUGCAACUCAAACCAAUCAUAGCAAUUUAUCAAUCACCGAUAGGAUAACGAAAAUCUACUCAGACAUCAUAGGAUGGGAACACAUCAUUGGAAAAUAAUAUGAAGCAUAAAGCACCAUGUUCAAGUAGAGGGUACAGCGGUAUGCGGGAGAGUGGACCACUGGAUAUAGAUGGGGGAAGGUGAUGGAGAUGUUGGUGAAGAUGGCGGAGGUGUUGGUGAAGAUCGCGGUGAUGAUCUGGCUACCAUUCUACACUAUUAUGCAGCAGGCUCAUUUGGAUGAUCUGGCUGCCCAACAGGCUCAGAACGAGGAGGCUUGGAAUGCCCCUGUCCCUGCACAAGAGCAAAUUCAGGAAAAUGGUUGGAGGGCUUGUCCUGUGGUGCCCCCACCAUACACUGGUUUCAGCUUCAGGUCCUUUCUUUCAGUAUGAUGGCCCAUCUUUGAUGGAUGGAGUGGACCCUGAGAAAAAUGUGCAUGACAAUCUAUCUGACGUCUGGGCAUCUGAAGAUGAAGUUGCUGCAGUGGAGAGCCUGGCGGAUGGCUUUAUAAAUGGUAAUUUGGCUGCAAGGGAGGCUUUUGCUCGUGCUGGGGGUGACUCUGUUUAUGUCACCAUUACGCUGGAUCAUGAGCUGCUGCUGUGGAUGGGCUCGAUGCUCAAACGCAUCUACACGCGAGCCAUCACCAAUGGACACGCUGGGUCUAUUAUGCUUCCUCUUAACCCUUUCCAUCUGAUUCAAAAACAUUUGGAGGCAGCCUUGCUCUUUGGUUGCAGAAUCUGAAGCCUGAACCUGACCACAUAGCCAUCAUUUUCAGUGCUCGCUCUCUGUUGGGUGUUUGCAUUGGACCGCUGCAAUUAUCUGCUUCUUUUGGUGUCAUAACAGAGGUGACCCAGGUUUCUGAUGGUACCUUGUGUCUGUCACAGGAGAUCCCAAUUCCUAAUGUGCCAUCUCAUACUGCAAUCCAGGUUGAUCUGAAUGCCCCAACUACUGGCAUUGCUCUGCAAGUGUUGGCGUCCUCCUCUUCAUUUAAUUCUGCUGCAGGUCAUAAUGCCAAGGUACCUCUCGACACUACUGCUGUCCGGAGGAGUUCUAGAUGCAACAAAUAUGAUGGCUUCAAGGUUUCCAACGCUUCUGAGAUGAAACCCAGCUGCUCGAGGGUGAAGGCCAGGAUCGUCCCCACCGUCUCUGCUGUCUCCACGGCUGCUGCUCCAACUGCGUCGUGCCCUCCACCAACAACCAUCCUGGAGCUCCAGUAGGUGGGCGAUGGUUGCGGCAUUGAGCCUAAAGAUAUCUCUGAAGACAAGCUGCUGGCUACCCAGCAGAUUGCCUCUGAUGAGGCGGCCUGAUUUUCUUUCUGUUAAUGAAUAAAUCGUGGAACAUCUUGUCGUGCAACAUCAGAGGGAUUAACUCUGAUAGCAAACUUUUGGCUCUUAGGAAUGCUAUCGACUCUAGUGGUUGUUCUGUUAUAUGCAUUCAGGAAACCAAGCGGGAAUAUUUUGAUUUAGCGUUUAUUAAAUCUUUCUUCCCCAAGCGGUUUGAUAAAUUUGUUUUCGCGCCAUCAAUUGGGGCCUCGGGUGGAAUUAUCACUAUCUAGAACAGUUCUGUUUUUGUGGGCACACCUUGGCAUGUGGAAUCUUUUGCGGUGGGCGUUUCUUUUGUGGAUAAUCAGUCAAAUGAGUCAUGGAAUUUGGUCAAUGUUUACGGCCCAUGUACGGGUCAGAGACGGGUUGAUUUCACCUCCUGGCUAUUUGACCUCACCAUACCAGAUGAUAAAAAUUGAUUAUUUUUGGGUGACUUCAAUUACAUACGAUCCACUGAAAACAGAAAUAAGCCAGGGGGAGAUGCAUCUGAUAUGCUGUUGUUCAAUGAGCUUAUACGUGCACAAUCUUUAAUGGAAAUCCCAGUUAAGGGUAGAGCCUUCACGUGGAGUAAUAUGCAGGACGACACGCUCCUAGAACAGCUUGAUUGGUUCUUCUCAUCAUCAAAUUGGACCACAUCUUUCCCUAAUACGACGGUUCUACCUCUGGGAAAACCAGUCUCUGACCAUAUCCCAUGCGUGAUUUCAAUCGAAUCCAAAAUCCCAAAAUCAAACCUUUUUCGGUUUGAGAACUUCUGGAUCAAUCACCCUGGUUUCUCUGAUGUUGUGGCCAAUUCUUGGAGUAAACCAUGCCACGCCUCCAAUUCUGCUACUGUCGUUUGUAAGAAGCUCAAAACGCUUCGUUCUGAUCUCAAGCGUUGGAGUAGAGGUAUCUCCAAACUGAAGACCAUGAUUUAAAAUAGCAACAAUGCUCUAGCCAAUCUUGAUGCUUUAGAAGACAAGAGGGUUCUGUUUGUCUAGGAAGCAAACUUUAGAUGUAUCCUGAAAAGACACCCAACUGUCUCCUAAAGUAUCAGAAUGAAUAUUGGAGGAAAAGAUGCACCGUUAGAUAUUUCAGAUUUGCUGACGAGAACACUAAGCUGUUCCAAUCUCUUGCUACUGAACGCUUUAGGCAUAACUCAAUUGCCAGCUUGCAAGAUAGAGAUGUUGAGGUCACUGAUCAUGCUGGCAAGGAAGGGGUGUUGUUCAACACAUUCAAGGAACGUUUGGGGGCCUCUAAACCCACUAACAUGCGUUUUGAUCUGAACCGCAUCAUCAAAAAGGUGGAUGGCCUGGAUGUGCUCUCAGCCCCUUUUUCUAAUAGUGAGAUCGAUGCGGUGAUCAAAGAGAUGCCUACUGACAGGGCUCCAAGUCCCGAUGGUUUUAGUGGUUGCUUCCUCUAAACUGGCUGGCACAUUAUAAAGGAAGAUAUCUACAAAAUUUGUCAUGAUUUUCACGAAGGCAACCUUGACAUAUCCAGCAUCAAUGAGGGUUAUAUCACUCUCAUUCCAAAGAUCUCCUCUCCGCUUAUGGCUAAUUAUUUCAGGCCCUUAACAUUACUAAACUGCUGCCUGAAAAUUAUCACGAAAAUCCUAGCCAACCGCCUGCAAAAAGUCAUCCUGAAAAUCAUCCAUAGGAAUCAGUAUGGGUUCCUCAAGGGCCAUACCAUCCAGGACUGUUUGGCGUGGUCGUUCGAAUACAUCCACCAAUGUCAAACAUCUGCGAGAGAGAUAGUGUUACUGAAGCUUGACUUUGCCAAAGCAUUUGAUACAAUUGAACAUGAACCGAUGUUGUAGAUCAUGGAACACAUGGGCUUUGAUGAUAGGUGGCUCGGCUGGAUGAGGUCCAUUUUUUCUUCUGGGGUUUCUUCGGUUCUUUUGAAUGGGGUGCCUGGAAGAAAAUUUCUGUGCAAAUGUGGAGUGAGACAGGGCAACCCGCUGUCACCACUCAUCUUUGUUUUGGCGGCUGACCUACUUCAAGCGGGUAUUAAUGAUGCUUACACCCAAGGUUUAAUUGAGCUACCCUUUCCAUCCAACCGGAGAGGGGAUUACCCAGUGAUUCAAUACGCCGACGACACGAUCCUGGUCAUGCCUGCUUGCCCGGACCAAGCUGCCCGUAUGAAGUCCAUUCUGGUUGAUUAUGCUGAGUCAGUUGGCCUGAAAAUAAAUUUCCACAAAUCAACAUUGAUCCCAAUCAAUCUUGAUCUGCAACAGUCUCCUGUUUUGGCUUCUAUUUUUGGAUGCAACAUGGGGUCACUCCCUUUUACCUACCUGGGGAUUCCCAUGGGAACCACCAAACCAACGUUGCUUGAGCUAAUGCCUUUGGUGUGUGGGGUUGAGAGGAAGCUGUCCACGGCCCUGUCCCUGCUCUCAGCUGGCGCCAAACUCACAUUGGUCAACUCCACCAUCACUUCCAUGAUGAUAUAUGUGAAAGAUCGUGGAUGUCGCCUAGANNNNNNNNNNNNNNNNNNNNNNNNNNNNNNNNNNNNNNNNNNNNNNNNNNNNNNNNNNNNNNNNNNNNNNNNNNNNNNNNNNNNNNNNNNNNNNNNNNNNNNNNNNNNNNNNNNNNNNNNNNNNNNNNNNNNNNNNNNNNNNNNNNNNNNNNNNNNNNNNNNNNNNNNNNNNNNNNNNNNNNNNNNNNNNNNNNNNNNNNNNNNNNNNNNNNNNNNNNNNNNNNNNNNNNNNNNNNNNNNNNNNNNNNNNNNNNUUACGGUUGAGGCUUGAACAAAUGCGGAAUAAACCUAGCGGUUAAUUUGUCAAGCACAAAACCUACAACAACUAGGCUCACCUAUGUGCACCAACAACUUAUGCUAAGCAAGAAAAACUUCUUAGGUGAUAGCAAGAUAUAUGACAAGAAACAAUAUGGCUAUCACAAAGUAAAGUGCAUAAGUAAAGGGCUCGGGUAAGAGAUAACCGAGGCACGCGGAGACGAUGAUGUAUCUCGAAGUUCACACCCUUGCGGAUGCUAAUCUCCGUUUGGAGCGGUGUGGAGGCACAAUGCUCCCCAAGAAGCCACUAGGGCCAUCGUAAUCUCCUCAUGCCCUCGCACAAUGCAAGAUGCCGUGAUUCCACUAAGGGACCCUUGAGGGCGGUCACCGAACCCGUACAAAUGGCAACCCUUGGGGGCGGUCACCGAACCCGUACACUUUGGCAACCCUUGGGGGCGGUCACCGAAACCCGUCAAAUUGCUCGGGGCGAUCUCCACAACCUAAUUGGAGACCCCGACGCUUGCCCGGAGCUUUACACCACAAUGAUUGAGCUCCGAACACCACCAACUAUCUAGGGCGCCCAAGCACCCAAGAGGAACAAGCUCAAGGGUACCAAACACCCAAGAAUAAUAAGCUUCUCAACUUGUAACUUCCACGUAUUACGUGAAGAACUCAAACCGAUGCACCAAAUGCAAUGGCAAGGGCACACGGAGUGCCCAAGUCCUUCUCUCUCAAAUCCCACCGAAGCAACUAAUGCUAUGGAGGAAAAUGAGAGGAAGAACAAGAAGGAGAACACCGAGAACUCCAAGAUCAAGAUCUAAGGGGUUCCCCUCACAUAGAGGAGAAAGUGAUUGGUGGAAAUGUGGAUCUAGGUCUCCUCUCUCUUUUCCCUCAAAAACUAGCAAGAAUCCAUGGAGGGAUUGAGAGUUAGCAAGCUCGAAGAAGGUCAACAAUGGGGGAAGAACACGAGCUCAAAGAUAAGGUUCAUUGGGGAAGAAGACCCCCUUUUAUAGGACCUCCCGAAUCCAACCGUUAUGUGCUCAGGUCGUGCACAAGCUGUACUACCGCUUGGACGAGCGGUACUACCGCUUAGCACGGUCAAAACAGCCCAACGAGAGAGGAAACACGAGUUUUUGGUCCCGAGCGGAAGUAGCCAUGGAAGUAGCCGCGGUAGUACUGCUCCAAGCGGUAGUACCGCUCCCAAGAGCGGUAGUAAAAAAUUACUUCCGCUCCCGUCCGCGGUAGUACCGCUGCAGCCUUUUCAGAACACCAAAACUCACAACUUCUGCAAACGGACUCCGAAUUCAACGAAACCAAGUUUGUUGGAAAGCUAGCGACAAUGGCUAACACAAUCUUGAUAGAAAAAUCAAUAAGAAGCAAAUUAGAAAAGGCCCAAAAUAAAAUGGUGAGAACCCUUCCUCGGAUAAGACCGGUAAAACCUCCAACACCGAAAACAUCAUAGAAGACGCAUGCAAACUCCGUUUUCGAUGAACUCAAGCUUGUCAUCAAGAUGACCAUAAGCUCUAAGACUCACAAAGAGAACCAAACAAGAACCAAGAAACAUGAUGCAAGGAUGCAAUGGUUUGAGCUCUCGACGAACGAUACGAUCAAGCUACUCACUUGAGAGCCCCCCUUGAUAGUACAACUAUCGAUCCUAUAACCCGGUCUCCCAACUACCACCAUGAGACCGGUAAAAUAGAAAACCUAUGAAGGGAAAACCUUUGCCUUGCACAUGAUCCACUUGAGCUAGAUGAUGACGAUCUUGUCCUCCUCAAGAUGGACCACCUUUCUUGAUUGCGUUGGGUCGAUGGAGACUAGAUGAUUGCUCCCCCAUACUCCAGUAUGGGUGAGCCACUCUUCUGCACAUCUUCACAAGUCCAUUGACACCACAAUGGAUGGAAAGAUUCAAGCACUUGAUCUCUUCAUGAUGCUACACUUGAACUUGCACACGACAAUCUUGAUGACGAUCACUACUUGAUGUCAUCCUUUCCAUGGGUUAUAUGAUAUCUUCCUCUUGACGCAAGCCCAUGGACACGUACCUAACCCCACAUACAACUCUCACAUAGACCAUGGGUUAGUACAUAAAGUGUAAUGGACAAUGCUUACCAUACCAUGGGAUCACUUGAUCCCUCUCAGUACAUCUUCUAUGCUUUGUGAGUUGAUCAACUUGAUUCACUCUUGACUUAGUCUUGAUCAACCUUGAAUCUUUGCAACUCUCUUCAUUUGGAUGAUGUCUUGAAGGUAAACAUGAAUGAUCACACAACCUUCUUCUUCAAGACAUGCCUGCAAUAAGCUCAACACUCACAUGACCAAUCUUUGGAUAAUUCCUUAAUAGCACCUUGGUCAACACAUAAACUCCUUGAAACCAACACAUGGACUUCAAGAAAUGCCUAUGGACAAAUCCUUCAAAUAUAACUCAAUGCAACCAUUAGUCCAUAGAGAAUGUCAUCAAUUACCAAAACCACACAUGGGGGCACCGCAUGUCCUUUCAAUCUCCCCCAUUUUGGUAAUUGGUGACAAUCACUUUCAAGAGAGUUUAUACAAGGAAUUAUGCUUCCCUAGCAAUGCAACACCCAAUAGUGCAUGCGUAUGAGAUGCACAUGCUUCGGAACACAACCAAAGCAAGAGGAUAAAACUUUGAAACCUUCUCCACAAAACUCUCUGAAACUUCUCCCCCAUUGGCAUCGAUUGCCAAAAUGGGCGAAAAGCUUAGAAGGCCAAAAUAAAUUGUGGUCCUCCAUAAAUUGUGUAUUUCUCAACAAGAGAGUGGAAUGCAAUACACAUAUCCAACUGUCAAUACUUGGAGGAAGACAGACUAUAUUGAGGCCCAAAGAUUGCAACAAAGAGAUAUGCCACAAAGACAUAACAAAGAGAGACACAAGCAAUCAGAAGAUACCAAUUGAAGCAAGCAAUCAACGGAUAUCAAUUGAAUCAACUAGACCAAUGAUCCUACGUGUCACAUGAAUAAAGAUAUUAUGAUAUGAGCAGAGGAUUGUUCUAAAGAAACUAGAGAAUCCCCCCAUGAUUUGUGCACAUCAAGAAUUUUUGUAUUUGGAUACAAAGUGCACAAAAUAGGAUCAUAGCUCCCCCAAAAUCAAUAGAAACUCACAACCAGUGCAAGUGGGCAAAUAGGAGACAAAGCCUAGCACUUGUAAGAAGCACAUGGUUGAGCAACAUGUAACAGAGGCGACUAAGAAUAGGCUCAACCAACACCAAUGUGUGUGAGUCAAGGCAAUGCACUUGAGAAGACUAAUGUACGGAUAAGCAUUAAGCAUCAAUAUAGUCUUGAAAGAAUGAGAUACACGGUGCAAGGCAUUUCAUUCCCAUACACAAGAAGCAAACGGGUUCACAAGAUCACUAAUAAGCAUAUAAAGAACCUAUGCUUGUGACAACCCAUGGUGAAGAUAGAAGAUGAAAGCCUCAUCAAGACGAGGAAUACCAAGAUGGCAACCUCGUAAAGAUAAGCAUGAGGAAAUAAUCUUCACCACACAAGAGUGCAUCAAGAUGCAACGAUAUAAGACAUGCACUCAAGACAAAACCUUUCACGGAGCCACCAAAGAAAUAACAUAAGAAAGACAAGGUGGACGUGAAAGAAAGGAUAUCACCUAGAGAUGUAAUUUCUCUCAAGUGUAUAAGGGUCUAGGUAGAUGAAAUCAUGACGAUAUAUAUCUACAAAGAAGGAUGUACACCCGAAAUAGUUACAACAUGAAGGAACAAGAUAUCCAAAAGGAAGUCAUACAUAUACCAAUAAGAUAUGUGCUUGGAAGCAUAGCCCAAGGCUAGAUAUGGUCUUAUUGUAUAUAAAUGAAUUCCUACCACACAACCAUCAAAGACAUCACAACUAGCAACAAGAGAUCAUUGUUGGGAUGCUUUGAGAAAGGAAACAAGUAUCACAAGAAAGAAAGAAUAACAUGCCAUGAUACAACCCACACACGAUUGAUGCAAUAAUGUGUGCAUGUAGUAGAUGAUGAUACUUGUUACCGAGAUAACAUUGGAAGGAUGUAGUAGAUACCAAUUGAAGGUAGAAAGUAGUUCAUCGAUCAUCCUAGCUUGACUCCAAUAAGCACAUGGUGACAACACCUUCCUUUUGAAUGAGCCGAGUAUCCAAUGCAUCUCCAAUUGUUCCUAGAACAACAACACAAACAAAAUGGCACCCAAACUCAUUGGGACCAAAGAGUUAGAGAACCAACAAUACAUAGGACAAACUCCACAUAGAUAUAUGCAUAUAGAUAUGAAAAUGAAUCUCAUGCACAUCUCAUCCAAUUUGAGACUUGGUGGAGUUUCCCCUAUAUAUUGGGUCAAAGAAAGAAAACAUGCCAAAGGAACUACAUGAAAUUAAAAUGCAUGCUCAAGACUUCCAAGAAUCGAUACCAAAAUACAAGGAAAAACCAAGUGAAAAGGAUACCAAAUGGAGAAAUCAUCACUUGGAAGAUAUCAUUAAAAGAUACAUCAAGGAAUGAGAUAUCCAUUGGAACACACACAAAAAAAGAUGUCAAACUCCCAAAGGAGAGGAUGGUUCCAAACAAACCAAGCUGUCUACAAAGUUUCAUGUUGGCACAAAGUACCAAAAGAAACGACUUGCCAUCCACCCACACACACUUAAUAUGGAUCACAAUAUGAGUGUUUUAUAGAAAAUAGGAUAGCUCCCCCAAGACUAGUGCAUUAUAGAGAAUUUGCAUUUGAAUACAAAAUGCACAAGGUGGGAUCACCACUUUCACUAUAUCUAGAAAACACUAAACACGAGAAAUAUGUUGAAGCGAAGGCACUAUGCUGUGGCAAACAACAACUAUGCCUGUAUGCUCUGCCAGAAUCCUCCUGAGGAAAUAGUUGAUCACCUAUUUUUCACCUGCCCCUUUAGCCAACAUUGUUGGGACAAGGUUGGUCUGACAUGGCCGCAUAAUGGCAACAGGAUUUCCAUCUUGCAUGAGGGUAAAAAUCGCUAGAGGCAACCUUUGUUCAUGGAUAUUUUUUUGAUGGCCGCCUGGAGCAUAUGGAAGGAGAGGAACAAUGAGUUCUUCAGGGGUGUUCUGCACUCUUUCGCUGCAUGGCUUGAUAGAUUCAAACAUCUGUUGGGCCUCCUUGCUCAUAAUUGUAAAGAAGAGCUUCAUCCCUUCUUAAGCACUUUCACACAUAACUUGUAGGAGGCACACAUUGUUUCUUUUUCUUUGUACAUAUAGGGUGUAGGGGGACCCUGCAAAACCCCCAUGUAAACAUGUAACACCCAUCUGUGAGUAAUACAAAGUCAGUGGGAGCCUCUCCCACUGUCAUUCAUCGUAAAAAAAAGAUCGUGGUGAUGAUGAUGGCCCCCGGCAGCACUCCGGCGCCACCGGAAGCAAGGGGGAGAGAGGGCCCCUUCUUCUUCUUCUUCCUUGACCUCCUCCCUAGAUGGGAGAAGGGUUUCCCCUCUGGGCCUUGGCUCCCAUUGCUUGGGAGGGGCGAGAGCCCCUCCGAGAUUGGAUCUAUCUCUCUGUUUUUGUGUCCUCUGUUUCUGCCCGUUCACCGUUUCCUUUAUAUCUGGAGAUCCGUAACUCCGAUUGGGGUGAAUAUUUCGCCCAGAUUUUUCUUGUAAAAUUAGCUUUCUUGCGGAAAAAUAAGAGCGUCAACCGCCUUACUGGUGGCCCACGAGAGUCCAGGGCAUGCCUAGGGGGUGGGCACGCCCCUUGUCUCGUGGCCACCUCGGACACUGUUUCGCGUUGAUUCUUCCUCCGGAAAAUCCAAAAUAUUCCAAAAUAAUUCUCCGUCCAUUUUUAUCCCGUUUGGAUUCCGUUUGAUAUGGGUUUCCUGCGAAACAUCAAACAUGCAACAGACAGGAACUGGCACUGGGCACUGGAUCAAUAUGUUAGUCCCAAAAAUAGUAUAAAAAGUUGCCAAAAGUAUGUGAAAGUUGAAUAAUAUUGGCAUGGAACAAUCAAAAAUUAUAGAUACGGCGGAGACAUAUCACCAUCCCCAAGCUUAAUUCCUGCUCGUCCUCGAGUAGGUAAAUGAUAAAAAAGAUAAUUUUUGAUGUGGAAUGCUACCUAGCAUAAUCUUGAUCAUAUGUCUAAUCAUGGCAUGAAUAUUAAGACACGAGUGAUUCAAAGCAAUAGUCUAUCAUUUGACAUAAAAAACGAUAAUACUUCGAGCGUACCAAUAAAGCAAUCAUGUCUUUUCAAAACAACAAGGCCAAAGCAAGCUUAUCUCUACAAAAUCAUACAGUUUGGCCAUGCUUCAUCUUCGUCACACAAAAUGCUCCCAUCAUGCACAACCCCGAUGAUGAGCCGAGCAAUUGGUUCAUACCUUUUAAUGCGCUUCAGCUUUUUCAACCCUCACACAAUACAUGAGAGCAAGCCAUGGAUAUAGUACUAUAGGUGGAAUAGAAUAUAAUGGUGGAGGUUUAUAUGGAGAAGACAAAAACGGAGAAAGUCUCACAUCGACGCGGCUAAUCAACGGGCUAUGGAGAUGCCCAUCAAUUGAUGUCAAUGCGAGGAGUAGGGAUUGCCAUGCAAUUGAUGCACUACAGCUAUAAGUGUAUGAAAGCUCAAACUGAAAACUAAGUGGGUGUGCAUCCAACUUGCUUGCUCAUGAAGACCUAGGGCAUUUGAGGAAGCCCAUCGUUGGAAUAUACAAGACAAGUUCUAUAAUGAAAAAUUCCCACUAGUAUAUGAAAGUGACAACAUAAGAGACUCUCUAUAUGAAGAACAUGGUGCUACUUUGAAGCACAAGUGUGGAAAAAGGAUAGUAACAUUUCCCGUUUUCUUUUUCUUUUUUUUCUUUUUUAUCCUUCUUCUUUUUUCUUUCGUGGGCUUCUUUGGCCCCCUUUUUUAUUUAGGCUUCUUUGGCCUUUCCUUUUUUUUUUCCUUUUUUCCUUUUUCUUUUUUUAUGGGGCAAUGCUCUAUAAUGAUGAUCAUCACACUUUUAUUUACUUACAACUCGAUAUUACAACUCGAUACUAGAACAAAGAUAUGACUCUAUAUGAAUGCUUCCGGCAGUGUACCGGGAUGUGCAAUGAUCUAGCGUAGCAAUGACAUCAAAACGGACAAGCCAUGAAAACAUCAUGCUAGCUAUCUUACGAUCAUGCAAAGCAAUAUGACAAUAAAUGCUCAAGUCAUGUAUAUGAUGAUGAUGGAAGUUGCAUGGCAAUAUAUCUUGGAAUAGGUAUGGAAAUGCCAUAAUAGGUAGGUAUGGUGGCUAUUUUGAGGAAGAUAUAAUGAGGCUUAUGUGUGAUAGAGCGUAUCAUAUCACGGGGUUUGGAUGCACCGGCGAAGUUUGCACCAACUCUCGAGGUGAGAAAGGGCAAUGCACGGUACCGAAGAGGCUAGCAAUGAUAGAAAGGUAAAAGUGCGUAUAAUCCAUGGACUCACAUUAGUCAUAAAGAACUCAUAUACUUAUUGCAAACGUUUAUUAGCCCUCGAAUCAAAGUACUUCUACGCAUGCCCCUAGGGGGAUAGAUUGGUAGGAAAAGACCAUCGCUCGUCCCCGACUCCCACUCAUAAGGAAGACAAUGAAAGAAACACCGCAUGCUUCAAAUUUGUCACACAACGGUUACCAUACGUGCAUGCUACGGGACUUGCAAACCUCAACACAAGUGUCUCUACAAUCCACAACCACCCACUAGCAUGACUCUAAUAUAACCAUCUUUAUAUCGCAAAACUAUUGCAAGGAAUCAAACAUAUCAUAUUUAGCGAUCUACAAGUUUAUAUAGGAUUUUAUGACUAACCAUGUGAAUGACCAAUUCCUGUCAUCUCUCUAAAUAGAUAUAAAUGAAGCAAGAGAUUUUAAUUCUUUCUACAAAAGAUAUGCCCACGCUUUAACAAAUAUAAGUGAAGCAAAAGAACAUUCUACAAAUGGCGGUUUUCUAUGUGAAGAGAAACAGGCAAUCCAAACUUCCAAUGAUAUAAGUGAAGCACAUGAAGCAUUCUAUAAAGCCAUACUCAAAAGAUCUAAGUGAAGUGCAAUGAGCAUUCUAUAAAUCAACCAAGGACUAUCUCAUACCAGCAUGGUGCAUAAAAUAAAAGUGAAAACUAAAUGCAAAAGACGCUCCAAGACUUGCACAUAUCGCAUGAACGAAACGAAUACGAAAACAUAUCGAUAUUUGUUGAAGAAAGAAGCUUAGACGCUUGAGUAUACUUGAAUAUUUACUUGGAUUGCCUCGGGCAUCCCCAAGCUUGAGCUCUUGCCUCUCUUCCUUUUCCAAAUAUCGAGACAUCCUCGCUUAGACACUUCAUCCACACAAAACUUCAACAGAAAACUUGGUAAGAUCCGUUAGUAUAAUAAAGCAAAUAACCACUCUAAGUACUGUUGCAAACCAAUUCAUAUUUUGUUUUUGCAUUGCGUCUACUGUAAUAUAACUUUUUCAUGGCUUAAUCCACUAAUAUAAAUUGAUAGUUUCAUCAAAACAAGCAAACUAUGCAUCAAAAACAGAAUCUGUCAAAAACAGAACAGUCUGUAGCAAUCUGAACAUCCACCAUAUUUAUGGUACCCCAAAAAUUCUACCAAAAUUAGGAAAAAAAAGUUGUAUAGCAAGACAAUGCAAAAGGAAUCAAAACCAAUUGACCUUCCAGUUAAAAAUUUAAAAUCGAGCACUACAGCCAAAGUUUCUGUCCUGCACUGUACAAACCAACAAGCAUUGUCAAUAUCCUAAAGGCAAACCUUGGCACAUUAUUUUUAUAAUACAAUGGAAUUGUACAAGGGGAUAAUUAUUUUUGUUGAAAAGUUUCUGUAAUCAAGAUUCACAAAGUUUCCAUGAGCAUGAACAAAGUCCAAGGCUAGCUCCCACUUCAACAAUGCUUGUCUUUCUCACUUUCACUUUCCUUUUUGAAAAGUUUUUAGGUUCCCCUCUUUAUUUUUUUUGUUUUUAAACUAUAUAAAAUCACUCAAUAGAAAUAAAUGACUCUCUAAAACUUCUGGGUUGUCUCCCUGGCAGAGCUGUCUUUAAAGCCAUUAAGCUAGGCGUUUAGUGCUCAAGUAAUGAAUCCACCCGGAUCCCAAGGUAUAUCAAAGCCAAUUUUAAUUAACAAUGAUUUGUAAUUUAGUAGUGAGCACAAAGUAACAUAUAUCAUGCAACAACGAAGUCUAACUCUCUUCCUAUGCAUCGGCAUGUCAUAAUAGAACAAUUCAUGCACACCAAGUAAAGGCCAAUGCAUAGUAUAAACAGUUUCGUGCAAUUCUAUCGUAUUGGGGACAUAGAGAGGUGGAGAUAAAGUUCCUCUCUCAUAAUAAUUGCAAGUAGGAGCAGCAAGCACAUUCAUAUUAUAUUCAUCAAAAUCAUCAUGUGCAAUGGUAAAAGGCAAUCCAUCAAUAUAAUCCUUAAUAAGCACAAACUUCUCCGAUAUAGUGUAGUAGGGAGAAUUCAAAAAGAUAAUAGGACUAUCAUGUGUGGGUGCAAUAGAAACAAUUUCAUGUUUAACAUAAGGAACUAUAGCAAGUUCAUCUUCAUAAGCAUAAUUCAUAUUAGCAUCUUGGCCACGAGCAUAGCAAGCAUCAUCAAAAAGGGACAUUUCAAGAGAAUCAACGGGAUCAUAGCAAUCAUCAUAGCAACCAUCCUUCGGUAAGCACGAAGGGGAAUUAAACAAUGUAUGAGUUGAAGAGUUACUCUCAUUAGAAGGUGGGCAUGGGUGAUCAAUCCGCUCUUCCUCCUUUUGUUCUUCGCUCUCCUCAUCAUCUUUUUCAUCCAAUGAGCUCACAGUUUCAUCAAUUUCUUCUUCCAUAGCUUCCUGCAAAAUAUUAGUCUCUUCUUGGACAGUGGAGAAGACCUCAAUAUAUGGUUUAACAUAGGCAUUAGAAGCAUAAUUAUCAUAACAAUAUUCAAGUAUGGCAAAGUUUUCAGAUUUGUAGAGAGUAGCAUCAUACUUUUGAAUCAAAGAAGCAAUUUCAUAAGCACCCUUAAAAGCAACAAAUUCUUCAAUAUGUUGAACAUCAUAGUAAUUAUAAACACCUUUAGCAUAUGAAGAUACAAUCCCAUUAUCAAACUCACAUUGGUAGGGAAGGUGUUUCUUAGGGUUUUCAGAACAACAAGUAAUAUCAUAUAUUUCACAUAAAUUCCAAGCAUAGCAUUGCAAACGUUGAAUUUGAUCCCAUAAUAGUUUCCCUUUUUUAGAUAUAUGGUGUCGCACAUAACAUGCAUGCUCAUCUAAAGAUUUGCCCUCAACUAAGCUAGUGGGGGUUUCAGCACGAGCACAUAGGGAUCAAAGACGAUCCAAGUAAAAAGCUUCAGGAGUGCGAUAGAUUUUGAGUGGUUCUUCAACCAUUGGUGCAGUAGGUACAACUAACUUUUUUGGUAUUUUGCGUUUCCUAGAAAACAACUAAGAACAGAAAGUAAAAAUUACUUAGUGAUAAAGCAAACAAGCACACACAAGAAUAUUCUCCCCACGCUAUGAUUCCCCGGCAACGGUGCCAGAAAAAGGUCUUGAUAACCCACAAGUGUAGGGGAUCGCAACAGUUUUUGAUAAGUAAGAGUGUCGAACCCAAUGAGGAGCUAAAGGUAGAAUAAAUGUUCCCUCAAGUUCUAUCGACCACCGAUACAACUCUAUGGACGCUUGACGUUCGCUUUACCUAGAACAAGUAUGAAACUAGAAGUACUUUGUAGGUGUGAUAGGAUAGGUUUGCAAGAGCAUAAAGAACACGUAAAUAAAAAUUAGGGGCUGUUUAGAUAAAGAUGCAAGAAAUUAAAUAUAGUGAGUUUGGAAAAGUGGUGGUAGGAGUUGUGAAAUUGUCCCUAAGAAAUUGACUAUGUUACUAGACCGGUAAUCACUAUCGAAAUUCUAUUUGAGGGUACAGCGGGAUGCGGGAGAGUGGACCGCUGGAUAUAUGCACUUAUGAUUGGAACUCUAGCAAGCAUCCGCAACUACUAAAGAUUCAUUAAGGUAAAACCCAACCAUAGCAUUAAAGUAUCAAGUCCCCUUUAUCCCAUACGCAAUGAUCUACAUACUCGGGUUUGUGUUUCAGUCACUCACGCAACCCACUAUAAGUGAAUCAUGAACGCAUUGCAACACCCUACAGCGGGAAUCCCUCAUGCUUGUGCGACACGGAGGGCACCAUAGGACAUCACCAAUAAUAAAAUAUGCAACUCAAACCAAUCAUAGCAAUUCAUCAAUCACCGAUAGGACAAUGAAAAUCUACUCAGACAUCAUAGGAUGGCGACACAUCAUUGGAAAACAAUAUGAAGCAUAAAGCACCAUGUUCAAGUAGAGGGUACAGCGGGAUGCAGGAGAGUGGACCGCUGGAUAUAGAUGGGGGAAGGUGAUGGAGAUGUUGGUGAAGAUGGCGGAGGUGUUGGUGAAGAUCGCGGUGAUGAUGAUGGCCCCCGACAGCGCUCCGGCGCCACCGGAAGCAAGGGGGAGAGAGGGCCCCUUCUUCUUCUUCUUCCUUGACCUCCUCCCUAGAUGGGAGAAGGGUUUCCCCUCUGGUCCUUGGCUCCCAUGGCUUGGGAGGGGCGAGAGCCCCUCCGAGAUUGGAUCUAUCUCUCUGUUUUUGCGUCCUCUGAUUCUGCCCCUUCACGGUUUCCUUUAUAUCUGGAGAUCCGUAACUCCGAUUGAGGUGAAUCUUUCGAGAUUUUUCUUGUAAAAUUAGCUUUCUUGCGGCAAAAGAAGAGUGUCAACCGCCUUAUAGGUGGCCCACNNNNNNNNNNNNNNNNNNNNNNNNNNNNNNNNNNNNNNNNNNNNNNNNNNNNNNNNNNNNNNNNNNNNNNNNNNNNNNNNNNNNNNNNNNNNNNNNNNNNNNNNNNNNNNNNNNNNNNNNNNNNNNNNNNNNNNNNNNNNNNNNNNNNNNNNNNNNNNNNNNNNNNNNNNNNNNNNNNNNNNNNNNNNNNNNNNNNNNNNNNNNNNNNNNNNNNNNNNNNNNNNNNNNNNNNNNNNNNNNNNNNNNNNNNNNNNNNNNNNNNNNNNNNNNNNNNNNNNNNNNNNNNNNNNNNNNNNNNNNNNNNNNNNNNNNNUGGCCACCUCGGACACUGUUUCGCGUUGAUUCUUCCUCGAGAAAAUCCCAAAUAUUCCAAAAUAAUUCUCCGUCCGUUUUUAUCCUGUUUGGAUUCCGUUUGAUAUGUUUCCUACGAAACAUAAAACAUGCAACAGACAGGAACUGACACUGGGCACUGGAUCAAUAUGUUAGUCCCAAAAAUAGUAUAAAAAGUUGCCAAAAGUAUAUGAAAGUUGAAUAAUAUUGGCAUGGAACAAUAAAAAAUUAUAGAUACAACGGAGCCGUAUCAGGGUCAUCUUCACACAAUCCCAUGUAAUGAACAAGAAAGGGAUAAAGAGUUGGCUUACAAUUGCCACUUCACACAAGUACUUAAAUAAAUCAUACAUCAUUCAUAGUACACAAUAGUCCAACUACGGACAAAUCCAAAUGAAAAGAAGAUAACCCCAAAUGAUAGAUCCCCAAUUGUCCCAACUGGGCUGCACUACUGAUCAACAUGAAAUGAAACAUAACAACGACCAAGAUCUUCGUUGAGCUCCCAACUGAGCUCGGUUGCAUCACCAGCACUGGUAUCAUCGGCACCUGCAACUGUUGUGAUAGGAUCUGGUGAGUCACGAGGACUCAACAAUCUCAAAACCCGUGAGAUCAAGACUAUUUAAGCUUAUGGGUAGGAAGUGGGAAUGAGGUGGAGUUGCAGCAAACACUAAGCAAAUAUGGUGGCUAACAUACGCAAAUAAGAGCGAGAAGAGAAGCAACCCAACGGUCGAGAAGCUAGAAGUGAUCAAGAAGUGAUCCUGAAACUACUUACGCACAAUCAUAACAUAAAAACCGUGUUCACUUCUCGGACUCCGCUGAAAAGAGUCCAUCACGGCUACACACGCGGUUGAUGCAUUUUAGUUAAGUCAAGUGUCAAGUUCUCUACAACCAGAUAUUAACAAAUUCACUUCUGCCACAUAACCGCGAGCACGACUUUUAAAAGUUUAUACCCUGCAGGGGUGUCCCAACUUAGCCCAUCACAAGCUCUCACGAUCAGCAAAGGAUAUUCCUUCUCCCGGGAAAACCCGAUCAGCCUCGGAAUCCCGGUUACAAGACAUUUCGACAAUGGUAAAACAAGACCAGCAAGACCGCUCGACUGUGCCGACAAAUCCCAAUAGGAGCUGCACAUAUCUCGUUCUCAGGGCACACCGGAUGAACACUAUGUACAACUAAAACCAACCCUUAAGUUUCCCCGAGGUGGCGCUACAAGUGGCUCUAGUUCGGACCAACACUUAGAGAAGCACUAGCCCGGGGGGGGGGGGGUUAAAAUAAAGAUGACCCUCGGGGCUGCAGACCCCAAGGGAGGGUUAUAGGUUGUUAGGCAAAUGGAAAACCAAUGUUGGGCCUUGCUGGAGGAGUUUUAUUCAAGAGUGGAACAAAACACCAGGCAUAAGGCCGAGCCUUCCACCCUUUACCAAAUAUAUAGAUGCAUUAAUUAAAAUAAGAGAUAUUGUGAUAUCCCAACAUAACCAUGGUCCAAGAUGGAGCAAUCUUCAACUUCACCUGCAACUAGCAACGCUAUAAGAGGGGCUGAGCAAAAAUGGUAACAUAGCCAAACAACGGUUUGCUAGGAAGGGUGAAAAAGUUAGAGGCUGACGUGGCAAUAUGGGAGGCAUGGUAAACAAGUGAAAGGUAGCGCAACAUAGUGAUUGAACGAAGCAACUAGCAAGCAAAUAUAGAAAGUAUAUCGAGGGUAAUGGUCAUCUUGCCUAAGAUCCCGCAAGGAAAAAGAAUGAGUCCAUGAAGAAGACAAAUGGACGUAGUCGAACAAAUCCUCACAAAGGCAACAUUACCGGAACUAUCGAGGGGAAGUGCAACCGGAAAGAAGCAAACAACAUGGUAAACAACCAUUACAUAAACAUGGCAUGAUGCACAAGUAUGAUGCAUGUCCUGUUUAAAGAGGCAUGGCAUGGCAAAGUGCAACAAACAAUACUACACAUUAAGUGGAGCUCAAUAUGCAACGAGUUGCAUAUUGACGAAACACCACAUCAAUUAUUUAGUUCUCUCUCAGUUAUGUACCCAACAAUAUUAAAUGUCAUUAAACAUGGCAAGAUGUGAAACAUAGUAAAACUAUCUAGCUAGGCAAGUUUAGAUGAGGCCGGAAAUAACAAACAACAAUUCCGGAAAAUCCUCAUGUGCAUAUUUCGAAUUCGGUACUGUUCUGCCCUAAACCAUAUUUUAAUGUUGUUAAGCAGUAAAACAAAGUGCACCAUGUUAAACUAUGCAUUUUUCCACCCCAUUUACAUAUAAAGUUUAUUAAAAUUGGAGCUACGGUUAUUUAGUUAUGAAAUAAAUCAUUUUAGCAUGGCAUUUGAGCAAAUUUAAUCAAACAACAUUUUAAACAUUUCAAACAUGGAUGAAAGUUGCAUAUUAUUAAACUAGAUGAAAUUCUAAGCAUUUUACAUGUUUAAAUCAUUUUAAUCCAAUGCACCAUUUGUGAGUUAUUAAAUGCAUGAUCUAGAGGUACUUUUCUGCAAAUCUGCACUCUCUGGAUAAAUACUAAAAUCUCUGGAGAGGAAAAAAACAUAACGUGCUGAAUCAAGUUGGCCUAACAGGAGGAAAAACAGAGGAGGGGGCGCUGCUCACGUUGGGCCUUGAGGCCGAAUCUGGAGCUGGGCCAGGGGCGCUGGGAUGAGGCAGCCCACGCAGCAGGACGACGCGUCCACGACGCGGGCGAACGGGCGGUCAACGCGGGGCGGGGCGCUCGUCUUCGAAACAGAGGAAGCAGGGCCAGUGGACUUGGCAAAGGGCGGUGCGACGGACAACGACGAUGGACUAAGGCAAAGCAGGGGUCUCGGGAAUGGCGGGAAUUGAGCACGGAGGAGGCCAGGAGGCGCGGGGACGGCGGAUCCAGGCGACGGCGCGCCCGGCAAGAACUUGGCAACGAUGGUUCCUUGCUGCGGCAAGAGCAGAGAGAAAGAUGUGAGAGAGAGUGUUAGGAAAGGGAGAGAGACAGGGAAAGAGAGGAGCGGGAUGAGGCCGGUCUUGGUCGUGGUCGCCGGAGGGCACGGCCUGCGGUGUUGGCGAGGAGGCAGUCGGGAACGCCGGGGUGAGGUACGAGGCGACGAGGAGGAGGCAGGGCCUCGGGUGCUCGUGGACGAGGGACUUGUGGAGGUGGCUAUGGAGCUCAGUGAUCAACGCAGAGGAGGAGGUGCUUGGGAAGCACGGGAGCACGGCGAUGAGGGUCGGCGUGGAGUGGAUCGAGGGGGGCUGCUGGCAUCUGGAUCGAGGAGAAGCAGUGGAGAGCGAUGGUUGGGGAGGGAUGGAUCUCGAGGGGGAUUUGGUGAGUGGGUGGCGGCGGCUAAUCCAAGGAGGGGAUGGGACAAGAGGGCUAGGAUCUAGGGUUUUGAUUGAUUUAGUAAGUAGGUGGCCUAUAUAUAUACGAAAGGGGGAUGAUUUGGAUCUUGCAAUCGCGAUCGGGCGGUCCGUAAUAAAUAGGUAGGGAGUCCUAAUAAGAAAACCAAGAUAUUUUAGGGAUGUUAGGGGAUGAUUCGAAUCCAAUGGAGAUGACUGAGCGGGUCAGGUUCAGGGCAGGUUUCAGACAUGCGCAAGAGGGGGUCGGUGGUUGUGUAGAGAGGUUAGGUGGUCAGACAAGAGGGACUCUAAAAACCCGGUUGGUCUCGGAAUGGUCAAAGGAGGCAAGGGGAAUGCGGCAACUACGAAUAGGUGUGAGUUUUAUGAAAACAUGCAGAUGCAAUGCACAUGAUGCCAUGAGAUGAGAUGCAUGACAUGAACAAAAUGCAAAACAAAAGACAAAAACCCAACCACCGAGAAAAUAAUAUAUCACAUAGCCGAAAAUGGCAAGAGUUGGAGUUUCAAUUAUGGAAAGUUAUAUCCGGGGUGUUACAACACUCCACCACUACAAGAGGACCUCGUCCCGUGAUCUAGGAUGGCACCGGGAAGAAACGGAAGAGGAGGAGAAGAGGUAAAACUAAGUUUCUUCUUUGAUGAAUGAGUGAAACCAUGAACCUUGAGAGGUUGAGCAAUUUAAAAGAAAGAGUACAACAGAGAUGAACUAGAUUGCAAACAAUCCAUUAGAAAAGAGUAACAAGGAACAUUACGAGAACUUGAAGGUUGCAAAGACAUGAAUCAAGAGUUAAUGGACAAGAUAGAAUUCGAAACCACUCCAGUUAAAACAAGAUGAGAGAGGAAGAAUUCGGGCAGCACUCCGGUUGAACAUGGAAGGAAUAGAACAUGAACUUGAGAAGAUGGGAUGAUACUUGAUGAAAACAACAACACACUGCCUCCGGAACUAUUGAAAGAAUGGCACAAUGGCUAAGAAGGAUUUCAGACAGCACUCAGGUUGAAAAGAGAGGCAAAACUUGAUAAGAUGAAAGAAGUUGAAUGAGAACACAACACUUCGGUUAAAUGGAUAAGCAAGAAAAUAACAUGAUCUUGACAAAACAAGGUGAUGGGUGAAGAGAGAAACAUCACAAUGCCUCCGGAAGAAAUAAUAGAAGAUAGAUCAUUGGAAUAAAAGAAUGGAGAAGAAAAUGCCAACUUCUGCCACAAAUGAACUUGGAAAGCACCCUUCCAAGAAGGUUACAACGGGGUUGUUGGAAAAACCAACAAUGAAACGAAUAAGUUUGUAGUGGGCUUAUGGAAAACUUCUCAAAAUUUGAGGUUAAAUUCUGCCACUAACGAAUCAAUGAUAGGUUGAGAUCAACGAAGGGAUGAAAACUUGUUUCGCCGAGAGGAUAGGAGAAAACUUGGAUCAUUAAUAAGCACCAUAAAUAGCUACAUUCCUUAGGGAAGGCUGCAGGUGAGAUAUAACGCAAUAUAACUCCAACAAAAGAUUGAUUGGUUGAAAAGAUCUCUUGAACGAACAGAAAAUGAUGGAUUUAAAUAUGUCAGUCUUGAAAACUUGUGAAUCAUGAAACACGAAGGAAAAUUAUCAAGAAUGACAUAACACUGCCUCAAAAGAUAAGGUAGGAAGAAUUGCACUUCGGAUGCAAGAUGAAGAAUGCUUGAACUACUCAAAACAAAACAUGUGUUGGGCACCAUGUUUAUUUUAGAGUAUAGCUUGGCGGAUCUUAGCUUCGAGAGAAAUCUUGAAGAACAACUGAAGAAUGAAAAGAAUUCUUGACGAACCACGAUGUAGAGCCUCCGUGAAAAACUCCAGUAAUAAAAGGAUGAUAGAAAGAAAGAGAAGUUGAAAACACAAGGUGAAGCCUUGCGAUGAUUUAGAAGGAGCUUCACGACGAGAUAACUGAGAACUUGGAACUCCAAAAACAAAAGAUGAAGCAUCUCGAACCGAGAAUGUGAUAUGAUGAACAACUCCGAAAAUAAGAAAUUUAUCACUUGGAUGAAACAAGAAUAAUAAUUAUGUUAUGCGUAUCCUUCACCAAUUUAAAUUGAUGACAAGCAACGGAUUUAGCAUGCCACUUAUUCUCGUAGAAAGGAUUAAGAGAGAUAUAGCGUAAACUAGAGAAAAGUCUUCAACGAUCUACCGGUAGGAUUUAAACAACGAAUAAAUUAAUAUGAGAACAUAGGAAGAGGAAUCUUGAACAAACCACCAGUAGGAUUCAAAAAGAACGAAUUAAUUGAUAUGAUAACAAAGGAAGAGGAAUGUUGACCACCAUAAAAAUUGAAAAUGAAAGUAGCAAAGGCACAAUUCACGGGGAAGAAUUGGAAAACGAAUGAAGAUACUUGAGGGGAUUUAGAUACAUGAGAACGAAGAGAUCAUGAACUGAUUAGAGGGUAUUUGAACGAUGCACCGGUAAGAUUUGGAGAACGAUAGCUACACGCUAAGAAUGAAGAAUUAUGACAUGAUGGCCUUCGGAGGAAAUAAAUGGAAACAACUCAUGAAAUGCUCUGGAUGGGUGAAAAGAAUUCUCACAAUUGAAAACAAUUAUGAAAGGAUGGCAUCAAGCUUGAACUACACAUCUUUGGAAGAACGGGUAAGGAUUUAAGAGGAACUCUUUUUCGGUCUUCAAAGCUGAGAAUGACGAGGAGAAACACCACCCAAUUGUUGAGACACUCCGGAAGGAUUAAAAGAGGAAAGGUUGAGCCAAAGCUGAAAAGAAUUUGAAAGCGACCUUGGAGAAGGCAUGUGACUGAUGAAAAUUCAUUCUUACGUCAAACUUGGAAAUGAAUUUGAGAAUGGCUCUGGGAAAAUUAGAAGAGUCAGGUAAUUUCUUGGGAAAAGACCUGUGGGUUAGGGCCCACAGAAAAUAAACAUCGUUGAAGGAUUGCUUGAAAUAGAGAUUGCCCCGGUUGAAUUAAAUCGCUUGAAUGAGAGAAAACCUUGAAGUAACUCGAACGGAUUAAGAAUGGAAACAUGAUUCUUCUAAGAUAUUUUGAGCACUUCGGAUAUGAACUGGGAGAGGUGAAUAAAUAAGAGAGCCUUGGAUAAGAAAUUCACAUGGGAAGAGAUGUGACACAAAAGGAAGAGAUAUAAUCAACACCAAAGCUUGAAAUUAAUCCACCAGAGAAGAAAAGAGACAAAGAAUAAUAGACUUGAAGCUCUGUUAGUAUCUUCCUAAAAAACACCGGAUAAGAACAUUGAUUGAAAAGAGUGAAGAAACUUCACAUCAAUAAAAGGAUACUUGAUUAAGAAAUCUAGGUUCUUGAAGAAAAAAGUGUGGGAGGGCAGGAAACAAAGGCAACUUGGGACGGAUGGAAGAAACACUGUUGAGAAAACUUAGAAAUGAUCUUGCGGAUGGGAAAAAUGAUAGGAUCCACUUGAAGAGAAGCACGCCGGUUGGAAAAGAAUUAACAUGAUGACCUCGAUGAUCAAGAAGGAUUAGUAUUCACAUAGCAAUAUGAGAACACCGUUUGGGAAAGGUAUGGAUUCAACAUUUGACUUCGAAGCAACUCGAAUACCACAAAUAAAACAAAACUAAGGAUUUGGCUUGCAGAAUAAGCCGGGACAAAUACAUAUGAUAGAGAUUUACCCAAUCCCAUAUCAUGUAUCUGUCGGAAAGAUAUUCUAGGAGCUACUUGAAUUCCCACCUAUAAAACUCCCGAAACUUUCUGGUUAUGCAAUCUGGUGUUGGGGAUACAGGGGAAGCAAUAUAUAUCUGACCCAAAACUAACAAUCCCUACAUCCAGCUGUAUCCAUCCGUCAACACAUAACCAAGAAACUUUCAGAAAUCGUGUACCUCAACCUUGAAAAAGCAUCCGUUAUACUAGCUAUGGCAAUACUCCCGAACUCCCCAGUACUGGGUGGUGUCGAGGUUAUCUUACCACUUGCUGCAUAAAAGAGAUUUUCGAUGUCGGCGAAACUCAGGUAUUCUAGAACUGCAAUGAUAAAAUUGUGACGACAACACCUCGGAGCUCAACUCCCCGGGACACUGCCAUAACCCCUAAAUGUCAGGAGGCACCAAGAACAAUGUUCUCGUCAUAAGACUAUCGGAACGAUCCCAAGAUACCCGCGUGAUCCUAAAUUUUUUUAGUGAAAUUUGAGGAGAGGGAAGACAAAACAUCUACGUGAGGAGGCCUCACCAGAGCGACGAAGGGACUGAGGAGUAAAAAGAAUCCUACUCUCCGAUAUAUAUAAUCCAAGACUCAAAACAUUUUUGUUCUAGACUCAACAACGUCAACGAUUCGAUCAAGCAGGGGGCUCCUAAGUCGGGGAUGGCUCUGAUUACCAACUUGUAACAUCCACGAUGAGGCUAUAUCUCCCACAUGUCGAAGCACGACUUAGAGGCAUAACUGCAUUGUGGUUUUAUAGCAAGAAGGGUCAUCUUCACACAAUCCCAUGUAAUGAACAAGAAAGGGAUAAAGAGUUGGCUUAUAAUCGCCACUUCACACAAGUACUUAAAUAAAUCAUACAUCAUUCAGAGUACACACAUAGUCCGACUACGGACAAAUCCAAAUGAAAAGAAGAUAACCCCAAAUGCUAGAUCCCUGAUCAUCCCAGCUGGGCUGCACUACUGAUCAACAUGUAACAAAACAUAGCAAUGACCAAGAUCUUCGUUGAGCUCCCAACUAAGCUCGGUUGCAUCACCAGCACUGGUAUCAUCGACACCUGCAACUUUUGUGAUAGGAUCUGGUGAGUCACGAGGACUCAGCAAUCUCAAAACCCGCGAGAUCAAGAAUAUUUAAGCUUAUGGGUAGGAAGUGGGAAUGAGGUGGAGUUGCAGCAAGCACUAAGCAAAUAUGGUGGCUAACAUAUGCAAAUAAGAGCGAGAAGAGAAGCAAUGCAACGGUCGAGAAGCUAGAAGUGAUCAAGAAGUGAUCCUAAAACUACUUACGCACAAUCAUAACACAAAGACCGUGUUCACUUCCCGGGCUCCACUGAAAAUAUACCAUCAGGACUACACACACGGUUGAUGCAUUUUAGUUAAGUCAAGUGUCAAGUUCUCUACAACCGGAUAUUUACAAAUUCACAUCUACCACAUAACCGCGGGCACGGCUCUCGAAAGUUUAUACCCUGCAGGGGUGUCCCAACUUAGCCCAUCACAAUCUCUGACGAUCAGCGAAGGAUAUUCCUUCUCCCGGGAAGACCCGAUAAGCCUCGGAAUCCCGGUUACAAGACAUUUCAACAAUGGUAAAACAAGACCAGCAAGACCGCCCGACUGUGCCGACAAAUCCCGAUAGGAGCUGCACAUAUCUCGUUCUUAGGGCACACCGGAUGAACACUAUGUACAGCUAAAACCAACCCUCAAGUUUCCCCGAGGUGGUGCUGCAAGUGGCUCUAGUUCGGACCAACACUUAGAGAAGCACUGGCCCCGGGGGGGUUAAUAUAAAGAUGACCCUCGGGGCUGCAGACCCCAAGGGAGGGUUAUAGGUUGUUAGGCAAAUGGAAAACCAAUGUUGGGCCUUGCUGGAGGAGUUUUAUUCAAGGCGAACUGUCAAGGGGUUCCCAUGAACCCGACCGCGUGAGGAACGCAAAAUCAAGGAACAUAACACCGGUAUGACAGAAACUGAGGCGGCAAGAGUGGAACAAAAUAGCAGGCAUAAGGCCGAGCCUUCCACCCUUUACCAAAUAUAUAGAUGCAUUAAUUAAAAUAAGAGAUAUUGUGAUAUCCCAACAUAACCAUGGUCCAACACGGAGCAAUCUUCAACUUCACCUGCAACUAGCAACACUAUAAGAGGGGCUGAGCAAAAGCGGUAACAUAGCCAAACAACGAUUUGCUAGGAAGGGUGAAAAAGUUAGAGGCUGACAUGGCAAUACGGGAGGCAUGGUAAAGAAUUGAAAGGUAGCGCAACAUAGUGAUAGAACGAAGCAACUAGCAAGCAAAUAUAGAAGUGAUAUCGAGGGUAAUGGUCAUCUUGCCUGAGAUCCCGCAAGGAAGAAGAAUGAGUCCAUGAAGAAGACAAAUGGACAUAGUCGAACAAAUCGUCACAAACGCAACGUUACCGGAACUAUCAAGGGGAAGCACAACCGGAAAGAAGCAAACAACAUGGUAAACAACCAUCACAUAAACAUGGCAUGAUGCACAAGUAUGAUGCAUGUCCGGUUUAAAGAGGCAUGGCAUGGCAAUGCGCAACAAACAAUACUACACAUUAAGUGGAGCUCAAUAUGCAACCAGUUGCAUAUUGACGAAACACCACAUCAAUUAUUUAGUUCUCUCUAAGUUAUGUACCCAACAAUAUUAAAUGUUAUUAAACAUGGCAAGAGGUGAAACAUAGUAAAACUAUCUAGCUAGGAAAGUUUAAAUGAGGCCGGAAACAACAAACAACAAUUCUGGAAAAUCCUCAUGUGCAUAUUUCGAAUUCGGUACUGUUCUGCCCUAAACCAUAUUUUAAUGUUGUUAAGCAGUAAAACAAAGUGCACCAUGUUAAACUAUGCAUUUUUCCACCCCAUUAACAUAUAAAGUUUAUUAAAAUUUGAGCAACGGUUAUUUAGUUAUGAAAUAAAUCAUUUUAGCAUGGCAUUUGAGCAAAUUUAAUCAAACAACAUUUUAAACAUUUCAAACAUGGAUGAAAGUUGCAUAUUAUUAAACUAGAUAAAUUCUAAGCAUUUUACAUGUUUAAAUCAUUUUAAUCCGAUGCACCAUUUGUGAGGUAUUAAAUGCAUGACCUAGAGGUACUUUUCCACAAAUAUGCACUCUCUGGAUAAAUACUAAAAUUGCUGGACAGGAAAAAAACAUAACGGGCUGAAUCAAGUUGGCCUAACAGGAGGAAAAAAAUCAGAGGAGGGGGCGCUGCUCACAUUUGGCCUUGAGGCCGAAUCUGGAGCUGGGCCAGGGGCGCUGGGAUGAGGUAGCCCACGCAGCAGGACGAUGCGUCCACGGCGCGGGCGAGCGGGCGGUCAACGUGGGGUGGGGCGCUCGUCUUUGAUACAGAGGAAGCAGGGCCAGUGUACUUGGUGAAGGGCAGCGCAACGGACAACGGCAGCGGACCAAGGCGAAGCAGAGGUCUCGUGAAUGGUCGGAAUCGAGCGCGGAGGAGGCCAGGAGGCGCGGGGACGGCGGAUCCAGGCGAUGGCGCGCCCGACAAGAACUUGGCGAUGACGGUUCCUUGCUGCGGCAAGAGCAGAGAGAAAGAUGUGAGAGAGAGUGUUAGGGAAGGGAGAGAGACAGGGAAAGAGAGGAGCGGGAUGAGGCCAGUCUUGGUCGUGGUCGCCAGAGGGCGUGGCCUGCGGUGUUGGCGAGGAGGCAGUCGGGAACACCGGGGUGAGGUACGAGGCGACGAGGAGGAGGCAGGGCCUUGGGUGCUCGCGGACGAGGGACUUGUGGAGGUGGCUAUGGAGCACAGUUAUCGACGCAGAGGAGGAGGCGCUCGGGAAGCACGGGAGCACGGCGAUGAGGGUCAGCGUGGAGUGGAUCGAGGGGGGCUACUGGCAUCUGGAUCGAGGAGAAGCAGUGGAGAGCGAUGGUUGGGGAGGGAUGGAUCCCGAGGGGGAUUUGGUGAGUGGGUGGCGGCGGCUGAUCCGAGGAGGAGAUGGGACAAGAGGGCUAGGAUCUAGGGUUUGGACUGAUUUAGUAAGUAGGUGGCCUAUACAUAUACGAAAGGGGGAUGAUUUGGAUCCUUCGAUCGUGAUCGGGCGGUCCGGAAUAAAUAGGUAGGGAGUCCAAAUAAGAAAAUGAAGAUAUUUUAGGGAUGUUAGGGGAUGAUUCGAAUCCAAUAGAGAUGACUGAGCGGGUCAGGUUCAGGGCAGGUUUUAGACAUGCGCAAGAGGGGGUCGGUGGUUGUGCAGAGAGGUUAGGUGGUCAGACAAGAGGGACUCUAAAAACCUGGUUGGUCUCGGAACGGUCAAAGGAGGCAAGGGGAAUGCGGCAACUACGAACGGGUGCGAGUUUUAUGAAAACAUGCGGAUGCAAUGCACAUGAUGCCAUGAGAUGAGAUGCAUGACAUGAAUAAAAUGCAAAACGAAAGGCAAAAACCCAACCACGGAGAAAAUAAUAUAUCACAUAGCCGAAAAUGGCAAGAGUUGGAGUUUCAAUUAUGGAAAGUUACAUCCGGAGUGUUACACCUGGACUCUGCAAAACUUUCUUUUGCACUUUCCAAAAACCUUGUGGGCUUUCCCCUUUGGCCCAAAUAAAGUGUUCUCGUACCCAACCAUUUCGCGAAACAUCAGGAACCCCUUCCGGAGAGCAAACACUAUUAUCCCAUAUAUCAAUCUUUAUCUCCGGACCAUUCCGGAGUUCCUCGUCAUGUCCGUGAUCAUAUCCGGGACUCCGAACAAGAUUCGGUCACCAACAUACAUAACUCAUAUAAUACUAUAUCAUCAAUAAACGUUAAGCGUGAGGAGCCUAUGGGUUCGAGAACUAUGUAUACAUGACCGAGACACCUCUCUGGUCAAUAACCAAUAGCGGAACCUGGAUGCCCAUAUUGGCUCCUACAUAUUCUACGAAGAUCUUUAUCAGUCGAACCGCAUAACAACAUACGUUGUUCCCUUUGUCAUCGGUAUGUUACUUGCCCGAGAUUCGAUCAUCGGUAUCUCAAUACCUAGUUCAAUCUCGUUACCGACAAGUCUCUUUACUCGUUCCGUAAUACAUCAUCCCGCAACUAACUCAUUAGUCACAUUUCUUGCAAGGCUUAUAGUGAUGUGCAUUACCGAGAGGGCCCAAAGAUACCUCUCCGACAAUCGAAGUGACAAAUCCUAAUCUUGAUCUAUGCCAACUCAACAAGUACCAUCGGAUACACCUAUAGAGCACCUUUAUAAUCACCUAGUUACGUUGUGACGUUUGGUAGCACACAAAGUGUUCCUCCGGUAUUCAGGAGUUGCAUAAUCUCAUAGUCAUAGGGACAUGUAUAAGUCAUGAAGAAAGAAAUAGCAACAUACUAAAUGAUUAAGUGCUAAUCUAACAGAAUGGGUCAAGUCAAUCACAUCAUUCUCUAAUGAUGUAAUCCCGUUAAUCAAAUGACAUCUCAUGUCUACGGCUAGGAAAUUAACCAUCUUUGAUUCAACGGGCUAGUCAAGUAGAGGCAUACUAGUGACAUUCUAUUUGUCUAUAUAUUCACAGAUGUUCUAAGUUUCCGGUUAAUACAGUUCUAGCUUGAAUAAUAAACAUUCAUCAUGAUAUAAGGAAAUAUAAACAACAACUUUAUUAUUGCCUCUAGGGCAUAUUUCCUUCACCUAUAGGGCAAGGAGGAAGGCUGUUGGUGUGGUGCAGGGUGACCACAAGUAGCAGUACUUGAGGCUAAGGGAUUACCUUCAAGCUGUUCUUGAUACAAACUCUGGGAGCAGGUGUAUUGUAACAACAUUUGUUGACCCAGAAAACCCUGCACCCACUCCUAGAUUCAAGUACAUGUUCUACUGUUUGACAGCUUCAAAGGAAGGGUUUCUUAAUGGUUGUAGACCAUUUAUAGGUAAAUAUUUCCUAAUUGUGUUGUACAUAUUUGUGUGUCAAUUUUCUUCUAUAGCUAAUGUGUGACUCCAUCCAGGGCUUGAUGGAUGUUUCAUCAAGUUAACCACUGGACAACAAAUUCUUGCUGCCAUAGGAAGGGAUGGCAACCACAACAUCUACCCUAUAGCUUUUGGUGUGGUUGACAAGGAAGAUGGAGACAGUUGGACUUGGUUUUUAACUCAGUUGAGAUGUUGCAUUGGUAGUGGCAACAAAUUUGGAACAUACACAAUAAUAUCUGACAUGUAAAAGGUUAGAAACUAAAUCAUUGAUCAUAGUUGCUAUAGUAAUUCAUUGAAUUAUGUGAGUGUGUUCAUAUGUAGAUCUAUUUUGUGAAUGUAAAGGGUUUACUUAAGGCAAUAAAUGAAGUGUUCCCUGAUUCACCUCAAAGAUUCUGUCUUAGGCACAUAUAUGCCAACUUCCAAUCAGCUGGUUACAGAAGCAAAGAACUACAGAAGUGUGUUGACAAGGCUAGCUACUCUUAUACCAGACAUGGGCAUGAAUUAGGGACGGCAGAGCGGAAAGCACAGUGUGAGGAUGCUUGGAAAUGGCUUAAAAAUAUAUAAGUCUCUGCUUGGGCUAGGUAUGCUGUGGACCAUACUUGCAAAACAGAUCUAGUUGUGAACAACCUUAGUGAAGUCUUCAACAAGAUGAUACUUGAUGUUAGAUCCAAACCAAUAAGGACAAUGUUUGAAGGGAUCAGGACAAAGCAGAUGAUCAAGAGGCAACAGACUAGGGAGAAGUUACAGACUUGCAGGUGGACAAUCACACCAAAUUACUCAGAGAUUCUAGAGGAGAAUAAAAAAUAUGCCAAGUACUGCCAGGCUAACAGAGCUGGUGAAAUAAUUUGGCAAGUAACAAGCAAAGAAAAUCAAUAUUGUGUGGACAUAGCAACCUGCACAUGUGACUGCAAGAGACGGAACAUGACAGGUGUACCUUGCAGUCAUGGCAUAUCUGCAAUGACAAAGCAAAAGCUGCAUCUUGAGGAUUAUGUGUCUGAAUUCUUCAAGAAGCCAUUGUACAUGGAGACAUGGAAAGCAAUUAUUUACCCUGUCCCUGGUCCAGAUUGCUGGCCUAAUAUAAACACUCAAGACAUUCAUCCUCCUGCGUUUAAAGAAAAGGCAGGCAAAAAGCAGACAACAAGGAGGAAGGGAGAGUUUGAGGUUCUAGCUCCAAGAGACACAAGUAGGAUGGGCACUAUCACAUGUGGAAACUGUGGUUUGGAAGGACACAGGUAUUCAACAUGCAACAAGACUCUGAAGCCUAGUCUUCAGAUGAGGAAAAACAAACACGAGGUAAUUAUCAAGCUUGGGAAAAAUCUCAGACACUUCUGAAUGAGUACACUUUUAGAAAUAAAAGUUAUGUUUGACAUGCAUGAAAACAUGGCAGUUUACUCUGAUAUACCUACUGCAAGAACCACAUCAGUCCCUGUUACAAGAGGUAGAAGAGGAGCACAAGCAUCAUGUAGGCCUACUACAUCUCAACCAGGUCCUUCUACUUCUGCACCAGGCCCUACACCAAGAGCUAAAAUAGGUAGGACGGCAGGUGGAGGGAGGACUCAUGGAUUCACUGCACCAAGAGCUUCAACCACUUCAGAUAUUCAAGAGGAAGAGGAACGCAAGCUCAAAAUUGGCAGGCUACUUCUACUGCAGUGGUAACUACUGAAACCUGUCAGCACUGUUGUUGGUUUUAUGUGCACUUUCUAGAUUUGUUGUGCACUUUUUGAAUUUGUUGUGAACUUUUGUGAACCUGUCGUGCACUUUUCUGAACCUGUUGUGCACUAUCUGAACCUGUCGUUGAAAGUGCAACUAUCCCUAGGUGGUUUUGGUAAUUCCUAACAACAUAUAGCUCAUUGAGCUAACAUCUUUCCAAGACAAACAUUUCAGGAAAAUCUCAAUGAAUGGCAUGGCAUAGAUGAGGAUAAAAGGAUUGGCUCAAGCUCAAAAGCUCAAGACUCUACAUUUUACAUUUUAGUGGUCCAAGAUCACAUUGAGUCUAUAGGAAAAGACAAUACUAUGAAGGAGGGAUGAGGUGUUGCUUGAUGAAUUAUUGCUUCAAGUGCUUAGUGAUAUGCUCCAAAAACCCUCAACUACUUUCUCAUAUCCACAUAUGACCUAAACCUAUAGUCAAACUCACCCCCACCGAUUCUUUCUAUCCGGCGCCACUGAGUUCAGAUGUCAUAGCCACUGCCACAAACCCUAGGCAAAUCGGUCUCACCGAUUGGGAUCUCGGUCCACCGAGAUGGGAUUGUAAUCUCUUUUUUUCCCUUCGUAACGUUUCGGUCUAACCGAAGUGAGCGAUCGGUCCCACCGAGAUUGCAAUGUAAACUCUCUGUUUCCUUUUCAUAACAUUUUGGUCAAACCGAAAAGAGCGAAUCGGUCCCACCGAAUUUACCUGACCAACUCUCUGGUUUGCUUAUUACUAAAAUCGGUCUCACCGAGUUGUGUAAUCGGUCUCUCCGAGAUUACAUUAUUCCCUAACCCUAACCACAUCGGUCCUACCGAGUUGCAUGUCGGUCCCACGGAAAACCCUAACGGUCACUAGGUUUACUAAAUCGGUCUGACCGAGUUUGUUGAUUCGGUCCCACCGAGAUUGGUAAAUUGUGUGUAACGGUUAGAUUUUGUGUGGAGGCUAUAUAUACCCCUCCAACUCCUCUUCAUUCAUGGAGAGAGCCAUCAGAACAAACUUACACUUCCAACUUACCAUUUCUGAGAGAGAACCACCUACUCAUGUGUUGAGGCCAAGAUAUUCCAUUCGUACCAUAUGAAUCUUGAUCUCUAGCCUUCCCCAAGUUUCUUUCCACUCAAAUCUUCUUUCCACCAGAUCCAAAUCUUGUGAGAGCGAGUUGAGUGUUGGGGAGACUAUCAUUUGAAGCACAAGAGCAAGGAGUUCAUCAUCAACACACCAUUUGUUACUUCUUGGAGAGUGGUGUCUCCUAGAUUGGCUAGGUGUCACUUGGGAGCCUCCGACAAGAUUGUGGAGUUGAACCAAGGAGUUUGUAAGGGCAAGGAGAUCGCCUACUUCGUGAAGAUCUACCGCUAGUGAGGCAAGUCCUUCGUGGGCGACGGCCAUGGUGGGAUAGACAAGGUUGCUUCUUCGUGGACCCUUCAUCGGUGGAGCCCUCCAUGGACUCGCGCAACCGUUACCCUUCGUGGGUUGAAGUCUCCAUCAACAUGGAUGUACGAUAGCACCACCUAGCGGAACCACGGCUCAAAAAUCACCGUGUCUCCAAAUUGCAUUUGAAAUCUCCAAACCCUUCCCUUUACAUUCUUGCAAGUUGCAUGCUUUACUUUCCGCUGCUCAUAUACUCUUUGCAUGCUUGCUUGAAUUGUGUGAAUAUUGCUUGACUUGUGCUAAGAUAGCUAAAAUCUGCCAAAGACUAAAAUUGGGAAAAGGUUAAGUUUUUAAUUGGUCAAGUAGUCUAAUCACCCCCCUCUAGACAUACUUCCGAUCCUACAAGUGGUAUCAGAGCUUUGGUCUCCAUUUGCUUUGAUUUCCAUAGCUUUUGGUGGUCAUAGCCUUGGUUUCACAACCUAGGAGAGAGUAUGGCGUCUAGCGAGGGAAAUUAUCACCGUAGAGGUCCUUACUCCUUACUUUGAUGGUACUAAUUUUGCAUGUUGGAAGCAUAAGAUGAAAUUGCAUAUUCUCGGACAUAACCCCGCCAUUUGGGCUAUUGUGUGUAUUGGCUUGCAAGGUGAAUUCUUUGAUGGGAGGGAACCAAACCAUGAAGCUAGCACGGAAGAAUUGAAGAUGCUGCAAUACAACGCUCAAGCUUGUGAUAUCCUCUUCAACGGAUUGUGCCCCGAAGAAUUCAACAAAAUCAGCCGUCUUGAGAAUGCAAAGGAAAUUUGAGAUACUUUGAUUAAUAUGCAUGAAGGAACUGACUCCGUCAAGGAAUCCAACUUGGAUGUGCUCCAAAGUCAACUUGACAAGUUCAAAAUGAAGGAUGGUGAAGGUGUCGCUGAAAUGUACUCUAGGCUUGCUCUUAUCACAAAUGAGAUUGCGGGCUUAGGAAGUGAAGAGAUGACGGACAAAUUCAUCAUCAAGAAGAUCCUAAGAGCAUUGGAUGGAAAAUAUGAUACCGUGUGCACAUUGAUCCAAAUGAUGCCCAAUUACAAGAAUCUCAAGCCAACGGAGGUCAUUGGAAGGAUUGUUGCUCAUGAGAUGUCACUCAAGGAUAAGGAGGAACUUCACAACAAGUCAAGUGGUGCUAACAAAGCCUCAUGUGAAGCUCCUACAUCAUCAAGUGAGAAACAAACCUUCAAUGAAGAAUUGAGCUUACUGUGAAGAAAUUCAACAAAUUCUACAAGAGUAGAAGCAAAGAGAGAAGCUCCAAGUCAAGGUCCUACAAUGACAAAAGAUCUUCCAGUCGAGAGCGCAAUUGCUACAAUUGUGGGAGACCCGGACACUACUCCAAUGAGUGUACGACUGCCUACAAAAGAAGAGAAGAUUCUCCCAAGAGAAGAAUUAGAAGAGAAGAAUCACCGCCAAGAGAGAGAAGGAGUAGAGAUGAUCGUUAUGAACGAAGAACAUCCUGGAGAAGCAAGGAUUCGGAAAGGAAGGAUAGGUCACCAAAGAGCUACACAAAACGAAGACAUCAAGCUCAUGUUGGUGAAUGGGUAUCCGGUUUCGACUCUGAACAUCACUCCGAGAGAAGCUAUCACUUUGACUCCGAACAUAAUCAAGAUGAAGGUGUUGCCGGUCUAGCAUUUGUCUCAACCAACUCCUACGACAUAUUUGAUUCACCAAAUGAAGGAAUUGGAAGAUGCUUCAUGGCUAAAGGCCCAAAGGUAACACACCCCGAGUAUGUUGAUUUCAAUAGUGAUGAAGAUGACUUGUUAGGUGAUGAUGAUUUACUUAUUGACAACUCUAGUGAUGAAUACUAUGAUGAAACGUCAAUUAAUCAUGCUAAUCAAGAUAAAACGAAUGACAAUGAUAAGGAGAAAAUUGAGCUCCUAACUAAAGAACUAAACACUCUUAAGUUACCUCAUGAAACUAUCUUGGAAGAUCAUCAAGAACUUUUGAGGACUCAUGAGAAGUUACGCUUUGAAAAGCUCAAUCUUGAGCAAGAGCAUGAGUUCUUAAAGGCAAUCAAUGAUGAUCUUUGUAAGAAAAGUUCUUCUUACAUUGCCAAGCGUUUACUCUUAUCUACUUACAUGACUCAAGUCAAGUCUAGUAACAAAAACAAGACGGAUUCUUCCUCUAGUAGUAACAAUAAUCAUGCUAAAUCCAAUAUUGUUGCUUCUAGUAGUUCUCUUGAUUCCACUAAUGAUUCUCUUAGCCAAGUUACACUUGAGCAAUAAAAUAGCUUAUUGAAGGGAAUCAUAGAGAAAGGUGUUUACAAGAGCCUUGCCGGGAGUAAGAAAUUCGAGGAAAUUGUACGCAAGCAAGGAAGUCACCGGAAGAAUCAAGGUGUUGGUUUUGAACGAAAGUUCAAUGCCAAUGGACACUACAAGAAUCAUGUUAAUACGUGACGAUAUAAAUCCGUCAUGGACCAGUGUUAAACCGUCAAGGAAGGGCAGGCAUGACGAAUUUGAAAUCCGUCAUGUAUAUCGUGUCAUAAUUUGACCAUAAUGAUAUCCUUGACGGAUGUGUGAAACCGUCACGGAUUCAUGACAGUUUUUGUCCGUCAUGGAUGGCACUUAACUUACAUGCUCAUAACGGCGUUAAGUUGUCCGCCGUGUCAUCAUUUGACGUGGAUCUGAUGUGGCAGCCCAUGAACUAAGCGACCCAAUUAAUAUUCCGGCCCAUCAUUUUUCAUCUCAAUGCAAGACCUACCAACCAUGUAGUAGUCGGCCUAAUUGGAAUUUCAGCCCAUUAAAUUUCAGAUCGGUGCAAGGCAAACAAUUUUUAGCCCUAUAAGCCAGACCAUCUCACAUUUCUCUUGGUCCAUGAUUUUUUUUAUUUUAAGCCAAUAAUUAUUUAUAGAAAAUACAUGGUAUGUAAUUAAAGAAAAGGAAAUCACCAAAAAAUAACAAUUUGUGCAAAAGGAAAAACACCACAAAAACAUAAAUUACAGACAUUUCUAGAUGAUACCAUGUAGAGGAGCAAAAACACAAGAAACUUCAAUCUAUAAACAAGUGCUAGAGAACACCCCAUGCUGCUUGGCAGCCACUGCCGCCCAGCGCUCAACAGACGACAACCGGGGGUAAUUCACAUGCCUUCCUGGACACAGAUCCAGCCAUCCCCACCAACAUCAUCGAAGGAAGCAACCAUAUCACCUCAACCCAUGCUCCUAAGGACCCGCGGGACGUUGCCUGCACAUAGACAACCCGUAAGACUGACUCAAAAAAUGAAAAGUAUGGGUUUAAGCAUGUGUUUUCAUCCAUACACAAAACUAUACCAAAGGUAAAGUGAACCGUGCAUGUCAACUUCAAAUAAUGGUAUUUUUACUAUGACGCCAAUGCAGCACAAGCUAGCAACCAACAACGAUUUCAGGAUAACAUAAAAUCACAUUUGAAAUAUCAAACAGGAAAAGAAACAGAAGCAUGGAAAUUGAUGAUAAAGAUCCUGGUACAUAUAUUCUUUCCAUUUCUUAAUUUCACAAUGCACACAUACAGUUGCAAUAAAAAGUAUUAUGAGAUCUGAGAUGUUCAUGAAAACAACACAAAAUGAUAAAAUUGGACCAGAUUAAGAGCAUAGUGAAAUCCAAUGAUGGACAAAAAAAGCCUAAUAGUGAGUUCCCUAUUGAGUUGAGAUGGUUACGUAGAAACAAAUCAUGUCGCUGGUGGCCAGAUCAAACAUUUACGGAUAAGGGGAAAGUGGUAGCUUUGGUGCAGCUACUGUACCUUGGAUGCGUAGCAUUGGAUGGGGAUCACGAGCACGCAGCCGCACCUGUACCCAGUUCCCUAGGACCUUGAGAACCUGUACCUUUGAUGUGUAGCAUUGGAUACAGAAUCAAGGAGGUGUGAGAUUGCUGCGAGGGAAAGAUCAUCCUGGCUGCAACCACAGCAAGCAACAGCAGCCUCACUCCGCCAACGGUUAUUUCUUUUCAGAUGAAUGUGGAGAUUUGGUGAUGUUUAAACAAAAGAGCUUCCCUAUGAAUAUUUCUUUUCAAAGUUGUAACGGGGGAUGAUUCUAUGUGAGAGAUAAGUAGCUAACAGCAUAUACUUGGAAGGGAUGAUAAACGUACUGAAUUUAGGAUACAGUGCCAUCUUUUACUCUCAAGUAAUGAUAGCAAAUGUUGUUUGCAGAUUUGUUUCUACAGAAUGUUGUGUGGAUAUUCUUAUGGGACAAUUGCAUUUUUACCCCUAGUUGGUUCCUACCCACGGGUUUUGCCCUUACUUUUCGAGCUUGCUUAGUUUUGCCCUUACUUUUUCCAUCGAGGUCCCUCGAAUGCCCCUUGACCGUUUAACCAAAACUUUGAAAAAUCAUAACUAAUUCAUACGAACUUAGAAAAAUGCAAAUAAGAUAUCAAACUGUUCAGAUAAACAUUACCUUUAUGGGCAUAUCAUUUGCAUUCCGGACAAAAGCAUCGUUUAAACUACCCAAGGUAAUUAAUGUUAUUAACAUUAUUAAAAAUAAAUAGGUAUAAACAAUAUUUUUUUCAUGAAUAAAAAUUACAUGCAAAUGUAGGUGAUGUUUUCUGAACAUCCUGAUAACUUAUAUGCAUUUUUUGAGUUUGUAUCAACUUGUUAUGAAUGUUCUAACGACUUUUACCAUUAUUUGGAAACUUCAUAACAAGUUGAUACGAACUCAGGAAAAUGCAAAUAAGGUAUCAGAAUGUUCAGAAAACAUCACCUACAUUUGCAUAUAAUUUUUAUUCAUGAUUUUUUUUUAUACCUAUUUAUUUUUAAUAAUGUUAAUAACAUUAAUUACCUCGGGUAGUUUAAACAAUGAUUUUGUCCUCAAUGCAAAUGAUAUGCCCAUAAAGGUAAUCUUUAUAUGAACAUUUUGAUAUCUUAUUUGCAUUUUUCUGAGUUCAUAUGAAUUAGUUAUGAAUUUUCAAAGUUUUUGUCAAACGGUCAAAGGGCAUUCGAGGGACCUCGAUGGAAAAAGUAAGGGCAAAACCGAGCAAGCUCGAAAAGUAAGGGCAAAACCCGUGGGUAGGAACCAACUAGGGGUAAAAAUGCAAUUGUCCCUAUUCUUAUUGCUGCAGAUGAAUCCUAUAUAUUAUUUUACAUAUACUCUCUAAGUUACAGUAGUUCUGGUGCAGUGUGCAGGUUUUGUUAGAAGAUGCCACGUGCAAAUUCUCAUCUCUGUAGGUGAUUCUCAAUAAUUAUAACAAAGAAAGGUUAGUAAGAGUUUAUCUCCAUCUCCAAUUUAUCUAUUGGAUUUUAAUUCUAAUCUUUUCCUAGGUGGCAAUCAUGUUAACAUAUUACCUGGAGGUCGUCAAUUUUCUACUUCCAUAAUUUUGUCCUUGCGUGCAUUUUUCGGAGACACAGGGAAAGAUUAGCAUGGCUCCAACCAUGGCAAGGCACCCAGCAUGCAUGUCCCUUACAAGUGGCAGCACCUUUACUAACAAGUAUGAAAUUGAUACCCAGCGGCAAGCAUUGCUCAUCCCUGCCCAACAGAAUUAACUUUUAAAUGGAUAACAGUGUUUAUUUCUUUCCACAUGAUUGUGGAGAUAUGAAUUUAGGAAAAUGAUAGAAUUACAUGUGAAAGCUAACAGAUUAUCCUUUGAGGCAAUGCUUAAGGUCCUGAAUUUAGGAUACGGUGCAUCACAUAUUAUCAAAGUUUUGGAUAGCAUUCUGUCUCAGCGCUAUAGCAGCACUAUACUAUUCAGAGGGGCAUCAUGCUAAGCCACUUAGCGCAAAUAUAGCACGCUAUUGCUUCUGCCGCUAUCUGCCGUAGCCCUCUAUUUAAAACUUUGCAUGUUAUAUCAGGUAAUAGUAGUUGAUGUUGUGUGCAGAUUUCUCUUCUAAAUGCAGUCUGUACACAUUUCUUGCACCUGUCAAAUGAGUGAUGAAUGAAUUAUUUUUGCAGCACAACAAGCAAACACUCCAUUCACAAGAGAAGAAAGUCCGAUUUUACACAAGCAAUGGUUAAAGGUUGAAUGUUCAGUGGCACACAUAAUAUAACAGUAAAAAAGAUGCCAAUUGUGGCAUCAGAUUGGGAGCAAGAUUUUUUUCAUGCUGUGGGCAUGGAGAACUCUAUAUAAAUUGAACCAAGCCAAUGAAUCAAUAUUCCCUAAGCAGAACCAACUGAAAACCAUGGUAAAAAAAGAGUUGAAAGUAACACAGAACAUAGGGCCUGGACCAUCCAUCCAUCUCUCUCUCUCUCUCUCUCUCUCUCUCUCUGGAAGCAACCAUCCAUGCAUGUACAAAGUAAACUGGAACCAAAUCCAAGCUGCUCCAUGGAUAUGAUAGGAUCAGAUUGGAGCAAAGGAAACUAGUUUGCUAGCUAGGCAGGGCGGAGGUAAACUAAAACGCUGCAAAUAGGAAGGAAGGGUCGUGGUCUUACCACCGCGGUGGUGCAGGGGCGCUGGAUAUGGCUGGCCAGGCCGGAUCUGAAGAAAUAGUGGGAGAAGCGAGACCUUACUUGCUCCAUUGCGACGUCCCUGCAUCUAUUGAGCUGUAGCUGCGUGGGGAAGGAAAUCAGGGAAGGAGAUCAAAUCAAACCGAAUAGAUAAGAUGGGUAAUGGCUGACCUUGAGGCGCAGCCAUGUGUGUGCUCAUGCAGCUCUUAUGGCCUCCAUCGAUGGACGGUCAAUCUCCGUCAUCGGAUCCUUGACGAAGCCCUCUUCUCGGUUGUGGGAGGAAGCCGGAUAGGGAGGGAGAGGACGCUGGUUGUGUCCCUGGCAGAUCUGACCGCCGCCCGACCCGCAUUAAUGGCACCGGCAGCGCAUGCACUAGGUUCGCUCUCAGGGGCAUCCACGCCUCCGGGAACGAGGCUACCGUCGCGGCGUUUUCGGGAAGCAAAGGGGCAGAUGGACGUGGUUGGGGAGGUGGCGGCGGCCGUGGUUGGGUAGGUGGCGGCGGCCGCGGAUGGCGAGGGUGGGGGAUCUGGAAGAUGGGGAUAGUGAGAUCUACAGGGAGUCGGGGAGGAUGGAGUUGAUUGCUUGCCGUUGGAUCACACAAGAGGAGACGGUCUGGAUUUGCGAUCCGUGGGAUUGUUAGCUCAACCAAUCAGAACGCGAGUUUUCCCUCAUGCUGGAUUGCCACAUCAGCACCAUCCAUCCAUGACGGUCUAAAUGUUGUAUAAGAAUAAAAAAUAAAUGCCCAGUUAGUUGACCCAUGACGGUUUCUGUGACAGCCUCUCUUUAUCUGUCAUAAUGGGGCUACCGGUUUAGGGGGCCAUCGUUAAGUUGCUGAUAUAUGACGGAUUUUGUGACGAACCUAAUAAACUCCGUCAUAAUUUGUGACAGUUUUCGAGAACGUCACCAGAAAACUGUCAUGGAUUAACAGGUUUUUUGUAGUGGGAGUUGAGUGGGAAGAAGAUCAAUACCCCAAGACGAAGUUUGUUCCUCAACAAGAGAAGUAUGAUCCUACUUCCUUCAAGGGGACACAAGCUCAAGAUGAUCUUCCACCACAAGACCACAAGAAAAAAGGCAAUGACAAGCUUCAAUAGGAGAUUGAUGCAUUUGAAGAAGCUCCUAAGGCCUUGGUCAAGUGGGUUCCCAAGACUACAUCAAGUUCUACUUCAUCAAGUACGACUACAACUCCAUGGAUUCCCAUCAAGAUGAUGUGGAUCCCGAAGAAGAAGAACUAGAGAGUUCUUGACGGUGACUCCACCAACAUACUUCGCCCAUAUCUUUUUGGCAACAACAAGUGCAAUCAACUUCCACAUCUUGCACUAGUUCAAGGAGUCACAAACCCUCAUGUUGGUAAGGCAAGGGACAAGGUAACCUAAUGCUUUCAUGGACAUCAUCUUGUGUGUGCAUCACUCUAUGUCUAUGGAUAUACUUGUUUGUUCCUUGUGGGACUAACCCAUGUAGGUAUUGAAAGUGCAACUCACUCGAAAGGAUUGCUCCAAAUGAUCUUCAUCAACAUUGAGCAUCCACAUCUUCAACACCUACAUGAAGUCAUCAUCGACAAAACCCAAGGUUAGUUCAUCUCGCUUAGGGGGGAUCUCACAUCUAGGGGGAGCUUAACUCUAAGAAAUGAGUCGAAGCAACUCUAAUGAUGUGAACACAUCAAUGCAUUAUGUAAAAGUGGUAACCCCACUUGAGCUUAAACGAUGAGUAUGACCUAUGAUCAAAUGUUCUCAUUUGGCUCCUAAGUCAAUAUACUCAUAUAUAGAUGACCUAGUCAUCGCCAAUUGCUUGAUAGAUGCUAGAAUUGGUUGUGCAUGCUUUGCCACAUAUUUCAUUUGCCAUUUUACUGUGUGAGCAUGUUGGUUGCAUAUUUAACUCAUUCAAGGACAUCCACUUGUUGCUUUGAUUGAUUGGCUUCUUUUUCUUUUGCCAAGUGGAUGAACAAGAAUCCCUAAGAACCUUCUCUAGCUAUCUAUGUUUUUCUUGUCUCAAACUCUAUUCAUGCCACAUCACAAAAUUUGAUCAAGUCAGAUUCGAACCACUCUGUGUGAGGAGCACUCGGAGUCCCCGAUUUUUCAUAGACUUAAACUUACAAAACUUGUUUGUGCGUUUCGGUCUGACUGAUUCUUCCAUUUCGGUCAUACCGAGAUCACUAAGUCGAUCUAGGUUUUCAAUCUCGAUGCAACCGAUUUGAACUUUUCGGUCUCACCGAGUUGCUGUAACUGUCAACAGUUAUGCAUCUUGGUGCCACCGAGUUGUUCCAUUCGGUCACACCGACAGGGUCAGGCUAUAUAUACUCAUGGGCAAAAAUUUGGAAACUUUCUCCAAACCCCUUCGCUCGCGCAUAGCUUGCUCUGCCUCUAGGGUCUCCGGAUCGUCGACUUCGUCACCAGCCGCCUCCAGUCGCUGGUCUCCGCCGCCGUUAACGGAAUUCAACCCCGCCGUUGCCCCGUAGCGAGUUCAUCGCCAAACUAGGGUAUGGACUCGAUCACAGUGCUAUCCCCGUCCAAUUCCUAGCACAUUGUGUUCAUCAUGAUUCUUGCCACGAUUGAAAUGAAUCUAUCCAGUCAAAACAAUCCUUAGAUUAGAUGUGAAUUGAAAAUUUAGGGUCAGGUGUCCGCCGAAACCAUCUCAGACCCAUCGAGUUGAAAAACUCGGUUCCACCGAUUCGGCUAAGGCCAUUGCACAAGUCAUUCUCGGUCUGACCAAGAAUUGCAAAUCGGUGUGACCGAGUUUAGAACUCUGUGAAACCCUAGCAGUUUCGGUGCCACCGAACUGUGACUCGGUAUGACCGAGUUUACUAGUUUAGGUUCCAAAAGCUGCUUUGGUAUCACCGAGUUUGCAAAUUGGUUGAUCCGAAAUGCUUUCUAUGGAAAACUAAAACUAAGUUCUUGAAUCAUUCUUUUGCAAAAAUCUCUGCAUUUUGUGAUGCUCAUCCAUUCUAUCUCAUCUAUAUCUAUUCACAGGGUCAGCAGUCAGUGUUUGCAGCAUGUGAAACGAAAGUGACAGCCAGAACAGGGAAGAGGAGCAGGUUCAUAUGAGUGAGGGCACUAGUCCCUCUAGCACCUCAGAUGAGGGCAGCAGAAGCACCCCAAGCAACUUGCCCAAAGCUGCCACCAGGGCCAGAAGGAAGAGAACCUCAGACUCUGAGGAUGAAGACUAUGUGGCAGCUGAAGAUGAGGCCACUUCCAAGAAGAUAGUGCUCAAGAAGGAGUAUGGCUCAGCUGCAGCCACAAAGCCAGGACUAAAAAGGAAGGUCCCUGCCAAGAGGACACCUAUGCUGAAAGUCAGAGGAUCAACUCAAGAACCUGAGAAAUCUGAUCCCAAAGAGGCUGCUGCAGAAGGGAAGAAGAGGAAGGAAAGGGUCAAAAAGACCAUGGCCAGAGUUGUUGGACAUCCUUCCAUGAUGGAAGAGGAAGAGGAAGAAGAGGCUGCUGCUCUAGCACCCAAGGCACAAAAGCUUAUGGGUGAUGCUAUAAAGUCAGGGGCUGCAUCAUCAAUUCCCAAAGAAGCACCCAAAGCUGCCUCCAAGCCCAAGACUGCACCUAAAAGGAAUACUAGGAGUAUACCAGUUGCUGAGAAGAACAAGGCCCCAGUGCCUGAAGUUGCUGAAGAAGAAGAAGAUGAAGGACAAGUUCCGAGGAAGCUAAAACCUAAGAUUCCAGACCACAAUGAUGCCCAUCCAGUGGCUGAGAACAUGAAGCCGAGGAAGGAUGCAGGGCUCAGACAGUGGAGAUUGUCUGAUCCUUAUGCAAUCAGGAGAAGGACUGCUGUUGACUACAGGUUCCACACUAAGGAACAACAGGAUUUCUAUGAGACUGUGCUGCUGGAUAAGAAACCCAUAGUUUGUGACAUGAGGUGGGUGGACUGGAAAUACAUGAAGGCAAAUGAGGAACACUACCCAGGUGUGUUUGACAGCUUCAAGGGUUGUGGAGUUGAUGACUUUGUUGGACAGAAGUUCACCAACUCGAAUGAUGAGCUUGUAAUGCAAUUCUACUCCAUAGCUCACUUUUAUCCUGAUGGCAGAAUAGUCUAGAUGUCUGAAGGUACAAGGUACCAGUCCACAAUUGAAGAAUGGGCAAGCCUGAUCAAUGCACCAGAGGAGGAAGCUGAUGAAUUGGACGUCUAUUCCAAGAAGAAAAUGGAUCACAACUCAAUGUCGCACAUGUACAAGGAGAUACCAGAUAAAGCUCUUGAGACUUUCAAGCUUGGGUCUAUCCAUUUCCUUCUGUCAGGACUGCCAACGAUCAACUGGAUCCUAAGGCACACUCUCUUGCCCAAGUCAGGUGACCACAACAUGAUCAGAGGGCAUGCAAUAAACUUUCUACACAUAUUUGAUGUGCCUCAGAAGUUCAAGGUCAUGAGCCUCAUAGUUGAGACUCUCAAGAGGACAGCAGCAGACCAGUAGAGAAGCUGUGGGUAUGCCCCACAAAUCCAGGAGCUGAUCAACUCCAAGAUGGGCACAUGCAAAUACUGGUUGGAUAAGGAACACUUUGCUAUCUAUCCAGACUUUGAGGACAACCAAGUAGUCAUGAAUGAGAAUGAACCAUCUUUAGUGCAAGCACAAGAGAAGAAGGAGAAGGCACAGAAGGAGAAGGCUGCCAUGAUGCCAACAAUUGAUGAGGCAUCUGAGUACUUUUUGAAGAGCAAGCAGGACAAGCUUGGUUACUUAAUAGCAUCAACUCUGAGGAUUGAGAAAGGGUUGGCCACCCUAACUCAAAACCAGGAGAGCCUGGAAAGAACCAAAAAGUUCUAUGACUUAGAUGUGAAAGUAACUGAGAUCCAGUCUAUUGUGGAGUAGCUUCAAGAUGAUAUGCAGGAGAGGAAGGGCAAGACAAUCACUGAUGCAUUUGCUAGAGUGCCUCGAGCUCAGAGAUCAGUUGCAGAGCUAGUGUCAGACAACAGAGCCACUUCAUCUUCACCAUCUACAGCUCCAGUGCAACUAGCUCCAGCACCAACUCCUCCAGCUCCAUCCACAUCAACUGAAGCCUUCGUCCUUGGAGUCAUAUCUACACCACCACAUCAAGACCAUGCCUGGGAGACGAAAUAGCUAUGCAUUUUCUAGGAACUUUUUGGUAACUUGUUGGCAAAGGGGGAGAAAAAUGUAUAGAUCAUAGGCUUCGAGAGAGAGAGAGAGAGUUUGAUUUUGUUCUCUCUUGUCUUUGUGGUUGAACUUUAUUUGCUUUUGCUUGCUUGAGAUACUUUAUUGUCUGUGUGAUACAAUGAUGAUCAUGUGUUUGAUCAUAUGCUACCUUAAUGCUUGUUAGAUGACUAUAUCCCAUUUAUCUUUAUAUGAUCAUUCACUUUGCUUGGUGAAGAGUGCAUGUAUUCAAUCCUUAAUAUUUUGAGCGCUCCACCAAGAUGUAUGUGACAUGGAAGAGUAACCCAUGAGCCUAACUCCUUGUGCAUUUGCAGUCCAAAGCAAAUCUUAAACUAUGCACAAAUUUAGGGGGAGCUCUUUCUUAUCACAUACUUCUCAAAGCGACGAUGUUUUUCAAUCUUAUUAUCAUUUGUCGAAGCUUUGAUCUAUAUGUUGUCAUCAAUUACCAAAAAAGGUGGAGAUUGAAAGUGCAACUAUCCCUAGGUGGUUUUGGUAAUUCCUUACAACAUAUAGCUCAUUGAGCUAACAUCUUUCCAAGAAAAACAUUUCAGGAAAAGAUCAAUGAAUGGCAUGACAUAGAUGAGGAAAGUGGAUCCCUCAAAAUUCUAAGGAUAAAAGGAUUGGCUCAAGCUCAAAAGCUCAAGACUCUACAUUUUACAUUUUAGUGAUCCAAGAUCACAUUGAGUCUAUAGGAAAAGCCAAUACUAUCAAGGAGGGAUGAGGUGUUGCUUGAUGAGUUUCUUGCUUCAAGUGCUUAUUGAUAUGCUCCAAAAACCCUCAACUACUUUCUCAUGUCCACAUAUGACCUAAACCUAUAGUCAAACUUGGCCCCAUCGAUUGUUUCUAUCCAGCGCCACCGAGUUCAGAUGUCAUAGCCACUGCCACAAACCCUAGGAAAAUCGAUCUCACCGAGAUGGGAUUGUAAUCUCUCCGUUUCCCUUCGUAACGUUUCGGUCUAACCGAAGUGAGCGAUCGGUCCCUGUCGGUGUCAAAACUGACGGAUCUCGGGUAGGGGUCCCGAACUGUGCGUCUAGGCGGAUGGUAACAAGAGACAAGGGACACGAUGUUUUUACCCAGGUUCGGGCCCUCUCGAUGGAGGUAAAACCCUACUCCUGCUUGAUUAAUAUUGAUGAUAUGGGUAGUACAAGAGUAGAUCUACCACGAGAUCAGAGAGGCUAAACCCUAGAAGCUAGCCUAUGGUAUGAUUGUUGUUCGUCCUAUGGACUAAAACCCUCCAGUUUAUAUAGACACCGGAGAGGGCUAGGUUUACACAGAGUCGGUUACAAUGGGAGGAGAUCUACAUGUCCGUAUCGCCAAGCUUGCCUUCCACGCCAAGGAAAGUCCCAUCCGGACACGGGACGAAGUCUUCAAUCUUGUAUCUUCAUAGUCCAGGAGUCCGUCCAAUGGGCAUAGUCCGGUCAUCCGGACACCCCCUAAUCCAGGUCUCCCUCAGUAGCCCCUGAACCAGGCUUCCAUGACGACGAGUCUGGCGCGCAGAUUGUCUUCGGCAUUGCAAGGCGGGUUCCUCCUUCGAAUACUUCAUAGAAGAUUUUGAACACAAGGAUAGUGUCCGGCUCUGCAAAAUAAGUUCCACAUACCACCGUAGAGAGAAUAAUAUUUGUACAAAUCUAAUCUGAUGACGUAUUCCGCAGCGUGACAUCAUGCUACGGCCAAGCCUUUAUUCGAAUCAUUUUACUGUCCCACCUCAGCGCGUUUAGCGAGGUGGUUUCCUUGGCACGUCUUGUCGAAGCAGAGAUCGUGUCCCCUUAUUCCGGGAUUCUCAUCAAUACGGGUGUGGGUAACCCAACCAUGCCAUUAAUCACGGUGCUUGGGAGAUAAGCAAGUUUUACCAGGCUGGUGGGGGUACAUAGUUUCGUCCGCCCAUAUAAGGGGAUAAGGAGCCACCCUUUCGAUAUACGCCUUCUUCCUCCUUCGCUUCUCCAUUUCCGCGCACUCGAGCUCCAGCGCCCAAGUCCGCACUUCCCACCUCAACCUUCUCCAGCCAUGUCUUAGCGGGAGGCAGGUGGAUGGCCUCCUCCAUCACGGAGGGGCACAUCAAAAAGUUGAGGAAGGCCGGAUACUUGUCCAACAACAUUGCGCACCGGCUUCCAGGCGAGGGGCAGCUCAUCUCCACCCCCACGCCCCAUGAGAGGGUGGUGUUCCUCCCCCAUUUCCUCCGUGGACUGGGCUUCCCACUCCACCCAUUUGUCCGUGGGCUCAUGUUCUACUACGGCCUGGAUUUCCAUGAUCUGGCCCCGAACUUCAUCCUCAACAUCUCGGUGUUUAUCAUCGUGUGCGAGGUCUUCCUCCGCAUCAAGCCCCACUACGGCUUAUGGCUGAAGACCUUCAAUGUCAAGCCGAAGGUAGUGGGUGGCCCGCAAGCGGAGUGCGGAGGCUCCAUGGUGGGCAAGAUGCCCAACGUCACAUGGCUCGAGGGCUCCUUUGUGGAAACCAUCAAAGGGUGGCAAUCGAGGUGGCUCUACAUCACCGAGCCGCGUGACCCUGAAUGGGCCGCGGCCCCCGAAUUCCAAUACGGCAUCCCCACACGGCUCACCUCCUGGAAAGAGAUGGGCCUGUCGUGGGGUAAUUCGGAAGAGGUGACUGGACUCCAAACCUGCGUCCAAAACCUAGUGGACAAGAAGGUUAAACUUGUCAACGUAGUCCAGGUCAUGCUCUUCCGCCGGAUCCUCCCGUGUCAACGACGGGCUUUUAACUUGUGGGAGUUCGACCCGGCCCAGCACCAAACUUUGUCCAGGCUCUUUGACACAACGCACAAGGAUGUCUGGAAGGUGCUAUUCAAGGGCUCCGAGGUUCCCCCUCCCAUUACCGAGGAUCGCGGAUUCUGCGCAAAGCGCCAAGCCAGCGCAGUAAACUUGUUUUUCAUAGUUUGACUCUAUGCGGGAUCUAAGCUCCCAUUCCUUUGACAUGACUGGCAGAAGACGUCCGGAUAGAUCGACUGUCCGGCUCCUUUGCCCGAAGGCCCAGCAGAUGCCCGCUUGUCGAAGCUGCUGGUUCCAGCACCUCAUGUGGUGCUGGAGAAGAAGGCCAAGAAGAAGGCCAUGGGAACUUGAAAGAGUUCCCGGCGCCUGGUGGUGUCGGAUUCAUCGCCCGACGACCCAGAAGCGCACUCCUCCCACGAAGACGAGGAGGAGGAAGAAGAAGCCCCUCCCCCUCCAACGGGGGGAGGAAAGAAAAGGAAGGCUGCCCCAACUGGGGAGACCGGAGGGUCCAAGAAGGGAAAGACCCUUGUUCCGGACUACUCCAGCAACGCCGACGACGGCAGAGAGGAGUGGCCAUCCAGGGCCAAGCCCCUGGCAAAAUUGUAAGUAUACGGAUACCAGAAUAACUCAUGGCGCUCCUUUAUUGCACAAUAUCUUCUGACGCCGAAUAUAAUCAUGCAGUCCGCCCCUGGCCCAGCUCGAUGCCUCAUCGAGCGGCUCCCUGGACUCGUCGGAUGUGAAUAGUCUUUCACUCCCGACUGCUACCUCCCCUCGCCCUACGGACGAUGCCGAGGUGGAGUCCCAAAAGGGGCCAAGUCAGGAGGAGGUGGUCCUGGAGGCACCGCAAGGCGACCUCCCGGACUCCAGGCGCAAAGGGAUAAAACCCCAAAGGGCUCUAAGUCCGGCCCUGGGCCGGACACCGCACUGGAACCUUCAGUGGUUCCGGAGUCCGGCAGGCAGCCCCUCGUAAGAAGGGCAAGCUACGACGCCGGUGGCCUCCGUCCAACCGGAGGCACCGGACAAUUUGCUGGAGGUGCUUAACGGCGCCUCCAUCGACGAGGAGCACCGCACUAUUAUGAGUGCGGUGAACCAGAAGGUUCAGUCCGCCAAGAACGGCCUGACAGAAGCCUGUGCCAGACUUCUAACAGGCUUUGAGGUAUGUAUUUAAGACAUGUAAAAAUAUAACCGCAUAGACAGUAGCCCCUGAUGCUCAGUUUGGUGUUCAGAAAGAAAAGCCGGACUGAGGAUCUAAAAAGAUAUACACAUGAGUCUAACAUAAAUAUGUCAGUAUGGGAAUGCAGGCUGCGCUGCUGACCUUUGCCGCACUGACUGCGAAGGUUGGUGCAUUGAAGCAGAGCCUCAAGCGGUCCGAGAACGAGCUCAGCCUUGCCAAGAAGCAGCUCGAGGACAAGGAAGGUAAGUAGUACCUUAUGUAAGUAUAUAAAAAUACCUGGUUGCAAAUAGUGACAGGACCAACGUGAGUGUUACAGGGGCCACAACCAAGGUGGCGACCCUGAAGGAACCGCUGUCCAAGGCCGAAGACAAUGCGGCCGUGGAGCGCACCGAGCGAGAAAAGCAGGAGGCGCGUGCGGAGGAGGUGCGGCAAGAGCUCCACGCUCUUGUGAAAAAACACGAGAGUUUGGAGCUUGACUCAAAGACUCGAGAGUCCGAGCUUGCCCUGGCCCUUGAGAGCGCCAAAUCUGCCAAGGCCGAAGCCCAAAAAGCCCUCCAGGAAAUUGAGGCGAUGAAGAAGAUAGCGGCGGGUAAGGCAUUCUUUAUGCAAAGCAAUCACGUGAAAGUGAAUUACUUGUUACUUACCCGAGUCCGGUGCUCUCCAGGAGCAUUCGCAGAUCUGCCCCGCAGUCUGUUCGACGCCGCCGCAUUCUACCGAGCCAAGGAAGGGAGCUCGACGGAGAAGGUGUUCUGGUCCCAGUAUGUUGAGGCCGGACACCCGAUGCCCUUGAGCGACCAGCUGAAGCAGCUGGUUGAGCUCCAUAAGGCAGCCAAACAGGCCAUGAAGGGCCUUAUAGGUCGGCUAUGGCCUGGGGAGGCCAUGCCUGGGAGCUACUUUGGGCUGGUGAGGCGGCUGGUUGAUGCCUGUCCAUGGCUUGAAAUCAUCAAGCGCUCCGUAUGCAUCGAAGGCGCCCGUAGGGCCCUUGCCCGUGUUAAAGUGCAAUGGGGCAAGAUAGAUGCUGAGAAGCUGGUGACAGAUGGGCCACCGGAGGGGAAGGAGCAUCGCAAGCCCGAGUUGAUUAUGAGGGCAUCCUGAAGGGUGCCUGCCUUGUGGCGGAUGAGUGUUCCAAGGAUGUAAUUUUUGAGUAAACUCGCUCGUGUUAUCGUGUGCGCUGAAAACUUGUCCAUAUGCGCUAAGCAACGCUUUUUUGAAUUUAAAAUAUUACCUUCUGUGCGGCCGUUUAUUAAAUCUGAGAGAUGCGAGUCAUCGGCUUCUACCCCCAUGCCACGAGUGCUGGGGUGUGUUGAAAAUAUGCCCUAGAGGCAAUAAUAAAUUAGUUAUUAUUAUUAUAUUUCCUUAUUCAUGAUAAACGUUUAUUAUCCAUGCUAUAAUUGUAUUGAUAGGAAACUCAGAUACAUGUGUGGGUACAUAGACAACACCAAGUCCCUAGUAAGCCUCUAGAUGACUAGCUUGUUGAUCAAUAGAUGGUUACGGUUUCCUGACCAUGGACAUUGGAUGUCGUUGAUAACGGGAUCACAUCAUUAGGAGAAUGAUGUGAUGGACAAGACCCAAUCCUAAGCCUAGCACAAAGAUCGUGUAGUUCGUAUGCUAAAGCGUUUCUAAUGUCAAGUAUCAUUUCCUUAGACCAUGAGAUUAUGCAACUCCCGGAUGCCGUAGGAAUGCUUUGGGUGUACCAAACGUCACAAUGUAACUGGGUGGCUAUAAAGGUGCACUACAUGUAUCUCCGAAAGUGUCUGUUGGGUUGGCACGAAUCGAGACUGGGAUUUGUCACUCCGGUUGACGGAGAGAUAUCUCUGGGCCCACUCGGUAGGACAUCAUCAUAAUGUGCACAGUGUGACCAAGGGGUUGAUCACGGGAUGAUGUGUUACGGAACGAGUAAAAAGACUUGCUGGUAACGAGAUUGAACAAGGUAUCGGCAUACCGACGAUCGAAUCUCGGGCAAGUACAAUACCGCUAGACAAAGGGAAUUGUAUACGGGAUCGAUUGAGUUCUUGACAUCAUGGUUCAUCCGAUGAGAUCAUCGUGGAACAUGUGGGAGCCAACAUGGGUAUCCAGAUCCCGCUGUUGGUUAUUGACCGGAGAACGUCUCGGUCAUGUCUGCAUGGUUCCCGAACCCGUAGGGUCUACACACUUAAGGUUCGAUGAUGCUAGGGUUAUAAAGGAAGUUUGUAUGUGGUUACCGAAUGUUGUUCAGAGUCCCGGAUGAGAUCCCGAACAUCACAAGGAGUUCCGGAAUGGUCCGGAGGUAAAGAUUUGUAUAUGGGAAGUCCUUUUUUGGUCACCGGAAAAGUUUUGGGUUUUAUCGGUAACGUACCGGGACCACCGGGAGGGUCCCGGGGGUCCACCAAGUGGGGCCACCAUCCCUGGAGGGCUGCAUGGGCCAAGUGUGAGAGGGGACCAGCCCCAGGUGGGCUGAUGCGCCCCCCCCCACAAGGGCCCAAGGCGCCUAGGGUUUGGGGAGGGGAGCGCACCCACCUAACUUGGGGGGCAAGUUUCCCCUCUUCCCCCCCUUGGCCGCACCCUAGAUGGGUUGUGGGCUGCCGCCACCCCUAGGGAGGGAACCCUAGAGGGGGUGCAGCCCCCUCCCUCUCCCCUAUAUAUACUUGAGGACUUUGGGGCUGCCAAUAGAUGAGUUUGACCUCUCCCUGGCGCAGCCCUACCUCUCUCCCUCCUCCUCUCCCGCGGUGCUUGGUGAAGCCCUGCAGGAUUGCCACGCUCCUCCAUCACCACCAUGCCGUUGUGCUGCUGCUGCACGGAGUCUUCCUCAACCUCUCCCUCUCUCCAUGCUGGAUCAAGGCAUGGGAGACUUCACCGGGCUGUACGUGUGUUGAACGCGGAGGUGCCGUCCGUUCGGCAAUAGGAUCUCCGGUAAUUUGGAUCACGACGAGUACGACUCCUUCAACCCCGUUCUCUUGAAUGCUUCCGCUUAGCGAUCUACAAGGGUAUGUAGAUGCACUCUCCUUCCCCUCGUUCCUGGUUUCUCCAUAGAUAGAUCUUGGUGACACGUAGGAAAAUUUUGAAUUUCUGCUACGUUCACCAACAGUGGCAUCAGAGCUAGGUCUAUUGCGUAGAUUCUUUGCACGAGUAGAACACAAAGUAGUUGUGGGUGUUGAUUUUGUUCAAUAUGCUUACCGUUACUAGUCCAAUCUUGUUUCGACAAUAUUGUGGGAUGAAGCGGCCCGGACCGACCUUACACAUACACUUACGUGAGACAGGUUCCACUGACUGACAUGCACUUGGUGCAUAAGGUGGCUAGCGGGUGCCAGUCUCUCCCACUUUAGUCGGAAUGGAUUCGAUGAAAAGGGUCCUUAUGAAGGGUAAAUAGCAAUUGGCAUAUCAUGUUGUGGUUUUGCGUAGGUAAGAAACGUUCUUGCUAGAAACCCACAGCAGCCACGUAAAACAUGCAAACAACAAUUAGAGGACGUCUAACUUGUUUUUGCAGGGUAUGCUAUGUGAUGUGAUAUGGCCAAGAAGAAUGUGAUGUAUGAGAUUGAUCAUGUUCUUGUAAUAGGAAUCACGACUUGCAUGUCGAUGAGUAUGACAACCGGUUGCGUAUAUCAUGUUCGCCAUCCGCACUUGUGGGGGAAAGCCUUUCUGUCCCCUAUUGUUCGGCGGUCAGGGCUCCUCCUCGUCAUCGCUAUGCAGCCCCUUGUCUCUGUUUUUGCCACUUAACUUGCCUGCCUGCUUGAACACCCAACAAUCCCUGUUGGUGUGAUUGACUGGUAUUUCGGGGGUGCCGUGUAUCUGGCAUGAGCGAUCGAGUAUUCGGUCCAAACUGGAUGGGCCCGGAGUAUUUCUUUUGAAAGGCUUUUUCCACUGACCGGGUUUAGAGCUUCUGAAUCCGGCAUUAACUGCCGUAUCCUCAGCAUUGUCGCCAUUAAUGCGGCGCUUGUGCUUGUUGCGACGCGACCUGCCAUUGUUGUCCUUGGUAUCCGAAUUACCAGGGCUCUUGGUCAUGUUAUUACUACGAGCUAGCCAGCUGUCUUCUUCCGCGCAAAAGCGGGUCAUGAGUGUUGUGAGGGCUUCCAUGGAUUUCGGAUUUUCCUGUCCUAGGUGCCGGGCAAGCCAUUCGUCUCGGAUGUUAUGUUUGAAGGCUGAAAGGGCCUCUGCGUCCGGACAGUCGACUAUUUGAUUUUUCUUGGUUAGGAACCGUGUCCAGAAUUGUCUGGCCGAUUCCUCUGGCUGCUGAAUUAUGUGGCUUAGGUCAUCGGCGUCUGGUGGUCGCACAUAGGUGCCCUAGAAAUUGUUGAGGAAUGCGGCUUCCAAGUCCUCCCAGCAACCAAUUGACUCUGCUGGCAAGCUGUUAAGCUAAUGCCGAGCUAGUCCUUUAAGCUUGAGUGGGAGGUAUUUGAUAGCGUGUAUAUCAUCACCGCGGGCCAUGUGGAUAUGAAGGAGAUAAUCCUCGAUCCAUACCGCAGGAUCUAUUGUGCCAUCGUAUGAUUCGAUGUUUACGGGCUUAAAACCCUCAGGGAUUUGAUGAUCCAUUACUUCAUCUGUGAAGCAUAGUGGGUGUGCGGCGCCUCUGUACUAGGCUAUAUCACGACGUAGCCCAAAUGAGCUUUGUCUGUUGUGUUCGGCCUGGCCGUAUUUGCCAUACCCGGCAUGACGAUUAUCGUCACGUGCCGUGGGGCACCCACGCGAUCCAUAGAUCGAUCUUGUUUGCCUUGCCUUGUCCCCCAAUAUGUCUCGCAGGUCUGGCGCAUUUCCCCGUGUCUUGGUAUUUUUUUGAGCGAUGCCGGGGUGCGGCUUGAGUGGAUGGCCGAGAGGCCUCUCUGUCGCGGCCACGAGGUGGCCGGUCGGCCGUGUCGUGUGCUGGUGAUGUAGGUUUAGGUGCUUCCUCCUCUAAUCGGGGUAGCAGCCUGCGCUUUGGGUAGCUCUUGGAGGGGCGUUCGGGUUCGUACUCUUCGGCCGCAAGGACUUCAGUCCAUCUGUCGGCUAGCAAGUCUUGGUCAGCUCUAAGCUGCUGCUGUUUUUUCUUGAGGCUGCUCACCGUGGCCAUAAGCCUGCGUUUGAAACGCUCUUGUUCGACGGGAUCCUCAGGCAUGACAAAUUCGUCGUCGUCGAGGCUUGCCUCGUCUUUGGAGGGAGGCAUGUAAUUAUCGUCCUCUACCUCUCUGUCUGCCGCUCUCUCAUGAGGGCUGGCUUCUCCAUCCUCCUGUGCUAAAUCUUGAUGGAGGGGGUUGUCUUCGGCACUGUGUGGGGUGUUAUUAUCUCCCGUGCCGGAAUCGCCGUUUUUGCUUUGGCGGGAUUUAGAGCGGCGCCGCUGACACCGGCGCUUGGGCUACUUCUUGGAGGGGUCAUCCUCCGUUGUUCCAUCACCAUUCCCUUCUUUUGGGGUGUCCACCAUGUAUAUGUCGUAUGACGAGGUGGCUUUCCAGUGCCCUAUAGGCGCUGGUUCUUGGUCGUCUCCCGCAUCGGCGUCCAUACCGUCGAUGUCUUCGGAGUCGAAGUCGAGCAUGUCGGUUAAAUCAUCGACAGUGGCUAUGAAGUGGGUGGUGGGUGGGCUUUCAAUUUCUUCAUUGUCCGCAUCCCAACCUUGCUGACCAUAGUCCGGCCAGGGCUCUCCUGACCAAGAGAAAGACUUUAGUGAAUUCAGAAUGUCGCCGAAGGGCGAGUGCUGAAAGAUGUCCGCGGUGGCGAACUGCAUGAUCGGCGCCCAAUCGGGAUCGAUCGGUAGGGGCGCGGAAGGUUCGGAGUCCAGAAAGGAGUCCGGCACCUUGGAGUCACGAGCUUCGCAAAGGACAAGGCUGGUGUUCGGCUCGAUCAUCGUAGAGAUUGCAGCCCCCGAGGCGGUGUCUAGCCACCUGUCCUCGAUUGGCGUAGUCGGCUCCGAGCUAAGGGUCGGAGCGGACACUAGGGCGGCCUCCUGGGCACUGUUCAGCGGCAGAGCUAGAUCAUGCCCGUCGUGACAGUGCGGCGCGCUCGGCUGUGGCUCCAACCUGUCGAAGAUCAAGUCUCCGCGGAUGUCAGCCGUGUAGUUCAAACUUCCAAACCUGACCAGAUGGCCAGGGGCGUAGCUUUCGAUCUGCUCCAGAUGGCCAAGCGAAUUGGCCCGCAGUGCAAAGCCGCUGUAUACGAAGAUCUGCCCGAGGUGAAAAGUCUCACCCUGGACCGCAUCGUUGUUGAUGAUCGGAGGAGCCAUUGGGCCUAAAGAUGAUGACACAGAGGAACUCUCAAUGAAAGCACCAAUGUCGGUGUCAAAACCGGCGGAUCUCGGGUAGGGGGUCCCGAACUGUGCGUCUAGGCGGAUGGUAACAGGAGACAAGGGACACGAUGUUUUUACCCAGGUUCGGGCCCUCUCGAUGGAGGUAAAACCCUACUCAUGCUUGAUUAAUAUUGAUGAUAUGGGUAGUACAAGAGUAGAUCUACCACAAGAUCAGAGAGGCUAAACCCUAGAAGCUAGCCUAUGGCAUGAUUGUUGUUCGUCCUAUGGACUAAAACCCUCCGGUUUAUAUAGACACCGAAGAGGGCUAGGGUUACACAGGGUCGGUUACAAUGGGAGGAGAUCUACAUAUCCGCAUUGCCAAGCUUGCCUUCCACGCCAAGGAAAGUCCCAUCCGGACACGGGAUGAAGUAUUCAAUCUUGUAUCUUCAUAGUCCAGGAGUCCGGCCAAAGGUCAUAGUCCGGUCAUCCGGACACCCCCUAAUCCAGGACUCCCUCAGUCCCACCGAGAUUGCAAUGUAAACUCUCUGUUUCCUUUUCGUGACAUUUUGGUCAAACCGAAAAGAGAGCUCUCUGGUUAUCUUAUUACCAAAAUUGGUCUCACCGAGUUUGUGUAAUCGGUCUCACCGAGAUUACGUUAUGCCCUAACCCUAACCACAUCGGUCCUACCGAGUUGCAUGUCGGUCCCACUGAAAACCCAAACGGUCACUAGGUUUACUAAAUCGGUCUGACUGAGUUUUUUGAUUCGGUCCCACCGAGAUUGGUAAAUUGUGUGUAACGGUUAGAUUUUGUGUGGAGGCCAUAUAUACCCCUCCACCUCCUCUUCAUUCGUGGAGAGAUCCAUCAGAACAAACCUACACUUCCAACUUGCCAUUUCUGAGAGAGAACCACCUACUCAUGUGUUGAGGCCAAGAUAUUCCAUUCCUACCAUAUGAAUCUUGAUCCCUAGCCUUCCCCAAGUUUCUUUCCACUCAAAUCUUCUUUCCACCAGAUCCAAAUCCUGUGAGAGAGAGUUGAGUGUUGGGGAGACUAUCAUUUGAAGCACAAGAGCAAGGAGUUCAUCAUCAACACACCAUUUGUUACUUCUUGGAGAGUGGUGUCUCCUAGAUUGGCAAGGUGUCACUUGGGAGCCUCUGACAAGAUUGUGGAGUUGAACCAAGGAGUUUGUAAGGACAAGGAGAUCGCCUACUUCAUUAAGAUCUACUGCUAGUGAGGCAAGUCCUUCAUGGGCGACGGCCAUGGUGGGAUAGACAAGGUUGCUUCUUCGUGGACCCUUCGUGGGUGGAGCCCUCCGUGGACUCGCGCAACUGUUACCCUUCUUGGGUUGAAGUCUCCAUCAACAUGGAUGUACGAUAGCACCACCUAUCAGAACCACGGCUCAAAAAUCACCGUGUCUCCAAAUUGCAUUUGAAAUCUCCAAACCCUUCCCUUUACAUUCUUGCAAGUUGCAUGCUUUACUUUCCGCUGCUCAUAUACUCUUUGCAUGCUUGCUUGAAUUGUGUGAAGAUUGCUUGACUUGUGCUAAGAUAGCUAAAAUCUGCCAAAGACUAAAAUUGGGAAAAGGUUAAGUUUUUAUUUGGUCAAAUAGUCUAAUCACCGCCCCUCUAGACAUACUUCCGAUCCUACAGUCGUGCACUUUUCUGAACCUGUUGUGCACUUUGUGCAUUUGUUUGAAAGUGUUUUGUUCACAUAACUGUGGAAAUGGGGCUCACACUGGGCUCUCAUAUUGGACCACAGUCCACAAGCUUGCGUAGGUGUCUAUAAAAAGACCCUAACAUGUCCCUUUCCCAUACCACUAAAACCCUAUCUGCCAACAUCACUACAACCCUUGCCUAGCCAAAAAGAUGGAUCCAAGCAUAGGAGAGGUUGUCGACGACCAGAAAGAGAGUUCUAGAGCAGCAAGAAGGGCCGCAGGAGCAGAAAGGAGGGGUCGUAGGGCUCAGGCACGUGAGCAACGCCAGAGGCUAGCUGCCACGAUUAUGGCAGCCUGCAACUCCUCAAUGUGAUGCAGUUCAAGGAGGUGUUCCCAGAUGGAACAAUCAUCACCAAUGGUUUGAUCAUUUGGUGGGCUAGAGAUAGGACAACCUUCCAUCGCUACCAAGUCACAAGGGCUAGGUGGAGCAGAAUCCUUGAUUCUGCGUCUUGAAACAGUUCAAGGUUCAAUACUUCAAUGUUAUCUGAAUUCUCCAAGUCUCUUGUUCUAUGUAUGUGAUGAUGUGUCUGAAAUUUCUCUGAAUGUAUGCGCACUUGUAUGCGUAGAUUUGCUGAAUUUUCUAAAAUUGUGCUCUGAAUGUAUGCGCACUUGUAUGCGUGGAUUUUCUGAAUAUUCUGAAUUUGUGCUACUGAAUGUAUGUGAAUUUGUGUGAUUUUCUCUAGAACAGCUUGAUUUUAACAGUACCUCAGUCAACAAAAUAUGUUUUCACCACGAAAUAACUAUUGCACAACUUUCAACUAACAUCACUUAACCAGCACAAGUUUCACCACACAAUAACUACUGCACAACUACCACCCUGUCAACUACUACUUCACAAGUUUUACUUCUCCACUGCCUCACUCCACCUCUCUUUAACUCCCCCCUCUUUCUUCAGCUACUCUACUCACAUCACUCUACCUCACCACAACUUCACCUCGCUCAACACCACUGCACUCACCACUUCCUGCUCCAACCAUGGCUGCUUCUUCCUCUUCUCCGGACCCAUUUCUUUGUUGGGGAACGUAGUAAUUUCAAAAAAAUUCCUACACACACACAAGAUCAUGGUGAUGCAUAGCAACGAGAGGGGAGAGUGUUAUCCACAAACCCUCAUAGACCGAAAGCCGAAGCGUUAGCACAACACGGUUGAUGUAGUCGUACGUCUUCACGAUCCGACCGAUCCAAGUAUCGAACGUACGGCACCUCCGAGUUCAGCACACGUUCAGCUCGAUGAGGUCCCACGAACUCUGAUCCAGCUGAGCUUUGAGGAAGAGUUCUGUCAGCACGACGGUGUGGUGACGAUGAUGAUGUUCUACCGACGCAGGGCUUCGCCUAAGCAUCACUACGAUAUUAUCAAGGUGGAAUAUGGUGGAGGGGGGCACCGCACAUGGCUAAGAGAUCAAUGAUCAAUUGUUGUUCACUAGAGGUGCCCCCCUGCCCCCGUAUAUAAAGGAGCAAGGGGGAAGGGGGCGGCCGGCUAGGAGGGGCGCGCCAGGAGGAGUCCUACUCCCACCGGGAGUAGAACUCCCUCCUUUCCUUGUCCAAGUAGAUGGGGAAGGAAGGGAGAGAGGGGAGGAAGGAAAGGGGGGCGCCGCCCUCCCCAUCCUUGUCCUAUUCGGACUAGAGGGGGAGGGGGCGCGCGGCCUGCCCUGGCCGCCCCUCCUCUUCUCCACUUUGGGCCCAUGAGGCCCAUUAACCCCCGGGGGGUUCCCGUAACUCCCCGGUACUCCGGUAUAUAUCCGAUAACCCCCGGAACUACCGGUGUCCAAAUAUAGUCGUUCAAUAUAUUAAUCUUCAUGUCUCGACCAUUUCGAGACUCCUCGUCAUGUCCGUGAUUGCAUCCGGGACUCCGAACUAUCUUCGGUACAUCAAAACACAUAAACUCAUAAUAUAACCGUCAUCUAACUUUAAGCGUGCGAACCCUACGGGUUCGAGGACUAUGUAGACAUGACCGAGACAUGUUUCCGGUCAAUAACCAAUAGCAUAGCCUUGAUGCUCAUAUUGGAUCCUACAUAUUCUAUGAAGAUCUUUAUCGGUCAAACCGCAUAACAACAUACGUUGUUCGCUUUGUCAUUCGUAUGUUACUUGCCCGAGAUUCGAUCGUCGGUAUCUCAAUACCUAGUUCAAUCUCGUUACCGGCAAGUCUCUUUACUCGUUAUGUAAUGCAUCAUCCCGCAACUAACUCAUUAGUAACAUUGCUUGCAAGGCUUAUAGUGAUGUGCAUUACCGAGAGGACCCAGAGAUACCUCUCCGACAAUCGGAGUGACAAAUCCUAAUCUCGAAAUACGCCAACUCAACAUGUACCUUCGGAGACACCUGUAGAGCUCCUUUAUAAUCACCUAGUUACGUUGUGACGUUUGGUAGCACACAAAGUGUUCCUCCGGUAAACGGGAGUUGCAUAAUCUCAUAGUCAUAGGAACAUGUAUAAGUCAUGAAGAAAGCUAUAACAACAUACUAAACGAUCAAGUGCUAAGCUAACGGAAUGGGUCAAGUCAAUUACAUCAUUCUCCUAAUGAUGUAAUCCCAUUAAUCAAAUGAUAACUCAUGUCUAUGGUUAGGAAACAUAACCAUCUUUGAUUAAUGAGCUAGUCAAGUAGAGGCAUACUAGUGACAUUAUGUUUGUCUAUGUAUUCACACAUGUAUUAUGUUUCCGGUUAAUACAAUUCUAGCAUGAAUAAUAAACAUUUAUCAUGAUAUAAGGAAAUAAAUAAUAACUUUAUUAUUGCCUCUAGGGCAUAUUUCUUUCAGUCUCCCACUUGCACUAGAGUCAAUAAUCUAGAUUACACAGUAAUGAUUCUAACACCCAUGGAGCCUUGGUGCUGAUCAUGUUUUGCUCGUGGAAGAGGCUUAGUCAAUGGGUCUGCAACAUUCAGAUCUGUAUGUAUCUUGCAAAUCUCUAUGUCUCCCACUUGGACUUGGUCCCGGAUGGAAUUGAAGCGUCUCUUGAUGUGCUUGGUCCUCUUGUGAAAUCUGGAUUCCUUUGCCAAGGCAAUUGCACCAGUAUUGUCACAGAAGAUCUUCAUUGGUCCCAAUGCACUAGGUAUGACACCUAGAUCGGAUAUGAACUUCUUCAUCCAGACUCCUUCAUUUGCUGCUUUCGAAGCAACUAUGUACUCCGCUUCGCAUGUAGAUCCCGCCACGACGCUUUGUUUAGAACUGCACCAACCGACAGCUCUACUGUUCAAUAUAAACACGUAUCCGGUUUGCGAUUUAGAAUUGUCUGGAUAAGUGUUAAAGCUUGCAUCGACGUAACCAUUUACGACUAGCUCUUUGUCACCUCCAUAAACGAGAAACAUAUCCUUAGUCCUUUUCAGGUAUUUCAGGAUAUUCUUGACCGCUGUCCAGUGAUCCACUCCUGGAUUACUUUGGUACCUCCCUGCUAAACUUAUUGCUAAGCACACAUCAGAUCUGGUACAUAGCAUUGCAUACAUGAUAGAGUCUAUGGCUGAAGCAUAGGGAACAUCUUUCAUUUUCUCUCUAUCUUCUGCUGUGGUCGGGCAUUGAGUCUGACUCAACUUCACACCUUGUAAUACAGGCAAGAAACAUUUCUUUGCUUGAUCCAUUUUGAACUUCUUCAAAACUUUAUCAAGGUAUGUGCUUUGUGAAAGUCCAAUUAAGCGUCUUGAUCUAUCUCUAUAUAGAUCUUGAUGCCUAAUAUAUAAGCAGCUUCACCGAGGUCUUUCAUUGAAAAACUUUUAUUCAAGUAUCCUUUUAUGCUAUCUAGAAAUUCUAUAUCAUUUCCAGUCAACAAUAUGUCAUCUACAUAUAAUAUCAAAAAUGCUACGGAGCUCCCACUCACUUUCUUGUAAAUACAGGCUUCUCCAAAAGUUUGUAUAAAACCAUAUGCUUUGUUCACACUAUCAAAGCAUUUAUUCCAACUCUGAGAGGCUUGCACUAGUCCAUAAAUGGAUCGUUGGAGCUUUCACACUUUGUUAGUACUUUUGGAUCGACAAAACCUUCUGGUUGCAUCAUAUACAACUCUUCUUCCAGAAAUCCAUUCAGGAAUGCAGUUUUGACAUCCAUUUGCCAUAUUUCAUAAUCAUAAAAUGCGGCAAUUGCUAACAUGAUUUGGACAGACUUAAACAUCGCUACGGGUGAGAAAGUUUCAUCGUAGUCAACCCCUUGAAUUUGUCGAAAACCUUUUGCAACAAGUCGAGCUUUAUAGACAGUUACAUUACCAUCAACGUCAGUCUUCUUCUUGAAGAUCCAUUUAUUCUCGAUGGCUUGCCGAUCAUCGGGCAAGUCAACCAAAGUCCAUACUUUGUUCUCAUACAUGGAUCCCAUCUCAGAUUUCAUGGCCUCAAGUCAUUUUGCGGAAUCUGGGCUCAUCAUCGCUUCCUCAUAGUUCGUAGGUUCGUCAUGGUCAAGUAACAUGACCUCCAGAAUAGGAUUACCAUACCACUCUGGUGCGGAUCAUACUCUGGUUGACCUACGAGGCUCGGUAGUAACUUGAUCUGAAGUUUCAUGAUCAAUAUCAUUAGCUUCCUCACUAAUUGGUGUAGUUGUCACAGGAACCGGUUUCUGUGAUGAACUACUUUCCAAUAAGGGAGCAGGUACAGUUACCUCAUCAAGUUCUACUUUCCUCCCACUCACUUCUUUCGAGAGAAAUUCCUUCUCUAGAAAGGAUCCGAAUUUAGCAACAAAAGUCUUGCCUUCGGAUCUGUGAUAGAAGGUGUACCCAAUAGUCUCAUUUGGAUAUCCUAUGAAGACACAUUUCUCCGAUUUGGGUUCGAGCUUAUCUGGUUGAAGUUUCUUUACAUAAGCAUCGCAGCCCCAAACUUUAAGAAAUGACAACUUUGGUUUCUUGCCAAACCACAGUUCAUAAGGUGUCGUCUCAGCGGAUUUUGAUGGUGCCGUAUUUAACAUGAAUGCGGCCGUCUCUAAAGCAUAACCCCAAAACGAUAGCGGUAAAUCAGUAAGAGACAUCAUAGAUCACACCAUAUCUAGUAAAGUACGAUUACGAUGUUCAGACACACCAUUACGUUGUGGUGUUCCGGGUGGCGUGAGUUGCGAAACUAUUCUGCAUUGUUUCAAAUGUAAGCCAAACUCAUAACUCAAAUAUUCUCCUCCACGAUCAGAUCGUAGAAACUUUAUUUUCUUGUUACGAUGAUUUUCCACUUCACUCUGAAAUUCUUUGAACUUUUCAAAUGUUUCAGACUUAUGUUUCAUUAAGUAGAUAUACCCAUAUCUGCUUAAAUCAUCUAUGAAGGUGAGAAAAUAACGAUACCCGCCGCGAGCCUCAAUGUUCAUUGGACCACAUACAUAAGUAUGUAUGAUUUCCACCAAAUCUGUUGCUCGCUCCAUAGUUCCGGAGAAUGGCGUUUUAGUCAUCUUGCCCAUGAGGCACGGUUCGCAAGUACCAAGUGAUUCAUAAUCAAGUGAUUCCAAAAGUCCAUCAGUAUGGAGUUUCUUCAUGCGCUUUACACCAAUAUGACCCAAACGGAAGUGCCACAAAUAAGUUGCACUAUCAUUAUCAACUCUGCAUCUUUUGGCUUCAACAUUAUGAAUAUGUGUAUCACUACUAUCGAGAUUUAAUAAAAAUAGACCACUCUUCAAGGGUGCAUGACCAUAAAAGAUAUUACUCAUAUAAAUAGAACAACCAUUAUUCUCGGAUUUAAAUGAAUAACCGUCUCGCAUCAAACAAGAUCCAGAUAUAAUGUUCAUGCUUAACGCUGGCACCAAAUAACAAUUAUUCAGGUCUAAAACUAAUCCCCAAGGUAGAUGUAGAGGUAGCGUGCCGACCGCGAUCACAUCGAAUUUGGAAGCAUUUCCCACGUGCAUCGUCACCUCGUCCUUAGCCAAUAUUCGCUUAAUCCGUAGUCACUGUUUCGAGUUGCAAAUAUUAGUAACAGAACCAGUAUCAAAUACCCAGGUGCUAUUGCGAGCAUUAGUAAGGUACACAUCAAUAACAUGUAUAUCACAUAUACCUUUGUUCACCUUGCCAUCCUUCUUAUCCGCCAACUACUUGGGGCAGUUCCGCUUCCAGUGACCAGUCUGCUUGCAGUAGAAGCACUCAGUCUCAGGCUUAGGUCCAGACUUGGGUUUCUUCUCUUGAGCAUCAACUUGUUUGCCUUUCUUCUUGAAGUUCCCCUUCUUCUUCCCUUUACUCUUUUUCUUGAAACUGGCGGUCUUUUUGACCAUCAACACUUGAUGCUCCUUUUUGAUUUCUACCUCCGCAGCUUUUAGCAUUGCGAAGAGCUCGGGAAUAGUCUUGUCCAUCCCUUGCAUAUUAUAGUCCAUCACGAAGCUCUUGUAGCUUGGUGGCAGUGAUUGAAGAAUUCUGUCAAUGACACCAUCAUCAGGAAGAUUAAUUCCCAAUUGAAUCAACUGAUUAUUAUACCCAGACAUUUUGAGUAUAUGUUCACUGACAGAACUAUUCUCUUCCAUCUUGCAGCUAUAGAACUUAUUGGAGACUUCAUAUCUCUCAAUCCGGGCAUUUUCUUGAAAUAUUAACUUCAACUCCUGGAACAUCUCAUAUGCUCCAUGAUGUUCGAAACGUCAUUGAAGUCCCGGUUCUAAGCCGUAAAGCAUGGCACACUGAACUAUCAAGUAGUCAUCAGCUUUGCUCUGCCAGACGUUCUUAACAUCGUAAGUUGCAUCUGCAGCAGGCCUGGCACCCAGCGGUGCUUCCAGGAUGUAAUUCUUCUGUGCAGCAAUGAGGAUAAUCCUCAAGUUACGGACCCAGUCCGUGUAAUUGCUACCAUCAUCUUUCAACUUAGAUUUCUCAAGGAACGCAUUAAAAUUCAAUGGAACAACAGACGAGCCAUCUAUCUACAACAAACAUAGACAAGCAAAAUACUAUCAGGUACUAAGUUCAUGAUAAAUUUAAGUUCAUUUAAUCAUAUUACUUAAGAACUCACACUUAGAUAGACAUCCCUCUAAUCAUCCAAGUGACCACGUGAUCCAAAUCAACUAAACCAUGUCCGAUCAUCACGUGAGAUGGAGUAGUUUUCAAUGGUGAACAUCACUAUGUUGAUCAUAUCUACUAUAUGACUCACGCUCGACCUUUCGGUCUUAGUGUUCCGAGGCCAUAUCCGUAUAUGCUAGGCUCGUCAAGUUUAACCUGAGUAUCCGCGUGUGCAAUUGUUUUGCACCCGUUGUAUUUGAACGUAGAGCCUAUCACACCCGAUCAUCACGUGGUGUCUCAGCACGAAGAACUUUCGCAGCGGUGCAUACUCAGGGAGAACACUUAUACCUUGAAAUUUAGUGAGAGAUUAUCUUAUAAUGCUACCGUCAAUCAAAACAAAAUAAGAUGCAUAAAGGAUAAACAUCACAUGAAAUCAAUAUAAGUGAUAUGAUAUGGCCAUCAUCAUCUUGUGCUUGUGAUCUUCAUCUCCGAAGCACCGUCAUGAUCACCAUCGUCACCGGCGCGACACCUUGAUCUCCAUCGUAGCAUCAUUGUCGUUUCACCACCUAUUGCUUCCACGACUAUCGCUACCGCUUAGGGAUAAAGUAAAGCAAUUACAGGGAAAUUGCAUUGCAUACAAUAAAGUGACAACCAUAUGGCUCCUGCUAGUUGCCGAUAACUCGGUUACAAAACAUGAUCAUCUCAUACAAUAAAAUAUAGCAUCACGUCUUGACCAUAUCACAUCACAACAUGCCCUGCAAAAACAAGUUAGACGUCCUCUACUAUGUUGUUGGAAGUUUUACGUGGCUGCUACGGGCUGAGCAAGAACCGUUCUUACCUACGCUUCAAAACCACAAUGAUAGUUCAUCAAGUUAGUGCUGUUUUAACCUUCUCAAGGACCAGGCGUAGGCACACUUCGUUCAGCUAGAGUUGGAGAAACUGACACCCGCCAGCCACCUAUGUGCAAAGCACGUCAGUGGAACCAGUCUCGCGUAAGCGUACGCGUAAUGUCGGUCCGGGCCGCUUCAUCCAACAAUACCACUGAACCAAAGUAUGACAUGCUGGUAAGCAGUAUGACUUGUAUCGCCCACAACUCACUUGUGUUCUACUCGUGCAUAUAACAUCUACACAUAAAACCUGGCUCUGAUGCCACUGUUGGGGAACGUAGUAAUUUCAAAAAACUUCCUACACACAUGCAAGAUCAUGGUGAUGCAUAGCAACGAGAGGGGAGAGUGUUGUCCAUGUACCCUCGUAGACCGAAAGCAGAAGCGUUAGCACAACGCGGUUGAUGUAGUCGUACGUCUUCACGAUCCGACCGAUUCAAGUACCGAACGUACGGCACCUCCGAGUUCAGCACACGUUCAGCUCGAUGACGUCCCUCGAACUCCGAUCCAACCGAGCUUUGAGGGAGAGUUCCGUCAUCAUGACGACGUGGUGAUGAUGAUGAUGUUCUACCAACGCAAGGCUUCGCCUAAGCACCGCUAUGAUAUUAUCGAGGCGGAAUAUGGUGGAGGGGGGCACCGCACACGACUAAGAGAUCAAUGAUCAAUUGUUGUUCUCUAGAGGUGCCCCCUGCCCCCGUAUAUAAAGGAGCAAGGGGGGAGGGGGCGGCCAGCCAGGAGGGGCGCGCCAGGAGGAGUUCUACUCCCACCUGGAGUAGGACUCCCUCCUUUCCUUGUCCAAGUAGGAGAGGGGGAAGGAAGGGAGAGAGGGGAGGAAGGAAAGGGGGGUGCCGCCCCCCCCCAUCCUUGUCCUAUUCGGACUAGAGGGGGAGGGGGGCGCGGCCUGCCCUGGCCGCCCCUCCUCUUCUCCACUUUGGGCCCAUGAGGCCCAUUAACCCCCCGGGGGGUUUCGGCAACUCCCCGGUACUCCGGUAUAUAUCCGAUAACCCCCGGAACUAUUCCGGUGUCCGAAUAUAGCCAAUAUAUCAAUCUUCAUGUCUCGACCAUUUCGAGACUCCUCGUCAUGUCCGUGAUCACACCCGACACUCCGAACUAUCUUUGGUACAUCAAAACACAUAAACUCAUAAUAUAAUCGUCAUCUAACUUUAAGCGUGCGGACCCUAUGGGUUCGAGAACUAUGUAGACAUGACCGAGACAUGUUUCCGGUCAAUAACCAAUAGCGGAACCUGGAUGCUCAUAUUGGCUCCUACAUAUUCUACGAAGAUCUUUAUCGGUCAAACCGCAUAACAACAUACGUUGUUCCCUUUGUCAUCGGUAUGUUACUUGCCCAAGAUUCGAUCGUUGGUACCUCAAUACCUAGUUCAAUCUCGUUACCGGCAAGUCUCUUUACUCGUUAUGUAAUGUGUCAUCCCGCAACUAGUCAUCAUCGGUGAAUAUCUUCAUGUUGAUCGUAUCUUCUAUACGACUCAUGCUCGACCUUUCGGUCUCUUGUGUUCCGAGGCCAUGUCUGUACAUGCUAGGCUCGUCAAGUCAACCUAAGUAUUUUGCAUGUGUAAAUCUAGCUUACACCCAUUGUAUGUGAACAUUAGGAUCUAUCACACCCGAUCAUCACAUGGUGCUUCGAAACAACGAACUUUCACAACGGCGCACAGUUAGGGGAAACACUUUCUUGAAAUUGUUAUGAGGGAUCAUCUUAUUUACUACCGUCGUUCUAAGCAAAUAAGAUGCAAAAACAUGAUAAAGAUCACAUGCAAUCAAAUAGUGACAUGAUAUGGCCAAUAUCAUUUUGCUCCUUUGACCUCCAUCUUUGGGGCGCCAUGAUCAUCAUCGUCACCGACAUGACAUCAUGAUCUCCAUCAUCUUGUCUCCAUGAAGUUGUCUCGCCAACUAUUACUUCUACUACUAUGGCUAACGAUUUAGCAAAGAAGUAAAGUAAUUACAUGGCGUUAUUCAGUGACACGCAGGUCAUACAAUAAAUAAAGACAACUCCUAUGGAUCCUGCCGGUUGUCAUACUCAUCGACAUGCAAGUCGUGAUUCUUAUUACAAGAACAUGAUCAAUCUCAUACAUCACAUAUAUUUUAUUCAUCACAUCCUUUUUGGCCAUAUCACAUCACAAGGCAUAUGCUGCAAAAACAAUUUAGACAUCCUCUAAUUGUUGUUGCAUGUUUUUACGUGGCUGCUAUAGGGUUCUAGGAAGAACGUUUCUUACCUAUGCCAAAACCACAACAUGAUAUGCCAAUUUCUAUUUACCCUUCAUAAGGACCCUUUUCAUCGAAUCCGAUCCGACUAAGGUGGGAGAGACAGACACCCGCUAGCCAACUUAUGCAACUAGUGCAUGUCAGUCAGUGGAACCUGUCUCACGUAAGUGUAUGUGUAAGGUCGGUCCGGGCCGCUUCAUCCCACGAUACCGCCGAAACAAGAUAAGACUAGUAGUGGCAAGUAAAUUUACAAAAUCUACGACCACAACAAAAUUUUGUUCUACUCGUGCAUAGAAACUACGCAUAGACCUAGCUCAUGAUGCCAGUGUUGGAGAUCGUUGCAGAAAAUAAUAAUUUUCUACGCAUCACCAAGAUCAAUCUAUCGAUAAACUAGCAAUGAGAGAGAGGGGAGUGCAUCUUCAUACCCUUGAAGACAGCAAGACGGAAGCGUUGCAAGAACGCGGAUGAGGGAGUCAUACUCGAAGCGAUUCACAUCGCAGUGGAUUCCGAUCUUAGCGUCGAACAACGGCACCUCCGCGUUUAACACACGUGCAGCCCGGUGACGUCUCCCGCGCCUUGAUCCAGCAAGGAGGAGGGAGAGGUUGAGGAAGAGGGACUCUAACAGUAGCACGACAGCGUGGUGGUGAUGGAGCGGCAGUACUCCGGCAGGGCAUCGCCAAGCUCUUGCGGAGGAGGAGAGGUGUUGGGGAGGGGAGGUGCUGCGCCUUGGAUGUGGUGCUAUAGCCCUCCCCUCGCCCCUCUAUUUAUAGGAGGAGGGGUGCUACCUCUUGAGCACUGCGUUGGAUUUCCCCGAAGAGGAGAGGAUGAUGCAGUAAAGUAGCGUAAGUAUUUCCCUCAGUUUUUGAGAACCAAGGUAUCAAUCCAGUAGGAGAUCACGCACAAGUCCCUCGUACCUACACAAAACGAUAGCAACUCGCAACAACGCUUAGGGGUUGUCAAUCCCUUCACGGUCACAUACGAGAGUGAGAUCUCAUAGAGAUAAUAGUUUUGGUUUUUUUGAUAGAUAGAUGCAAAGUAAAAAGUAAAAGGCAAAGUAAAACCAAGCAAGUAAAUAAAGUAAUAUAGAUUGAUAUGAUGAGAAUAGACCCAUGGGCCAUAGGUUUCACUAGUGGCUUCUCUCAAGAGCAUAAUUAUUCUACGGUGGGUGAACAAAUUACAGUUGAGCAAUUGAUAGAAAAGAGAAUAAUUAUGAGAUUAUCUAAGUAUGAUCAUGUAUAUAGGCAUCACGUCCAAAACAAGUAGAUCGAAACGAUUCUGCAUCCACUACUAUUACUCAACUCAUCGACCGCUAUCCAGCAUGCAUCUAGAGUAUUAAGUAAAACAGAGUAACGCUUUAAGUAAGAUGACAUGAUGUAGAGGGAUAAAUUCAUGCAAUAUGAUAAAAACCCCAUCUUGUUAUCCUCGAUGGCAACAAUACAAUACGUGCCUUGCAACUCUUUCUGUCACUGAGUAAGGACACCGCAAGAUUGAACCCAAAGCUAAACACUUCUCCCAUGGCAAGAACUACCAACCUAGUUGGCCAAACCAAACGGAUAAUUCGAAGAGACUUGCAAAGAUAACUCAAUCAUACAUAAAAGAAUUCAGAGAAGAAUCAAAUAUUGUUCAUAGAUAAGCUGGAUCAUAAACCCACAAUUCAUCGGUCUCAACAAACACACCGCAAAAAGAAUAUUACAUCGAAUAGAUCUCCACAAGAGAGGGGGAGAACAUUGUAUUGAGAUCCAAAAAGAGAGAAGAAGCCAUCUAGCUAAUAACUAUGGACCCGAAGGUCUGAAGUAAACUACUCACACUUCAUUGGAGAGGCUAUGGUGUUGAUGUAGAAGCCCUCCGUGGUAGAUGCCCUCUCCAGCGGAGCUCCGGAACAGGCUCCAAGAUGAGAUCUCGUGGAUACAGAAGGUUGCGGCGGUGGAAUUAGGUUUUUCGCUCCGUAUCUGAUCUAACGGGGGUACGUAGGUAUAUAUAGGAGGAAGGAGUACGUCGGUGGAGCUCCAAGGGGCCCAUGAGGCAGGGGGGCGUGCCCAGGGGGGCGCCCUCCACCCUCGUGACCGCCUCUGGCACUUCUUGGAGUAGGGUCCAAGUCUCCUGGAUCACGUUCGGUGAGAAAAUCACGUUCCCGAAGGUUUUAUUCCGUUUGGACUCUGUUUGAUAUUCUGUUUCUUCGAAAUACUGAAAUAGGCAAAAAAACAACAAUUUUGGGCUUGGCCUCCGGUUAAUAGGUUAGUCCCAAAAAUAAUAUGAAAGUGGAAAAUAAAGCCCAAUAUAGUCCAAAACAGUAGACAAAGUAGCAUGGAGUAAUCAAAAAUUAUAGAUACGUUGGAGACGUAUCAAGCAUCCCCAAGCUUAAUUCUAGCUCGUCCUCGAGUAGGUAAAUGAUAAAAAAGAAUUUUUGAUGCGGAGUGAUACUUUGGCAUAAUUUCAAUGUAAAUCUUCUUAAUUGUGACAUGAAUAUUCAGAUCCGGAAGAUUCAAGACAAAAGUUUAUAUUAACAUAAAAGUAAUAAUACUUCAAGCAUACUAAUCAAAGCAAUCAUGUCUUCUCAAAAUAGCAUGGUUAAAGAAAGUUAUCCCUACAAAAUCAUAUAGUCUGGCUAUGCUCUACCUUCAUCACACAAAGUAUUUAAUCAUGCACAACCCCGAUGAUGAGCCAAGCAAUUGUUUCAUACUUUAGAAAUCUCAAACUUUUUCAACUUUCACGCAAUACAUGAGCGUGAGCCAUGGACAUAGCACUAUAGGUGGAAUAGAAAGGUGGUUGUGGAGAAGACAAAAAGGAGAAGAUAGUCUCACAUCAACUAGGCAUAUCAACGGGCUAUGGAGAUGCCCAUCAAUAGAUAUCAAUGUGAGUGAGCAGGGAUUGCCAUGCAACGGAUGCACUAGAGCUAUAAGUAUAUGAAAUCUCAACAAAAGAAACUAAGUGGGGGUGCAUCCAACUUGCUUGCUCAAGAAGACCUAGGGCACUUUUGAGGAAGCCCAUCAUUGGAAUAUACAAGACAAGUUUUAUAAUGAAAAAUUCCCACUAGUAUAUGAAAGUGAUAACAUAUGAGACUCUCUAUCAUGAAGAUCAUGGUGCUUAAUUUUGAAGCACAAGUGUGGAAAAAGGAUAGUAGCAUUGUCCCCUCUCUCUUUUUCUCUCAUUUUUUUAUUUUUUAUUUGGCCUUUCUCUUUUUUUUUCUUUUUUUUGGCCACUCCUUUUUUUUAUAUUUUUUUUCAUAAAGUCCGGAGUCUCAUCCCGACUUAUGGGGGAAUCAUAGUCUCCAUCAUCCUUUCCUCACUGGGACAAUGCUCUAAUAAUGAUAAUCAUCACACUUUUAUUUUUCUUACAACUCAUCAAUUACAACUCAAUACUUAGAACAAGAUAUUCGAUAUGAAUGCCUCCGGCGGUGUACCGGGAUAUGCAAUGAAUCAAGAGCGACAUGUAUGAAAAUUAUGAAGGUGGCCUUGCCACAAAUACAAUGUCAACUACAUGUUCAUGCAAAAAGCAAUAUGACAAAAGUAAUGUGUGUCAUAUGAACGGAACGGUGGAGAGUUGCAUGGCAAUAUAUCUCAGAAUGGCUAUGGAAAUGCCAUAAUAGGUAGGUAUGGUGGCUGUUUUGAGGAAGGUAUAUGGUGGGUGUAUGAUACCGGCGAAAAGUGUGCGGUAUUAGAGAGGUUAGCAAUGGCGAAAAGGUAAGAGUGUGUAUAAUCCAUGGACUCAACAUUAAUCAAAAUAACUCAUGCACUUAUUGCAAAAAUUUAGAAGUCAUCAAAAACCAAAGCAUUAAACGCAUACUCCUAGGGGGAUAGAUUGGUAGGAAGAGACCAUCGCUCGUCCCCGACUUCCACUCAUAAGGAAGACAAUAAAUAAAUAAAAUUGUGCUCCGACUUCAUCACAAGCGGUUCACCAUACGUGCAUGCUACAGGAAUCACAAACUUCAACGCAAGCAUUCUUUAAAUUCAUAAUUACCCCUACUAGCAUUGCUUUAAUAUUAUCACCUCCAUAUCUCAAAACAAUUAUCAAGCAUCAAACUUAUCUUAGUAUUCAACGCACUCAAAAGAAAGUUUCACAAAUCUUGAAUACCAAGUAUAUUAACUUUGAGCAAUUUACCAUGCUAUUAACAACUCUCAAAAUAAUCUAAGUGAAGCAUGAGAGAUCAAUAGUUUCUUUAAAAUAAAUCCACCACCGUGCUCUUAAAGAUCUAAGUGAAGAACUAGAGCAAAAAUUAUUACUCUCAAAAGAUAUAAGUGAAGCACUAUGAGCAAAACUAUCAAGCUCAAAAGAUAUAAGUGAAGCACUAUGAGCAAAACUAUCAAGCUCAAAAGAUAUAAGUGAAGUACAUAGAGUAUUCUAGCAAAUUCCACAUCAGGUAUGGCUCUCUCAAAAGGUGUGUACAGCAAGGAUGAUUGUGGCAAACUAACAAGCAAAGACACAAAUAAUAAAGAUGCUCCAAGCAAAGCACAUAUCAUGUAGUGAAUAAAAAUAUAGCUCCAAGUAAAUUACCGAUGGAAGUAGACGAAAGAGGGGAUGCCUUCCGGGGCAUCCCCUUGCUUUGACUUUUUGGUGUCCUUGGAUUAUCUUGGGGAUGCCAUGGGAAUCCCCAAUCUUAGGCUCUUCCCACUCUUUGUUCCAUAAUCCAUCAAAAGAAUUCACCCAAAACUUGAAAACUUCACAACACAAAAUUCAAUAGAAAUCUCGUGAGCUCCGUUAGUGAAAGAAAACAAAACACUACUUCAAGGUACUGUAAUGAACUCAUUCUUUAUUUAUAUUGGUAUUAAACCUACUGUAUUCCAACUUCCUUAUGGUUUAUAAACUAAUUUAUUAGCCAUAGAUUCAUCAAAAUAAGCAAACAACACACGAAAAACAGAAUCUGUCAAAAACAGAACAGUCUGUAGCAAUCUGUAACUAACGCAAACUUCUGGAACUCUAAAAAAUCCUACCAAAAUAGUACGCACUAGAAAUUUUUUUUAUUGAUCAGAAGCAAAAAGAAUCAAUGCAAAAUCUCGUUCCUUUGAUUUAUUGAAUUUUUUCUCGUGAGCGCAAAGUUUCUGUUUUUCAGCAGAAUCAAAUAAACUAUCACCAUAGCUUAUCCUAUAGGUUCUACUUGGCACAAACACUAAUUAAAACACAAAACCACAUCUAAACAGAAAGUAGAAACAAAAUUUAGCACUAAACAAGAACACAAAAUAAAAUUGGGUUGCCUCCCAACAAGCGCUAUCGUUUAACGCCCCUAGCUAGGCAUAAAAGCAAAGAUAGAUCUAAGUUUUGCCAUCUUUGGUAGGCAAUUCCUCAAAGAGGCAUCUACCUCCUUCAGAAUUUCCUUUAUUUCUAGUAAUUAUCAAAUUUUCAGGCAAAAGAUCAAAAAAUUCAUUCAUAGCAAAAGGUUCCUUAAUGAUAGUAAAAAGAUUGGGAUGAACACUUAUAGAUUUAAGAUUCGCAGUUUCCUUACUAGAUAAUUCACCCUUAUUCCUAGGAACAUAAAUUAGCUUAGUAUUUUUAGUAGAAGAACUUGGAGUGUUUUGUACGGAAGAAAAAGCGGUUCCCAAAUUGGUAAUGAUACCCUCAAGUUUAUCGUUUCUUGUGGAAUCUAGAUUUAUUUUAUCAUUAACUAUGGGUUCUUUUUCUUUAAUAUUCUUCAAAGUCAUUCCUACCUUAGAUCCAUAUUGGGUAAUUUGAUUGUGGAUCUUUUUAUAAAGAUUUUCAAUUGAUUCAAUGGUAGCAACUUCAUUAUCAAUAAUUUCAAGUAUUUGCAUAACAUGCUCCAAAGUUAAUGUAGUUCCAUUAAUCAAAAGAGGUGGGGUGCCGAAUAAAUCUAUUAAAGCAUUAUAGGAAUCAAAAGUGUGGCUACCCAAGAAAUUCCCUCCAGUAAUGGUAUCAAGGAUAUAUCUAUACCAAGGAUUAGCAACUACGUAAAAAUUACGACGAAGAACUGAAGUAGAUUGCUUCCUGGUAGAUCUAUUUUGAGCAUUGCAAAUUCUAUACCAAGCGUCUUUCAGAUUUUCUCCCUCCCUUUGUUUAAAAUUUAGAACUUCAUUCUCGAGAGAUAAUGGAGAAGAUAAAGAAUUAGACAUGACGACAAGCAAGCAAGCAAGCACACAGACAGGCAGGAGGACAAGCGAAGAAAGCAAAAGAGAAAGAGAGGAGGAGAUUGGGAAAGAGAGGGCGAAUAAAACGGCAAGGGUGAAGUGGGGGAGAGGAAAACGAGAGGCAAAUAAUGUAAUGCGAGAGAUAGGGAUUGUGAUGGGUACUUGGUAUAGUUGACUUUUGCGCGAACUCCCCGGUAACGGCGCCAGAAAUUCUUCUUGCUACCUCUUGAGCACUGCGUUGGAUUUCCCCGAAGAGGAGAUGAUGAUGCAGUAAAGUAGCGUAUGUAUUUCCCUCAGUUUUUGAGAACCAAGGUAUCAAUCCAGUAGGAGAUCACGCACAAGUCCCUCGUACCUACACAAAACGAUAGCAAUUCGCAACCAACGCUUAGGGGUUGUCAAUCCCUUCAUGGUCACUUACGAGAGUGAGAUCUGAUAGAGAUAAUAUUUUUGGUAUUUUUGAUAGAUAGAUGCAAAGUAAAAAGUAAAAGUCAAAGUAAAACAAAGCAAGUAAAUAAAGUAAUAUAGAUUGAUAUCAUGAGAAUAGACCCGGGGGCCAUAGGUUUCACUAGUGGCUUCUCUCAAGAGCAUAAGUAUUCUACGGUGGGUGAAAAAAUUACUGUUGAGCAAUUGAUAGAAAAGCGAAUAAUUAUGAGAUUAUCUAAGUAUGAUCAUGUAUAUAGGCAUCACGUCCAAAACAAGUAGAUCAAAACCAUUAUGCAUCCACUACUAUUACUCCACUCAUCGACCGCUAUCCAGCAUGCAUCUAGAGUAUUAAGUAAAACAGAGUAACGCUUUAAGUAAGAUGGCAUGAUGUAGAGGGAUAAAUUCAUGCAAUAUGAUAAAAAUCCCAUCUUGUUAUCCUCGAUGGCAACAAUACAAUACGUGCCUUGCAACUCUUUCUGUCACUGAGUAAGGACACCGCAAGAUUGAACCCAAAGCUAAACACUUCUCCCAUGGCAAGAACUACCAAUCUAGUUGGCCAAACGAAACGUAUAAUUCGAAGAGACUUGCAAAGAUAGCUCAAUCAUACAUAAAAGAAUUCAGAAAAGAAUCAAAUAUUGUUCAUAGAUAAGCUGGAUCAUAAACCCAAAAUUCAUCGAUCUCAACAAACACACCGCAAAAAGAAGAUUACAUCGAAUAGAUCUCCACAAGAGAGGGGGGGAACAUUGUAUUGAGAUCCAAAAAGAGAGAAGAAGCCAUCUAGCUAAUAACUAUGGACCCGUAGGUCUGAAGUAAACUACUCACACUUCAUUGGAGAGGCUAUGGUGUUGAUGUAGAAGCCCUCCAUGGUAGAUGCCCUCUCCGGCGGAGCUCCGGAACAGGCUCCAAGAUGGGAUCUCGUGGAUACAGAAGGUUGCGGCGGUGGAAUUAGGUUUUUGGCUCCGUAUCUGAUCUGACGGGGGUAUGUAGGUAUAUAUAGGAGGAAGGAGUAUGUCGGUGGAGCUCCGAGGGGCCCAUGAGGCAGGGGGCGCGCCUAGGGGGGCGCCCUCCACCCUCGUGACCGCCUCUGGCACUUCUUGGAGUAGGGUCCAAGUCUCCUGGAUCACGUUCGGUGAGAAAAUCACGUUCCCGAAGGUUUUAUUCCGUUUGGACUCCUUUUGAUAUCAUGUUUCUUAAAAAUACUGAAAUAGGCAAAAAAACAACAAUUCUGGGCUGGGCCUCCGGUUAAUAGGUUAGUCCCAAAAAUAAUAUGAAAGUGGAAAAUAAAGCCCAAUAUAGUCCAAAACAGUAGACAAAGUAGCAUGGAGUAAUCAAAAAUUAUAGAUACGUUGGAGACGUAUCAAGGGGUAAGGGGGCCAGCCCCCUCUAGAUGAGAUCUAGAGGGGGGCGGCGGCCAAGGGGGGGGGACUUGCGCCCCAAGCAAGGGGGCGCCCCCUUUAGGGUUUCCCCCCCAACCCUAGGCGCAUGGGCCCAAGGGGGGUUGGCACCCAGCCCUCUAUGGGCUGGUUCCCUUCCCUCUACAGCCCACGUGGCCCUCCGGGGGAGGUGGCCCCUCCCGGUGGACCCCCGGAACCCUUCCGAUGGCCCCGGUACAAUACCGGUAUGCCCCCGAACUUCUUCGGUGACCGUAUUACAAUUUCCCAUAUAUAAAUCUUCACCUCUGAACCAUUCCAGAACUCCGCAGGACGUUUGGGAUCUCAUCCAGGACUUCGAACAACAUUCGGUAAUCACAUACAAGUCUUCCUAAUAACCCUAGCAUCAUCGAAUACCUUAAGUGUGUAGACCCUACGGGUUCGGGAAUCACGCAGACAUGACCGAGACAGCUCUCCGGCCAAUAACCAAUAGUGGGAUAUGGAUACCCAUGUUGGCUCCCACAUGUUCCAUGAUGAUCUCAUCGGAUGAACCACGAUGUCGAGGAUUCAAGUAAUCCCAUAUACAAUUCCCUUUGUCAAUCGGUACGUUACUUGCCCAAGAUUCGAUCAUCGGUAUCCCAAUACCUUGUUCAAUCUCGUUACCGGCAAGUCACUUUACUCGUUACAUAAUGCAUGAUCAUGUGACUAACCUCUUAGUCACAUUGAGAUCAUUAUGAUGAUGCAUUACCGAGUGGGCCCAGAGAUAUCUCUCCGUCAUACGUAGUGACAAAUUCCAGUCUUGAUUCGUGCCAACCCAACAGACACUUUUGAAGAUACCUAUAGUGCACCUUUAUAGUCACCCAGUUACGUUGUGACGUUUGGUACACCCAAAGACCUUCUACGGUAUCCGGGAGUUACACAAUCUCAUGGUCUAAGGAACUGAUACUUGACAUUAGAAAAGCUUUAGCAAAUGAACUACACGAUCUGGUGCUAUGCUUAGGAUUUGGUCUUGUCCAUCACAUCAUUCUCCUAAUGAUGUGACCCUGUUAUCAAUGACAUUCAAUGUCCAUAGUCAGAAAACCAUGACCAUCUGUUGAUCAACGAGCUAGUCAACUAGAGGCUUACUAGGGACAUGUUGUGGUCUAUGUAUUCACACAUGUAUCACAGUUUUCGGUUAAUACAAUUAUAGCAUGAAUAGUAGACAAUUAUCAUGAACAAGGAAAUAUAAUAAUAAUCAUUUUAUUAUUGCCUCUAGGGAAUAUUUCCAACAGUCUCCCACUUGCACUAGAGUCAAUAAUCUAGUUACACUGUGAUGAAUCGAACACCCAUAGAGUUCUGGUGUUGAUCAUGUUUUGCUCGUGGAAGAGGUUUAGUCAACAGAUCUGCGACAUUCAGAUCCGUAUGCACUUUGCACUACAAAAAAAGGACACGUCCAUGACAUUUUGGGCCGAACGAAUUUUUUUCUGUCAUACAUAUGACACUUCUAUGACGAUAAUUGUGACAAAACCCGGUAUCACCAUAGAUGUGGUGGGCUCCUACUUCUAUGACAAAAAAUCAUGACAGAAAAUGGGCUUUUCGUCCUGGGCGGGCCGGAGACGCAGCUACAUUACAUUCUUUGGGCCAUCCAUGACGGAAAAAACCAUGGUAGAAGCGAGGGUGAGGAAAAUUUCGGGGAGUUGCCGGUUACGAUGGGAGGUCGGGGGCCGAGCGAUGCACGUUUCUCUCGUACACGUACGCGCGUGUGUGCGAGGCGUUGGCUCUAACUGAACCCGAGAGAGGUGUUGGCCUCUAACUGAACCCGAGCGAUUGCACUGCAGGCUACGCGUUACUGAACCCGAGCGAUCGAUCGAUGGCUGUUAACUGAACCUGAUCGAGCGAUUCGUUCGCUACUGCUGCUAACUGAAGCCGAUCGAUGCCGCCUCUCUGGAUGAACAGUGAGCGUUGCGGUGGGGUUUGGAUGAAUAGUGAGCUGUGGGAGUGGACAAACACGACCCGUGGUGUUGCCUCUGGAUGAACAGGACCCCGUGGUGUGGAGGGCUGGAUGAACAGGACGACCCCGUGGAGGGCUGGAUGAACAGUAGACGGUGGAGGGGUUGCCCGUGGAGGGGUGGAUGAACAGGACCCCGUGGUGUGGAGGGCUGGAUGAACAGUAGACGGUGGAGGGGUGCCCGUGGAGGGGUAGUUGAACAGUAGCCGCUGGAGUAGCGCGCGGUGGAGGCUGGAUGAACAGGAGCCCGUGGAGGCUGGAGGAGGUCGACGGUAGCCCGUGGAGGCUGGAGGAGGUCGACGGUCGAGAUGAACAGUAUCCCGUGGAGUCCUGUUUUGCAGUACGCCACACCCCUCCCGAUGAACAGGACCCCCGUUUCGACCUAGCGCUCCAACACAAGUCCGUUUCGUCCAUUUUGCGGUACACCACACCCUCCCGAUCAACAGGUCCCCCGUUUCGACCGUAGGAGGUCCGUUUCCUCCGUCUUGCGGUAUGCCACACCCCUCCCGAUCAACAGGACCCCCGUUUCGACCGUAGGAGGUCCAUUUCCUCCGUUUUGCGGUACGCCAGACCCCUCCCGAUGAACACGACCCCCGUUUCGAACGUGGCCGGUCGAACACAAGGCCGUUUCCUCCGUUCUGCGGUACGCCAGGCCUCGUUUCCAUCGCCUGUUCCAUCCAAGCCCUUCCGAUGAACACGACCACGCAUUCCAUUCCGACCCAGCCGGUUGGCUCCCCAUGAACACGAUGACGACGCUAUUUCUCCGUUCCGACCCAGCCAAUGUACACGAGCCCUGGCCAUACGCAUAUAUGCACGAGUAGGCGUUUGAGACCCCGCCCGUAUGUACACAUACGUGGCCGUAUUUUCUUUCUUGCACCCUGGCCGUUGUACGUACGUGUACAUGCUAUGUGCGCGCCUCUACUACGACACGUGCGCGCCUCUACAUCCACCAGUAUAUAUGUACGUACACGUUCGCGACCAGAAUGACAACACUACGUACGCUUCGACCAGGUGGGUCCCGACUGUCAGACACUUCCUUGCGUGUGAAGAUGUAGCUGGUGGGUCCCAGCAGUUAGGGGGGUGAAUCAUUUUUUUUUCGGACGCACUUCCUUGCAUGCGAAGAUGUAGCUGGUGGGUCCCAGCAGUUAGGGGGGUGAAUCGUGUUUUUUUUGCCCGGACACACUUCCUUGCGUAAGAAGAUGUAGAUGGUGGGUCCCGGCAAUCAGGGGGCGAAUCGUCUUUUNNNNNNNNNNNNNNNNNNNNNNNNNNNNNNNNNNNNNNNNNNNNNNNNNNNNNNNNNNNNNNNNNNNNNNNNNNNNNNNNNNNNNNNNNNNNNNNNNNNNNNNNNNNNNNNNNNNNNNNNNNNNNNNNNNNNNNNNNNNNNNNNNNNNNNNNNNNNNNNNNNNNNNNNNNNNNNNNNNNNNNNNNNNNNNNNNNNNNNNNNNNNNNNNNNNNNNNNNNNNNNUUUUUUUGCCCGGACGCACUUCCUUGGGUGCGAAGAUGUAGCUGGUGGGUCCCAGCAGUCAGGGGGCGAAUCUUUUUUUUUUGCCCGGACGCACUUCCUUGCGUCCAAAGAUGUAGCUGGUGGGUCCCAGCAGUCAGGGGGCGAAUCGUUUUUUUGCCUGGACGCACUUCCUUGCGUGAGAAGAUGUAGCUGGUGGGUCCCAGCAGUCAGGGGGAAACGUUUUUUUCGCGAAAUACAGUGGCCCGUCCGGUGGGUCCCAGCUGUCAGGUGGAGGAAUAAUUAUUUUUCGCGUAAUAAGGAGGCACUUCCUUGCUGCAGCCAUGGACCCAGCUGUCAGCCUCUCCACGUACAGUCCACGUCCGAUGGAAGUCGUUCCUUGACCAUGUUGACCAUGCCGCGCCGAGAGCACCAGGGCGGUGGACGACGGCGAGGCCUAGGAAGGGGACGACGGGGAGCCGAGGAAGACGCGGCAGUGGAAGCCCGCGCGGAGAGGAGUACUAGGGUUCACUGGUUCGGCUGCGGUGUGAGGCUGCCGUCGCCGCAGGGCCUGGCCAGCGGUGGGAAUAGUAGGGGGCGGUGAGGCCUCCGCGUCAGCAUAGCCGGCCACAGAAGGCAGGAGCAUGCGGCACGACCGGCGCUGCUUUGGGCGACUGGAGCAAGAAGACCAGAGGUUGAAGAAGCACUACGACCGUUGGAUGGACAUCGUACGGUCACUGGAGCUAGAAUCGUUCAUAUUGAAGAAGCAGCACCGCCGUUGGAUUAACAUCCAAUGGUCACUGCUGCUAGGAUCGUUUGUGGACUAAGUUGACAAAGCCAAAGUACACGUCAACCUAGUAGACCCACAAGUCAGCCUCCAAACCUGUCCCAAACAGCAUACAACCCGAAAUUUCUAGCCAGAUUCAAAUUAAUUUUAAAUCUAAAUAUACCUUAUUUUAAAUUCAAUGAAAUAUUACCCGCACAAAAAUAAUGAAAUUUUAAAUAUCAAAAUCUGAAAGAAAACAUUAUUUUGGAACUAAUUGCCUGUUUGCUGUAUUUUUUUCAUUUUAUAGCCCAUUUAUUUUUACUUAUAGCCCAUUUCUUAUUACUUAUAGCCCAUUUUCUGGGCAAAAUGCAUCCCUCCUCGUCUUGAAAGAUUUCCGGCCCAGCAGGGCGUAGAAAAGCAAGUAGGCCUAUGUUGGUUAUUCUGCAAAAAACAAAAUAGCUGGCUAGCCAUUUUUCAGAAUGGAAAAAAACAAAUUGGGCUGGUCAUGUGCUAAACAUAUGAAAUAAAAGCCUGGGCUAGAUGGGCCACGGGUCCCGCACAACCCAGUUGAUACCCUUCUCCGUCCCGAAAAAACAAAAUUACUAUGCGCGCUGCUGGGUCCCUACUGUCAUCCUCACCAUGUACAGUCAUCUCCUUAUUCCUCUUGGUUGUUGACCAUGUUGACAACACCGGAGGGCGUCGCCGCAGCGAGCGAACCAAGGCGGAGGACGAUGGUGAGGCCUCAGACGGGAAAGAACAGGAGCCGGGGAAGAUCACAGAUAGCCGUGGGAGGCGAGAGCAGGCGGUCCCGCCGGCGCUGGUUUGGCUUUGGCGGCUCGAGGAAGAAGAGACUGAAGAAACGCGACAGACGUUGAAUGUAAAUCCAACGGUCAAGGUUGGCACAAUCGUUUGCUGACUAAGUGGACACCAAGUAGCAUACUUUUUUAUAUAUAGGAAGAAAACUGCGAGGAAAAUGCGUUUGUCUACCGUCCUCCUCACAGGGAACGUUCGCCACAUAAGUGACUAGCACCCAUGGUUUUCAACCGAGAGGUCUUGGGUUCGAGUCCCAGGAAAUCUCAAUUUUGUCCUCCUUCCUUCCUUGCAAAAAAAAGGGAAAGAAAAUCAAAGACUUGGGAAGGCGUACAGAACAAGCUAGUGUACCAGUAAAGAGACAUUGCCGAGUUUUAGAAAAAAGAGAGACGUGCUCAUGUAACUGGUUCGAAUCCAAACCUAGACUAUGACUAUAUAUGGUGCUAUGCUACUCUGCAAGUAAUGAAACUGAAAUAUCCAAUGUUCGCUUCUCCUCUUCUCUACUUACUCUGCCUAGCAUCAGAAGCUCUGGGCGCAGCAACCAUGUCCACUGGCUGCUCGUCCACCUGCUCUUCAGCAGGCAACAACCAAAUAUGGGCCAAGUCACCACCCGUACCAUCGCCUGUGGGUCUCAUCACACCCCCGCCCGCAGUGCACCGCAGCCGAUUGCUCAUCGCAACCCGCUGCCGUUGGUGUGGUGCCAUUGCUGCAAAUCACGCAGAGUCAUCCAUCGCGUCUCAACCACAAUCCUCAACCCUGGCCGAGUCUUCUACAAAUGCCCGAAUCAUGGGGUAAUAAUAUGUUAAAGUGUUGUUCUGCUACUUUCAGUUGCUAAUUUUUUUAAUAGUUUGGUUGAUGAUCUUCCAAUUUGAUUCGUGCAGAAAAGGGAAGAUUCAUGUGAUUUGUAUUUCUGGGAAGUUGCUGAUGUGGGGGAAUGCAACUACGCUGAUUAUUUGGUUAGCCGAGGAAUCCCAAUACCAGCAGGUUGGGGUGUUGGACAAGUAACUAAAGGAUUGACAGAAGAGGAAGAUGCAGAGCAGAAGGUUAAAGAGGCAGUUCCUCUGAUCAUGGCCAAGCAACAGCUGCUGAACAGCCUUGACAGCAAUGAGGAGAUGAAAGAGCUUGUGAAGAUAAUGGGAAAAUCGAUGUGCUCUGUAGGAUGAUUGUCUCUUUAUCUACAGUGUAUGUAGCACUCGUGAUGUAUUCAGUGACUACGACAUGAGCACUUUGCUGAAACUAGUAAUGAAUGAAACCUGUGUAGCAGGCUGGGCGUAGUGUUGUGAACAUCUAAUGAUUUCUAUUAACGGAAAUCAGGGGGUAUCCCCUUUUUCUCAUAAAUAAAUAAAUAAUAGAGGCCCUGUCGAGUCAGCUUUGUUCUCAUUCGAAGACGUCGAGCAAAUUGCAGUCCAACAGCAAACUAUGUCAUCAAAUUCAAGUUUCACAGCCAAAUAUGAGUACAACUAAACAACAAUUUCAUCAUGUUUUAGUUGUCAUACAAUCACCAAACACAAAUCAGCAUACAUAACAAGUAAUGUUCUCACAACAAAAUACUAAACAACUUGUUCAUCAGGUUUCAGUUGUCAUAGCAAACACAAUUUCACAUAGUAGAUAAAAAACGUCUUCUAACAGGCAAAUACGACAAAAGUAAUGUAAUCAUCAUCCGCAGCAGCAGCGUCAACAUAUUCGCCAUGUGUAUCAGUCUGAAUCGUAAUUCCCCACGGUGUCAUCUUCUUCUUCGUCCUCAACGUCCUCGAAUGUUGGCUUCUUCUUGAUCAACUCUUGUAUGUCCACAGCACGACAGGCAAUCUUUUCGCCGGCGUCAUUGAUGUGAUGGUUCUCGAAGAUAUUAGGAACAUUUGUGUUAUCUUGUACAUCAGGAGCAGUGUAAGCAUCAUCUUGUUGUGCAACUUCAUUAAACGAAUUCCUCUGCUCAAACCUUUGCAAUACUCUCCAGUCAUCGCUACGUGCAAAUGUGUCUUCCAAGAAAAAUAUUUGUGUUGCUUGAUUUGCCAAAAUAAAAGGCUCGUUGGUCUGGUACACCGCCUUGACAUUGAUGGAUUUGAAUUAAUCAUCAGCUCUGGGUUUUGCGAUCCUGGAAAAUAGGUUAUACCAACGACAUCACAACAGAACCACACACCGAUGAUCCUUGAAACUGUAGAUAUACUACAACUGAACAAUGUUUGUUAUGUUAGCAUACAUUUCAGUUGUCUCUUUGUCAUACGUAUCCGUGCUCAUGAUGUCACUGUUUUGUGUCUUCCUACCUUCGUCUCAUGCAAGGGUGUUGUAGCGCACAUCUCCAAUAACGCAAGAUUCAUAAUGUCUUACCCGAGUAUCAAGACCCAUUGCUAGUGAGUAAAGGGCAUCAUCAACUGCCUGCCCAUCCUCCCGCAUCUUCUUAACCUAUGGUUAGAAAAUAGACAAGCUGAUCAUCUUAUUUACUCAAUAUAUUAAAAAAACUGACAGUGCACUUCAAAAGCUUACAUGGUUCUUGAACCAUUUCGCAAAUCCUGCCAUAACCAGUUUGUCGAUGUUUCUUGGAUUUUGCAGUAACUCCUCUUUGUAGAUGCUGCACAACAUAGUGAUCGCGUCAAACAUCUAAAUAUAUAAGAAUGUGCUGCAAGUUUAGUAGAUUACGAUGUAUAAGCUGCAGUACUGCACUUACUUGAUAUAAGGUAGUAUCUGAGGACAGUUAUUCAACACAUACCAAAACAUUUUGUCCAAAUCUUUAGGUUUGUCCUCUUGUCGACUCUUCCCUGUAACUCGAACAGAAUAAUCGAAAACAUUGAGCCCGGGAUUGUCUUCACCCACGUCUUUGCUAAGCUGAUCAGCUGUUUCAAUGUAUUUUGAGCAGAAUGUCAACACUUCUGUAGCAAUGUAGGCCUCUGCAAUGGAACUCUCGGGUCUAGCUCUAUUCCUAACAUAGCCCUUGAAAGUGCCUAGCCGCCUUUCAAUAGGGUACAUCCAGCCAUACUAUACUGGACCUCUAAGUAGUGCCUCAUCAGGUAGAUGAAUAGCCAAAUGCACCAUCACAUCAAAGAAGGCUGGAGGAUAUAUCUUCUCAAGGUCGCAUAGGAUAGUUGGUAUCUUGUCUCUAAAACGCUCCAAAGCAUCUAUCCUGAUAUUUCUACUGCAGAGUUCCCUGAAGAAUUGUCCCAACUCUGCAACUGCUCUGUAUAAGUCAGGGCGGCCCAAUCCUCUAAGGAUAACAUGUAAAACCCUUUGAAGUAGGACGUGGCAGUUAUGAGUUUUCAACCCUUGUACCUUGUUUCCAUCUGCACUGACUCUCCUUUCAGGGUUGGAAGCAAAUCCAUGUGGGAAUCCCACACAUGAUAGGACCUCGCAGAAUUCUUUUCUUCUUACCUUGUCCAAGACAUACACAGCUGGUGCCAUAUACCGUGGUUUACCUUCAUCUUGCACCUGCAAAUCCUUUCUGAUACCCAGGUGUGUCAAAUCAAUCCUAGAUUUUAAGGUAUCUUUCGUCUUGCCUUCAAUAUUAAGAAGUGUGCCGAUAAUGUUGUCACAUAUAUUUUUCUCGAUUUGCAUCACAUCAAGAUUAUGCCACAGAUCUAAAUCUUUCCAAUACUCCAAGUCCCACAAAGUGGACCUGCGGGUAAACAAUAAUCUCUCUUCUGCCCUGCCACGCUUCCUUUUCCUGCUAGCAUUACCAGGAUGGUUUCUUGGUGUAAUAUGCCUGACCUUCUCUAAUUCCACUUGCAACUCAUCGGCGGUGAGCCUCUUUGGCCCAUCACAGUUUUCAUGCUUUGCAUUGAACACAUGUCUUCGCUAUUUUCUAGGAUGCGGCUUGUCCUUGGCAAGGAAACGGUGGUGUCCAAUGUAAAAGAUCUUGCUAAGUAUUGUGUAUGACAGCGGAUUCUUGUCACAGCGAACACAUGCAUUGUAACCAUGUGUCGUUCGCCCUGACAUAGUGCCCCAAGCCGGAUAAUCAUGGAUGCACCAAAUUAUAAUAGCACGUAGAAAGAAAUCAGCUGGUGGGCUGCUAUAUAGGUCUCGAGUGAGAACACCCUUCCAUAGCUGUUGAAGUUCCUCCACAAGAGGCUCCAUGAACAAAUCAAAAUCCUUUCCCAGACUUUUUGGACCUGGGAUGAGCAAGGCCAUCAUGUAGUUUGAUUCUUUGGUGCAGACAUUUGGAGGCAUGUUGUAAGGGAUAACAAGCACUGGACACAUGCUAUAUGUGGUGCUCUGGUGGCCAAAUGGGUUAAAUCCAUCUGAAGCUAAGCCAAGUCUAAUGUUUCUCGGGUCAGCAGCAAACUUUUUGUGUUUAUCAUUGAAGCUUUUCCACUCACUACCAUGAGAUGGAUGGCUCAUUACAAUCUGAUCUCUGUACUCCUAGUUCCUAGAAUGCCACAGUACAUCCUCUCUUGUUUCAGCAUCAUGAACCAACCUCUGCAAUCUUGGUGUAAUUGGAAAAUGUCUCAGAACAUUAUGAGGAAUCCUCUUCACAUCAUCGCCAUCUUUCCAUCUUGAUGAUUUGCAUUUCAGGCAUUCACUUAAGUUGGCAUAAUCCUUCUGGAACAGAACACAAUUAUUCUUUCAAACAUGGAUCAUAUCAUAUCCAAUUGCAACAGCACGAAGGAAAUUCUUCAUUUUACUGUAGGUGUGUGGCAGCUCAGACGCAUCUGGGAAAGAUUUGCGGAAAGCACCCAACAUCGCAUCGAAUGAUUUGUUGAUCAUUCGCUCAGAUGUCUUCACCUGAAGAAAGGUGACCAUAGCUGAAAAUACUGAAAGCUUAUUUCCUGGGGUGACAACAACGUUGCUUUGUUCCAACAUGCAGGCCCACCAUUUUUCUUCUGCAGGUGAAAGUUCACGGAAUGCAUGAGCAUUUUGUAGCAUUGUUUCAAUGUUGGUCAAACUCACUGGCUCUGCCACCUCCUCCUCCUCCUCCUCUUCCACCUGAGCAUCAGGUAGAUCAAGAUGGUGAUCUGCUUCUUCCACGUAGUCAAUAACAUUGACGUUCACAGCUUCACCAUGAUGAACCCACCUAGUAUAUGUGACCGACAUCCCAUACAAGUGUUGAUGAUUUUGCACAGUUGACUGGGGUCUUGUAACUGAAUUCAUACAACUGCUACAUGGGCAGAGCACAUCUGAUUUCGGACCACCGUACUCAGCUCUGAUAAAGAUCAUGAAGUUUUCAACCCUCUCGACAUAUGCAGCGGAGAAUCUUCGAGCAGAAGUUAUUUCAAGUCCUGUCCAUCUGUUAGACAUACAAAUUAGUUCUUCUACUAGAUACUACAGGAAAAACAUAUAUGCUUUUUUAUGAAGUCUAGAAAAAAUACCUAGGUCGAUGUCUAAAGCUAUGGCAAGAUAUUUGGACGAGCAGAUCUAAGUAACGAAAUAUAUGUAAAGCUAAUUUAGCAAACAGAUUUGAGUGCUAAAUUAUGGCAGGCUGUUUCAGUAGUCAAUGAGGCCGAGCACACAGCCAUCAAACUAUCGAAGGCCAUCGCAGCAACAAAGAUCGAGUAUAAAACGGUGUAGAGCUAUUUCACCUAACAGAUUGGCUACUAGACCAUGGCAAUCUACGUCAAAAUAAAUAUAUGGCAGGAUAUUUUUGCAACUAAUCGGCCUUGGCAUGCCAUCUCAGCUAAGCAGAUUGAGUGCAGAACAGGGCAAGGAAGCUUCUUAAGUAGAGCAUAUUCACAAUAAACCACUUCAGCAAACAGUGAGAUUACCAGCGUCUAUCAGCUAACAUUCAGCGCUACACCGACAUGAAUGGGGCCUCAGUCUAGAAUGCGCGUACCGUGGGAGAAGCUGACCGCCGUGCGUAUCCACAUGAACGUCUCCAGCGGUGGCGGCGCUGACCGCGGUGCGCCUCCACAAGAACAUAGCCAGAGGUGGCGGCGCGGCUAGAGGACGGCAGUCUAUGAUAUCAUACUAUGGGAGCGAGAGGAUCAUCGUGCGUCCCCUCGAUGAACCGCGGUGCCGACGUAUCAGCGCGGCAGGGAGGGCGGGUUUGGCGGAGCGAAUGGAGUGGAGUGGGACGGUGGGGGGGGAGGGGGUUUGGGNNNNNNNNNNNNNNNNNNNNNNNNNNNNNNNNNNNNNNNNNNNNNNNNNNNNNNNNNNNNNNNNNNNNNNNNNNNNNNNNNNNNNNNNNNNNNNNNNNNNNNNNNNNNNNNNNNNNNNNNNNNNNNNNNNNNNNNNNNNNNNNNNNNNNNNNNNNNNNNNNNNNNNNNNNNNNNNNNNNNNNNNNNNNNNNNNNNNNNNNNNNNNNNNNNNNNNNNNNNNNNNNNNNNNNNNNNNNNNNNNNNNNNNNNNNNNNNNNNNNNNNNNNNNNNNNNNNNNNNNNNNNNNNNNNNNNNNNNNNNNNNNNNNNNNNNNNGGGGGAAGGAUUUUCGCGCGGUGGGCGAGGGGAGUUUGGCGCAUGGUCGGUUUCUCCAAGUGCAGUCCCACGUGUCAGUGAAGAGGCAAGCCGAAGCGCGUGAGUGCGACAGGAGUGCUGUGAGUGUACCGCCUUUUUUCCUCAAAAAAAAUUAGGUGCUUUGCCCCCUCAAAAAAAAAAUUGUUGCUUCACGCGAUCCAUUGAUACUACUACUAAAACGGCGCAGCCGGGUCUUCUCCCGCGCGAUAUGCUGGGAGGUUGGCUUAGUUGGGUUUUUUAGGAUGAGUAAUGUUACACCUAGUAAUCCCAGUUAUGUAAUUAACGUAAUGUGAAACGUGUGAGCUGUUGAUUGUAGAUUGGGGGGAGGGAGGGGCCCACCACCAUGAAAAUCAGGGGAGGAGAGAGAGAGAGGCAAUUUACGUUAACCCUUUCGUAGGUUCCCGUAGAUGUAGAAAGAUGUGAAAUGCGUGAAUGUGUAGUGAACGUACUAUUGGAGUGCCUAAGAUAAUUUGUGUAUGUAUAGACCCUAUGUGUUUAUUUUACUUCGCAUGUUAGAUUUGUAUCGGUUCAAUAAAAAGCAGAGUUAGUGAUGAUGGUGUGCCUGUCAUCCUGCAAUAUCGGCCGUCCGAUCUAUAUCUAAUGGAUAGGAAGGAAACUAUGACAAUUUACCCACACUCCACUCCACAUUUGAAGAUAAGGCUUUCCCUCGUUCAUCCUUUUCUCCCACAAGAUCUUGAUCUUCCAUGCAACGCACGGGCAUCUUGCUAGUACUCCUACAAUAUGUAUAUUAUUGUGAAAGUUCAUAUACACCAGCCAAGAUUAAUGCAAGCACGGCAUAUUUUCAUUACAUUUCGAACUUCUAUAUGACAGAAAAAUAAAAGAAACCCGACCCCAAACCUGUUCUACGGCCGUACAGCGGCGACCGACGUCCUCCAUCUGCGAUCUCUAUGUACAGGGGCGAGGUUCAAGACCCGUAAAGUGAAGGUGCAGUCUCCGGCGAGGAAAAGUAGAACACGGGAGACGGACCGACCAGUUGGCACACCAUGCCCUGCUGCCUCCCAUGCCCUACUCAUCCUCGGAGGAGUCCCUGACCUCGGCGGUGCCGGACGUUGGACGGGGGCAAGAAGGACGCGUGGCUGACGGUGCUCCUGUCGUCGGCCGCCAGCGUGGCCACCGCUUGUGCGGUCGCGUCCGCGUCCGGCUACGCCGCUAUUGCGUCGCGAGAGGCGACUUGAGCGAGGGCGGCGACCUCGACCUUCAUCCCCGAAGAUAAGCUCUCCCACAGAGUGUUCGCACUUGCGGUCAUGGCAGAUGUGGUGCCAGGUAGGAGGACGAUGCGCUAUGGUGUGGAGGUUAGCUGGGCGUUGUCGCUUUAAGUAGCGCAUUCCGGUGAGGCCAAGUGUCCGGGUGAGUCAUUAAGUUGCCGGAGUUGGUUCCUCGGGCACCGAGCCUCUUAACGACGACAUACGAACGGACGGCAUGAAUGCGGGCAGCUGGCGCCGGCUGGGAACGCACCACGCGACGGCGCGAGGGACGAGGGUUUUGGUGUGCCAGGGUAGUCAGCUGCGGUCAUGGCAACGUUGGAGAUGCCCUUUGCUCACAUGUGAUCCCCGCAUGUCAUUGAAAAAGCAAGAUGACCCGGCAUGGUCUAAGGUCCAGAGGAUGCAGUUGGCCGCGCUACACCACUCCGCGGACGCGUCACGGUGGCCCGUGCAUACUCGAUGAGCCGGGUGUUGGGGUGUGUUUGGAUUGUGGCCAAAGUGCACCUUACCAAAAUUUUGGUCAUGACCCAAAGAUUCGUCUUUGUUUGGAUGGUUGCCAUUUUUUUUGGCAUGCCAAUGAACUCUAGCCAACUCUAUUUCAUUUUUCUUGCCAAUGUCGGCCAAAUCAUGGGCAACCAAUACCUGAACCAAAAUUUUGGUCAUAACACAAAGAUUGUUCUUUGUUUGGAUGGUUGCCAUUUGUUUGGCAUGCCAAUGAACUCUAGCCAACUCUAGUUCAUUUUUCUAGCCAAUGUCGGCCAAAUCAUGGGCAACCAAUAGCUCAACCAAAAUUUUGGCUACCCAAUGCUUUGAUGCGGCAACCUUGGGCACAAACAAAACAUACUGUUGGUCGUGCCACAACACUAACGCCACCCUCGGCACACUGAAACCGACCGUGUCUAGCGACGAUAUGAGUGUGUCGCUCACCGCGGUCGCCGUGUCCAGAGGCGGUGCUGGAGCUGCGCCCCGUUGUUGGCCCCAACAACCCACAUGAACGGUUGUCGGUGGCGAGGAGGUCAUGGGCCAGCUCCUCCAUUGGACUAGUCUGCGCUAUGUCGUCCCGACGGGUGUGCCCCACAUGUCGGUUUCCUUGUUUUCCCGGCCAUAUUCGAGCGUCAGUGCUCCGCGUUGCGCAUUAGGCCUUUCACUAUGUAGGCCAAGCGAGACAACUUAUUAUUUAUUUGAGCAGUUCAAGUAUAAUCACGUGGCGUCUGCUUAUUUCUCAUUCCUCUCCAACCCUCUUCUCCAUUGAUCAUGUCGCCCUCCAGUCGAGUCCAUCCUCCCGCAUGCCUCAUUUGAACAUUCCGCCGAGUAUCAUUAGCAUGUACCCACCCUAGUCCUCUUUCAAUAGAUCUUCGGGCCCCGAGAUGAGAUCGAGAGGGAACGAGUGCGGGCACGUGAUACCCAAGGCGGAUUCAAAAUUUUGAACCGGUGAUCAUAGCAUCCGCAAAUCAUAUAUAAAGGGUAUUCAAUGUUCAUUUCGUUUUGAACGUACAAUAUACUCCCUCAUAUCCUUUCUAGUUUACAUAUAGGUUUUAUGUGUAGUCAAAGUAUCUCUACUUUGAUCAAGAAGGUAUCAACAUUCAACAGCGCCCAAUCAAUAUUGUUAGAUUCGUACGUACUCCUAGAUUUGUACUCGAGAUGGUUUCCAAUUUGACCAUUGACAAGAUUAAUAGUACAUGAGAUGUAUAAUGUUUAAAUUAUAUCAUUGGAAACUCCUUUCACAUACGAAUUUGACCGUAUGCUUUGUGUAAGUUGCAUGUCAUAUAUUAUUACUCUAACAUUUGGUCAAAGUUAGCCUUGAAAAACGCAUUAGACCCUGUAUGUUUUGUGUAAGUUGCAUGUCAUGUAUUAUUACUCUAACAUUUGUGUAAGUUGCAUGUCAUAUAUUAUUACUCUAACAUUUGGUCAAAGUAGUAUAGUGGAAGUGGAUCCUCUCACGUAGGUAUCCCUGCCUUACCCUCCCUUUCGGUCACUUACUGGCAGACCCCAUGCUUGCUAGGCCCCGCAUGUCAGUCACUCAAUGGGUUCGACCACGUCAGGGGAUCCUCAUCCGUAGUAUACUCCCUUUGUUUUUAUUUACUCCGCAUAAAACGGAGGGAGUGGUGGUAUAAUAAAUGACGUGGGCGGGGGAGGGGGAGGGACGUCGGUUUGCUCUCAAUUGCGGUCCCACAAGACAAAGCGUGUUCCAUUCGGUGAGCAACGUGGAGGGUCCAGCGUGCCGGGCUGCAACGUGAACGCGACAAGAGUGAUGUACAGUCAAAACCGAUUGACCGGUCGUCACCGGAAUAACUAUUCACACCAGAACCUUCGCUGCUCAGCCUACGCCAGCCACUGCCCUAAAACCACACCAAAUCUCCAGCCCAUGCCCCCACCUUUUGAUCCCCUAGCCCGCAUCAAGCGUCCCCUAGUUCACCGGAAAGCCAUGGUGCGCCGCAAGAUCACUUACUACAAGAUGCUGACGCCGGAGCACUGCGCAGAAAUCGCUGCGGCGGUCGGCGCCACAGACUUCCAUUCCCAAGCUCGCUUUGCGGCAGGCCAAUCCCCGAGUUCUUUAGAGCCAAGCUACGAGGAGGAGGAAACCGAUCCAAUGUUCAUGGCGGAGGUCGCGGUGCAGAAGGCCCCCGAUGGGUAUGAAACGAUGGACGUCGACUUCGUGCCGGUGUCCGAGUCCCCCAUGGUGCAGGCGGACCAGCGGUUCAACAUGGCGAUACUAAAGGAGGACGGGGAGGCAGAGGCUCGAUUCGACAUGGAGCGCACGCAUGCCGCUGCCAUCGAGGCUCUCCUGCAGGCAGAACCGGAUGUCGUGGAUGUGAACCGGGUGGCGGAGGCACAACUUGAGGCGGAGUGCGCGGAUGCCGCUGCCAUCGAGGCCCUCUUGCAGGCGGAACCGGACGUCUUGUACUUGAACCGGGCGGCAGAGGCUCGACUCAACGCAGAGCGCGCGGAUGCCGCUCUCAUUGACGCCCUCCUGCAGGCAGAACCGGAAGUCCUGGACUUGAACCGGGCGGCGGAGGCUCGACUUGACGUGGAGCGCGCGGAUGCCGUUGCCAGCGAGGCCCUCCUGCAGGCGGAACCGGACAUCCUCGACUUGAACCGGGCUGUGCUCUUGUCCGUGCAGAGUGCCUGCACGCUCCGCUUGAACGAGUAUCUGGAGGCCGAGGACAACCACGGUGCGGAGACACACGUCGACAGCUACGGCUGGUUCGCGCCGGCAGCCAAAGACGACGAGGCCGUCUCUUUCCGCGAGCAAUGCUAGUUUUUCUUUAUGUUGUUGUUUUUAUGGAUCUUUUGCUGUGUGAAAACUUAUAUUUGUUAUGAAAGUCGCCUGACUUGGGUCAGUCUACCAUUUCAGGCGGUUGGAUGAAUAUCCUACGUCUCCUAACCCUUCUUUCCUUCUUCCUCACCUCUUCUUAUUCCCCAACAUACCACCACACGGGCUGUAUGGAUACUCCCCAACAUGCGGUUGGAUAAACAUACUCUAUGAACCAAAAUUAUGUGUCAGCGAUAGGAUGGCUGAGUUUGGUUUGUUCACAUGCGACAACACGUGUCAGUGAGGGUGUGUUCCCUUGGUUGGGUUUGCAGCGUGCAGGAGCGACUGUGUGAGGGUGCGGUGCGACCGCGACGUGCAGGAGUGACCGUGUGAGGGUGCGGUGCGACUGUGACAGCCAUGCGCAAGUGUACCUCCUUCUCAUUUUGAAAACUUUAGGCAAGCUUGGCAAAAAUGUGUGGAGAAGUUUGGCAAUGCAAGGCCUAGACCAAAAUAGGAUAAGUACGUACGUACUAGGAGUACUAGUGUUAAAAAAGAAAGGCGGGGUUUUCCUUCGCGGGAUUUAAUCGAUACAAAUCCUCGUUUCACAUGUCAAUUAAUGCGUAUUUUUUCUCCAAAGACCAAAGAACUAAUCAUCUCACUCCUCAUCGCUUGAUCAAUGCAGCGCCAUGCAAACUAACCUUCUCACUUCUACAUGCAUGCAGGGGAUAUUAAUGUCCUUGGUUGCUAACCCCAUCAAUUUUGUCUCGAUUAGUGUUAGUGGCCCUUUGCAAAUUAUAAUUUUGAUAUAUUGGCCUUGUGUACAAAAAAUGGAGGUACUAAUAACUAUAUUGGACUUCCUUCCCCAUUGCGAUGCUGUCGAUGAUAUCUCUUUUUUUGUGGUUUGGCGAAGUGCUUUCAAUGGAGAACACCAUUGAGGAAGACCACGGUAAGUCGUUCGCAAGUGCCGUCUGCAAGCUGAGACAACCACCUUAUUUGCAUCCAAGAAGUCCGUUGAACCAAAGAACUAGUACUACUAGGAGUACUAGUGUGGUGAUCAGCGAAGCGGAGUCAGCGAAGAGUGAAAUGAUGGUUGCUUCGUCCGUGCUUUUGUGAUUUGACGCCUUGCUGCUUUGUGAUUUGUGAUAGAAGGGAUAGGCGAGUAGACUCUGUGCUCUAUACUGUACUACUAGUACAUGCGUCCAAGCAUGGGAGAAAGAGGAGAGACGUUGCAUUUUUCUAUUCCUUCAAUCAAUCAAUCAGGGAGCUUCGGUUCCAUCUUUUUGGCUUUGGCAACACCGUCCACAAUGGUUCCCACGAUGCCAAAAGCUAUUUUCACAUUUGGCUACACAUUGUGGAUGCCCUUAACCGUACCACUUGGUUUUGCUCCUAUGUGGUAUCUAUACAAAUCUCAAUUAUAUUGAUCUAAAAAAUUAUAGAAUCAAGAUUAGUAAAAAGGAGGUGAUUUUGCCACGCGGAUGGCGGGGGAGGUUUCUUAUUUUCAAAGGACGUUGUCCUGGUGGUUUGCUAACAUGCGGUCCCACGUGUCAGUGCUUUACCAAGCCGAUCCGCGUCCCACAUGAGGCAGAAUAACGGCAGAAGCAACACGUGGUUAAGUUGAAGAAGAUGAGGGAGAAGCGGAUUCAGCAACGAGUGAAAUGAUGGUUGCUUCGUCCCUCCAACUUUUUUUAGCAUUAUUACUUCGUCCCUCCAACUUAACUGUGGGAAAGGUGCAGCUUUGUGAUUUGACGCCUCAUUGCUCAUUACUACACCGGCACCAUGACUGGGGUGCUUCACCCCGGCUGCUCUGCUCUAUAUUCCGGUAUAGCACGUGGACCUGGUAGCUUGAUGUCCCACAUGUCGGUGAAAGGGACUAGAAGAUUUAUGAAAGGGAGCGAUCCACUCUUACGACGGAGGAGUAGACGACACGACGGCCCAGUGAACUGUCACUUGUACUGUAUAGUACUAUAGUUUUGCUGUGUGGCACGAUCCAUUGAUACAAACCCGAUUAAACAGGAAAGGGCGGGAUUUUUCCCGCGCGGUAGAUGAUACAGGCCAUACAUUUCAAAGGCAAUUUUAAUGUAUGCAAACUGAAUAAUUAUAAGUAACAAUAUGAUAUCUAGUAAAACUAAAAACACAUAUGAUUUAUUGUGUUAGAGUGUAGUAGUAGUGCUGUAACAUGCGAGAACAUGUAGAGAUGUAGUUUUGGAGGGCCUACAGAGAGAAAAGUGUAAUACGGUCACCGAACUUUAGAAUAAGCUGAUUACGGUCACCAUAUACAUUUUGCGGUGAUUAUACGGUCGCUUGCUCACGGUUCAGCAUUGGAUUGCACUCUGUUGACUGGCCAAAUAGUCUGCGUGGCGCCAUGUUGACUAGUUAAACUGACCAUGUUCCUUGUGGGUCCCACUUGUCAGUUCGCAUAGGGAAAGGUCAGAUAAACACAAAUUUACGCAGGCGCGACAAGGCUCCAACCCGUGCGCGGGAAUCACCUGGUUGUGUAUGUGUCUCUCAUGUCCUGAUGUGUGCGCAUACACGUGUAGGUUGAGCACUUGAGCGUGAGAGUGUGUGUUGGUCGUGUGGUGUACUGGUGUGUGCAUGCGUGCAUGCGUGUGAGUGUUGCGUGCGUGUGUGGCUGCGUGUGUACGUGUGAGUGUUGCGUGCGUGCGUGGGUGCAUGUGUUUGUGAGAGUGUUGCAUGGAUGCAAUUCGUGUGCAUGCGUGCGUGUGUGUUAAAACAGACGACUCAGCAUACCAAUACAAGGCCACCUUGUCCGUUGUGCCCGCGGUCAUGACUUCUAACCACCGUCCAAAUAUUUUUUUGUCGUUUGUUUUCAUUCUUACUAGCAAGAUGCCCGUGCGUUGCACGUAACAUCAAGAUGCAUUUGUAUGACUUGUUUAUCUUGUGAGAGAAAAGGAUGAACAAGGGAAGGCCUUAUUUUCAAAUGUGGAGAGGUGUGUGGGUACCUUUUUGCAAAAUUGCCAUAGUAUCCUUCCUAUCCAUCAGAUAUAAAUCGGACGGCCUAUAUUGCAGGAUGGCAGGCACACCAUCAUCACCAACUCUGUUUUUUAUAAGAGUGUGUAUUUUAUGUAUUUUAUAAGAGUGUAGAUGUAGAGUAGAUACAAGUCGACAGGUGGGGCAUGAUGGUAGUGAGAUAAUGUGAUGCAACACUAGAGGUGCCAUGUGGAGCGUUUAAUUGGUCAACUAGUCAUGUCAUGAGCAAAUACUGAGUUGUACGGUGAGCCUGUGACUGUAUAAUAACCACUAAACGUAAAUGGUGACCGUAAUGAGUGGAUUCUGAAGUCCAAUGUGCGUAUCGUGUUUUCGCUUCAAAUACAAUGAUUGUCAUUGCAUAUAUCGUGAGAGAAAGAUGAAACAUGCNNNNNNNNNNNNNNNNNNNNNNNNNNNNNNNNNNNNNNNNNNNNNNNNNNNNNNNNNNNNNNNNNNNNNNNNNNNNNNNNNNNNNNNNNNNNNNNNNNNNNNNNNNNNNNNNNNNNNNNNNNNNNNNNNNNNNNNNNNNNNNNNNNNNNNNNNNNNNNNNNNNNNNNNNNNNNNNNNNNNNNNNNNNNNNNNNNNNNNNNNNNNNNNNNGGGUAUGCGAUAGAGAGAGAUGCUCUUCGUUUCUCUUUAUUAUGACUAACUUUGUAUAUAGUAUAAAAAUAUACAAAUUCAUAGUGCGGAAUAAAUAUCAUUGUGGGCACCAUGCAAUGCAAAUUAGUGUUCGUACUCCUCCAUAUAACUUUGUAAUGUUGUAUAUAUGUAGAAACUCUAAAAUAAUUUUUUGGCCACACUUUAUUCAAAAGGAACGUUGUAUGUGAAAUAAACGUGAAGAGAAGGCUUUUUAGAUCAAUGGGGUACGUGAUGUAACAUGUGUGAAUGUGUAGUUGAUGCAUUUGGCGGGGCCUAGAGAGGUAUGUGUGUGUAUUACGAGUGGUCUAGGGAGAGAGAGAGAGACGAAUAUGAUGUCACGACAAGAGAUUCCAUUCCCUUGAGUGUGUAUAUGCAAGGGGGGAGGGAAUAGAGGCACCAAGAGAAAUUUUCUGCGUGUGUGGUGUUUGUGUUGGUAUGUGUGGGUGUGACAAGAUAAUGAGACAUGGGGGCAGAGGGUGUGUCACCGCGUGAGGUCCGGUGGGUCAAGGUGAGGCCCUUCGUUCGGUUCCGUCCUGCGCCGCAUUGUUCGGCCCAUGACGCAUUUAGCAAGACCCAUGGAUGACUAGUCGUACAAGAGAAAGAUAGCAGAAUUGUGAAGGACUCUGGGUCCACUGACAAAGUCAGCUAGGAUUUGUAACCCUAGGUUCUCGGACUAAGGUAACCCCUUUAUCUCUGAUAUUACUAUUCAUCCAACCUAGCUUUAAGGGGCAUCCUACAGAAUGCUCUACUAGAAUCAUACUCGUCGAUUAGGAAGAGAGGUGUGAGACAAUGCGUGAGAGACAUGCCUAAAGAUAAUGUGCGUACAUGAGACACGUAGGCAGGUCCAUGUAUAUAGAAAGGGUCGAUGGGGAUUACGCGUGUGUAUGUUUGCGAGAGGAAGAGUGCUUGUGAUAAAGGUUAGUGAAAACAGUUGUAAAUGGUUACGAGAGGGAGGGAGGGUAAUAUCUAGAGCAUGUGUGCGAGAAAGACACCUCGGGAGAGAGUGUGUGAGCAUGUGUGAGAGACCACCGAUGGAGAGUGAAACUACACGUAAAAGACUGCUAUACACAUUGAUUAAAGAUAUAAAUUGUAUCCAAAUAUUAGGAUGGGAUCAUGAUAUUUGCAGUUCGCGUAAGGAGUGGUCAUUGAUCCAUCAGACAUCUAGAUUCUAUCGAAUUUGAGCAUGUCUAUGUUAUUAGUCGACACAAUUGAUCCACAUAGUUAGUAUUUUGAACUCCAGACAAUGCAUCGCUUUAGCAAUCGAAUACAAACAUGAGUAUAGUUCAUGUUGUGUGUGUAAAGCACAUUAUACAUACGAAAGUUACACAAUAAACAUUAUAAAUAGCUACCUAUGAACUAGCAUACAUUUGAAUUCAACUUAAGGUGGUUUAAAAAUAUCGAUUCAACAUGAAGUCCAUUCAAUUAUUUGAAUUUGAUAUCAUGGCAUUUGUAAACCAUACCUAAAUUAUGGGGGCACCAAUCUUUGCUCUGAUUUUGUACAUAAUAGCAUAUGUAGUCAUGUACAAAAUAGAUUCAAAUUUAGCUCCUCCAUUCCAAAAUAAUCGUAGUUAUAGGAUUUUCAAGUGUCAAAAUUUCAAAAAGAAGCGGAUAAUUUAAUGAGGCUUUCAAACAUACAAGGUCAAAUAUAACGUUGUCUGUUUAGGUCAAUCCUCAUAGUUCAAGAGUACUCUAAACGUGAAUGCUUGUGUUUCAAAAUUUCGAACGAAGCGCCAAAAGAGCCUCUACUUGCCCGAAACCGCAUGAGACCAAUGUUUGGUAGUACAAGGGAAUUACUUUUCUAAUAACUCCGACCCAAACUUAAAAAAAAUAACUCCGAACCGUGAAACCUACCGGCCCGACGUCCAAAGGUCUAAACCGGGGUAGGUUUGUAGCUUCAUCUAGACGCCAUGCAACCGCCUCCGAAAAACAUACAUACACAAUGGCCGCCUAAGCACACAUGCGCGCGGCCGAAAUCGCUCCCGCCCACUAUUUGGGACACCCGGGAUUACCAUCCUAGCCCCGACCCGCAGUAGAUCCGAAAUUUAAGAGGGGGGCAAAGUUUGUACUUUCCCCAAAUUUCAAACAAGCGUGUCCCAUCUUCUGUUCAAAAAAGCCAAAGACAAGCGCAUCCCAGACCGAAACAUGGUCCCCCCCCACCCGUCCGAUUCCCCAUUCGUACUCAGUGGGCGCCAAAACUACCUCUCCACCAGCCGCGAAACCCCGGCAUCCUUCGUCCGCCACCCCAUCCCACCCAUCAACAGCCGCCCUCCUCCAUCACGCCGGAGCCAAUACCCCGACGUCGGCGUCCACCGCAACCUCAACCAUAAUGCCCUCCCCAGCUAGUAGUUGAAGCCGAGGCCGAGUAGUCCGUAACCGAGCCAGUUCAACCAUGCCGUCCUGCACCUCACCGCUGCCGCUCCAACUUCACCACCGUCCAUCGCACCGGAGCUGUUCCUGCUACGCCGUCCUUCGCCGCCUCGGAUUUGCUUCCCCUCCAUCGAUAUACGGCCACGGCAACACAGUCAACAAUUUGGCCAUGGGUUUGUCCAAGGAACAACGGCUCUCCAAAACAUCGGUUCCCCCGGGAAAAACAAGAAGAUCACUGCGACAUAUCGACACCACACUAGCAACCGAUACAGGUACUCCUCUUCCCUUAUUCGUGCAAAUCUUAUGUGUCUGCUUGCACGGUAUUCAUCCCACAGAAGACACUAGUUGACCGCUUCUUCUUCAUACUAGAUGUUCCUAGUAACUCGCGAUGCACAAGGUUUCUCCUCAUAUACUAUUUCACCUUAGCUAGAGGUCCGUUGCCCCCUUGAAUUUCAAUUUCUGGCCAGUUGAUUCCCAAUUAACGGAAGCAUUCCCCAGCGUAACAGGCGCUAGUACACCUAUUACACCGGGGAAGCGCCUUGGUGUUUAUCUUAGGGGCGUGUGCGGCCUAGAUCUACUGGCGCCCGAUCUGGAGACUGGAGGUCGGCCGGGAUUAAAGGGAUGGCCUAGGGCGCUGCCAAGCACGGCGGUGGUGUGAGGUCGAGGGGAGGGCAGGGCGGCGGAGGCAGGGGUCUGGGACGGUGGUCGCUGGCGGUUCGAGAAAGAUCGUCAACAGUGACUGGCGGGAGGUAGACGAAGGCCAUCUGCCCGUUCCUUAUAGAUCGGAUAGUUCAUUAAAAAAUCGACUGACCUAUUUAUUUUCAGUCGACUGUUAUCUUAGAUAUGACCACAUGUGGUGGUGUGCUAGAGGAGUACCUGCAUUUCCUGUGCUCAUAUAUUACAAAAUCAUAUGGAGUAGAAUCUAAUUUUGUUUGCCAUGCAAUGUUGUAGAUCUAUCAUAUGUCUCCUGUUGUUUAUAUUUCACCCAACCUACUAUCUGCUACUUUUACAGUGCACUAGUUCUGCACACACUUCCGCCCAUACUCUCACUAUUGUGUUUUUAUGCAAGGGUAUUUCAGAGUCUGCCUCGAGGGAAGCAGAAAAGAAAAGAGAGAAGUUGCUCCAGCUUGCUACGCGGGUAGGCACGACACGUUACAGUGCUAUAAAGGGUGCAGUGUCAGCAGAUGGAAACGGUAAACGUAGCUCUGGAGUUGAUGACCUCACUCGUAAUGAACCACCAUCCCAGGUGCUUGCUUUAACUUCGUGGUGUCAUAUGUGGUUGCAUGUUCCAUAUGGUGUCUAGCUUGUAUUCGAAAGGCCUAAGUCGGUCUUUAUUAAGAUAAGGAAAUAUAUUUUUUACAUGAACCACCAUCCCGUGAGCACCAGAAGACAAAUAGCUAGUCAGGGCACUGGCCGAGCCAGUGACAAGCCUAGCAAAGAUAGGCACCACCUGGAAGACAACUACUUCCUCUGUUCCUAAAUAUAAGUCUUUGGAGGGAUUUCACUAUGAACCACAUACGGAUGUAUGUAGAUGCAUUUAGAGUGUAGAUUCAUUCAUUUUGCUCCGUAUGUAGUCUAUAGUGAAAUCUCUACAAAGACUUAUAUUUAGGAACGGAGGGAGUAAAAAGCUGCGAUGGUGGCGAAGCAGCCCGCUUCCCACCAGGCUCUCAGGUCCUAGAUGAUCAUGCUCACCACUCCAGCCGGAUGUCUAGCUUGUAUUGCUUCCAAUUUGGUUAAAUUGCAUCUGCUUAGCUUACACAUUAUACCUUUGAAUAUGACAUGCCUUUCUGUUUUUGGUACAUACUAGUACAUCUGUGUAUUAACCAUGCUCUUACAUCAAACUAAUGUUCUUGUGUAUCCCUCAUCAAUCACUUAUGACAAGGCAGGCAUGCAAGGGGACUACUCCUCAUUUAAAGAAUGCAGCGUCGGCCUCCCGACAUGAUUCUCAAGAAAUAGAAAUGCUAGAUGAAGAUAGUGAACGUAGCUUUGUAGUUGAUUACAACAUUUCCCCUACACUAGCAUCGCAGGUGCUUGCUCUAACUUGGCAGCGUAAUAUGUGGUUGCAUGUUGCAUAUGGUGUCUAGAUUGUAAUUCUUCCAAUCUGGUUAAACUUCAUGUGCUAGUCUGCUUAGCUUAUACAUUAUACCUGUUAAUGUGACAUGCCUUCCUGUAUUUAGUACAUAGUACAUCUGUCUAUUAAGCAUGUCCUUACAUAAAACUAUUGCUUUUUUUUGUAUCUCGCAUCAAUCAAUAUGACGAGACACCUUUAGUAUAUGUAGUGCGAUAUUAGUUGAAUCUUUCAUAUGAUUUAUAGCAUGCGCUCCUUCUAAUUUGUUGAAAUUCCAUUUAUGAUGGGACGCUUUUAACUUGGCAGAGUCAUAUUGGUUGCAUCUUUCAUGUGGUUUCUAGCUUGCAUUGCUUCUUAUUUGCUGGAAUGGUUUCUUCUUAGUUUACACAAACAGUUGUGAACGUGCCAUGCCGUCCUGUUUUUCGUACAUAUUCAAUCCUGGUAUCAUGUGUUUGCCUUACAUCAAAGUAGUGAUUGUCAGUAUCAUGCAUGAAUGAGUUCUGAAGAGAGAAUUUUAUUGCUUUUUCUUGUUGGUUUUACUUGACAAUUCAAAAUCAAUAAAGCGGAAGGAAGUUAGCAAGGAAGCGGAUAAAGGUGCUCCUUCCGAACGGAGGGUCUCUACAGUUUCUACUCCUCCACACCCCCAAGAUGAUUUCCAAGACAACACAUGCAUAGACACUCAACAAAGCUGUGUUUAUGAUGAGCACGUCUCCCCUAGUGCAGCAUCACUGGUGCUCCCUCUAACUUAGCAUUGUUAUACGUGGUUGCAUGUUAUGUGUGAUGUCUAGCUUGUAUUGCUUCUAAUUUUGUUGAAUUCCAUCUGCUUACUUUACACAUUAUACUUGAAUAAGACACGUGUUCCUGUUUCUAGAACAUACAAUAUCUGUCUAUCACACCAUGUUAUUACAUCAAAUUACUAUUGUUGUGUAACCUGCAACAAUCACUUAUCAUAAGACACAUUUGACUUCGGAGUGUGAUAUAGGUUACAUCUCACAUUCUUUUCUAGCUUGUACUACUAAUUUGUUGAAAUGGCACUUAUGACGAGACAAUUUUAACUUGGUAGAGUGAUAUUCGUUGCAUCUUUCAUAUGGUGUCUAGCUUUCAUUACUUCUAAUUUGUUGAAAUGCCUUCUCCUUAGUUUACACAUCAUAAGUUGUGAAUAUGCAAUGUUGUGAAUAUGCAAUGGCACUAAUGACGAGAGACCUCUAACAUGGUAGUGUGAUGUUGUUUGCAUCUUGCAUAUGAUUUAUUUCUUGUACUGCUUCACAUUUGUUUAAACGCCAUUUAUGAUGAGACACUGUUAACUUGGCAGACCGAUAUUUGUAGCAUCUUUCAUAUGGUGUCUACCUUCCAUUCCAUUGCUUCUAAUUUGGUGAAAUAUCUUCUUCUUAGUUUACACAUCAUAGUUCUGGUUAUCUCUUCCGUCCUGUUUUUCAUACAUAUUACAUCCUCCUAUCAUGUGGUUGUCUAACAUCAAAGUUCAGUCCGUCUGCAUCACGCAUCAAUUUGUUCUGAAGAACUAAAUUGUUAUUCGUUUUUCUUGUCGGCUUGACUUAAAAUGGCAUAGAGAAAGAGGAAGAAACACAGAAUGGCAGGGAAUGAGAAGUGGAUGAAUCCUGCAGAUUCUGCUGGUACUGAUGGUGCAAUAGAAGGUCAAAGUCCAGCGGAAAAUUCUACAAACACGCCAUCCCAUGCUACACGAGCUGCAAAAAAAGCCAAACAGAAACAAAUAGCUACCACCAAACAAGCAGAGACAGCCCUAGUUCUUGCAACACCUACCACAGUACUACUGGGUGCACGACUUACUCGUGCGUCAACUGAGCUAGCAGCAUGUUCCCAAGCUCCCUUGCCACCUGACACUACUUCCCAAGCACUCUUGACACAAGACGAGUUGGCAAUAUCAGAUGAACCUUGUGAGCUUCAACAACAAGAAGGUAGUUGCUGGAGUCAAGUUACAGUUGCAUGCUUCUUUAUAUGUAGUCUCACAGUUUGAUGUACACUAACACUUCCUAUGUUCGUUGUUGGACUAGCACCUAGGCGCAAGAGGAAACAAACAUCAGGGAUAAUGCUCAAUAGGUUAACUAAAUCUAGAGGAGGAAGAAUGGAGAUCCGUUUUGAGGUUUAAAAAGGCCACGUGAUGCUACAGAGUCAGCCAAGUUAGUAUCAGAGGCAGCGGUUGCCGUUAGGUGUCAUGUACGUAUCCUCCCAACAUGGAUUCAGUACAGGAAUGACAAAGACGAAACCCAGUUCAACACCUUCCUCGACCAUUUAUCUGUAAGUAUGGUUAUGUAUGGAAACUAGUAAUAUCGUCUUGCUCUGUCCCAUACUUUCUAGGUUGCUGAUAAUGAGACUCCCAUAAUUUUCAACAGAUGAGGUUCAAGUUGGAUAGCCAAGAUGAUGCAACCAUACAAGCUUGCACCCAUGUUUUCAAGUCUUCUCUGCGAUAGUAUCGGUAUAACUUGAGGAAAACUCACUUUGAAGGCAAGGCUAAGAGUGAACUUUCCCAAACAUCUCCAGUGGAAAAUAUAUCGGAUGAAGACUGGAGGGGCCUUGUUAAACACUGGUCAGAUCCAAAGUAUUAGGUACAUUAUAUAUAUGUGAUCAGAUCACAUGUUGAAGUCCUAUUUACGCAUGUGCCACACAAAUCUAUCUUCUUGUAGGUGAACUGUUCAAAGAACAAGGCCAACCGUACAAAAGUGAAAUUCCAACAGACGACAGGAUCUCGUAGCUAUAUUGCACACUACGAGGCUCUUGUAAUUAGCUGUUGUUUCACUCUUUUCGUUGUACCAUAUUAUCAUAUCUAUAUUGACUUGUUCGAAAUGCAGAGGAAAGCCCACAAGGACCAAAAAGUACCUGAACCAAAUGUUGUGGAAAUCUUCAAGGACUGUCACACCAGCAAGAAGAACGGCAUGACUACACCAGUCAAAGCCGCUGUUGUAAGUCCUUAAUCCUCAUGCCUUUUAACUCACUACUAGGAAAAGGCCUACUAAUGGCGCACCUAAUUUGGCCAUUAAUGGCGCAUUAGUGGUGCGCCAUUAGUGCCACGCCAUUAGUAUAUUUUACUAAUGGCGCACCACGGGUGCGCCAUUAGUAUCUGGUAUACUAAUGGCGCACCUCAGAUGCGCCAUUAGUAUAUACAACAAUGCGCCAUUAGUAUGCCUCCCAGGGGGCCAUGUAUACCCAGGUGCUUUGGCAUACUAAUGGCGCACAACAACAAGAUGCGCCAUUAGUAACUUCGGCAUACUAAUGGCGCACUGUUUAAUGAUGCGCCAUUAGUAUCCUUUGGCAUACUAAUGGCGCACUGUGAUGUGAUGCGCCAAUAGUAUGAAUAUUAGGUUUUUUUUAUUUUUUUAUUUUCUGUUUUUUGCACAGGUUACAAAAUGUAUAAUUGGACAAAAUAUAGACAGCACACAUCAACAACAGAUUCAUCGAAUACAAUAGAAGAUUAGUCUCUGAAUACAAUUCAUCAUAUUAGUCUCCGAAUACAAUUCAUCAUAUUAGCGGGCGUAUCUACAAAAAGUCCUAAACUAAACCUAUACUAAACUAUCUAGUUCUUCAUCUUCUGCUUCUUUCUUCCAGUUCAUCAACCUGCAAAACAAGAAACAACAAACAUGAAAAACUUGAUCAAGGUUUAAAUGUAGCAUUCCCCUUAGCAAAAUGCCUUUGCUGUAGGAGCUAGCACUUACGAGUUUGGAAACAUUAGUCAAACCCCAAUCAGAUUAAGUUGAUCAAAGAAACAAUAGAAGAGAGCCAACACUGCAUAAAUGGAGCCAAUAACCCAAAAGACAGAAGUAGAGCCAGCAAAGUAUAGAUCAAAGCAAAACCCAAAGAUCAACUCAAACUAGAACUAACUCCAUGAUUAGGGGAUCCCUCAAUUAAGCUUGGGUUAGUUUUCAGAUGAAAUCCAACAAACCCACUACUAAUCAACUAGCCCAGAGGUAGGGUUUGAAGUAGGGAUUGUCCUCAGGCAGCCUAGUAGUGCUAGGACUAUUGCAUCAUUGGAUCAAGUAGUGCAACAUCUUUAAGUAACAAUGAGAGCCUCAGGACACCAUCACUGGCAUGGCAAGAUUAAGGAGCACCUGUUCUUAUCAGUGAGAGUAGGAGAGAAAGAAAGAAAGUGAACAGACCAGUGCAGCAUAUGUUCAAAUCAGAUUUAAGAGAGAGGGAAUUGGCAAGGAAAGAUAUAGUCCAUAACCUGCAAGAAGAAAUAGGCCAUUGAUAGCACAUUUACUAAACAUCUGCUAUAAGCAGAACACAUACACUCACUUACACAUGGGUACUAUUCUGUAUAUAGGUACACAAGCACAACACAUGCACCUGGUAUAGAUAGGAGUAUAAGCAUGCAUCUAAAUUAUCUGAAACAUAUGAAAUAGCUAAUGCAAAGAAACAUAUGAUAAUAAAGAAAACAGAGCACAAGUAAAUAGGAAUGAUCCAUCCAUCCAUCCCCUAACUAAUGUAUUGAUCCAUCCAUCCAUGACCUAACUAAUGUUGUUGUAUCUCUAGACUAAGUGCAGCAACACAAGGACUAAAACUACAGAGCACAUGUGUACGUAACUACUAUACUCAUCCAUGGCAAAUUGUACCAAACCAUCCAUACAUAGCCAGAUUGCAAUGGAGUGGAUUUAACACAAGACAUGAAAAAUUGAUGAGCCAAAUGAUUUUUAGUAUUACUAACUUGAAAGGAAGCUCACUGUUUCCAUCUUCUAUCUAUCCAUGAUUUUAUUUUUCUGAAGCAAGCAUCAAAAAGCACAAUGACAAUCGAAUUUCACACAAAAACUGAACCAAUACUUGCUGUUAUGUAGUGUCCAUGACAAUUGCAAUUCAUGUCCACUCCAGAUCAGAUUUGCAAGGGCUAGAAAGAGAGGUUGUAGCUCACCAUGUAUGGGGGUAGGAGGUGGAUGCAGGGGAGGGGUGGAGGGUGUCCUGCAGAAGAAGCUUCGCCAUUAGAGCAACCUGCACAAAACAGAGGAAGGGGAGAUGAAUAAAUCAUGGUGAGGAGGAGAAACAACAACAAAAAUACCAAAAAAAUCCCUUCCAUGGAGUGUUGUACUAGGAGCAGCUCCUCUCUCUCCGCUAGGGUUUGGGGCGCUGGGAGGCUCCAUGGUGCCACUGCGUGGUGCCGGACAAGGGAAUCCAUCUCCAUGGCGGCGUCCCGCCCCACGGAGGUGCGCCCCUCCCGCCGUCGUCAUCGGCACGCCCAUGGCGACCUGCAGAGAAGGAAGAGAAGAUGAGGUGAGGUGAGGAGGAGAUGGUGGGCGAAGAAGGAGGGGGAGGGGCUUACUAGUGCUGGAUCCGGUCACCUAUGGCCUCGCCGUGUCCUGCCAUGGCGGAUCCCGGCGAACAAAAGGGGAUGCAAAAUCCUAGCCAGUGGGGCAGCCGCGGAUCUGCAUGGAGGUAAGCCAGAUGCGGACCAAGGGGAUCUCGCCGGCAUGCUGCACGCGGCCGGAGCUCGCUGGAACCAGGCGGCAUGGGUGGCGACGGCGGUGAGGGAGAGAGGGGUUCGGGGGGAAGAGAGGAGGCGACGAGGGUUUGGGUGGGUUCGAGCGAGAGAGAGAGUGUGUGUGUGUUGGUGCGUUGGGUCGGAUGGAUGGAUUGAUGUCCAAAAUAUCCAGGUUACUAAUGGCGCACCUUCUGGUGGUGCGCCAUUAGUAGUUUUGCAAAAAAAAACAAAAAAAAACAUACUAAUGGCGCACUAUUCCACAGUGCGCCAUUACUAGUUUAAACUAGUAAUGGCGCACGGUCGAACAGUGCGCCAUUAGUAGUUUUGCAAAAAAAAGGAAUAAAAAUAUAAUAAAAAAACAACAUUAGUGGCGCACUUUCCGACAGGUGCGCAUUACUAGUUACAACUAGUAAUGGCGCACUGUGUCUGGAUGCGCCAUUAGUAUGUUUGGACAGGCGCACUAGUUCAAAAAAAAUGAUACUAAUGGCGCACCCUGGGCCAGGUGCGCCAUUAGUAGUUUCAGCUCUAAUGGCGUAUCAGAAGGUGGUGCGCCAUUAGUAUAUACUAAUGGCGCACCGCUUGUCUGGUACGCCAUUAGUGUCAAUCCCAUCUAUAGCCCUUUUUCUAGUAGUGACUAGUACUUACUCUAACUUGUGCCUUGAACUGCAUGGUUUGCAGCCAAUGUCUAUUACUUUUUUCAAUUGUAUACACAAUUGUCUUAGAGUAUCAUUGCACCUUACAAGGUUUAAAAGAGAGGAGUGAUGUUCCUUUGAUCUUGACCCGUAAUCUAGUUUCGUGCUGGACUUGCCCAUACAACGUUACAAUUUCCUGUUUGUCUGUUCUUAGUUGUUUUGUGAUAUGAAUGAUGUCAUACUAUGCUUACCGUAUUAUAAACUUUGUCUCUUUAUCCUUAGCCCUCAAUACAAUGUGAAGAAAUAGACAAUACAUUAGCGAUGCUACAUGGCCAUAUGUUUGGAACCUGGUUUUUUUAUGUACUUUGCAAUAAAAUACAACUAAUAUUUUACAUGGGUUCACCAGAAUAAGUUCUGUAUAUAGGCCAAAGCUAUUUUGUUUGGUUUUGCUGCCUCCUUAAUAUCUUCUGUUUGGGUACUAAUAAUGUAAAACCUCAACUUUUCAGCAAGCUAUGGAAAAAAUGGUGGAACGGCCACCUUCUGAAGGUGGCGAGGCAACUAUAACCGCAAUGUCAGCUCUUGCUGCAGUGGGUCAGUACCUGUCCACUAACAGUGCCAAAAGCACGUUCCUGCGUAAUACUAGGUUGGUUGUUAAGGCAAUAUCGUCCAAACUGCCUCAUGAUCAAGAUAUGCAAGAUCAAGGCAAUGUUGUAUUUGCGCUCCAGACACAAGUCCAUUCCCUAAUAGAGACCCUUUGUGAAACAAGGAGAGACAUUGUUCAAUGUCUUCAAGAUAUGCAUGGUUUUGAAACCAGACUAUCAGACAUUUGCUAUGUUGUUCAGGAGCCUAGGCGAAAUGAAGGCGAGGGUUAUGGUGCUCCAUCGGACAAUACAACAUGAAAAUGUAAUAGUCAGGUCAAAUGAACUGAGCUUCUGAACUUCUGGUGGUGCAUUUAUCUGCUAGACUGUUAAGUUUUAUGCCAACCUUCCUUUUGGUAUAUAGUUGUAAUUUGUUUUGGUGCGAUACAAAAUUUAUUCUUAACGUGCAGCCACCGACUGAAGAAAACAGCAAGCCAUUUUUGUAUAGUGUAGGGUGUUCCAUAUAUUUGCACUGGUGGCGAUCUUUGAUGCCGAGUGGAUGUAAUCUGUGCAAUCGCCUUAAUAGCCUAGCGUUAGUUUCGGCCUUAUUUAUUUCCUAGUCUUCUUUUUCCCUGGUUUUCUAGUGGCCGCAACUACCAUGGGCCAUAUAAGGGCCGUAGGAUCCAUGGGUCUCCUACAGGCCGUCGAUAAAUGGGCCUCCAAUAGGGCCGUAGAAGAACUGGUCGGCCUCGGGCCAUCGGAUAAAUGGGUCUACAUGGGCCGUCAACGGGUGUAAUUGGUAUCAGCCCAGCACGGUAAUGGGCCGUAGGACAGCAAAGGCUUAAUUCUGUCACAGGCAUAACGGGUCAUUAAUGGGCCAGAAUAUAGGACGGGCUAGAAACGGCGCAAUGGGUUAAUAGGCCAGAAACGGGCCGAAUCUUGCCAUGGGUCGAAUUUGUCCCAUUAGGGUAACAGGCCAGUAACGGGUCGACUCUUGCCAUGGGCCGAAUUUGACCCAUUAGGGGAACAGGCCAGAAACGGGCCGACUCUUGCCAUGGGCCGAAUUCGGUCCAUUAGGGUAACAGGCCAGUAACGGGCCGACUCUUGCCAUGGGCCGAAUUUGGCCCGUUAGGGGAAUAGGCCAGUAACGGGCCGAAAGUAAUCGAGGACCGAAAAGGAUCCCAAGAACGUAUGGGCCGUCAAUAGGCCGAAAGCUAACACGGGCUGGAAACGGCCCAUGUAAAUCACGGGCCGUUAACGGGUACAAAGAAAAUUACUGUUCAUUAUGGGCUAGAGUCACCGUGGGCCUGUAAAGGGCCGAAAGAUACGAAGGCCUCAUAUGGGCCGAAAGACGUCAUGGGCCAUACAUGGGCCGAAAGUGAAAUGGGCGGGUGUUAUAUUCGACGGCCCACAAGACGUUGUUGGGGCAAUUUCCUUCAGGGACUAACGGGCCGUGAGUUAACGGACCGUAAAAUGGGCUAUUUGUGAAGAGACCGUUAACAGGCUUUUCAUGGGCCAGCCUGUUAACUUUUGACCAAGUCAAACAGCCCGGCUUUGUAAGCUAAAUGGGCAAGUGGUGGGCCGUGGCACGUGUCCACAUAUCAUAGGCGCCUAUCUGACCCACUGACGAGCUGACACGUGUUUCGUCCGGCCAAUAAGAAUUUUACACAUGGAAAUUUCCCAUUGGUCGGGGCUGUUAACGGGUUAUCGGAUCCAAAACCCGACCCGAUAGUUUAACGGCGUUCCGUUACGGUGGAUGCCACAUGUCGGUCACCCUUGACGAAAGCACUUCUGUGACGCGCGAUUUAUCAUCAUGGAAGUGGACACUUCCGUGAUGAUAAUUUUGGUAAUGUCAUGCAACACUUCUACGAUAGCACACGUAUGACUAUCUUGAUUCUGUCAUAAAUUUGUCAUGGAUGUACAUGCAUGACAAAAAACGCGACCUAAUGUGACAAACACGUAUCAUCACGGAAGUGUAUUUUUUUGUAGUGUUGCAAAUAUCUAUGUUCCUAUCUUGAACAUUUUCACGAAUGGAGUUGAAGCGACGCUUGAUGUGCCUGGUCUUCUUAUGAAACCUAGGCUCCUUGGCAAGGGCAAUAGCUCCAGUGUUGUCAUAGAAGAGAGUGAUCGGCCCCGACACAUUGGGAAUAACUCCUAGGUCGAUGAUGAACUCCUUCAUCCAGAUUGCUUCAUGCGCUGCCUCCGAGGCUGCCAUGUACUCCGCUUCACAUGUAGAUCCCGCCAUGACACUCUGCUUGCUGCUGCACCAGCUUACUGCCCCAUCAUUCAAAAUAUACACGUAUCCGGUUUGUGACUUGGAGUCAUCCAGAUCUAUGUCGAAGCUAGCAUCGACGUAACCCUUUAUGACGAGCUCUUUGUGACCUCCAUAAAUGAGAAACAUAUCCUUAGUCUUUUUCAGGUACUUCAGGAUAUUCUUGACCACUGUCCAGUGUUCCAUGCCGGGAUUACUUUGGUGCCUAGCUACCAAACUUGCGGCAAGGUUUACAUCAGGUCCGGUACACAGCAUGGCAUACAUAAUAGACCCUAUGGCCGAGGCAUAGGGGAUGACACUCAUCUUUUCUCUAUCUUCUGACGUGGUCGGGGAUUGAGCCAAGCUCAGUUUCAUACCUUGCAACACAGGCAAGAACCCCUUCUUGGACUGAUCCAUAUUGAACUUCUUCAAUAUCUUAUCAAGGUAUGUGCUUUGUGAAAGACCUAUGAGGCGUCUCGAUCUAUCUCUAUAGAUCUUGAUGCCUAAUAUAUAAGCAGCUUCUCCAAGGUCCUUCAUUGAACACUUGUUCAAGUAGGCCUUUAUGCUGUCCAAAAGUUCUAUAUCAUUUCCCAUCAAAAGUAUGUCAUCUACAUAUAAUAUGAGAAACGCUACAGAGCUCCCACUCACUUUCUUGUAAACGCAGGCUUCUCCAUAAGUCUGCAUAAAACCAAACGCUUUGAUCAUCUCAUCAAAGCGAAUGUUCCAACUCCAAGAUGCUUGCACCAGCCCAUAAAUGGAUCGCUGGAGCUUGCAUACCUUGUUAGCAUUCUUAGGAUCGACAAAACCUUCCGGCUGCAUCAUAUACAAUUCUUACUUACCAUUAAGGAAUGCCGUCUUGACAUCCAUUUGCCAUAUCUCAUAAUCAUAGUAUGCGGCAAUUGCUAACAUGAUCCGGACAGACUUCAGCUUCGCUACGGGAGAGAAAGUCUCAUCAUAGUCAACCCCUUGAACUUGCCAAUAACCCUUAGCGACAAGUCGAGCUUUAUAGAUGGUAACAUUACCAUCCGCGUCCGUCUUCUUCUUAAAGAUCCAUUUAUUUUCUAUCACUCGCCGAUCAUCGGGCAAGUCUGUCAAAGUCCAUACUUUGUUUUCAUACAUGGAUACUAUCUCGGAUUGCAUGGAUUCAAGCCAUUUGUUGGAAUCUGGGCCUGCCAUCGCUUCUUCAUAGUUCGAAGGUUAACCAUUGUCUAACAACAUGAUUUCUAGGACAGGGUUGCCAUACCAUUCUGGUGUGGAACAUGUCCUUGUGGACCUACGAAGUUCAGUAGUAACUUGUUCUGAACUACCUUGAUCAUCAUCAUUAACUUCCUCUCUAGUCGGUGCAGGCACCACAGGAACAUCUUCCUGAGCUGCACUACUUACUGGUUCAAGAGGUAGUACUUCAUCAAGUUCCACUUUCCUCCUACUUACUUCUCUCGAGAGAAACUCCUUCUCCAGAAAGGACCCAUUCUUGGCAACGAAAAUCUUGACUUCGGAUCUGAGGUAGAAGAUAUACCCAAUGGUUUCCUUAGGGUAUCCUAUGAAGACGCAUUUUUCCGACUUGGGUUCGAGCUUUUCAGGUUGAAGUCUCUUGACAUAAGCAUCGCAUCCCAAAACUUUUAGAAACGACAGCUUAGGUUUCUUUCCAAACCAUAAUUCAUAAGGUGUCCUCUCAACGGAUUUAGACGGUGCCCUAUUUAAAGUGAAUGUAACUAUCUCUAAAGCGCAUCCCCAAAAUGAUAGCGGUAAAUUGGUAAGAGACAUCAUAGACCGCACCAUAUCCAAUAGAGUGCGAUUACGACGUUCGGACACACCGUUACGCUGAGGUAUUCCAGGCGGCGUGAGUUGUGAAACAAUUCCACAUUUCCUUAAGUGCAUACCAAACUCGUGACUUCAAUAUUCUCCCCACGAUCUGAUCGUAAGAACUUUAUUUUUCUAUCACGUUGAUUCUCUAGCUCAUUCUGAAAUUCCUUGAACUUUUCAAAGGUCUCAGACUUGUGUUUUAUUAACUAGACAUACCCAUAUCUACUUAAGUCAUCAGUGAGGGUGAGAACAUAAUGAUAGCCACCGCGAGCCUCAAUGCUCAUUGGACCGCACACAUUAGUAUGUAUAAUUUCCAAUAAGUUGGUUGCUCACUCCAUUGUUCCGGAGAACAGAGUCUUGGUCAUUUUGCCCAUGAGGCAUGGUUCACAUGUGUCAAAUGAUUCGAAAUCAAGAGACUCCAAAAUUCCAUCUGCAUUGAGCUUCUUCAUGCGUUUGACACCAAUGUGACCAAUGCGGCAGUGCCACAGAUAUGUGGGACUAUCAUUAUCAAUCUUACAUCUUUUGGUAUUCACACUAUGAAUAUGUGUAACAUCAUGUUCGAGAUUCAUUAAGAAUAAACCAUUGACCAGCGGGGCAUGACCAUAAAACAUAUCUCUCAUAUAAAUAGAACAACCAUUAUUCUCGGAUUUAAAUGAGUACCCAUCUCGUAUCAAACGAGAUCCAGAUACAAUGUCCAUGCUCAAAGCUGACACUAAAUAACAAUUAUUAAGGUUUAAAACUAAUCCCGUAGGUAAAUGUAGAGGUAGCGUGCCGACGGCGAUCACAUCGACCUUGGAACCAUUCCCGACGCGCAUCGUCACCUCGUCCUUCGCCCGUCUCCACUUAUUCCGCAGCUCAUGUUUUGAGUUACAAAUAUGAGCAACCGCACCGGUAUCAAAUACCCAGGAGCUACUAUGAGUACUGGUAAGGUACACAUCAAUAACAUGUAUAUCACAUAUACCUUUGGUGUUGACGGUCUUCUUAUGAGCUAAGUACUUGGGGCAGUUCCGCUUCCAGUGAUCGUUCCCCUUGCAAUAAAAGCACUUAGUCUCAGGUUUGGGUCCAUGCUUUGGCUUCUUCCUGACAACUGGCUUACCGGGCGCGGCAACUCCCUUGCCUUCCUUCUUGAAGUUCUUCUUACCCUUGCCUUUCUUGAAACUAGUGGUUUUAUUGACCAUCAACACUUGAUGUUCCUUUUUGAUUUCUACCUCCGCUGAUUUCAGCAUUGAAAAUACCUCAGGAAUGGUUUUCACCAUCCCCUGCAUAUUGUAGUUCAUCACAAAGCUCUUGUAGCUAGGUGGGAGCGACUGAAGGAUUCUGUCAAUGACCGCCUCAUCCGGGAGGUUAAUGUCCAGCUGGGACAAGCGGUUGUGCAACCCAGACAUUUUGAGUAUGUGCUCGCUGACAGAACUAUUUUCCUCCAUCUUACAACUGUAGAACUUGUCGGAGACUUCAUAUCUCUCGACCCGGGCAUGAGCUUGGAAAACCAUUUUCAGCUCUUGGAACAUCGCAUAUGCUCCAUGCUGCUCGAAACGCUUUUGGAGCCCCGUUUAUAAGUUGUAAAGCAUGCCGCACUGAACGAGGGAGUAAUCAUCAACACGCGACUGCCAAGCAUUCAUAACGUCUUGGUUCGCUGGGACGGGUGCUUCACCUAGCGGUGCUUCUAGGACAUAUGCUUUCUUGGCAGCUAUGAGGAUGAUCCUCAUGUUCUGGAUCCAGUCCGUAUAGUUGCUACCAUCGUCUUUCAGCUUGGUUUUCUCUAGGAACGCGUUGAAGUUGAGGUUGACAUGAGCGUGGGCCAUUUGAUCUACAAGAUAUUUUGCAAAAGUUUUUAUACUAAGUUCAUGAUAAUUAAGUUCAUCUAAUCAAAUUAUUUAAUGAACUCCCACUUAGAUAGACAUCCCUCUAGUCAUCUAAGUGAUACACGAUCCGAGUCAACUAGGCCGUGUCCGAUCAUCCCGUGAGACGGACUAGUCAUCAUCGGCGAACAUCUUCAUGUUGAUCGUAUCUUCUAUACGACUCAUGCUAGACCUUUCGGUCUCUUGUGUUCUGAGGCCAUGUCUGUACAUGCUAGGCUCGUCAAGUCAACCUAAGUGUUUUGCAUGUGUAAAUCUGGCUUACACCCGUUGUAUGUGAACGUUAGCAUCUAUCACACCUGAUCAUCACGUGGUGCUUCGAAACAAUGAACUUUCGCAAGGGCGCAUGUCGGCAUUCUAGGAACAGGGGUCCCCAGACUUGCCUGCCUGUGGCCUGCAGCAUGGCUCAAGUGGUGGCCCAGUGCGGCCCAUCUUCAUCGACUCAAGCUCAAGACCCUCGCGAGGGGCCAAGCCUCGCGGGGAGGACGACAGGAAGCUUCCUCGGGAGGGGCCUCGCCAGGAAGGCUCGCGAGGAGGCGGAGACAUCAAGGUGAGGGUACCUCGCGAGGUGCACAUGACGCAAGCCAUGACGAUCGAGACCAGGCGGGCGCCAGCCUGCGCAGUGUCCUUGUUUCCUCUUUGGUGCAAAGGAGCAAGCUCAGACCAAGGCAUCAGGCAAAGGAUACCGUUUCGGUGCAACAAGACCAAGACCAGCAGAGCGGCAGGAUGGAGGUCACCAUGGAGCCCAAGACAGCGUCAUCGUUAGGGCCCUUGGCAGUCGAAGACCAACUUUAGUUAGGAUAAGCUGUACUAGAUGUUCCCCUUCAAAAUGGCCGUUGUUGGCGCCCUUCCCGCUCAAUAUUUGGGAAGAGGACCAAGGCCUCUAUAAAUAGGACUAGCCAUUCUCAAGGCAGGGGAUCGAGCAAUCAAACCUUAGCCAGAACCACCCACACCAGCACAAGAACACCCCUCGCGAGGCUGUUCCUCCCUUGUAUUGUUCAUCAUCAGCCCCUGAGGCAAUGCACACACCACACACUGGAGUAGGGUAUUACACCACAAUGGUGGCCUGAACCAGUAUAAACUCUGUGUCCCUUGUGUUGAUUAUCUUGCUAGCCUAGAUUCUUAGCGAGGCUGUGGGACGUAGGUUGCUAGGGGAGAGAUCUCCGCGCGCACCCUAGAGUUCGAACCUCAAGGGUCUGCCGGAACCCGAAAUCCGACAUUUUGCACGCCAGGUAGGGGUGCGACGGGAUCCUUCUUCCACCGCCUCGCGCUCCAUCGCGACCCGACGGCCAAUGCCGACCGCUGGGCGGCAUGGCCUAUCCAUGCCGUGCCGCCUGCCCAGGGUGACCUCAACCCCGCACCUCAGGCAGCCCACGCCCCGCAGAGCGCUGCGGGGCGCGGGCAACGUGGUCAGUCGUCGCCUGCCCUCACCCCGCGGCAGGUACGGUCGGCAGCAAGGGCCUUGAGGCAUGCUGCGGCCACGGCACCGCACACCCGACGGGAGGAGGCGAACAUGAAGGCCACGCUCAUGGUGGCGCGAGAACUGCUGCGGUGCAAACUGCAAGAAAGUAGCCACGACGUGCUACUGGAGUGCAUCGCCGAGCUCCUGGAUGCUGCUACGUCAGGGGCCCCCCCCAUUCUGCGUCCAGCUUCCACCCCAGGCUCCGAGCGGAUCCCAAGGUGGACCAAUCCGCACCCACGCGCCCCUGGGCGUACCUCAAGGCUUCAUCAACACCGGCCUGGCCAUCAGCGCCGGGCAGCAAGUUGCGUUGGCACCGCCCCUGGUAAGCGAGGGCAUGCGCAUCACUGCCUAUGGUCCUAGCGGGCCGCUGCCCUAUCAUCCCCAAGAUGGAGCUUCGAGUCGAACUGCAUGGCACACGGAGCACUACGGCAAGGCCUUCGGGGUGACCGCCCCGGAGGCCUAUGUGCCCCACAUGGUGGAUCGAGGGUACGCCCUGGAAGAAGACCACGGCUCGUUCCUCGGGCCAGGCUGGGAGGAAGAGGCGCCAGAAGCCGAGCUCUUUCAGGAGCCUCACGAAAGCCUCGACAGCCGCGCCGGCGGCAGCAACUACCGGGUACAAGGAGCAAGCUUAUGCUAACCAUGGGUCGCAGGAGGUUCAGGUCAUGGCAGCGAAUGGCUGCCCAGUGCGGCAACCUCCCUCCCCUCGGGGGGAGGGCACUGGGGGUAGCAGGAGAGGGGCCAGGAGCCAGGCUCCCCCCCCCCGCGACAUGCGGAGCAAGGCAUUCUCAAGAGGUAGGCCCUCUGCCGGGGAGGUGCCCCAGGGCCUGCCCUCGGCAGAGGACCCGUGGUCGUCGGGGGAAUCGCUCGCGACCACUUUACCCCAUUGGCGUCGUCCUUGGUUUCCGGUCGCCGUAUGUGGUGGUAGAGUGUGGCGCAAGGCGGGGCCCUCGUCUGGUCAUAUGAAGCAAGGCCGGUACCAGUGAAGAAGGCCUAGUGCCUGUGAAGCUCGCCGCCCGUGACACUCUCACGUAAUAACGACUUGGGGUUGUACACGCCCCGGAGUCUCCGAAGAGCCGCCCUCGGGCCUCGGGGGCUCUUGCCCACGCCCAGUGGCAGCACUUAGCUCCGCGCUGGUGAGAAGACGUCGAACACUAGACUAGGUGUGGGACGCGUCUUUUGUCUUUUUUACCUCUUUCUUCGUUGUCGAGCUUCCUUGCUUUGAAUUUGAGUUGGAUUUGAGCUUAAGACUUGCGUGUGUUCGGGGAAGGGGUGUUUAGUCUCGUUCGAGCAAUUUCUCGUGUUUUGAUUUCGGCUUUGCAUCCAAAGUUAGCACCAGCUACUCCCCCCUCGCGGCCCCUCGCGAGCCAGGCCGGGCCAAGCGCGCAAACACUCCGGACCACCGUCGCCGCUCACUCUCAGGGGGCUCUCAUCGCGAGACCAAAGGGUUCGCCCAUAGGACACUCAAAACACUACGGCCCCCGCAUGUUUGCUCGGGGCCAGCCGGGGUCAAAGGUAAAUCAGGUCGGUUGACCCGGCGCGAGGUCGGCAACCCAGCGUGGGCACAUGUAUGGUGUUAUAUCUACAAGCGUACCAAUUACAACCUUUACACGAGGGGGCUCCCCCUCCCAAAAUGCUCUCAUAACCUCCAGGGCCAUGCCCGAACUUUUCUGUGCAGGGUAAGCAGUUGAGGCGGCGUGCAAUCAGUUGGACAUGUCGCUCAUCGCGUCCUCUAGGAUGCCUCCGGAGGCAUCACUGGCGUCACUGGCAUCGUCACCAUCAUCACCAUCACCGUCAUCAGCGCCAUGCUCAUUCACAACACCACCUUCAUCAGCAGCCACGAUCACGCCCUCGUCAUCAGAGGCGAAGGCCCUAACGAGGGCGUCCACGUUGUCCUCCACCCACUGCGCCAGAUCGCCCCGGAUGGCUAUGGGCACCGGUGCGAUGGAAGCGUCGAAAUCAAAGUGGGGAUCUUUGUCCUGAAGAUAACUGAAGACACAGGAGAAGGCACGCCCAAGCAGGGCUCGGCUCCUCUCCUCAACAAGCCAGCGGGCCCUGUCAGAGCGGGUCUCCAGCUGUGUUACCACAUCCGUCAAGAACCAGAGAUUGCCAGCAUAGUUGAUUACACGAGGCUCCGUAACAGCUGCCUCGCAGAUGUUGCCCAGGGCCGCAUUGGCCAUUUCCCUGAGCGUUCGGAGCAUGGGGCCAUGCACAUGCUCCAGUGUCUGCCGCUGAUGGAUCUCAUCCUCGUUCCGCCGCGCAACGGCCUCGGCGCCAUCAACCCUCUAUUGAAGAAGAAGCAGCUCGGCGCGAGAAGAGGCCAGCUCCACCUGUGCUGCACCAAGGGUGGCUGUGGAGGAAUCUGCAUGCCGCGUCACUUCAGUCAGCUUGGCCCUGAGGGCAGUGGUCCUGCCCUCAGCUUCGGCCCUGACCAGCUCCAACCUCUCUUCGUACUCGCGCUCAAGACCCAAGCGAGCUUCCGCCACACGGCGGUCGAUCUCCCCUUGGACUCGGGCCACCCGCGCGCCGACAUCAUCCUCCGCCUGGGUCACUAGGCGCUCCCUCGUCUCCAACCGCUCAAGGUCAAGGUUGCGUUCAGCAGCCUCCAGCAUCAGCGCCUCCUCGCACCUCAGGAGCUCUGCCUCAUCGACGGGUGCCCCCUUCAGCGACACAAGGGCAGCCUGGCGCAGCUCCACUUGCAGCUCCAGAGAGUUGCUCCAGGCUUGGAGCUCCCACACGCGCUCCUCCGCAGCCUCGCAUCGUCGGUCGGCCUCCCGGGCCUCUUCGACGGCUUGGGAGCAGGCCUUCCACGAGGCCGCCAGCGACGCUUCGGCCUUCGCGUUGUCGAGGUCACGUUGGUGACGCGCAAGACUGACGGCCACCUUCAGCCUGCGCCUUUCCUCGGUGAGGUGCAGACCUUCGGCUUCAAGGCGCGCAUCCUCGCCCGCGAGAUCCAUGCCAAGCUGACCCACUGCAUUUGCCGCCUUCUGAAAAAACUCUCGGCGGAGGGUGCUGCACUCUCGAGCAUGCCUGAGCAUGUCCUCCACGUCCUCCUCCGCCAUAGGCGGAGGCAGAGGGACCCGAGGCGGCACGCCCCCUCUCGGCAGGGGGCUGGGGGCUGGCGCCCCAGCGAUCGUCGGAUGGGCCCCGCCAGGGACCCAGGCCGGCGCUGGUCCAUCUCCUGAAGUGGGGCCCAAGAUCGAUCAGCCAGUCGCCAUCCACAAUCGGAGGAGGAGCACGGAGCAAGCUGGUUAUGCCCCAGGAGAGCUCGCGAAGGGGGGACAGCAGGCGCGCAGGCUCAAGGUACCCAGCGGGAUGGCCCGCCUCUCUAGUCGGCCCCGCGGCAGGGAUGGUGCUCGAGCUCGGGACGCUCAAGGUCAGCGAUGAAGGUGAGGCUUGGGGGAUGGCUCCUCGACCGUCUCCGCAAACUCGGCAGGAAGGGCCCUGAAAGGCUACAAUCAGCUGAAGGAACGGUAAAAUAAGGAACUGAGAGAGAAAAAGUACUUACUCAUCGAUGGCAAAAUACUUACAGCACUUCAACGGGCGACAGGGGCGGUCAUUGCCACCCGAGGCCUCCUCCCUCUUGCGGAGGGCCUCGAAGUCUAUGCGAAACCGGCCUAGGCCCCUGAUGCGAGGGCCAUCGCGUGGUGUAGAAGGAAGAUCAGGAUGACUUGCGCCAAGGGCGACAGACUGGGAGGCGUCGUAGGGCGCCGCCGCGUGAAGAUCAGUCUGGGCCUCAGGAGUCCCGACCUCGGGAGCCUCAGGUCGCGACUCCUCAUCCGCCACCACCCCAGGACACACUUCGGAAGAUGAUGCCUCAGGAGCCCCUCGUGGCGUCAGCAUCUCAACAUCAGACCCCUCGGCUCCCGGCGGUUCUCGCCUCCUUGCUUCAUCACCUGAGGCAGGACCGCCGUGAGCAACCGGAAGAGCGACCACAACAAUUGGGUUCUCGUGGGGCCCCAUGAGGCCGACCGGGCGCAGCUCCCAUUCGUCGAAGCUGGGCAUCUGCCUCACAAAGUCGGCCCUGCCCGAGCAAAGAUACAAGAGGGAGGCCCCAUGACGGAUGCUGCAUGGAGAAGGGUCGCCAGUCAAGACCCUCAGCACCGUCCUCAGCGCUUCGGGCACCAGAUCCUCCUCCUAGAGCCUCAUGCGGUCUUCGUGCACCGCGAAGGUCCACAUCCGACGGGAGUGGCGCUGGAGAGGAGCGAUGCGACAUUGAACGAACUCCUUCACCACCUUGGGCGCCGUCACACCGAGCUCCCUCAAACUCUCGAAGCGGCGCCAGAAGAAAGCAAGCCGGGGGCUCGUGUGCUUCUCAUGAUCCUAGCCUGAGUUGGGAAUAGCAGGCAAUGUUGGGUGCGAGAGCAGGGGGCUAGGCACCCCAACAUCCACGUACAACCACCGCUCUCAGAACCCGGUCACAAGAGGAGGAAGGCCGAAAUCGAUCCCUGAGGCAGCCGUCUCCGGCACGGAGAGGAAGCUCACGCACCCCGAGCAUUGAGUUGGGUCACUCGGGCGCAAGGAGAAGAAGUGGCGCAGGAGGGCAACGGAGGGAGGAAUGCCUACCAUGGCCUCGCAAACAAAGGCGAAGACAGCAAGGAGAGUAAUGGACUCAGGACCAAGGUGCAUCAUGUGGAUCUGGUAAUGGGAGAGCACCGCAUUGAAGAAAGCAGAAAAGGGGGGAACCAGACCCGCCCACAAGGUGUCGGCGAGAAAUCAGACCACCAUGACGACCCUGUCGAAGGAGGCGUGGGACGUGGGCCAAACCGUCGUCCUCCCGCACUCGUUGAAGAUGGAAGCAAGGGCGGAGCGGACCUUGUCCACGGCUUCGAUGUUGAGUAAGAUUGACUGAUCGACGGCGGGGGCGACUGCCGGGGGCGAGCGAGGCGAAGGCGCGGGCUUCUUCCCCUUUCCCUUCUUCGUUGGCGCCAUGGCAAUGGGAAGAGGGGGAGAGCUCGAGCUGGAUUGGAGGCGGAGGCUGGAGCUCUAGGAAGAAGGAAGGGCAGGGAGCGCGUGAACGGCGAAAGAGGAAUAACUGUGUGCAACCACGGGUCCGCCUAGUCGAGCGCGUAAUGAGGGGCGUGGGGAAACGGAGACGCCCACGUCCAAUCAACCGCCACGCGGCGCCCAAGGCCGCAGGCUUUUGGGGCCCGCGGCAAUUCACACUUGCCCCUUCUCUUCUCCGCUAAGCCAAGUCCAGGCGCGCCUUGGGCCUGGGGGCUACUGUCGGCGUUCUGGGAACGGGGGUCCCCAGACUUGCCUGCCUGCGGCCUGCGGCGUGGCUCAAGUGGUGGCAGAGUGCGGCCCAUAUUCAUCGACUCAAGCUCAAGACCCUCGCGAGGGGCUAAGCCUCGCAGGGAGGACGACAGGAAGCUUCCUCAGGAGGGGCCUCGCUAGGAAGGCUCGCGAGGAGGCGAAGAGAUCAAGGCGAGGGUACCUCGCGAGGUGCACAUGACGCAAGCCAUGACAAUCGAGACCAGGCGGGUGCCAGGCAGGCGCCAGGCGGGCGCCGGCCUGCGCAGUGUCCUUUUUUCCUCUUUGGUGCAAAGGGAGCAAGCUCAGACAAAGGCAUCAGACAAAGGCAACAAGCCAAGACCAGUAGAGCGGCAGGAUGGAGGUCACCGUGGAGCCCAAGACGGCAUCAUCGUCAGGGCCUUUGGUAGUCGAAGACCAACUUUAGUCAGGAUAAGUUGUACUAGAUGUUCCCCUUCAAAAUGGCCGUUGUUGGCGCCUUUCCCGCUCAAUAUUUGGGAAGAGGACCAAGGCCUCUAUAAAUAGGACUAGCCAUUCUCAAGGCAUGGGAUCGAGCAAUCGAACCUUAGCCAGAACCACCCACACCAGCACAAGAACACCCUCGCGAGGCUGUUCCUCCCUUGUAUUGUUCAUCAUCAGCCCGUGAGGCAAUCCACACACCACACACUGGAGUAGGGUAUUACACCACAAUGGUGGCCUGAACCAGUAUAAACUUCGUGUCCCUUGUGUUGAUUAUCUUGCUAGUCUAGAUUCUUAGCGAGGCUUUGGGACGUAGGUUUGUAGGGGAGAGAUCUCCGCGCGCACCCCAGAGUUCGAACCUCAAGGGUCUGCCGAAACACGAAAUCCGACAGCGCACAGUUAGGGGAAACACUUUCUUGAAAUUGUUAUUAGGGAUCAUCUUAUUUACUACCGUCGUUCUAAGAAAAUAAGAUGGAAAAACAUGAUAAACAUCACAUGCAAUCAAAUAGUGACAUGAUAUGGCCAAUAUCAUUUUGCUCCUUUGAUCUCCAUCUUUGGGGCGCCAUGAUCAUCAUCGUCACCAGCAUGACACCAUGAUCUCCAUCAUCAUGAUCUCCAUCAUCAUGUCUCCAUGAAGUUGUCUGGCCAACUAUUACUUCUACUACUAUGGCUAACGGUUUAGCGAAGAAGUAAAGUAAUUACAUAGUGUUAUUCAGUGACACGUAGGUCAUACAAUAAAUAAAGACAACUCCUAUGGCUCCUGCCGGUUGUCAUACUCAUCGACAUGCAAGUCGUGAUUCCUAUUACAAGAACAUGAUCAAUCUCAUAUAUCACAUAUAUUUCAUUCAUCACAUCCUUUUUGGCCAUAUCACAUCACAAGGCAUAUGCUGCAAAAACAAGUUAGACGUCCUCUAAUUGUUGUUACAUGUUUUUACGUGGCUGCUAUAGGGUUCUAGCAAGAACGUUUCUUACCUAUGCCAAAACCACAACGUGAUAUGCCAAUUUCUAUUUACCCUUCAUAAGGACCCUUUUCAUCGAAUCCGAUCCGACUAAGGUGGGAGAGACAGACACCCGCUAGCCACCUUAUGCAACUAGUGCAUGUCAGUCGGUGGAACCUGUCUCACGUAAGUGUACGUGUAAGGUCGGUCUGGGCCGCUUCAUCCCACAAUACCGCCGAAACAAGAUAAGACUAGUAGUGGCAAGUAAAUUGACAAAAUCUACGCCCACAACAAAAUUGUGUUCUACUCGUCCAUAGAAAGUACGCAUAGACCUAGCUCAUGAAGCCACUGUUGAGAUCGUUGCAAAAAAUAAAAAAUUUCUACGCAUCACCAAGAUCAAUCUAUGGAGCAACUAGCAACGAGAGAGAGGGGAGUGCAUCUUCAUACCCUUGAAGACCGCGAGAUGGAAGCGUUGCAAGAACGCGGAUGAGGGAGUCGUACUCGAAGCGAUUCAGAUCGUGGUGGAUUAUGAUCUUAGCGCUGAACAACGGCACCUCCGCGUUCAACACACGUGCAGCUCGGUGACGUCUCCCGCGCCUUGAUCCAGCAAGGAGGAGGGAUAGGUUGAGGAAGAGGGACACCAACAGCAGCACAACGGCGUGGUGGUGAUGGAGCGACAGUACUCUGGUAGGGCUUCGCCAAGCUCUUGCGGAGGAGGAGAGGUGUUGGGGAGGGGAGGGGCUGCGCCUUGGAUGUGGUGCUGCAGCCCUCCCCUCGCCCCUCUAUUUAUAGGAGGAGGGGGAAGGGGCCGGCACCCUCUAGAUGAGAUCUAGAGGGGGGCGGUGGCCAAGGGAGGGACUUGCCCCCCAAGCAAGGGGGCGCCCUCUUUAGGGUUUCCCCCCCCAACCCUAGGCGCAUGGGCCCAAGGGGGGGCUGGCGCCCAGACCUCUAAGGGCUGGUUCCCUUCCCUCUAUAGCCCACGAGGCCCUCCGGGAGAGGUGGACCCCCGGAAUCCUUCCGGUGGCCCCGGUACAAUACCGGUAUGCCACCGAACUUUUCCGGUGACCGUAUUACAACUUCCCAUAUAUAUAUCUUCACCUCCGGACCAUUCCGGAACUCCUCGUGACGUCCGGGAUCUCAUCCAGGACUCCAAACAACAUUCGGUAAUCACAUACAAGUCUUCCUAAUAACCCUAGCGUCAUCGAACCUUAAGUGUGUAGACCCUGCGGGUUCGGGAAUCACGCAGACAUGACAGAGACAACUCUCCGGCCAAUAACCAACAGCGGGAUCUGGAUACCCAUGUUGGCUCCCACAUGUUCCACGAUGAUCUCAUCGGAUGAACCACGACGUCGAGGAUUCAAGUAAUCCCAUAUACAAUUCCCUUUGUCAAUCGGUACGUUACUUGCCCGAGAUUCGAUUGUCAGUAUACCAAUACCUCGUUCAAUCUUGUUACCGGCAAGUCACUUUACUCAUUAUAUAAUGUGUGAUCCCGUGACUAACCUAUUAGUAACAUUGAGCUCAUUAUGAUGAUGCAUUACUGAGUGGGCCCAGAGAUACCUCUCCGUCAUACGGAGUGACAAAUUCUAGUCUCGAUUCGUGCCAACCCAAUAGACACUUUCGGGGAUACCUAUAGUGCACCUUUAUAGUCACCCAGUUACGUUGUGAUGUUUGGUACACCUAAAGCACUCCUAUGGUAUCUGGGAGUUACACAAUCUCAUGGUCUAAGGAACUGAUACUUGACAUUAGAAAAUCUUUAGCAAACGAACUACACGAUCUUAUGCUAUGCUUAGGAUUGGGUCUUGUCCAUCACAUCAUUCUCCUAAUGAUGUGAUCCUGUUAUCAAUGACAUCCAAUGUCCAUAGUCUGAAAACCAUGACCAUAUGUUGAUCAACAAGCUAGUCAACUAGAGGCUUACUACGGACAUGUUGUGGUCUAUGUAUUCACACAUGUAUCAUGGUUUUCGGUUAAUACAAUUAUAGCAUGAAUAAUAGACAAUUAUCAUGAACAAGGAAAUAUAAUAAUAAUCAUUUUAUUAUUGUCUCUAGGGCAUAUUUCCAACAAUUAUUACCUCUAGGGCAUAUUUCCUUCAGUAUCAACCCAUUCCCAGCUGGCAAGGGAUGGGUUGCCAUGCUUUAUGGUUCAGCGCGCGGUGACAAAGACCUCUUCGUGGACUACAUGAAGGUCGCCACAAGGUACACUAGCGUUCAAGGACUGGUGGAUGAAGCAGACGAAGUGAGGAAGAAGGCGACGAGUGAGGAGAAGCAAUGCAUGGACCAGUAGUAUGGAAACCGAGGUAAGGGGAUCCUACUCAUAGAUAUACUGCUAUGGGCAAUGAAAGAGGCGGGCUCCGCCAAUGUUGGGCAGAGGCAGCGGUGGGCAGACCACCACUACAUCACUCCAGCACAAUCUACGGCUGAAGCAAGCGCAAACAAGCACCAAGACAAGGACGACAACCUCCAGAUCAUCACACCACCAGCACUGCAGGCUCGCCGCUGCCCUCCUCCCAUCAUCUUCAUCGAUGAAGACGAAGAUGAAGAAGAACAGGAGGUGCAGAUGCUGCCAAAUCAUCCUACCGAAGUUAAGCAGGAGGUACAAUGCUCGAGCCGCUUACCAGGGUAGGCGCCUAACUGAAACUGAAUGUGAAACUAUUCAGUUUCACAAUCAGUUUCGUCAGUCUUAUUCAGUGUUGGCUAGUUUCAGUUAUCCCCAAACUAUUUGGUGCUAUCUAUCUAUGUAAUGCUAUCUAUGUUGCAUCCUCAGACAAUUUGUGUUAUCUAUGCUACCUCCUAUGUAAUGCAAGUUUCAGUUUCAUUUUCAGUUUCAGUGUUGUUUGGUGUUACCAGAUUCAAGUGUAAGUAUUAGCAACAACUAGGUAGCAGCAAAAAAUUGCAGAUGGAGAUAUAACAACAUCUGGAUAAUAUGGUUCAGGGGCAUUACAAAUAGGAUUAUCUUAGAGCAUUACAGAUCAGGGGCAUUAUAGCACCCAACGACAUAAGCAAAAUGAUCUGAAACCAUAGGCAGUUAAUAGGGAGUUCAUAUUAAUACUAAGAUGCAUAUCUGCAUCAGAUUCUAGUACUAGGCCAGUUAUAUAUAUAGGCAUCAUAUUCACUUACCAACCAUAGGUACCACUUCACUCCUCCAUGACCAGCCUUCAAGAUCUCAUCAAUGAUAUGCUCCAGCUUCUUCUUCUCUUCUUUAAGGAGGUCUCUCUCCACUAGUAUCUCCUUCAUGGCUUUCCUGGUGUUUUGAAUGAUAUCAGCUUGACUCUGUAGGAUGCACCUUUGUUCUUUCUUGAGCUUAAGCUUCUCCAUUUGAACCUCAAUCUUUGCCUGCUCCUCAAGCUGACGCUUCUUCUCCUUAAGUUCAUUGAUUGCCUGGCUUGUGUAAUCCAUGUCAUGGGAUUUCUACCCAUCCUGGUAAUCAAACAGCUUGGAUACAUCAUCCACAAGCUGACUGUACUGAUUGCCAAGAGAAUCCAGCUCCUUGUUCAGUUUCUCAACCUCUAUCUCAUGAGCCUCUUUGUCUUGGACUCUACCAAGGUUGUCCUUAUCAUACAUAUCCCAGAGCUUGGUUAAGCACCUUUGCAAAAUUACAGGCCAAGGGGCAUCUACCCACUCUAAAGCACCACAGUUCACACCAUCUUGAAAAUUCAGUUAAAUUUAUAGUGAGCUUUAUUCUUCAUUAACAAACAUAUUCACAAUAACAAAUCAUAAACAAUAGUCAUAUAUGUAGCUACACUACACUAGCUAACUCCAUACUACAAAAUAUAAAUCAGUGCUAUGUUUCCAUUGCUCUUUGCUGCUCUUUGCUACAAGUACAUAAUUUGGACAUAGCAAUGUUCUUAUAGUUAAGCAAAAAUGAGAAAAGCAGCAGCAUUAUUCAGAAAAGCACAAAAUGAAUCAAUCACAGCCAUGAAAACUUGGUUCAUUACCUCAGUUGCACAUCCUAUGAAUCUCCUGCCAGUGUCAGUGCCUUCAAAUGCCACAAAUUUGCCUGCCCUCUGCCUGUGCAGGAUGCACCCACGGUCAGAUUCAAUCACAAGCCCAGAAAAGAUUGGAUCUAUCACAGUAUUUGGUGUUUGCUGUAGUAGGAAACACAUAUAUAUCAACUACAGCUCACAUAUAUGAACUUAAAUGGAGAAAUCCCAAUCCUUCUUCAAAUCCUAACCCUAACCCUAGCUGAUGGGAGGAGAGAUUGAGCUGACUUACAAAAUACUCCAUCUACAUGCUAUUGAAGUCGCUCAUGUACUUGUCAUCGUCAGAGGUCUCGUUGCUGUUAGGCCACGCAUGGUCGCGGCGUCGCCGAAGUGCGAGAAGAAGAAGAGAAGCAGUGGAGAGCAGAGGAGAAGAGUGAGUGAGCGAGUGAGCUCGGUGGAGAGUGAGGUGGGGAGGACGAUGAGCUAGCCAGUUGGCCAGGUUAGUCCUGGUCCGACUGGGCCCGACCGACGCGCGCGGCUAACGGGUGGCAGGCGAGCGCCGUUAGUUGUUAGCACGGCCGCCGUCCUGACCGGUGGGCCAGAUCUGUCAAAAAGUCAUUUAAAACACUUCAAUCUGUCAUCAACUCGAUCUGGUAGUUUUUUGUCAUGAAAUCAGCGCUAAACUGGAGUUUUUGGUCAGUUUUCAAAAUGUGGUAGUUCUGUGGGACGAUUACGUGAAAUGUGGUAGUUUUUUGUCAAUUACUAUGGCAUGGCGGGCGCCGCACCGUGCGCUCUUGGAUGGAGCCGCGCUGCUAGGCAAAGGGAUCCAACGCGUAGGAAGGGGCGAGCGCGGCGGCCUGAGCUGUCCGGCCAGGGUUAAUCAAAUAUUUCCCGGGCUUGGUAGGUAGGCAUAGUAGUGCCGCUGCUCAUGCUGCUCGGACCCCAAACGAACAAAAUCCGGACCAAAUGGUAUGUCUGUUUGGGGUCGUGCGCUGGAGUUCUCCUAAGAAGUAUUCCUUGCAAAGAUCACUCACACCUUCUCAGGUUUGCGAUAAGUGGACAAGUGGCGUGUUGCAUGUGCGCCACUUGUCGCAACCGGGGAGGUUUCCCCCUUUUUGUAGAUUCAUUUAUUCAAAAUGUUUUAUCUCUUAAACUGUGCGUCCAAAUCUCGAACCGUUUUCACCGUUGUACUCCUCGCGUUGAGAUCUUCAAAACUAGAUCCCAUGUUGAUAGGUUUUGACGAAAAAAAUUCACUUAAAAAACUGAUGAAAAAACCGAACCGGGAGCACGGGGUUUUUCCCUUUCUGAAAGAGGCACGCCGGUGCCUCCCACAAAAUCACAACCGUGCCUCUCGCAGAAGCAAAACCGUGCCUCUCGCAGAAGCAAAAAAAAAAGAGAAAACACGUUUUUUUGUUUCCGAGGAGGCACUGUCGUGCCUCUGGCGAAAGCAUAACCAUGCCUCUCGCAGAAGCAAAACCGCGUCUCUCGUGAAAGAAAAAAACAGAAAACACGUUUUUUCCGUUUUCGAGAGGCACGGUCGUGCCUCUCGGGAAAGCACAACGGUGCCUCUCACGGAAGCAAAACCGUGCCUCUCUCGGAACAAAAAAAACAGAAAACCCGACUUUUUUCCGUUUCCGAGAGGCACGGCCGUGCCUCUCGCGAAAGCACAACCGUGCCUCUCGCGAAAGGAAAAAAACAGAAAACAUGUUUUCUUUUUGUUUCUGAGAGUCAUGGCCGUGACUCUCGCGGAAGCAAAACUAUGCCUCUCGCGGAAGCAAAACCAUGACUCUCGUGAAAUUAAAGAAAACACAUUUUUUCACACAAAAAUGUUUUUUUAAUCCAAAAGUUAAGGAAGAACGGCGGAAAACCGAAACGUCGAAAAAAUGUUUCAAAAGCCGAAAACGCGUGCAGAAAAAUAAAAUAAAAAAUCCAGAGGGAGCACCCAGAGCGCGACAGGUGGUGGGAGGCUGAGAGCACGCCAAGUGGACCUCAUCGUUGUGAGCCUCCCGAAGGAGCGCUCAUUAACUAGUUGCUCUCUUGGAUGCCACGCGCCCCACGUGACGCAAUGGGCUUGAUUCCCCACAAUCCCUCCUUUCUGCAACAAGUCUUUUGUUGCAAAAAAAGUUAAGUAUAUAAGGACUUCAGUUACAAAAAUAAUUAAAUUGCGGCAAGGCCUUUGUUCAAAAAAAAAAUUGUAACAAGAUCUCUAUUGCAAAAAAAUGCAACAUGACCUCUAUUGCAAAAAAAAAGUAACGUUACCUAUAUUUUUGCAAAUUUUCUGCAAUACAAGCCAUGUUGCAGAAAAUUACCGCAACACAACCUUUGUUGCAACGCUAGAGGAUGACGCUCGCCCACUCAGUUCGUCAAGUCCAUGUCUCGUGAUGUGGCGGAUCUUUUUAUAAGAUCCGCCGGCUGACGCGUAGCAGCGCCAUUUCCCAACACAUAGUAAUAUUUAUUUAUUUCUAAUGUCAGGCGCGGACGCACUGACCACCGUAUAAAUCGUUGCACGAAUCUCUGAAUAGCCUAAACUUCCACGUCGGCUCGGAUGGCGAACACUCCACCCACUAGCCUACUCCGCCCUGUUUUCUCCCGUACUAAUCACUCCCACACAUAAUUUCUAACCAGUAUGGCUAGAUCUCAGUCAAGUGACAUAUAUAUAAAAAGAAAAAAGAAAAAAAAUUCUAUGAAUCUUCAUCCAAGAUCAAAGGAAUAUAGCAUUUCUCACAAAAAAGGAAUAUAGCACUGACUAAGACAUCUCAGUUUAGCAAAAAAAUUUCUCGCCAUUAGUCUAAUUUGAUGGUGGUUGUGACAUGGUGCUUGGGUAACAUUGCGGUUCUUGGUGUCGCCGGCACACAGGCAGCAAAUAUCAUAGCGUUUGUGAGCUAGGGGUUUUGAUGAUCACAUUCGCCGUGGUGGGGGACUGCCGCCAUAGGUUGUUAGGUUUUUCUGUUGAUACGGGUGAGCACCAUCACCCACAUUGGAGAUCAACAUUCAGGGCAUCUUGGCAGCGAUGGAAAAUAUGCCUUCAUUAGGGGCCCACUAAUACAUCUCCAACGUAUCUAUAAUUUUUUAUUGUUCCAUGAUGUUAUAUUAUCAUUCUUGGAUAUUUUACAAUCAUUUUAUAGUCAUUUUAUAUCAUUUUUUGGUACUAACCUAUUGACAUAGUGCCCAGUGUUAGUUGUUGUUUUCUGCAUGUUUUUACAUCGCAGGAAAUCAAUAUCAAAAAGAGUCCAAACGCAGCGAAACUCUUGGAGGAUUUUUUUGGGCCAGAAGAAAUCCAGUGGGCCAAGAAAGCACUUGAGAGGUGGCUCGAGGGGAGCAACACUCACCAAGGCGCGCCAGGAGGCCCAGGCGCACCCUGGUGGGUUGUGCCCACCUCGAGUGCCCCCUAAACCACCUCUUUGCUCUAUAAAUACCCCAAUAUUCCAGAAACCCUAAGGAAGUCGACGAAAAUCAAUUACAGCUGACGCAAAGUCUAGAACCACCAGAUCCAAUCUAGACACCAUCAUGGAGGGGUUCACCACUUCCAUCGGUGCCUCUCCGAUGAUGCGUGAGUAGUUCUUUGUAGACCUACGGGUCUGUAGUUAGUAGCUAGAUAGCUUCCUCUCUCUCACUUGAUUAUCAAUAUAAUGGUCUCUUGGAGAUCCAUAUGAUGUAAGCCUUUUUGCGGUGUGUUUGUUGGGAUCCGAUGAACUUUGAGUUUAUGAUCAGAUCUAUGUUUUUAUCCAUGAAGUCUAUUUGAGUCUUUUUUUAUCUCUUAUAUGCAUGAUUGCCUAUAGCUCGUAUUUCUUCUCCGAUAUUUGGGUUUUGUUUUGCCAACUUGAUCUAUUUAUCUUGCAAUGGGAAGAGGAGCUUUGUAGUGGGUUUGAUCUUACGAUGCUUGAUCCCAGUGACAGAAGGGGAACCGACACGUAUGUAUCGUUGCUACUAAGGAUAACAAGAUGGGAUCUAUAUCUUGAUAAUAGAUAAAUGGAUCUUGUCUACAUCAUGUCAUCGUUCUUAUUGCAUUACUCCGUUUUCCAUGAACUUAAUACACUAGAUGCAUGCUGGAUAGCGGUCGAUGUGUGGAGUAAUAGUAGUAAAUGCAGGCAGGAGUCGGUCUACUAAUCUUGAACGUGAUGCUUAUAUAAUGAUCAUUGCCUAGAUAUUGUCAUGAUUAUUUGAAGUUCUAUCAAUUGCCCAACAGUAAUUGUUUUCCCACCAUUUGCUAUUUUUCUCAAGAGAAGCCACUAGUGAAACCUACGGCCCUCGAGUCUAUUUUCAUCAUAUUUGCCUUUGAGAUCUUUUUUCCUUUGCAUUUAUUUUCAAAUCUAUUAAACCAAAAAUACAAAAAUACCUUUCUGCAAUUUAUUUGUUCCGCGAUCUAUUUAUCCUAUCUACCACUUUUACCUCAUGUUUUUUGCCUAUCUUGAGAUGCCGUAGACGAAAGGGAUUGACAACCCCUUUAACACGUCGGGUUGCAAGUAUUUGUUAUUUGUGUGCAGGUGUUGUUUACGUGGUAUGAGGAGGUUCUCCUACUGGUUCGAUAACCUUGGUAUCAUCACUGAGGGAAAUACCUACUGUCGCUAUAAUGCAUCAUCCCUUCCUCUUUGGGGGGAUACCGACAUAGUUCUAGCAGACAUCAAAAGGAAUUUCUGGCGCCGUUGCUGGGGAACAUCUUUAACAUCAACCAGGUUCCUAAUCACAAAUCUCAUCUCCUCGCAAUUUACAUUAUUUCCCAUUUGCCUCUUGUGUUCCUCUCCCCCAGUUCACAAAAAAUGGCCAUUUUAUUCGCCCUAUUUUUCGUUCGUCGUUUUUUCGUCAGAUCUCAUGUUUGCUUGUGUUGCCAUGCGCCUUCUAUUUUCUUGCAUCUGUGCUUGCUAAAAAUAUUUUGAUAUGGAUCCUCAUCCCCUUACUAAUGUUUUCAAAAUAUCCAGUUAUGAUGAACCAAUUGCUAGUGAUUCUAGUGCCCUAGAUUAUCUAUAUGAAGUUUUGCUUGAGAUUCGAGAUCUGAAAAUUGUGAUGAAGAAAUUUAUGAAGUGAUUCAUGAUAGCUCCUUGAAUGAAAAGCAUGAUUGCAAUUAUUUUAUUAUAAAUUCUAUUAAUUUCAAUUGUGUUAGUAAUAUGCGAAACGCCAAGCUUCGGGAUGCUAGUUUUGCUAUGUACGCUACUUAUUGCAAUGCUCAUGAUUGGGGUGAUAGUGUUUCUUAUGAUCUUGAAAAUUCAUUUAAGCCUCAUGAUGAAUAUGUUUGUGAUAAUAUUGAAAGUGGGUUUGGAAGAGUGUAAACUUUAGGUAAUAGUGAUCCCACUACCUUGGAGAAUGAUCAAUCUUAUGAAAUUUUUGGUAAAAGUGGGUUUGGAGAGGUCGUGACUUUAGUUGAUGGUAAUCCCACUAUUUUGAAGAGUUCAACUUUGCAUGCAUGUGGAUCAUGUCGAGAAUAUUUUAUGUGAUAGCUAUAUUGUCGAAUUUGAUUAUGAUCCUACAUGUAAUUAUUAUGAGAGAGUAAAAUAUGGUUGUAGAAUUUUUCAUGUUACUAAAUUACCUCUCUUCAUGUUGAGAUUGUUAUUGUUUCUUGAUUCUUCCUUGCAUAUGCUAGAUUUUGCUUGCCUUCAUAAUUUGUUUUCCUAUAAAAUGCCUAUGCAUAGGAAGUAUGUUAGACUUAAAUGUGGUUGUCACGUGUUUUAUGAUGCUCUCUUUUGCUUCAACUCUUAUCUUUCAUGUGAGCAUCGAUAAAUCUUAUGCCUAGCUAGGGGCGUAAAACGAUAGGGCUUGUUGGGAGGCAACCCAAUGAAUAAAAUUUAUUUUUGCUUUUUGAUUUCUGUUCUUGUGUGUUAGAACAAUUAUACUACUGUUAUGAUUGUGUUUUUUGUGUUUUAAUAAGUGUUUGUGCCAACCAAGGCCUUUGGGAUGAUUUGGGUGAAAGUUGAUUUGAUCUUGCUGAAAGGCUGGAUUAGUAAUUUGAUCUGCGGGGCACAACUUCUUUGACCCAAUCCUGGAUAUGGAAGAGGUACUGGAGUUUGUUUCUCCUAGUCAUUCUGCGAUAGAAUGGCUUGACGGACCACAAGAGUAUUAGGCAUCGAUAAACGAACGCACGCAUACUCUUGACUAUCAAUUGAUAGACGAGGGUCAGAAUGCAACUAAAGAGAUCAACUCAAAGGAUCAUAUAAUUUUCUGAGUUGUGGACGCAUAGAUUAGUAUGUCGAACCAAGUUCAACAUGUUUCUUCCGGAUAACCCAUGCAGAAAGGUAGAACUGGCAGAGUCACGAUUUAUGAAUGGAGAACUCCUCAAGAGUACUCUAAUUGUGAUCUUUUGAUCCAAUAAACAUCUGCCAUAAGCGGUUCAUAGUAUUUGGAAGAAGGAAAUACCACGGACCUCGAGGACUAUCGCAAAGUUACUAAUAUCCUGAAGGAACUAGCAAACACUAUCAACAUGAAGUAAGUAGAGUGAAUCUCGGGUUCAAAGCUCAAGGAGUAGAAUACCUACUACUAAGUAGCAUCACGGAAUGCUUUCGAGAAUGAUGGCCAGAAUCCUCACACUGGGAGCACAAAUCAUGGCUAAAUUACUAGAUGAUCCCCUAAGACACCUAGGGUCAUAAUAAUAUCUCCAACAUAUAUGUCAAGGUAACGGAGUACCUCAACUUACUGAUUAGUGUGGUUAAUCUGGCCCAUGGGAACAUUGAAACGGGAAGAAAGGAUUUGCAAAUGCAUCAGACUACUUAGAAACAUGGGAUGACUCGGACAGCAUAACGGCUGUAAAUGCUCAGAAAAGAUUUGAGACAUUCACAAAAAUGGUGGCAUAACCACUCAGAAGCACAAUAUCAAGGUUUCGAGAUCAACAAUUAACAUACAGAGGUAGAAACUGAACUGAGGCUUAAAUCCAACAAACUUAUAAGUCUACUGAUUAGUAACACGUGAUCCUAAUAGAAAGAAGAGAUAGCCUAGUUCUUAAUCCCCGUAGAAGAGAAGAUGACUCAGAUCAGAAGGGCAUAAGGUAUAAGGAAUAAAAAGAGCCUUACGUUCCAUCCCACAAUCAAUUCCCUUAUAUAACUAAAGAAUUUCUAGACUCAACUUCGACCAGUUUGGCUUGGUAAUCCUACAGGCAGUCAAGCUCUGAUACCAACGCUGUCAGGACCCCGACUCAAUGCCACAUCGAUCUAGCAUGUAACACCUCAUAUCACUUUGCGGCCUCACGCACGGUAUUCCCACGGGUGUCGCCUUACCUUAGCCCGGGACCGUUUGCGCCUUUUGGCACACGUAUAUGACGGUGUCGCUAGCAUCCAUAUGAUAAGGAGCCCAGGCUGACAUGGCUAGUCGUAAACCCAAAGUGGCACAGACUUACAGGGACAGGCAUCCAUGACCCAACAUCGAACGUGUCGGUCAUCAGCGAGUGAAUCCAGGCUGUAGCACUGGGCUAGCAGGACUCCGGUGAACCGGGCUGUAGCGGGCUAACAGGACUCCAGUAUUCAUCGCGUGACAUUUCCCCGAAGGGACAGACACAGGAACGAAGAAGGACACAUGCCGGCCAGCCUAAGUGUUCCGGAGCAGUAGCAAGCUACCAUGGCUCAGUGGAAACACUAGGAGACAUUUCCCGGUAAGAGAGGCUACUAAAGAUAAACAACUAGAUGGUCAGAUCCCACACAUACCAAGCAUUUCAAUAACACACACACAAUAUGCUCGAUAUGUGCAAAUACAACAUGGCAUCACAACAUGACUCUACGACUCAAGUAAUUUAUUCAAUAGGCUCCGAGGAGCGAGGUAUUACAAACAGGGGUCUCACGACCCAACAUUCAGAGCAUACAAGUCAAAACACAAGCGGAAGCUAUCAUGUCUGAGUACAGACAUCUAGAAAUGAAAAAGGCUGAGAAGCUUGACUAUCUACCAGAUCCUGUCGAGGCACAAGAUCGUAGCUGAGGUAACAAGCUAAACGUCGAAGACCACGCGGAAAUACUAGUGAGACUGAAGUCUCUCUGCAAAAACACAAAAUAGGCAAACAUGAGUACAAAUGUACCCAGCAAGACUUACAUCAGAACUAUCUACAUAUGCAUCAUUAUCAACAAAGGGAUGGUGGGGUUUAACUGCAGCAAGCCAGCUUUGACUCGGUGGCUAUCCUGAACUACGACUGCGAGUAACUUUUUUGAGGUGGCGCACACGAGUCCACAUAUUCACCAUAUCAAUACACCACUAUGGAUCCGCUCCCGUCUCCCUACGAGAACGCCAUCCAUAGCACUCACGCUUAUCUUGCGUAUUUUAAAGUAUCCACUUUCACUUGUCUAUGAACUGAUAUAAGCAACCCAGAAGUCCUUUUCCGCGGACACGGCUAUUCGAAUAGAUGAUGUUAACCCUGCAGGGGUGUACUUCUUCAUACAUGUUUCCACCACUUAGCGUCUGCACACGACAUGUGCUCGGCAGACUUCAAGCGAAAGCCGACGUGGGUGUAGACCACGGCCUACCUAAACACUCAAGUCUCUAGUCCAGGUUUAUCGCCUAUUUGGGUUCCAUCCAUGAGGAGAUCCGGCCGGAGUUUCGCUCACAGCCCCAAACGAUGUGAACAGGGUUCCCGAGAUACCAAACGGGCAUCCGGUACACCGUGCCACGUACCUACCGCAUCACAGCCCACCCCUACGGUCAGCGCUGUCCACGGCCUCCAGUAAGCUACAAACACCAGAAACUACUUGCAACUCCUGGACAGAGGACUAGGGUGAAUAAGAAGUCGAGCGGGGUCAUAUUUCAAGGCCCAAUGUAUGGUAGUAGCUGAAUCAUGGAUCACAAACGCAGAACUCAGUUCCUGAGGACGGCUGCAAUGAGACAACCCACCAUGUACUCCUACAUGGCCUCUCACCGCUACCUUUACCAAAUCGUGUUCACAUACUUAGCUCACACACAGUAGGACAUGUUCACACACCUCUAAUUCAUCCUCGAUGAAUCAGACCUGACUCAACUCUAAGCAGUAGCAGGCAUGACAAACAAACAUGAAUGAGUAGGCACAACAGGGCUCAAACAACUCCUACUCAUGCUAGUGGGUUUCAUCUAUUUACUGUGGCAAUGACAGGUCAUGCAAAGGAUAAAGGGGUUCAGCUACCGCAGCAUGUAACAGUUGAAUCGGUGUUGUCCUAAUGCAGUAAAAGAGAGCAGGAGCGAGAGAGUGGGAUUGUAUCGGAAUGAACAAGGGGGUUUUGCUUGCCUGGCACUUCUGAAGAUAACAUUGAGUCUUCAUCAGUGUCAGCGAUCACAUCAUCGGGUAUCACGUCUAUCGAGAGGGGACAAAUACCGGCAACACAAAAGGGAACACAAUCAAUGCAAUGCACAAUAUGAUGCAUGAUCAUGACAUGGCAAAAUGAAUGUGUUUGAGCUAAUGCAACUAGCAACAGAUUAAAUGAAGUUGGUUCGAAUACAAGAUUCAAAUUCAAACUCCAUAUGUGAUUAUUCAAAUGCCAUUUACUUCAUUUGCCCUAAACAGUAGUGAUAAGUUGUUCUAACAUGCAUGAAAAUGGUACAGAUGCAUUCCUUGAAUUUUUCUGAUAAUUUUUCAUAUAUAAAUUAUUUAAUUUGGAGUUAUGGUUAAUUUUCUAUGAUUUUUAGAAGUUUUAGGCAUUUUCUGGAAUUUCCUGGAUAUUAAUAAAUCCAGUAAUUGAAUUAAUGCGCCAGCCUGACGUCAUCAUGACGUCAGCAGGUCAACUGGGCGCCUCCAGGUCAAACCUGACACUGGGACCCACAUGUCAGUGUGAUUAGCUUAACUAAAAUUAAUUAAAACUAAUCCUAAUAGUCAACAGGGCUGGGCCCCACCUGUCAUUGACUCAGGAGAGUCAACCGGGGCCCACCCGUGGUCAAAGUCAAAGUCGGCUGCCGGCGUUUAGCCGCCGGCGAGCCCGACGCGGCGGCGAGAGUGGUUUUGGCCACUCCGGCGACCAAAUGGGCCGCAGAGGGCAUCUAGGAGGAUCUGGGGACGAGCCGAAGCUCCUGGUGGAGUCAGUUGCGCUCGGGGCGGCUGGAAUCGGUGCCGACGGCGAGCGAGGCGGCGCCGGAGCUCGGGUGUGCUCGGUUUCGGUGUUACACGGCACGGCGGGCGCGGCCGAUGGGCUCUACGGGAUGCUGGGGUCACCAGGAAUACCCGGAGGCAACGAGCGCAGGCGGAGAAGCUCGGGAGCACGGAGCUCACCGGCCAUGGCGGACGGCGGCUUCGGGUGCUCGUGGGGCGAUGGCUACAGGGCGCAAUCGAAGGGGGAAAGAGGGAGGGGAGGCGUAGGAGCUCACAGCGGUGCCGCAGGGAUGGUUGGCCGGCUCGGGGGCGCGCCAGAGUGGCCGAAUCGACGGAGAAGCUCCUCGGCGGCCGGCGAGGGGAAAACGUCGGGGGUGGCGUUCCGGGGCUCUUCUGGUCGCGUGACACGACGAGGAGGUCGAGGGAGGACCGGCGGAGCUUCCUGGGGCGUCGGCGAGGCUAGGGGUGGCCGGUGGCCAUGGGUACGGCGACNNNNNNNNNNGAAAUAAAUAUGGGUGCUUUCUGAAUUAUUCCAGUGACCCUUAUCAAUUUCCAACAUUUAUUUGAGCAUUUAAAAUAUUUAUAGUAUUUAAAUGCCCAAAGUCAAAUACAAUAUGAUUUAAUUCAAAAAUCCAAAAAUGACCUAAGGAUAUAUUCAUCAUUUUUGGCAGAGGUUUCCACCUUAACCAGAAAUCAUGAACUUUUCUUAGGGGCCUUUUGGGUUUAUUGAAAAGAUUUUAACUUACCCUAGUUGAGUUGAUUUAAUGCUAGGGUUUGAACAUCCCCAUUUCAAUUUUAGGCAAAAUUUAAACAUGAUGCAACACAUGACUAGCUAGCUCAGAGCAUUACCAGAAGCUAGGGAUGUGACAACUCACCCCCACUAAACAAGAAUCUCGUCUCGAGAUUCAAGCGUAGGGUAAGGUGAAAGGUAAGCGCAACUAGUAUAAUCUUCACGAUCCAGGGUGCACUUCAAAUGAACGUUGAUUUGAACCCAUCAUUGUCUUGUCGUCUUGCUCUGAGAACUUCAGCUAAUCAUGACAAGAAGAGGAAAGGAAAACUCUAGAACAAUCGAUCUUCGAGAAGACCGAACAACUUAGGAUCAACUCAUGGGAUGAGAUAUAGCAACAUCUCUUGAGCUGAGAGACGAAGCACAGAUCCGAAGAAAUGGAGUAAGACAAAUGACGAGGGUUCGCUAAGUAGACAACAAUUCCAGACUUAAGAAUGUGGUGAUCGGUUGUCAACGUAGCGAGGAGUUGAGUUGACAUGGCACCAUAAUGAUGCACCUUAGGGAAGGUGACUCGAAGAUAAAUCCCCUUAAGUGGCAAGAAGAAUUACUUUUGAUACCGAGAUCAUUGAAACUCUUUAUACCAGCCUAAGGCAAUUCUUGAGUGACCGUUUGGAGGGGUUCGGUAGAAUGGCAUACUCGGACUUGGAUGAUGUGGAUUACCUUGUUGAAGACAACGCAAUGGAUGAAUUUGCUUAUCACCGGAAAUGGAAGAGACCCAUGGUAGAAUGACACAUUGACGGUGCAAGCUGGGAACAAAAUGCAAAUGCUGGGAAUGAUUCUGGUAACUGGGGAAGAACCCAACAAUAGAGAAUGAAUUCACUGUGGAAGUGGUUAUAGCAUAACCGACGAGACUAGGAGCAAUCCCGGUUAGUGCCGGCGAUAAUACCUAGCGCUUGUGCGUGCUCUCAAGAACUUGAGCAUUUCCAUAUUCAUCAAGGUUUUACCAACAUCCGUGUCAAGGAUCCUGGCAACACAACUUGCUACCAUGAUGAAUGGUGAUGGAGGAUGCAGAUGCAAAGGAAGAUAACACCUUCUCAGAUUUCACCCUUGGCGGGGCCAAGGAAAUAAAAUCUGGAUGAUCGACCGAGAGACAUUUAGCACUCCGCUUCUAAUGUUCUCCUUGACGUGCUAGUGUAUCCCAUUCAUAGAUAUGGUUUGAUAACUAGAACAUCAAGUAACAGGUCGGACUUCGGGAACACAAAAAUCCAUAGGGGCAACUAGGAAGUAAACCCUACGAAAUCCUUAUGGGGAGGUGGCCAACUUCAUCAAUCAAGAUAUUAUAAUAAUAGGUCUACCGGAUGGGUGUGUUGGCCACGACAUCCACCUUGCCGGUUAUUGAGAGACCAAUAUUAUAAUUCUUGGGAAAUGUUCCAACCAUCACAUCUGCCUGAGAUUCAGAUCUGGUUGGUGUCAGGAUAUCCCAGACUCAUCAAGUCUAGAAAGAAAAAUGAAAGUUUGCAACACAAAUCGACGAGAUGACGUUGCGAGAUUCUCGGGAAAUGAACUACGAUAGUAAGCUCCAAAACAUGAGCUGGUUCUGCUACAAACAUGUGAACACGUUGUCCCAGACAAGCAUGACCACAAAGUAGUCUUAUAAUAAAACACUACCGAGUUCAGGAGGGGGAACCAUCAGCGAGGAUAUCGAAGUUUUGUACAAAUCCGUCCGGUACCUUCGGGACUAGCACUUAGAACUUAUUAAUCUUGAACAAAUCAAUCAGUGGCUUGGUGUGCUAGGGACCCAUAUAGAAUGGAGGUUGCAAGUCUCCGAACCACAGAAUACUUCGCACGUAUGCAUGACUGAUUUGGGAUGAUUCCAAAGGAAACAACAUUGACUUUCUCGAAUCCACGGCGGCAACUUGCAUCAAAUGCACAUGGACUGGAGGAAGUCACUUCUUACAUUCGAACAUAUGCUUCAUGAACUAGCAUGAAGAAAUGCUUUCAAAAGUUUCCAACACUAACUUAAUGUUCAACAAAUCAUGGAGGGAAUAAGGAUGUUGUCAAUGGGCUCAACAACAAUUCAUCUAGGUUUCCUUUUAAAAGGAAUUCCAUAGUUGAGUGAACACGGUGAUAGCAUUGGUCAGACCAAAGAUGUAAUGGUGUAUGCUCGAGGGAUCAACCACGAAUAAGACAACAUUACGAGCAUCGUUGGUACUGAUUUGAUUUGACGAUAGCCCACACUCAAAUCAAAGGAUUGAUAAGACAAUAGGUCCAACAACUGAUCACAAGGACCAAUCGAUGAAGAUAUCAUCUUUCUUCAACACACACUACACAAGAAUAUCCCUUUGGAACGAACUAAGUCAGGCAAGCUUUUAUCUUCCAACUCUCCAAGUUGUUGUCUAGCUUAACCAACUAGCUCAGGGAUAUCCAACACAGAUUCUUGGAGAAAGGGUGGUUCACAAGAAACCAACUUGAUCACGAGCUCAACAUAACGGUCAGGUGACGACCUGGUAAUACUUCCGAGAAGAUCUUCAGAAAUCACGAACCACCGAUAUGUUACUAAGCUCGAGAACAAUCUUGCUUUUCAGGGCAAGAUGAUAUAAUCAAAUGAGCGAGGACUUGACAAAAUCCUAACUCAUCAAUCAAAGAGUGCACCAGGAAAUAAGGACUAGGUAGCACGAUCAAUCUUAGAAUGGUGAUUCAAUAACCAACAUACUAAGAAUAAGAUUAUUGUCCAUUAACUACCAAGCAAUGGGGUUGCUAGGAGUAUUGAGUUCACACAUCAUGAUUCACUUGUCGGCACUCCGGCUGCAACAACACGGAACCGAGGAAUGAACAAUGAUGGCAAGAAGUAUCACUGUACCAAGAGUUCAUAGGAUGGUGUGCAAUUCCUAUAACAAUCCCGAUAUAAAGAUGGUAAUACUUUAGGGUAGAACAGGAUCAAAGGCUGGAUUAGUAAUUUGAUCUGCGGGGCACAACUUCUUUGACCCAAUCCUGGAUAUGGAAGAGGUACUGGAGUUUGUUUCUCCUAGUCAUUCUGCGAUAGAAUGGCUUGACGGACCACAAGAGUAUUAGGCAUCGAUAAACGAACGCACGCAUACUCUUGACUAUCAAUUGAUAGACGAGGGUCAGAAUGCAACUAAAGAGAUCAACUCAAAGGAUCAUAUAAUUUUCUGAGUUGUGGACGCAUAGAUUAGUAUGUCGAACCAAGUUCAACAUGUUUCUUCCGGAUAACCCAUGCAGAAAGGUAGAACUGGCAGAGUCAUGAUUUAUGAAUGGAGAACUCCUCAAGAGUACUCUAAUUGUGAUCUUUUGAUCCAAUAAACAUCUGCCAUAAGCGGUUCAUAGUAUUUGGAAGAAGGAAAUACCACGGACCUCGAGGACUAUCGCAAAGUUACUAAUAUCCUGAAGGAACUAGCAAACACUAUCAACAUGAAGUAAGUAGAGUGAAUCUCGGGUUCAAAGCUCAAGGAGUAGAAUACCUACUACUAAGUAGCAUCACGGAAUGCUUUCGAGAAUGAUGGCCAGAAUCCUCACACUGGGAGCACAAAUCAUGGCUAAAUUACUAGAUGAUCCCCUAAGACACCUAGGGUCAUAAUAAUAUCUCCAACAUAUAUGUCAAGGUAACGGAGUACCUCAACUUACUGAUUAGUGUGGUUAAUCUGGCCCAUGGGAACAUUGAAACGGGAAGAAAGGAUUUGCAAAUGCAUCAGACUACUUAGAAACCUGGGAUGACUCGGACAGCAUAACGGCUGUAAAUGCUCAGAAAAGAUUUGAGACAUUCACAAAAAUGGUGGCAUAACCACUCAGAAGCACAAUAUCAAGGUUUCGAGAUCAACAAUUAACAUACAGAGGUAGAAACUGAACUGAGGCUUAAAUCCAACAAACUUAUAAGUCUACUGAUUAGUAACACAUGAUCCUAAUAGAAAGAAGAGAUAGCCUAGUUCUUAAUCCCCGUAGAAGAGAAGAUGACUCAGAUCAGAAGGGCAUAAGGUAUAAGGAAUAAAAAGAGCCUUACGUUCCAUCCCACAAUCAAUUCCCUUAUAUAGCUAAAGAAUUUCUAGACUCAACUUCGACCAGUUUGGCUUGGUAAUCCUACAGGCAGUCAAGCUCUGAUACCAACGCUGUCAGGACCCCGACUCAAUGCCACAUCGAUCUAGCAUGUAACACCUCAUAUCACUUUGCGGCCUCACGCACGGUAUUCCCACGGGUGUCGCCUUACCUUUGCCCGGGACCGUUUGCGCCUUUUGGCACACGUAUAUGACAGUGUCGCUAGCAUCCAUAUGAUAAGGAGCCCGGGCUGACAUGGCUAGUCGUAAACCCAAAGUGGCACAGACUUACAGGGACAGGCAUCCAUGACCCAACAUCGAACGUGUCGGUCAUCAGCGAGUGAAUCCAGGCUGUAGCACUGGGCUAGCAGGACUCCGGUGAACCGGGCUGUAGCGGGCUAACAGGACUCCAGUAUUCAUCGCGUGACAUUUCCCCGAAGGGACAGACACAGGAACGAAGAAGGACACAUGCCGGCCAGCCUAAGUGUUCCGGAGCAGUAGCAAGCUACCAUGGCUCAGUGGAAACACUAGGAGACAUUUCCCGGUAAGAGAGGCUACUAAAGAUAAACAACUAGAUGGUCAGAUCCCACACAUACCAAGCAUUUCAAUAACACACACACAAUAUGCUCGAUAUGUGCAAAUACAACAUGGCAUCACAACAUGACUCUACGACUCAAGUAAUUUAUUCAAUAGGCUCCGAGGAGCGAGGUAUUACAAACAGGGGUCUCACGACCCAACAUUCAGAGCAUACAAGUCAAAACACAAGCGGAAGCUAUCAUGUCUGAGUACAGACAUCUAGAAAUGAAAAAGGCUGAGAAGCUUGACUAUCUACCAGAUCCUGUCGGGGCACAAGAUCGUAGCUGAGGUAACAAGCUAAACGUCGAAGACCACGCGGAAAUACUAGUGAGACUGAAGUCUCUCUGCAAAAACACAAAAUAGGCAAACAUGAGUACAAAUGUACCCAGCAAGACUUACAUCAGAACUAUCUACAUAUGCAUCAUUAUCAACAAAGGGGUGGUGGGGUUUAACUGCAGCAAGCCAGCUUUGACUCGGUGGCUAUCCUGAACUAUGACUGCGAGUAACUUUUUUGAGGUGGCGCACACGAGUCCACAUAUUCACCAUAUCAAUACACCACUAUGGAUCCGCUCCCGUCUCCCUACGAGAACGCCAUCCAUAGCACUCACGCUUAUCUUGCGUAUUUUAAAGUAUCCACUUUCACUUGUCUAUGAACUGAUAUAAGCAACCCAGAAGUCCUUUUCCGCGGACACGGCUAUUCGAAUAGAUGAUGUUAACCCUGCAGGGGUGUACUUCUUCAUACAUGUUUCCACCACUUAGCGUCUGCACACGACAUGUGCUCGGCAGACUUCAAGCGAAAGCCGACGUGGGUGUAGACCACGGCCUACCUAAACACUCAAGUCUCUAGUCCAGGUUUAUCGCCUAUUCGGGUUCCAUCCAUGAGGAGAUCCGGCCGGAGUUUCGCUCACAGCCCCAAACGAUGUGAACAGGGUUCCCGAGAUACCAAACGGGCAUCCGGUACACCGUGCCACGUACCUACCGCAUCACAGCCCACCCCUACGGUCAGCGCUGUCCACGGCCUCCAGUAAGCUACAAACACCAGAAACUACUUGCAACUCCUGGACAGAGGACUAGGGUGAAUAAGAAGUCGAGCGGGGUCAUAUUUCAGGGCCCAAUGUAUGGUAGUAGCUGAAUCAUGGAUCACAAACGCAGAACUCAGUUCCUGAGGACGGCUGCAAUGAGACAACCCACCAUGUACUCCUACAUGGCCUCUCACCGCUACCUUUACCAAAUCGUGUUCACAUACUUAGCUCACACACAGUAGGACAUGUUCACACACCUCUAAUUCAUCCCCGAUGAAUCAGACCUGACUCAACUCUAAGCAGUAGCAAGCAUGACAAACAAACAUGAAUGAGUAGGCACAACAGGGCUCAAACAACUCCUACUCAUGCUAGUGGGUUUCAUCUAUUUACUGUGGCAAUGACAGGUCAUGCAAAGGAUAAAGGGGUUCAGCUACCGCAGCAUGUAACAGUUGAAUCGGUGUUGUCCUAAUGCAGUAAAAGAGAGCAGGAGCGAGAGAGUGGGAUUGUAUCGGAAUGAACAAGGGGGUUUUGCUUGCCUGGCACUUCUGAAGAUAACAUUGAGUCUUCAUCAGUGUCAGCGAUCACAUCAUCGGGUAUCACGUCUAUCGAGAGGGGACAAAUACCGGCAACCCAAAAGGGAACACAAUCAAUGCAAUGCACAAUAUGAUGCAUGAUCAUGACAUGGCAAAAUGAAUGUGUUUGAGCUAAUGCAACUAGCAACAGAUUAAAUGAAGUUGGUUCGAAUACAAGAUUCAAAUUCAAACUCCAUAUGUGAUUAUUCAAAUGCCAUUUACUUCAUUUGCCCUAAACAGUAGUGAUAAGUUGUUCUAACAUGCAUGAAAAUGGUACAGAUGCAUUCCUUGAAUUUUUCUGAUAAUUUUUCAUAUAUAAAUUAUUUAAUUUGGAGUUAUGGUUAAUUUUCUAUGAUUUUUAGAAGUUUUAGGCAUUUUCUGGAAUUUCCUGGAUAUUAAUAAAUCCAGUAAUUGAAUUAAUGCGCCAGCCUGACGUCAUCAUGACGUCAGCAGGUCAACUGGGCGCCUCCAGGUCAAACCUGACACUGGGACCCACAUGUCAGUGCGAUUAGCUUAACUAAAAUUAAUUAAAACUAAUCCUAAUAGUCAACAGGGCUGGGCCCCACCUGUCAUUGACUCAGGAGAGUCAACCGGGGCCCACCCGUGGUCAAAGUCAAAGUCGGCUGCCGGCGUUUAGCCGCCGGCGAGCCCGACGCGGCGGCGAGAGUGGUUUUGGCCACUCCGGCGACCAAAUGGGCCGCGGAGGGCAUCUAGGAGGAGCUGGGGACGAGCCGAAGCUCCUGGUGGAGUCAGUUGCGCUCGGGGCGGCCGGAAUCGGUGCCGACGGCGAGCGAGGCGGCGGCCGGAGCUCGGGUGUGCUCGGUUUCGGUGUUACACAGCACGGCGGGCGCGGCCGAUGGGCUCUACGGGAUGCUGGGGUCACCAGGAAUACCCGGAGGCAACGAGCGCAGGCGGAGAAGCUCGGGAGCACGGAGCUCACCGGCCAUGGCGGACGGCGGCUUCGGGUGCUCGUGGGGCGGCGGCUACAGGGCGCAAUCGAAGGGGGAAAGAGGGAGGGGAGGCGUAGGAGCUCACAGCGGUGCCGUAGGGAUGGUUGGCCGGCUCGGGGGCGCGCCGGAGUGGCCGAAUCGACGGAGAAGCUCCUCGGCGGCCGGCGAGGGGAAAACGUCGGGGGUGGCGUUCCGGGGCUCUUCUGGUCGCGUGACACGACGAGGAGGUCGAGGGAGGACCGGCGGAGCUUCCUGGGGCGUCGGCGAGGCUAGGGGUGGCCGGUGGCCAUGGGUACGGCGACGAUGGCGGCGAGCUCCGCUCGGUGGUGUGCGCGAGAGGGAAACAGAGGAGGGAAUGGGGUCCAGGGGGAGAGAGGGGAGGUGCAGGGGGCGAGGGCGUCUCCGUGGCGUCGCGAGGGGGUCGGGGAGGAAGCAGGAGGUGGCUAGGGGGGGAAGCAGGAGGUGGCCGAGGCAGCGUCGGCGAGCGCCACGCCUCGCCUCUGCUCGUCCUCCUGGCAGAGGAGGAAGAGGACAAAGGAGGAGGAGGUGGGCUGGGCCGGCUGGGGGGCAACUGGGCCGGCUGGUGGGCUGCACGGGUGAGGCCAGGUAUGUCCUUCUCCCUCUUAUUUUUGUUCUGUUUUAUUUUUUUCUAUUUCUGCAAUUUGUUUUUGAUUUGUUUUAAACAUCAAAUCAUUUUAUAAAAUCCUGGAAAUAAAUAUGGGUGCUUUCUGAAUUAUUCCAGUGACCCUUAUCAAUUUCCAACAUUUAUUUGAGCAUUUAAAAUAUUUAUAGUAUUUAAAUGCCCAAAGUCAAAUACAAUAUGAUUUAAUUCAAAAAUCCAAAAAUGACCUAAGGAUAUAUUCAUCAUUUUUGGCAGAGGUUUCCACCUUAACCAGAAAUCAUGAACUUUUCUUAGGGGCCUUUUGGGUUUAUUGAAAAGAUUUUAACUUACCCUAGUUGAGUUGAUUUAAUGCUAGGGUUUGAACAUCCCCAUUUCAAUUUUAGGCAAAAUUUAAACAUGAUGCAACACAUGACUAGCUAGCUCAGAGCAUUACCAGAAGCUAGGGAUGUGACAGUUUUUGCCAUAGAAAAGUUGUAAUACAGUAGAUAUAAUGCAAAAAAACAAAAUAAUAAUAGGUUUGCAACAGUACUUAUAGUAGUGGUUUGCUUUCUUAUACUAAUGGAUCUCACGAAGGUUUUGUUGAGUUCUGUGUGAUUGAAGUUUUGAAGUUUUGGGUGAUCUUACGAUGGAUGAAGGAAUAAGGAUUAGCAAAAGGCUAAGCUUGGGGAUGCCAUUGGCACCCCAAGACAAUAUUCAAAGAAGUAGCAAGCAACUAAGCUUGGGGAUGAAGGAAAUAUGCCCUAGAGGCAAUAAUAAAGUUAUUAUUUAUUUCCUUAUAUCAUGAUAAAUAUUUAUUAUUCAUGCUAGAAUUGUAUUAACCGGAAACUUAGUACAUGUGUGAAUACAUAGACAAAACAUAGUGUCCCUAGUAUGCCUCUACUUUACUAGCUCGUUAAUCAAAGAUGGUUAUGUAUCCUAACCAUAGACAUGUGUUUUCAUUUGAUGAAUAGGAUUACAUCAUUAGGAUAAUGAUGUGAUGGACAAGACCCUUCCGUUAGCUUAGCAUUAUGAUCGUUACAGUUUCAUUGCUACUGCUUUCUUCAUGACUUAUACAUGUUCCUCAGACUAUGAGAUUAUGCAACUCCCGAAUACCGAAGGAACACCUUGUGUGCUCUCAAACGUCACAAUGUAACUGGGUGAUUAUAAAGAUGCUCUACAGGUGUCUCCGAAGGUGUUUGUUGGGUUGGCAUAGAUCGAGAUUAGCAUUUGUCACUCCGCGUUUCGGAGAGGUAUCUCUAGGCCCUCUCGGUAAUGCUCACCACUAUAAGCCUUGCAAGCAAUGUGAUUAAUGAGUUAGUUGCGGGAUGAAGCAUUACGGAACGAGUAAAGAGACUUGCCGGUAAUGAGAUUGAACUAGGUAUGAUGAUACCGAUGAUCGAAUCUCGAGCAAGUAACAUACCAAUGACAAAGGGAACAACGUAUGUUGUUAUGCAGUUUGACCGAUAAAGAUCUUCAUAGAAUAUAUAGGAGCCAAUAUAAGCAUCCAGGUUCCGCUAUUGGUUAUUGAUCGGAGAUGUGUCUCGGUCAUGUCUGCAUAGUUCUCGAAUCCGCAGGGUCCGCAUGCUUAACGUUUGAUGACGAUUUGUAUUAUGAGUUAUGUGUUUUGAUGACCGAAGUUUAUUCGGAGUCCCGGAUGAGAUCACGGACAUAACAAGGAGUCUCAAAAUGGUCGAGACAUAAAUAUUGAUAUAUUGGAAGGCUAUUUUCGGACAUCAGAAUGGUUCCGUAGAAGUUCGGGUAUUUUCCGGAGUACCGGGAGGUUACGGGAACCCCCCGGGGAGUUGUUGGGCCUUAGUGGGCCUUAGUGGGAAGAGGAGGCAACGGCCAGGAGGUGGCGCGCGCCCCCCAAGCCCAGUCUGAAUUGGACAAGGGGUUGGGGCGCGGCCCCCCUCUCCCUUCCUUUUCCCUCUCCUUUUAGGUGGAAUCCUACUAGGACCUCGAGUCCUAGUAGGACUCCCCUCUCCUGGCGCACCCUGUAAGGGCCGUCCAACCUCGCCCUCCCUCCUUUAUAUACGGGGGCAAGUGGCACCCUAGAACACACCAAGUUUUGCCUUAGCCAUGUGCAGUGCCCCCCUCCACAGUAACACACCUCAAUCAUAUCGAUGUAGUGCUUAGGCGAAGCCCUGCGCCGGUAACAUCAUCAUCACUAUCGCCACGCUGUCGUGCUGAUGGAACUCACCCUCAUCCUCAACUGGAUCAACAGCACGAGGGACGUCAUCGAGCUGAACGUGUGCUGAAUGUGGAGGUGUCGUACGUUCGGUACUUGGAUUGGUUGGAUCAUGAAGACGUUCGACUACAUCAACCGUGUUACUAAACGCUCCCGCUUUCGGUCUACAAGGGUACAUGGACACACUCUACCCUCUCGUUGCUAUUCAUCUCCUAUAUAGAUCUUGUGAGAUCAUACACAAUUUUUUGAAUUACUACAUUCCCCAAUAGUGGCAUCCGAGCCACGUCUAUGCGUAGAUGUUUUAUGCACGAGUAGAUCACAAAGAGUUGUGGGCGAUAAUAGUCAUACUGCUUACCACCAAUGUAUUACUUUGAUUCGACGGUAUUGUUGGAUGAAGCGGCCCAGACCGACAUUACAUGAUCACGUUCAUGAGACUGGUUCUACCGACGUGCUUUUGCACAUAGGUGGCUGGCGGGUGUCUGUUUCUCCAACUUUAGUUGAAUCGAGUUUGACUAUGGCAGGUCCUUGUUAAAGGUUAAAACAGCACACUUGACGAAAAAUUGUUGUGGUUUUGAUGCGUAGGUAAGAACGGUUCUUGCUAGAAGCCCGUAGCAGCCACGUAAAAUUUGCAACAACAAAGUAGAGGACGUUUAACUUGUUUUUGCAGAGCUUGCUGUGAUAUGAUAUGGUCAAGACGUGAUGUGCUAUAAAUUGUUGUAUGAAAUGAUCAUGUUUUGUAACAGAGUUAUCGGCAAUUGGCAGGAGCCAUAUAGUUGUCACUUUAUUGUAUGCAAUGCAAUCACCAUGUAAUUGCUUUACUUUAUCACUAAGCGGUAGCGAUAGUCGUAGAUGCAAUAGUUGGCGAGACGACAACGAUGCUAGAUGGAGCUCAAGGUGUCACACCGGUGAUGAUGGAGAUCAUGACGAUGCUUCGGUGAUGGAGAUCAUAAGCACAAGAUGAUGAUGGCCGUAUCAUGUCACAUAUUUUGAUUGCAUGUGAUGUUUAUAUUUUAUGCAUCUUAUCUUGCUUAGUACGGCGGUAGCAUUAUAAGAUGAUCCCUUACUAAAUUUCAAGGUAUAAGUGUUCUCCAUCAGUAUGCACCGUUGCUACAGUUCGUUGUGCCGAGACACCACGUGGAUCGGGUGUGAUAAGCUUUAAGUUCACAUACAACAGGUGCAAGCCAGUUUUGCACACACAGAAUACUCGGGUUAAACUUGAUGAGCCUAGCAUAUGCAGAUAUGGCCUCGGAACACUAAGACCGAAAGGUCGAACGUGAAUCAUAUAGUAGAUAUGAUCAACAUAGUGAUGUUCACCAUUGAAAACUACUCCAUAUCACGUGAUGAUUGAUGUCUACUACGCAGCCUUCUCCUUGUAGACGUUGUUGGGCCUCCAAGUGCAAAUGUUUGUAGGACAGUAGCAAAUUUCCCUCAAGUGGAUGACCUAAGGUUUAUCAAUCCGUGGGAGGUGUAGAAUGAAGAUGGUCUCUCUCAAACAACCCUGCAACCAAAUAACAAAGAGUCUCUUGUGUCCCCAACACACCCAAUACAAUGGUAAAUUGUAUAGGUGCACUAGUUCGGCAAAGAGAUGGUGAUACAAGUGCAAUAUGGAUAGUAGAUAUGAGUAUUUGUAAUCUGAAAUUAUAAAAACAGCAAGGUAACUAAUGAUAUAAGUGAGCGUAAACGGUAUUGCAAUGCUAGGAAACAAGGCCUAAGGUUCAUACUUUCACUAGUGCAAGUUCUCUCAACAAUAAUAACAUAACUGGAUCAUAUAAUUAUCCCUCAACAUGCAACAAAGAGUCACUCCAAAGUCACUAAUAGCAAAGAACAAACGAAGAGAUUAUUGUAGGGUACGAAACCACCUCAAAGUUAUCCUUUCUGAUAGAUCUAUUCAAGAGUCCAUAGUAAAAUAACAUGAAGCUAUUAUUUCUGUUCGAUCUAUCAUAGAGUUCAUACUAGAAUAACACCUUAAGACACAAAUCAACCAAAACCCUAAUGUCACCUAGAUACUCCAAUGUCACCUCAAGUAUCCGUGGGCAUGAUUAUACAAUAAGCAUCACACAAUCUCAGAUUCAUCUAUUCAACCAACACAAAGUAUUCAAAGAGUGCCCCAAAGUUUCUACCGAAGAGUCAAGACGAAAACGUGUGCCAACCCCUAUGCAUAAGUUCACAAGGUCAAUGAACCCGCAAGUUAAUCACCAAAACACACAUCAAGUAGAUCACGUGAAUAGUCCAUUGUCACCACAGAUAAGCACAUGCAAGACAUACAUCAAGUGUUCUCAAAUCCUUAAAGACUCAAUCCGAUAAGAUAACUUCAAAGGGAAAACUCAAUCCAUUACAAGAGAGUAGAGGGGGAGAAACAUCAUAAGAUCCAACUAUAAUAGCAAAGCUCGCGAUACAUCAAGGUCGUGCCAAAUCAAGAACACGAGAGAGAGAGAGAGAGAGAGAGAGAGAGAGAGAUCAAACACAUAGCUACUGGUACAUACCCUCAGCCCUGAGGGUGAACUACUCCCUCCUCGUCAUGGAGAGCGUAGGGAUGAUGAAGAUGGCCACCGGUGAUGGAUCCCCCCUCCAGCAGGGUGCCAGAAUAGGGUCCCGAUUGGGUUUUGGUGGCUACAGAGGCUUGCGGCGGCGGAACUCCCGAUCUAUUGUGUUCCUGGAUGUUUUCGGGGUAUGUGGACAUAUAUAGGCGAAAGAAGUCGGUCAGGGGAGCCAUGAGGGGCCCACGAGGGUGGGGGGCGCCCAGGGGGGUAGGGCGUGCCCCUGACCCUCAUGGCCACCUUGAAGCUUCCCUGACGUCUACUCCAAGUCUCUUGGAUUGCUUCCAUUCCAAAAAUAACUCUCCCGAAGGUUUCAUUCUGUUUGGACUCCGCUUGAUAUUCCUUUUCUUCGAAACACUGAAAUAGGCAAGAAAACAUGGGCCUCCGAUUAAUAGGUUAGUCCCAAAAAUAAUAUAAAAGUGUAUAAUAAAGCCCAUUAAAUAUCUAAAACAGAUAAUAUAAUGGCAUGAAUACUUCAUGAAUUAUAGAUACGUUGGAGACGUAUCAGCAUCCCCAAGCUUAAUUCCCGCUCGUCCUCGAGUAGGUAAAUGAUAAAAGAAAGAAUUUAUGAAGUGUGAGUGCUAGCAGGUGCACAAGUUUGAUCAAUGAUAAUUUCAAUCACCUUUUCUAGCAUCAUUAUAUGUCAUAACACUAGCUCAUCUUAUAAAACUUUUCAUGAUCAAGUAACAAGCUAUUCACAUGUUAAUGUAUAGAUCAUAAACUUUCUUGAAAACUAGCAAACCACAUUCUUAAUCAUCAAACAAUUGCAAUUCUUCUUAUUUUCAAGAAGGGUCUAUGUCAGAGCUUUGAUUUAGCAAACUCGACAUACUCAACUAUCAUUUAAUCUUUCACAAUUGCUAACACUCACGUGAUAUUUAUGGGUUCAAAAUUUUAAUCGAACACAGAGAAAGAUAGGGGCUUAUAGUUUCGCCUCCCAACCUUUUACCUCAAGGGUAAUGUCAACAAUAAUAAUUUAUGAACGCCUACAUCCAAGUGGAUAUAUAUAUAUAUAUAUAUAUAUAUAUAUAUCCGGAUCACUCCAACACAAAGUGCUUGCCAAAGGAAAAAGUGUAAAAAGGAAAGGUGUUGAUCACAAUGACUCUUGUAUAAGGGUAAAAGAUAAAAGUAAAAGAUAGGCCCUUCGUAGAGGGAAGCAGAGGUUUUCAUGCGCUUUUAUGGUUGGAUGCACAAAAUCUUAAUGCAAAAGAACGUCACUUUAUAUUGCCGCUUGUGAUAAAGACCUUUAUUAUGAAAUCCAUUGCUUUUAUUUCUUCCCUAUCACAAGUUCGUAUAAAGCUUAUUUUCUUCGCACUAAUAGAUCAUACAUAUUUAGAGAGCAAUUUUUAUUGCCUGCACCGAUGACAACUUACUUGAAGGAUCUUACUCAAUCCUUAGGUAGGUAUGGUGGACUCUCAUGGCAAAACUGGUUUAAAGGAUGUUUGGAAGCACAAGUAGUAUUUAUACUUGGUGCAAAGAAUUUGGCUAGCAUGAGAGGGAAAGGCAAGCUCAGCAUGUUGAAUGAUCCAAGACGAUAUAAUGUUUCGGAUAUAGGAAAACAUAACCCAUUAAGUUGUCUUCCUUGUCCAACAUCCACUUUUUAGCAUGUCAUAUUUUAAUGAGUGCUCACAAUUACAAAAUAUGUCCAACAUAGUAUAUUUAUAUGUGAAAUCUCUCUUCCUUCAAUAUUCUUUCAUGAAUUGUUCAAGUGACCAAUACAAUGUUUGCUAACCUUCAAUAAAUUUACCACCUCUACUUCUUAUAUGUGAAGUCAUUACUCCCCAUGGGAUAAGCGUAUGAAACAUAUAUAAUUUCAGAUUUAUGAUAUUCAAAUCAUUCAACCAUUUACUCAUAAGAUAUAAGUGAAGCACAUGAGUAAAUGGCAAACUACUUCCAAAAAGAUAUAAGUGAAGAUCAAUGAGUAGUUAAGUAUUUGUGUAACUAUGUGAAGACUCUCUCUCAUUUAAGAAUUUCAUAUCUAAUGUAUUUUAUUCAAACAUCAAGCAAAGUAAAACAAAAUGGAAUUGCAAGGAUAGCACAACUCAUGUGAAGAAGCAAAAAACUUAGGCUCAACCGAUACUAACUGAUAAUUGUUGAAGAAGAAAGGUGUGAUGCCUACCGGGGCAUCCCCAAGCUUAGAUGCUUGAGACUUCUUGAAAUAUUAUCUUGGGGUGCCUUGGGCAUCCCCAAGCUUGAGCUUUUGUGUCUCCUUAAUUCCUCUGAUAUCACGUUUUCCUAAAUCUCAAAAACUUCAUCCACACAAAACUCAACAAGAACUCGUGAGAUAAGUUAGUAUAAACCAAUGCAAAAGCCUUAUCAUUCUCUACUAUAAAAAAUCAUUAAAAUUAUUAUUCAACAUUUCAUACUAAAUGCCUCUGCAUAUUUAAUACUCCUAUCCUCAAAUAGAAUCAUUAAACAAGCGAACAUAUGCAAACAAUGCAAACAUAACAGCAAUCUGCCAAAACAGUACAGUCUGUAAAGAAUGCAAGAUCCAUCAUACUUACCUAACUCCAAAACUUCUGAGAAAAAUACUACAAUGUAUAAGAUUUAUAAUAGCUAAAUAUGCAAAAAAAAUUCAAUAUUAUAUCAUUCUCUGACUUUUCUAGGGAAUUUUCGCAACAGCUGUAAACUUUCUGUUUUGAAACAGCAACAUGUAUACUUGCAAAAUAAGCAUGGUAAAGGCUAUCCUUGACAUUUUUAUUGAAAAUAGAGAUGCAAAACAUUAUUCUAAAUAAAAGCAUUCAAAUACUAACAAAAUAAUAUGACGCUCCAAGCAAAACACAUAUCAUGUGGUGAAUAAAAGUAUAGGUCCAAGUAAAGUUAUCGAUGAAGGAAGACGAAAGAGGGGAUGCCUUCCGGGGCAUCCCCAAGCUUAGGCUCUUGGUUUUCCUUGAAUAUUACAUUGGUGUGCCUUGGUCAUCCCCAAUCUUAGGAUCUUGCAACUCCUUAUUCCAUUGUUCAUCGAAUCUUUACCCAAAACAUGAAAACUUCACAACACAAAACUCAACAGAAAACUCGUAAGCUCCGUUAGUAUAAGAAAAUAAAUCACCACUUUUGGUACUGUUGUGAACUCAUUAUAAAUUAAUAUUGGUGUAAUAUCUACUGUAUUACAACUUAUCUAUCGCUCAUACCUUCCGAUACUACUCAUAGAUUUAUCACAAUAAGAAAACAACACAUAGAAAACAGAAUAUGUCUAAAACAGAACACUCUGUAGUAAUCUGUAUCAAAUGUAUACUUCUGGAACUCCAAAAAUUCAGAAAUAAAUUGGUGGACCUGGGGAAUUUGUCUAUUAAUCAUAUUCAAAAAGAAACCUAAAAUCACUCUCCAGUAAAACAUGGCAUCUAAUCUUGUGGGCGCCAAAGUUUCUGUUUUUUUACAGCAAGAUGAUAAAGACUUCACCCAAGUCUUCCCAAAGGUUCUACUUGGCACAAACACUAAUUAAAACAUAAAACCACAUCUAACCAGAGGCUAGUUGAAUUAUUUAUUAUUAAACAGGAACAAAAAGCAAAGAACAAAAAUAAAAUUGGUUUGCCUCCCAACAAGCACUAUCGUUUAACGCCCCUAGCUAGGCAUGAUGAUUUCAAUGAUGCUCACAUAAAAGGAUAAGAAUUGAAACAUAAAGAGAGCAUCAUGAAGAAUAUGACUAACACAUUUAAGCCUAACCCACUUCCUAUGCAUAGGGAUUUUGUGAGCAAACAACUUAUGGGAACAAUAAUCAACUAGCAUUGGAAGGCAAAACAAGCAUAACUUCAAGUUUUUAAGCACAUAGAGAGGAAACUUGAUAUUAUUGCAAUUCCUACAAGCAUAUGUUCCUCCCUCAUAAUAUUUUUCAGUAGCAUCAUGAAUGAAUUCAACCAUAUAACCAGCCCCUAAAGCAUUCUUUUCAUGAUCUGCUUGCAUAGAAAUUUUACUACUCUCCACAUAAGCAAAUUUCUUCUCAUGAAUAUUAGUGGGAGCAAACUUAAAAAAAAUAUAAUGUGAGGCAUAAUCAAAUUGAAAACUAAAAUCAUGAUGACAAGUUUCAUGGUUAUCAUUAUUCUUAAUAGCAUACAAGUCAUCACAAUAAUCAUCAUAGAUACCAACUUUGUUCUCAUAAUCAAUUGGAACCUCUUUCGAAAUAGUGGAUUCAUCACUAAAUAAAGUCAUGACCUCUACAAAUACACUUUUAUCAAUAUAAUCAUCAUAAAUAGGAGGCAUGCUUUCAUCAUAAUAAAUAUUCUCAGUGACAAAAAAUAUCAUAUUCAUCAAACAUAGCAUCCCCAAGCUUGUGGCUUUGCAUAUCAUUAGCAUCAUGGGUAUUCAAAGAAAUCAUAUUAAUAACAUUGCAAUCAUGCUCCUCAUUCAAAGAUUUAGUGCCAUACAUUUUAUAGACUUCUUCUUCUAGCACUUGAGCACAAUUUUCCUUACCAUCAUUCUCACGAAAGAUAUUAAAAAGAUGAAGAGUAUGAGGCAAACUCAAUUCCAUUUUUUGUAGUUUUCUUUUAUAGACUAAAUUAGUGAUAAAACAAGAAACUAAAAGAUUCUAUUGCAAGAUCUAAAGAUAUAACUUCAAGCACUUACCUCCCCGGCAACGGCGCCAGAAAAGAGCUUGAUGUCUACUACGCAACCUUGUCCUUGUAGACGUUGUUUGGCCUCCAAGUGCAGAGGUUUGUAGGAUAAUAGCAAAUUUCCCUCAAAUGGAUGACCUAAGGUUUAUCAAUCCAUGGGAGGUGUAGGAUGAAGAUGGUCUCUCUCAAACAACCCUGCAACCAAAUAACAAAGAGUCUCUUGUGUCCCCAACACACCCAAUACAAUGGUAAAUUGUAUAGGUGCACUAGUUCGGCGAAGAGAUGGUAAUACAAGUGCAAUAUGGAUGGUAGAUAUGAGUAUUUGUAAUAUGAAAAUAUAAAAACAGCAAGGUAACGAGUAAUAAAAGUGAGCGUAAACGGUAUUGCAAUGCUAGGAAACAAGGCCUAAGGUUCAUAUUUUCACUAGUGCAAGUUCUCUCAACAAUAAUAACAUAACUGGAUCAUAUAACUAUCCCUCAACAUGCAGAAAAGAGUCACUCCAAAGUCACUAAUAGCAAAGAACAAACGAAGAGAUUAUUGUAGGGUAUGAAACCACCUCAAAGUUAUCGUUUCUAAUCGAUCUAUUCAAGAGUCCGUAGUAAAAUAACACAAAGCUAUUAUUUCUGUUCGAUCUAUCAUAGAGUUCGUACUAGAAUAACACCUUAAGACACAAAUCAACCAAAACCCUAAUGUCACCUAGAUACUCCAAUGUCACCUCAAGUAUCCGUGGGCAUGAUUAUACGAUAUGCAUCACACAAUCUCAGAUUCAUCUAUUCAAUCAACACAAAGUACUUCAAAGAGUGCCCCAAAGUUUCUACCGAAGAGUCAAGAUGAAAAUGUGUGCCAACCCCUAUGCAUAAGUUCACAAGGUCACUGAACCCGCAAGUUGAUCACCAAAACAUACAUCAAGUAGAUCAUGUGAAUAUCCCAUUGUCACCAUAGAUAAGCACAUGCAAGACAUACAUCAAGUGUUCUCAAAUCCUUAAAGACCUAAUCCGAUAAGAUAACUUCAAAGGGAAAAUUCAAUCCAUUACAAGAGAGUAGAGGGGGAGAAACAUCAUAAGAUCCAACUAUAUAGCAAAGCUCAUGAUACAUCAAGAUCGUGCCAAAUCAAGAACACGAGAGAGAGAGAGAGAGAGAGAGAGAGAGAGAGAGAGAUCAAAUACAUAGCUACUGGUACAUACCCUCAGCCCCAAGGGUGAACUACUCCCUCCUCGUCAUGGAGAGCGUCGGGAUGAUGAAGAUGGCCACCGGUGAGGGAUCCCCCCUCCGGCAGGGUGCCGGAACAGCGUCCCGAUUAGUUUUUGGUAGCUAUAGAGGCUUGUGGCGGCGGAACUUCCGAUCUAUUGUGUUCUUGGAUGUUUUCAGGGUAUAUGGACAUAUAUAGGCAAAAGAAGUCGGUCAAGGGAGCCACGAGGGGUCCACGAGGGUGGGAGGCGCGCCCAGGGGGGUAGGGCGCGCCCCUGACCCUUGUGGCCACCUCGAAGCUUCCUUGACGUCUACUCCAAGUCUCCUAGAUUGCUUCCAUUCCAAAAAUAACUCUCCCGAAGGUUUCAUUCCGUUUUGAUUUUGUUUGAUAUUCCUUUUCUUCGAAACACUGAAAUAGGCAAGAAAACAACAAUUUGGGCUGGGCCUCCGGUUAAUAGGUUAGUCCCAAAAAUAAUAUAAAAGUGUAUAAUAAAGCCCAUUAAAUAUCUAAACAAAUAAUAUAAUAGCAUGAAUACUUCAUGAAUUAUAGAUACGUUGGAGACGUAUCAAUGAUCGAACAUGGUUUAGUUGAUUUGGAUCACGCAUUUAGAUGACUAGAGGGAUGUCUAUCUAAGUGGGAGUUCUUAAGUAAUAUGAUUAAUUGUACUUUAAUUUAUCAUGAACUUAGUCCUGAUAGAUAUUUUGCAUGUGUAUGUUAUUAUAGAUCAAUGGCCCAUACUAUCGUUCCUUUGAAUUUUAAUGCAUUCCUAGAGAAAGCUAAGUUGAAAGAUGAUGGUAGCAAUUACACGGACUGGGUCUAUAACUUGAGGAUUGUAAUCAUUGCUGCACUGAAGAAUUACGUCCUGGAAGCACCCCUAGGUGAACCACCCGCGCCAGCAAAUGCAGACAUUGUGAAUGCUUGGCAGACAUGUGUUGAUGAGUACUCGAUAGUUCAUUGUGCCAUGCUUUACGGCUUAGAAUCGGGACUUCAAAGACGUUUUGAACGUCAUGGAGCAUAUGAGAUGUUUCAAGACUUGAAGUUAAUAUUUCAAGCAAAUGCCUGAGUUGAGAGAUAUGAAGUCCCCAACAAGUUCUAUAGCUGCAAAAUGGAGGAGAAUAGUUUUGUCAGUGAACACAUACUUAGAAUGUCUGGGUACCAUAACCACUUGACUCAGCUGGGAGUUAAUCUUCCUGAUGAUAGUGUCAUUGAUAGAGUUCUUCAAUCACUGCCACCAAGCUAUAAAGGCUUCGUGAUGAACUAUAAUAUGCAAGGGACGAACAAGACAAUUCCCGAGAUCUUCGCGAUGCUAAAGGUUGCGGAGGUAGAAAUCAAAAAGGAGCAUCAAGUGGUCAACAAGACCACUAGUUUCAAGAAAAAGGGCAAAGGGAAGAAGGGGAACUUCAAGAAGAACAGCAAGAAAGUUGCUGCUCAGGAGAAGAAACCCAAGUCUGAACCUAAGCCUGAAACUAAGUGCUUCUACUGCAAAGGGGCUGGUCACUAGAAGCGGAACUACCCCAAGUAUUUGGCGGACAAGAAGGAUGGGAAAGUGAAAGGCAUAUUUGAUAUACAUGUUAUUGAUGUGUACCUUAUAUUACUAAUGCUCGUAGUAGCGCCUGCGUAUUUGAUACUAGUUCCGUUGCUCAUAUUUGCAACUCGAAGCAGGGGCUACUGAUUAAACGAAGAUUGGCUAAGGACGAGGUGACAAUGCGCGUGGGAAAUGGUUCCAAGGUUGAUGUGAUCGCCAUCGGCACGCUACCUCUACAUCUACCUUUGGGGUUAGUUUUAGACCUGAAUAAUUGUUAUUUGGUAACAGCGUUGAGCAUGAACAUUAUAUCUGGAUCUUGUUUGAUGCGAGACGGUUAUUAAUUUAAAUUAAAGAAUAAUGGUUAUUCUAUUUAUAUGAGUAAUAUCUUUUAUGGUCACGCACCCUUGCUGAGUGGUCUAUUUUUGUUGAAUCUCGAUCAUGGUGAUACACAUGUUCAUAGCCAAAAGAUGCAAAGUUGAUAAUGAUAGUGCAACUUAUUUGUGGCACUGCCGUUUAGGUCAUAUUGGUGUAAAGCGCAUGAAGAAACUCCAUGCUGAUGGGCUUUUGGAAUCACUUGAUUAUGAAUAACUUGGUGCUUGUGAACCAUGCCUCAUGGGCAAGAUAACUAAAACUCUGUUCUCCGGAACAAUUGAAUGAGCUACUGACUUAUUGGAAAUAAUACAUACCGAUGUAUGCGGUCCAAUGAGUGUUGAGGCUCCUGGCGGGUAUCGUUAUUUUCUUACCUUCACAGAUGAUUUGAGCAGAUAUGGUUAUAUCUACUUAAUGAAGCAUAAGUCUGAAACAUUUGAAAAGUUCAAAGAAUUUCAGAGUGAAGUGGAAAAUCAUCGUAACAAGAAAAUAAAGUUUCUACGAUCUGAUCGUGGAGGAGAAUAUUUCAGUUGCGAGCUUGGUCUUCAUUUUAAACAAUGUGAAUAGUUUCACAACUCAUGCCACCUGGAACACCACAACAUAAUGGUGUGUCUGAACGUCAUAACCGUACUUUAUUGGAUAUGGUGCGAUCUAUGAUGUCUCUUACUGAUUUACGGCUAUCAUUUUGGGGUUAUGCUUUAGAGACAGCUGCAUUCACUUUAAAUAGGGCACCAUCAAAAUCCAUUGAGACGACGCCUUAUGAACUAUGGUUUGGAAAGAAACCAGAGUUGUCGUUUCUUAAAGUUUGGAGCUGUGAUGCUUAUGUGAAAAAGCUUCAACCUGAUAAGCUCAAACCCAAAUCGAAGAAGUGCGUUUUCAUAGGAUACCCAAAGUAAACUAUUGGGUACACCUUCUAUCACAGAUCCGAAGGCAAAAUAUUUGUUGCUAAAAAUGAAUCCUUUCUAGAGAAGGAGUUUCUCUCGAAAGAAGUGAGUGGGAGGAAAGUAGAGCUUUAUGAGGUAAUUGUACCUUCUCCCGAAUUGGAAAGUAGUCCAUCACAGAAAUCAGUUCCAGUGAUUCCUACACAAAUUAGUGAGGAAGCUAAUGAUGAUGAUCAUGAAACUUCAUAUCAAAUUACUACCGAACCUCGUAGGUCUUCCAGAGUGCGAUCUGCACCAGAGUGGUACAGUAAUCCUGUUCUGGAAGUCAUGUUACUAGACCAUGAUGAACCUACGAACUAUGAGGAAGCGAUGAUGAGCCUAGAUUCCGCGAAAUGGCUUGAGGCCAUGAAAUCUGAGAUGGGAUCCAUGUAUGAGAACACAGUGUGAACUUUGGUGGAUUUGCCCGAUGAUCGGCAAGCCAUAGAAAAUAGAUGGAUCUUCAAGAAUAAGAUUGACGCUGAUGGUAAUGUUACUGUCUACAAAGCUCGACUUGUUGCGAAAGGUUUUCGACAAGUUGAAGGAGUUAACUACGAUGAGACUUUCUCACCCGUAGCGAUGCUUAAGUCUGUCCAAAUCAUGUUAGCAAUUGCCGCAUUUUAUGAUUAUGAAAUUUGGCAGAUAGAUGUCAAAAUUACAUUCCUGAAUGGAUUUCUAGAAAAAGAGUUGUAUAUGAUGCAACCAAAAGGUUUUGUCGAUCCAAAGGGUGCUAACAAAGUGUGCAAGCUCCAGCGAUCCAUUUAUGGACUGGUGCAAGCCUCUCGGAGUUGGAAUAAACAUUUUGAUAGUGUGAUCAAAGCAUAUGGUUUUAUACAGACUUUUGGAGAAGCCUGUAUUUACAAGAAAGUGAGUGGGAGAUGUGUAGCAUUUCUAAUAUUAUAUGCGGAUGACAUAUUGUUGAUUGGAAAUGAUAUAGAAUUUCUGGAUAGCAUAAAUGGAUACUUGAAUAAGAGUUUUUCAAUGAAAGACCUCGGUAAAGCUGCUUACAUAUUGGGCAUCAAGAUUUAUAGAGAUAGAUCAAGACGCUUAAUUGGACUUUCACAAAGAACAUACAUUGAUAAAGUUUUGAAGAAGUUCAAAAUGGAUCAGUUAAAGAAAGGGUUCUUGCCUGUGUUACAAGGUGUGAAGUUGAGUCAGACUCAAUGCCCGACUACUACAGAAGAUAGAGAGAAAAUGAAAGUAAUUACCUAUGCUUUAGCCAUAGGUUCUAUUAUGUAUGCAAUGCUAUGUACCAGACCUGAUGUGUGCCUUGCUAUAAGUAUAUCAGGGAGGUACCAAAGUAAUCCUAGAAUGGAGCACUGGACAGUGGUAAAGAAUGUCCUGAAAUACCUAAAAAGGACUAAGGAUAUGUUUCUCGUUUAUGGAGGUGACAAAGAGCUCACCGUAAAUGGUUACGUCGAUGCAAGCUUUGACACUGAUCCGGAUGACUCUAAGUCGCAAUCCGGAUAGAUAUUUUUAUUGAAUGGUGGAGCUGUCAGUUGGUACAGUUCCAAGCAAAGCGUCGUGGAGGGAUCUACAUGUGAAAUGGAGUACAUAGUUGCAUCGGAAGCAGCAAAUGAAGGAGUCUGGAUGAAGGAGUUCAUAUCCGAUCUAGUUCAUCGGGUCCAAUGAAAAUAUUUUGUGACAAUACUGGUGCAAUUGCCUUGGCCAAGGAAUCCAGAUUUCACAAGAGAACCAAACACAUCAAGAGACACUUCAAUUCCAUCCGGCAUCAGGUCGCGGAGGGAGACAUAGAGAUUUUCCUUAGCCGUGUGCAGUGCCCCCCUCCACAGUAACACACCUCGAUCAUAUCGUCGUAGUGCUUAGGCGAAGCCCUGCAUCGGUAACAUCAUCAUCACUGUCGCCACGCCGUCAUGCUGACGGAACUCACCCUCGUCCUCAACUGGAUCAAGAGCACGAGGGACGUUAUCGAGCUGAACGUGGAGGUGUCAUAUGUUCGGUACUUGGAUCGGUUGGAUCAUGAAGACAUUCGAUUACAUCAACCGCGUUACUAAACGCUUCCGCUUUUGGUCUACAAGGGUACGUGGACACACUCUCCCAUCUCGUUGCUAUGCAUCUCCUAGAUAGAUCUUGCGUGAUCGUAGGAAUUUUUUUGAAUUACUACAUUCCCCAACAGGGGAUGCCCCUGAGUGGCAUCCCCGCUUUCUUCUAACAACCAUCAGUAUUUUACUUGAAACUAUAUUUUUAUUCGUUACAUAAUAUGAGUUUUUCUUGGAGUAUCUUGUAUGAUAUGAGUCUUUGCUUGUUUUGCUUUGUAUUCGAAGUGUUGAAUCUUGCCUGGACACACCCUUUUGAGAGAGCCAAAAAUUAUGCUAUGCUUCACUUAAAUUUUUAGAGCCAUGGAUUUGCUCUAGUGCUUCACUUAUAUCUUUUUUAGCACGGUGUGCUUUGUUAUUUUGGAAUAAAUUCUCUCAUGCUUCACUUAGAUUUAUUUGAGAGUUAGUUAAAUUUUAAGAAAUUAUCUCUUGCUUCACUUAGAUUAUUUUGAGAGAAAUAAAAAAUUAUGCUCAUGAUCUUCACUUAUAUUUGUUUGAGCUUAUCAAAAGCAAUAUAUGAAAAUAGUCCCAAAGUGAUAGAUAUCCAAGGAGGAUAUAAUAAAAACUUUCAUGAAGAUCAUUGGACAAAAUAAACUUGAUUCUUAGUAAUGGUUUUGAGAUAUGACGAUAUGAUAUUUGAGUUAUGUUGAUGAGUAAUUGUGCUUUAGUAAGAAUAUUGGUGUUAAGGUUUGUGAUUCCCUAUGAAAGCACGGAAGUCAAUAUUUAUGCAAUGAAAUUUAUAUCCUACUUAUGGUGAAUUAUUUGGUGUAACUUAUGCUUAAUGCUUGGGUACGAGAUUUUUCGCUUUUUCGUUGGUCGCUUCUCAAUCUUUUUGCUAGUCUUCAUUUUGCAGUAAGUAUGAUCACUACUUGUGCAUCCAAAACCCUUUAAACCAGUUUUGCCAUAUGAGUCUACUAUACCUACCUAUAUGCGGUAUUUCUAUGUCGUUCUAAGCAAAUUUACAUAUGCCAUCUCUAAUUUUCAAAAUAAAUUUCUCUUUUGUGUGCUCUACCGCUCGCGAGGCGGUGAAGGGUGACCAAUAUUUUCCAUGCUAGAUGUGUUAUUCUCAUGAUGAGUGUUUAUUCACUUGUCAUUGCACGAGAGUAUGGCAAAGGUAUUAGGGAUGCCCAGUCCCGAAAUGAAAAAUGAAUUUACUUUAGGUUGUCAAAUAAUAAAUUCCUUGGAAAGUGUUGGUAUGGAGGGCAACCGUGGAUUCGGCUAGCCAUGGAAAGUGAAAGUAAUGGUGGAAAAAGGAAUAAACUUUACUUUCUGUUUGUGAACCGCCUAUGAUGUAUCUAGCAUGGAAAGUGUUGGGAUGCUCCAAGUCAUUUUCGUUUGUGGAAAAAGUAUGCCUCUCAAAAAUAUUUUUAUCUCUCAAUUUAAGCUUUGAGCUCUGGAACCUCUACAAAUCCCUACUUACCUCCGCGAAGGGCCUUUCUUUUAAUUGUGCAAUUUUUAUGUUGAAUUUGAGUCUCUAUCUUCUCUUAUAAAGCACCAACUAAAGGGCACUAUGAUCGUAUUUGAGCACUGGGUGUAACUAAUAUCGAGUGUGUCUCAUGAAUGGAUCAAUGAUUGAGCAUAAUGGGCUAGGGAUAACUUCCUUUAGUGUUGAUAUUUUGGAAGACAUGGUUGCUUGUUGGUAUGCUUGAGUAUUAAAGUCUUCAUGUCAAAACUAGACUAUUGCUUUGAAUCAUAUAAAAGUCCUAAUGUCCAUGUUAUAAAUAAAAGAAAUGCGAUGAACAUGUUAGGCAACAUUCCCCAUCAAAUAUUCUAUUUUUAUCAUUUGCCAACUCGAGGACGAGCAUGAAUUAAGCUUGGGGAUGUUGAUACGUCUCCAAUGUAUCUAUAAUUUUUUAUUGUUCCAUGCUAUUAUAUUAUCAUUCUUGGAUGUUUUACAAUCAUUUUAUAGUCAUUUUAUAUCAUUUUUUGGUACUAACCUAUUGCCAUAGUGCCCAUUGCCAGUUGCUAUUUUCUACAUGUUUUUUACAUCACAGGAAAUCAAUAUCAAACGGAGUCCAACCGCAGCGAAACUCCUGGAGGAUUUUUUUUGGGCAGAAGACAUCUAGUGGGCCAAGAAAGCACCUGGGGCUGGCUCGAGGGGAGCAACACCCACCAAGGCGCGCCAGGAGGCCCAUGCGCGCCCUGUUGGGUUGUGCCCAUGCUCGGGUGCCCCUUGAACUUCCUCUUUGCUCUAUAAAUACACCAAUAUUCCAGAAACCUUAGGGGAGUCGAAGAAAAUCAAUUCCAACCGCCGCAGAGUCCAGAACCACCAGAUCAAAUCUAGACACCAUCACAGAGGGGUUCACUACUUCCAUUGGUGCCUCUUCGAUGAUGCGUGAGUAGUUCUUUGUAUACCUACAGAUCCGUAGUUAGUAGCUAGAUGGCUUCCUCUCUCUCUCUCUCUCUCUCUCUCUCUCUCUCUCUUGAUUGUCAAUACAAUGGUCUCUUGGAGAUUGAUACGUCUCCAACGUAUCUAUAAUUUUUGAUUGUUCCAUGUUGUUAUAUAUAUUAUCAUUCUUGGAUGUUUUACAAUCAUUUUAUAGUCAUUUUAUAUCAUUUUUUGGUACUAACCUAUUCACAUAGUGCCAAGUGUCAGUUGCUAUUUUCUACAUGUUUUUUACAUCACAAGAAAUGAAUAUCAGACGGAGUUCAAAUGCCACGCCACUUUACGAUGAUUUUUUUGGACCAAAAGGAAGAAGUUGGGCCCUGGUUGCACCUGGCGGGAGUCCCGAGGAUGGCACAACCCACCAGGGCGCGCCAGGACGCCCAGGCGCGCCCUGGUGGGUUGUGCCCACCUUGGGUGCCCCUCAGACCACCUCUUUGCUCUAUAAAUACCCCAGUAUUCCAGAAAUCCUAGGGGAGUCGACGAAAUAUUCAUCCAGCCGCCGUAGAGUCCAGAAGCACUAGAUCCAAUCUAGACACCAUCAUGGAGGGGUUCACCACUUCCAUUGGAGCCUCUCCGAUGAUGUGUGAGUAGUUCUUUGUAGACCUUCGGGUCCGUAGUUAGUAGCUAGAUGGCUUCCUCUAUCUCUCUUGAUUAUCAAUACAAUGGUCUCUUGGAGAUCCAUAUGAUGUAAGUCUUUUGGCGGUGUGUUUUUUUGGAUCCGAUGAACUUUGAGUUUAUGAUCAGAUCUAUGUUUUUAUCCAUGAAAGUUAUUUGAGUCUUCUUUGAUCUCUUAAAUGCAUGAUUGCUUAUAGCCUUGUAUUUCUUCUCCGAUAUUUGGGUUUUGUUUCGCCAACUUGAUAUAUUUAUAUUGCAAUGGGAAGAGGUGCCUGGUAGUGGGUUCGAUCUUAUGUCCUUCGCCUAUCUUGAGGCGACGUACCCCGAACGGGACUGACAACCCCUUAAACACGUCGGGUUGCGAGGUGUUGUUAUUUGUGUGCAAGGGUUGUUUAUGUUGUGUUGUUUGGUUCUCCUACAGGUUCGAUAACCUUGGUUUCAUAUCUAAGGGAAAUACCUACCGCCGUUGUGCUACAUCAUCCCUUCCUCUUUGGGGAAAUACCCACGUAGCUUCAAGUGACAUCAAAAGGAAUUUCUAGCGCUAUUGCCAGGGAGGAUCUUCAACAUCAACCAGGUUCCUAAUCACAAAUCUCAUCUCCUUGCAAUUUACAUUAUUCACCAUUUGCCUCUCGCUUUCCUCUCCCCCACUUCACAAAAAUGCCAUUUUAUUCUCCUCUCUUUUUUCGUUCGUCGUUUUCUCAUCAGAUCUGUUUUUGUGUGCGUUCAUGUUUGCGUAGUCAUGAUGCCUCAAAGAAAAUAUUAUGAUGUUCCUUACCCAAAUAUUUUGCUUGAAAUUGAGAAAAGUACUAAGGAAUAUAUGACUACACAAUUUGAGCAUAAUAAAUAUUUUACCGAAGAACUUAAGGAACGUUAUGUUAUGUUAGAAGCUAUAACGAAACAACUUGAUGAUAUUAGUAAGAAGUUUGAAAUCUUCAAUCUAAGUAUGCAUUUGCUGAAAGUUUGUUCGGAAAAAUAUCCGAUGCACAAGCCACUUUAGUGAAUCAAAUGGCCGCUAAACCAAUCUUGUUAGAAGAUAAAAGUGAUGAAGAUCUAAACAUGAUUGGUGUUUCUUCUAUUGAUUCCCUGUUUAGUAAAAAUAAGAUUGAUGAAAAAGGGACUGGAGAAGAGUCAACUUUAGGUAGAAGGCGCCCCAAUAUUUCGGAGGGUGAAAAUCUUGUUGACAAAAUUUAUAAAAGUGGGUUUGAAGAGGUCAAGACUUUAACUAGUGAUGUGCCCACUAUUUUGGAUUACAAAGACUUUAAUUAUGAUAGUUGCUCUUUGAUUGAUUGUAUUUCUUUGUCGCAAUCCAUGAUAAAUCCACCCCAUGCUUAUGAACAAAAUAAAGCUUUUACUAAACAUAUUGUUGAUGCCAUGAUGAAAGCUUUUGAAGAAAAAUUGGAAUUAUAAGUUUCAAUUCCUAGAAAAUUUCAUGAUGAAUGGGAACCUACUAUAAAAGUCAAUAUCAAAAAUUAUGAGUGUUUUGCUUUAUGUGACUUGGGUGCUAGUGUUUCUACAAUUCCAAAAUCUUUAUGUGAUGUGUUUGGUCUUACCGAUAUUGAAGAAUGCUCUUUAAAUUUGCACUUAGAGGAUUCUACUAUUAAGAAACCUAUGGAAAGGAUUAAUGAUGUUCUUAUUCUUGCAAAUAGGAAUUAUGUGCCCAUAGAUUUUAUUGUUCUUGAUAUUGAUUGCAAUCCGUCUUGUCCAAUUAUUCCUGGUAGACCGUUUUUGCGUACUAUUGGUGCCGUGAUUGAUAUGAAAGAAGGCAACAUUAAAUUUCAAUUUACACUAAGGAAGGGAAUGGAACACUUCCCUAGAACAAGAAUUAGGCCACCAUAUGAAUCAAUCAUGAGGGCAUCUUAUGGAUCUAGAACCAAAGAUGACAAAACUUAGAUCCUACGUGUUAUGCCUAGCUAGGGGCGUAAAACGAUUGCGCUUGUUGGGAGGCAACCCAAUGAAUAAAAUUUAUUUUUGCUUUUUUCUUUCUAUUCUUGAGUGUUAGAACAAUUAUGCUACUGUUAUGACUUUGUUUUUUGUGUUUUAGUUAGUGUUUGUGCCAAGCAAUGCCUUUGGGAAGACUUGGGUGAAAGUUUAUUUGAUCUUGCUGAAAAACAGAAACUUUUGCGCUCAUGAGAUUCGUUGUAAUUGUUUAUAGAAGAGUGAUGUUAAGUUGAUUCUUUUUGAAGAGGAUUAAUAUAAAAAUUCCUCACGUCCACCAAUUUAUUUCACAAUUUUUGGAGUUACAGAAGUAUUAGAAAUUUUCAGAUUGCUACAGACUGUUCUGUUUUUGACAGAUUCUGUUUUCUUUGCGUUGUGUGCUUGUUUUGAUGAUUCUAUGGUUUUCUUUAAUGAGUUUUUGCCAUAGAAAAGUUGGAGUACAGUAGAUAUAAUUCAAAAACAAAAUAAGAAUAGGUUUUCUGCAGUACUUAUAGUAGUGGUUUGGUUUCUCAUACUAACGGAUCUCACGAAGAUUUUGUUUGAGUUUUGUGUGAUUGAAGUUUUCAAGUUUUGGGUUAUCUUAUGAUGGAUGAAGGAAUAAGGAUAAGCAAAAGUCUAAGGUUGGGGAUGCCCGAGGCACCCCAAGAUAAUAUUCAGAGAAUUAGCAAGCAAAUAAGCUUGGGGAUGCCCCCGAGUGGCAUCCCCGCUUUCUUCUAACGACCAUCGGUAUUUUACUUGAAACUAUAUUUUUAUGCCUCACAUGAUAUGAGUUUUGCUUGGAGUGUCUUGUAUGAUAUGAAUCUUUGCUUGUUUUUCUUUGUGUUUUAAUUAUUGAAUCCUUGCUGGACGCACCCUUUUUAGAGAGCCAAAAAUUAUGCUAUGCUUGCUCCUAUGCUUCACUUAAAUUUUUAGAGCCAUGGACUUGCUCUAGUACUUCACUUAUAUCUUUUUGAGCACGGUGUGCUUUGUUAGUUUUGAAGAAAUUCUCUCAUGCUUCACUUAGAUUUAUUUGGGAUUUAGUAAAUGUUUAAUAAAUUCUCUUUUGCUUCACUUAGAUUAUUUUGAGAGAAAGAAAAAAAAUUAUGCUCAUGAUCUUCACUUAUAUUUGUUUGAGCUUACCAAAAGCAACAUAUGAAAAUAUUUCCAAAGUGAUAGAUAUCCAAGGGGGAUAUAAUAAAAACUUUCAUGAAGAUCAUUGGACAAAAUAAACUUGAUUCUUAGUAAUGGUUUUGAGAUAUGACGAUGUGAUAUGUGAGUUAUGUUGAUGAGUAAUUGUGCUUUAGUAAGAAUAUUGAUGUUAAGGUUUGUGAUUCCCUAUGCAAGCAUGAAAGUCAAUAGUUAUGCAAUGAAAUUAAUAUCCUACUUAUGGUGCAUUAUUCGGUGUUACUUUCUUAAUGCUUGGGUACGAGAUUUUUCGCUUUUUGGUUGCUCGCUUCUCAAUCUUUUUGCUAGCCUUCAUUUUGCACUAAGUAUGAUCACUACUUGUGCAUCCAAAACCCUUUAAACCAGUUUUGCCAUAUGAGUCCAGUAUACCUACCUAUAUGCGGUAUUUCCAUGCCGUUCUAAACAAAUUUGCAUGUGCCAUCUCUAAUGUUCAAAAUAAAUUUCUCUUUUGUGUGCUCUACUACUCGCGAGGCGGUAAAGGGUAGCCAAUAUUUUCCAUGCUAGAUGUGUUAUUCUCAGGAUGAGUGUUUAUUCACUUGUCAUUGCACAAGAGUACGACAAAGGUAUUAGGGAUGCCCAGUCCCGAAAUGAAAAAUGAAUUUACUUUAUGUCGUCAAAUAAUAAAUUCCUUGGAAAGUGUUGGUAUGGAAGGCACCCGUGGAUACAGCUAGCCAUGGAAAGUGAAAGUUAUGGUGGAAAAAGGAAUAAACUUUAUUUUCUGUUUGGGAACCGCCUAUGAUGUAUCUAUCAUGGAAAGUGUUGGGAUGCUCCAAGUCAUUCUCGUUGGUAGGAAAAGUAUGCCUCUCAAAAAUAAUUUUAUCUCUCAAUUUAAGCUUUGAGCUCUAGCACCUCUACAAAUCCCUCCUUCCCUCCGCGAAGGGCCUUUCUUUUACUUAUGCAAUUUUUAUUUUGAAUUUGAGUCUCCAUCUUCUCUUAUAAAGCAUCAACUAAGGGGCACUAUGAUCGUGUUUGAGCACUGGGUGUAGCUAAUAUUCGAGUGUGUUUCAUGACUGGAUUAAUGAUUGAGCGUGAUGGGCUAGGGGUAACUUGCUUUAGUGUUGAUAUUUCGAAAGACAUGGUUGCUUGUUGGUAUGCUUGAGUAUUAAAGUCUUCAUGUCAAAACUAGACUAUUGCUUUGAAUCGUAUAAAAGUCCAUAUGUCCAUGCUAUAAAGGAAAGAAUGUGAUCAACAUGUUAGGCAGCAUUCCACAUCAAGAAUUCUAUUUUUAUCAUUUACCUACUUGAGGACGAGCAGGAAUUAUGUUCGGGGAUGCUUAUACAUCUCCAACGUAUCUAUAAUUUUUGAUUGCUCCAUGUUGUUAUAUUAUCAUUCUUGGAUGUUUUACAAUCAUUUUAUAUCAUUUUUUGGUACUAACCUAUUGACAUAGUGCCAAGAGCCAGUUGUUGUUUUCUGCAUGUUUUUUACAUCGCACGAAAUCAAUAUCAGACAGAGUCCAAAUGCCACGCCACUUUACAAUGAUUUUUUAUGGACCAAAAGGAAGAAGUUGGGCCCUGGUUGCACCUGGGGGUGUCCCUAGCAGGGGACAACCCACCAGGGCACGCUAGGAGGCCCAGGCGCGCCUUGGUGGGUUGCGCCCACCUCGGGUGCCCCCCGGACCGCCUCUUUGCUCUAUAAAUACCCCAAUAUUCCAGAAACCCUAGGGGAGUCGACAAAAUAUUCAUCCAGCUGCCAUAGAGCCAGGAACCACCAGAUCCAAUCUAGACACCAUCACGGAGGGGUUCACCACUUCCAAUGGUGCCUCUCCGAUGAUGCGUGAGUAGUUAUUUGUAGACCUUCAGGUCCGUAGUUAGUAUCUAGAUGGCUUCCUCUCUCUCUUGAUUAUCAACACUAUGGUCUCUUGGAGAUCCAUAUGAUGUAAGUCUUUUGACGGUGUGUUUGUUGGGAUCCGAUGAACUUUGAGUUUAUGAUCAGAUCUAUGUUUUUAUCCAUGAAAGUUAUUUGAGUGUUCUUUGAUCUCUUAUAUGCAUGAUUGCUUAUAACCUCAUAUUUAUUCUUCGAUAUUUGGGUUUUGUUUGGCCAACUUGAUCUAUUUAUCUUGCAAUGGGAAGAGGUGCUCGGUAGUGGGUUCAAUCUUACGGUGCUUGAUCCAGUGACAUAAAGGGAACCGACACGUAUGUAUCGUUGCUACUAAGGAUAAAAAGAUGGGAUCUGUAUCUACCGUAAUAGAUAAACGGAUCUUGUCUACAUCAUGUCAUCGUUCUUAUUGCAUUACUCCAUUUUUCCAUGAACUUAAUACACUAGAUGCAUGCUGGUUAGCAGUCGAUGUGUGGAGUAAUAGUAGUAGAUGCAGGCAGGAGUCGGUCUACUAAUCUUGGACAUGAUGCCUAUGAAAUGAUCAUUGCUUGGAUAUCGUCAUAAUUAUUUGAAGUUCUAUCAAUUGCCCAACAGUAAUUGUUUUCCCACCAUUUGCUAUUUUUCUCGAGAGAAGCCACUAGUGAAACCUACGGCCCUCGGGUCUCUUUUCAUCAUAUUUGCCUUUGCGAUCUAUUAUCUCUUGCGUUUAUUUUCAGAUCUAUUAAACCAAAAAUACAAAAAUACCGUGCUGCAAUUUAUUUGUUUCAUGAUCUAUUUAUCCUAUCUACAAAUUUACCUCACAUCCUUUGCCUAUCUUGAGGAGUCGUACCGCGAAAGGGUUUGACAACCCCUUUAACACAUCAAGUUGUGAGGUGUAGUUAUUUGUGUGCAGGGGCUGUUACGUAGCGUUGCUUGGUUCUCCUACUGGUUUGAUAACCUUGGUUUCAUAUCUGAGGGAAAUACCUGAAGGAAAUAUGCCCUAGAGGCAAUAAUAAAGUUAUUAUUUAUUUCCUUAUAUCAUGCUAAUUGUUUAUUAUUCAUGCUAGAAUUGUAUUAACCGAAAACAUAAUACAUGUGUGAAUACAUAGACAAACAUAGUGUCACUAGUAUGCCUCUACUUGACUAGCUCGUGAAUCAAAGAUGGUUAAGUUUCCUAGCCAUGGACAAAAGAGUUGUCAUUUGAUUAACGGGAUCACAUCAUUAGGAGAAUGAUUCGAUUGACUUGACCCAUUCCGUUAGCCUAGCACUUGAUCGUUUAGUAUGUUGCUAUUGCUUUCUUCAUGACUUAUACAUGUUCCUGUAACUAUGAGAUUAUGCAACUCCCGUUUACCGGAGGAACACUUUGGGUGCUACCAAACGUCAUAACAUAACUGGGUGAUUAUAAAGGAGUACUACAGGUGUCUCCAAAGGUACAUGUUGGGUUGGCGUAUUUCGAGAUUAGGUUUUGUCACUCCGAUUGUCGGAGAGGUAUCUCUGGGCCCUCUCGGUAAUGCACAUCACUAUAAGCCUUGCAAGCAAUGUGGCCAAUGAGUUGGUUACGGAAUGAUGCAUUACGUAACGAGUAAAGAGACUUGCCGGUAACAAGAUUGAACUAGGUAUUAGAUACCGACGAUCGAAUCUCGGGCAAGUAACAUACCGAUGACAAGGGGAACAAUGUAUGUUGUUAUGCGGUUUGACCGAUAAAGAUCUUAGAAGAAUAUGUAGGAACCAAUAUGGGCAUUCAGGUUCCGCUAUUGGUUAUUGACCGAGAAUAGUUCUAGGUCAUGUCUACAUAGUUCUCGAACCCGUAGGGUCUGCACGCUUAACAUUACGAUGACAGUUUUAUUAUGAGUUUAUAAGUUUUGAUGUACCGAAGUUUGUUCGGAGUCCCGGACGUGAUCACGGACGUAACGAGGAGUCUCGAAAUGGUCGAGACAUAAAGAUCAAUAUAUUGGAAGCGUAUAUUUGGACAUCGGAAUCGUUCCGGGUGAAAUCGGCAUUUUACCGGAGCACCGGGAGGUUACCGGAACCCCCCCGGGGGGUUAUUGGGCCUACAUGGGCCUCGAGGGAGAAGAGGGAAGGAGGCAGGAGGGGGCCGCGCGCCCCUCCCCUUCCUAGUCCGAAUAGGACAAGGGAAGGGGGGCGGCGCCCCCCCCCCUUUCCUUCCCCUCUUCCUCCUCUUUCCCCCCUUCUCCUAUUCCAACUAGGAAAGAAGGGAGUCCUACUCCCGGUGGGAGUAGGACUCCCCCCUUGGCGCGCCCUCCUUGGCCGGCCGCCUCCUCCCCCCUGGCUCCUUUAUAUAUGGGGGUGGGGGGCACCCCAUAGACACACAAGUUGAUCUACGGAUCGUUCCUUAGCCGUGUGCGGUGCCCCCCUCCACCAUAUUCCACCUCGGUCAUAUCGUCGCGGAGUUUAGGCGAAGCCCUGCGCCGGUAGAACAUCAUCAUCGUCACCACGCCGUCGUGCUGACGGAACUCAUCCCUGAAGCUUUGCUGGUUCGGAGCCCGAGGAUCGUCAUCGAGCUGAACGUGUGCUGAACUCGGAGGUGCCGUCCGUUCAGUGCUUGGAUCGGUGGGAUCGUGAAGACGUACGACUACAUCAACCGCGUUGUGCUAACGCUUCCGCUUACGGUCUACGAGGGUACGUGGACAACACUCUCCCCUCUCGUUGCUAUGCCAUUACCAUGAUCUUGCGUGUGCGUAGGAAUUUUUUUGAAAUUACUAUGUUCCCCAACAGUGGCAUCCGAGCCUAGGUUUUAUGCGUUGAUGUUAUAUGCACGAGUAGAACACAAGUGAGUUGUGGGCGAUACAAGUCAUACUGCUUACUAGCAUGUCAUACUUUGGUUCAGCGGUAUUGUUGGAUGAAGCGGCCCGGACCGACAUUACGCGUACGCUUACGCGAGACUGGUUUUACCGCCGUACUUCACACACAGGUGACUAGCGGGUGUCUGUUUCUCCAACUUUAGUUGAACCGAGUGUGGCUACGCCCGGUCCUUGCGAAGGUUAAAACAGCACUAACUUGAUGAACUAUCGUUGUGGUUUUGAUGCGUACGUAAGAACGGUUCUUGCUCAGCCCGUAGCAGCCACGUAAAAUUUGCAACAACAAAGUAGAGGACGUCUAACUUGUUUUUGCAGGGCAUGUUGUGAUGUGAUAUGGUCAAGACGUGAUGAGAUAUAAGUUGUUGUAUGAGAUGAUCAUGUUUUGUUGAAGUUAUCGGCAACUGGCAGAAGCCCUAUGAUUGUCUCUUUGUUGCAUAAGAUGCAAGUGCCAAAUAAUUGCUUUACUUUAUCGCUAUGCGAUAGCAAUAGUUGCAAGAGCAAUAGUUGGCGAGACGACCAUGUGAUGACACAUUGAUAUAGAUCAAGAUGAUGAAGAUCAUGGUGUUGUGCCGGUGACGAUAGAGAUCAUGACAGUACUUUGGAGAUGGAGAUCAAAGGCGCAAGAUGAUCAUGGCCCUAUCAUGUCACAUAUUUUGAUUGCAUAUGAUGUUUAUCUGUUAUACAUCUUAUUCUGUUUUGUUUGACGGUAGCAUUUUAAGAUGAUCUCUCACUAAUUAUCAAGAAGUGUUCUCCCUGAGUAUGCAUCGUUGAGAAAGUUCUUCGUGCUGAGACACCACGUGAUGAUCGGGUGUGAUAGGCUCUACGUUCAAAUACAACGGGUGCAAAACAGUUGCACACGCGGAAUACUCAGGUUAAACUUGACGAGCCUAGCAUAUACAGAUAUGGCCUCGAAACACGGAGACCGAAAGGUCGAACGUGAAUCAUAUAGUAGAUAUGAUCAACAUAGUGAUGUUCACCAUAGAAACUACUCCAUCUCACGUGAUGAUCGGACAUGGUUUAGUUGAUUUGGAUCACGUGAUCACUUAGAUGACUAGAGAGAUGUCUGUCUAAGUGGGAGUUCUUAAGUAAUAUGAUUAAUUGAACUUAAAUUUAUCAUGAACUUAGUCCUAGUAGUAUUUUGCAAACUAUAUUGUAGAAUAAUAGCUCACGUUGUUGCUUUCAUAUGUUUAUUUUGAUAUGUUCCUAGAGAAAAUUGUGUUGAAAAAUGUUAGUAGCAAUGAUGCGGAUUGGAUCCGUGAUCUGAGGUUUAUCCUCAUUGCUGCACAAAAGAAUUAUGUCCUUCAUGCACCGCUAGGUGACAGACCUAUUGCAGGAGCAGAUGCAGACGUUAUGAACGUUUGGCUAGCUCAAUAUGAAGACUACUUGAUAGUUUAGUGCACCAUGCUUAACGUCUUAGAAUCGGGACUUCAAAGACGUUUUGAACGUCAUGGACCAUAUGAGAUGUUCCAGGAGUUGAAGUUAAUAUUUCAAGCAAAUACCCGAGUUGAGAGAUAUGAAGUCUCCAACAAGUUCUAUGGAUAAAAUAUGGAGGAGAAUCGCUCAACUAGUGAGCAUGUGCUCAGAUUGUCUGGGUACUACAAUCGCUUGAAUCAAGUGGGAGUUAACCUUCCAGAUAAGAUAGUGAUUGACAGAGUUCUCUAGUCACCAUCACCAAGUUAGUAGAACUUUGUGAUGAACUACAGUAUGCAAGGGAUGACGAAACGAUUCCCGAGCUCUUCGUGAUGUUGAAAUCGACGAAGGUAGAAAUCAAGAAAGAGCAUCAAGUGUUGAUGGUUGACAAGAUCACUAGUUUCAAGAAAAGGGCAAAGGGAAAGAAAGGGAAACUUCAAGUAGAAUGACAAACAAGUUGUCACUCCCGCAAAGAAGCCCAAAGCUGGACCAAAGCCUGAAACUGAAUGAUUAUACUGCAAAGGAAAUGGUCACUGGAAGUGGAAAUGCCCUGAAUAUUUGGUGGAUAAGAAGGAUGGCAAAGUGAACAAGGGUAUAUUUGAUAUACAGGUUAUUGAUGUGUACCUUACUAGUGUUUAUAGUAGCCCAGAGUAUUUGAUACUUGUUCGUUUGCUAAAUAUUAGUAACUCGAAACAGGAGUUACAGAAUAAACAGAGACUAGUUGAAGGGCAAGUGACGAUGAGUGUUGGAAGUAGUUCCAAGAUUGACAUGAUCAUCAUCGCACACUCCCUAUACUUUCGGGAUUAGUGUUGAACCUAAAUAAAUGUUAUUUGGCGUUUGCAUUGAGCAUGAAUAUGAUUUGAUCAUGUUUAUUGCAAUAUGGUUAUUCAUUUAAAAUCAGAGAAUAAUUGUUGUUCUGUUUAAAUGAAUAAAACCUUUGAUGGUCAUACACCCAAUGAAAAUAGUUUGUUGGAUCUCGAUCGUAGUGAUACACAUAUUCAUAAUAUUGAUGCCAAAAGAUGCAAAGUUAAUAAUGAUAGUGCAACUUAUUUGUGGCACUGCCGUUUGGGUCAUAUCGGUGUAAAGCGCAUGAAGAAACUCCAUACUGAUGGGUUUUUGGAAUCACUUGAUUAUGAAUCAUUUGAUGCUUGCGAACCGUGCCUUAUGGGCAAGAUGACUAAAACUCCGUUCUUCAGAACAAUGGAACAAGCUACUGACUUGUUGGAAAUAAUACAUACCUAUGUAUGCGAUCCAAUGAGUAUUGAUGCUCGUGGUGGGUAUCGUUAUUUUCUGACCUUCACAAGAUGAUUUGAGCAGAUAUGAGUAUAUCUAUUUAAUGAAGCACAAGUCUGAAACAUUUGAAAAGUUCAAAGAAUUUCAGAUGAAGUGGAGAAUCGUCAUAACAAGAAAAUAAAGUUUCUAUGAUUUGAUCACAGAGACAAAUAUUUGACUUACGAGUUUGGUCUUCAAUUAAAACAAUGUGGAAUAGUUUCACAAACUCAUGCCACCUGGAACACCACAACGUUAUGGUGUGUCCGAACGUCGUAACCGCACUUUAUUGGAUAUGGUGCGAUCUAUGAUGUCUCUUAUCGGUUUACCACUAUUGUUUUGGGGUUAUGCAUUAGAGACAGUUGCAUUCACUUUAAAUAGGGCAACAUCAACAUCCGUUGAGAUGACGCCUUAUGAACUAUGGUUUAAGCAAGAAACCAAAGUUGUCGUUUCUUAAAGUUUGGGGUUGCGAUGCUUAUGUGAAAAAGUUUAAACCUAAUAAGCUCGAACCCAAAUCGGAGAAGUGCGUCUUCAUAGAAUACCCAAAAGUAACUAUUGGGUACUCCUUCUAUCACAGAUCCAAAGGAAAGUUAUUCAUUUCUAAGAUGGAUCCUUUCUAGAGAAUGAGUUUCUCUCGAAAGAAGUGAGUGGGAGGAAAGUAGAACUUGAUAAGGUAAUUGUACCUUCUCCCAAAUUGGAAAGUAGUUCAUCACAGAAAUUAGUUCUAGUGAUGCCUACACCGAUUAGUGAGGAAGUUAAUGAUGAUGAUCAUGAAACUUUGGAUCAAGUUACUACAGAAACUCAUAGGUCUUCCAAAGUAUGGUCCGCACCAGAGUGGUACGGUAAUCCUGUUCUGAAAGUCAUGUUACUAGACCAUGAUAAACCUACGAACUAUGAGGAAGCGAUGAUGAGCCCAGAUUCCGUGAAAUGGCUUGAGGCCAUAAAAUCUGAGAUAGGAUCCAUGUAUGAGAACAAAGUAUGGACUUUGGUUGACUUGCUCGAUGAUCAGCAAGCCAUGUUAAAUAAAUGGAUCUUCAAGAGGAAGACGGACACUGAUAGUAGUGUUACUAUCUACAAAGCUCGACUUGUUGCGAAAGGUUUUCGACAAGUUCAAAGGUGUUGAAUACGAUGAGAUUUUCUCACUCAUAUCGAUGCUUAAGUCUGUCCAAAUCAUGUUAGCAAUUGCCACAUUUUAUGAAAUCUGGCAAAUGGAUGUCAAAACUGCAUUCCUUAAUAGAUUUAUUAAAUAAGAGUUGUAUAUGAUGCAACCAGAAGGUUUUGUCAAUCCUAAAGGUGCUAACAAAGUGUGCAAGCUCCAGCGAUCCAUUUAUGGACCGGUGCAAGCCUCUCGGAGUUGGAAUAUACGCUUUGAUGAGUUGAUCAAAGCAUAUGGUUUUAUACAGACUUUUUGAGAAACCUGUAUUUACAAGAAAGUGAGUGGGAGCACUACAGCAUUUCAGAUAAGUAUAUGUGAAUGACAUAUUAUUAAUUGGAAAUGAUGUAGAAUUUUCUGGAAAGCAUAAAGGAGUGUUUGAAAGGAGUUUUUCAAAGAAAGACCUCGGUGAAGCUGCUUACACAUUGAGCAUCAAGAUCUAUAUAGAUAGAUCAAGACGCUUGAUAAGUUUUUCAAUGAAUACAUACCUUGAUAAAUUUUUUGAAGUAGUUCAAAAUGGAACAGUCAAAGAAAGAGUUCUUGCCUGUGUUGCAAGGUGUGAAGUUGAGUAAGACUCAAAACCCGACUAUGGCAGAAAAUAGAAAGAGAAUGAAAAGUCAUUCCCUAUGCCUCAGUCAUAGGUUCUAUAAAGUAUGCUAUGCUGCAAACCAGACCUAUUGUAUACCUUUCUCUGUGUUUGGCAAAGGAAUACAAUUUUGAUCUAAUAGUAGAUCACUGGACAGCGGUCAAGAAUAUCGUUAGUAAAGACCAAGGAAAUACUUCUCGAUUAUGGAGGUGAUAAAAGAGCCCGUCGUAAAAAGUUACAUCGGUGCAAGUUUUUUCACCGAUCCAGAUGACUCUAAGUCUCAAUCUGGAUACAUAUUGAAAGUGGGAGCAAUUAGCUAGAGUAGCUCCAUGCAGAGCAUUGUAGACAUAGAAUAUUUGCAAAAUACAUACGGCUCUGAAUGUAACAGACCCGCUGACUAAGCUUCUCUCACGAGCAAAACAUGAUCACACCUUAGUACUCUCUGGGUGUUAAUCACAUAGCGAUGUGAACUAGAUUAUUGACUCUAGUAAACCCUUUGGGUGUUGAUCACAUGACGAUGUGAACUAUGGGUGUUAAUCAUAUACAGAUAUGAAUAUUGGUGUUAAAUCACAUGAUGAUGUGAACUAGAUUAUUGACUCUAGUGCAAGUGGGAGACUGAAGGAAAUAUGCCCUAGAGGCAAUAAUAAAGUUAUUGUUUAUUUCCUUAUAUCAUGCUAAAUGUUUAUUAUUCAUGCUAGAAUUGUAUUAACCAGAAACAUAAUACAUGUGUGAAUACAUAGACAAACAUAGUGUCACUAGUAUGCCUCUACUUGACUAGCUCGUGAAUCAAAGAUGGUUAAGUUUCCUAGCCAUGGACAAAAGAGUUGUCAUUUGAUUAACGGGAUCACAUCAUUAGGAGAAUGAUGUGAUUGACUUGACCCAUUCCGUUAGCCUAGCACUUGAUCGUUUAGUAUGUUGCUAUUGCUUUCUUCAUGACUUAUACAUGUUCCUGUAACUAUGAGAUUAUGCAACUCCCGUUUACCGGAGGAACACUUUGGGUGCUACCAAACGUCACAACGUAACUGGGUGAUUAUAAAGGAGUACUACAGGUGUCUCCAAAGGUACAUGUUGGGUUGGCGUACUUCGAGAUUAGGUUUUGUCACUCUGAUUGUCGGAGAGGUAUCUCUGGGCCCUCUCGGUAAUGCACAUCACUAUAAGCCUUGCAAGCAAUGUGGCCAAUGAGUUGGUUACGGAAUGAUGCAUUACGUAACAAGUAAAGAGACUUGCCGGUAACGAGAUUGAACUAGGUAUUAGAUACCGACGAUCGAAUCUCGGGCAAGUAACAUACCGAUGACAAAGGGAACAACGUAUGUUGUUAUGCGGUUUGACCGAUAAAGAUCUUCGAAGAAUAUGUAGGAACCAAUAUGGGCAUCCAGGUUCCGCUAUUGGUUAUUGACCGAGAAUAGUUCUAGGUCAUGUCUACAUAGUUCUCGAACCCGUAGAGUCGGCAUGCUUAACGUUACGAUGAUAGUUUUAUUAUGAGUUUGUAAGUUUUGAUGUACCGAAGUUUGUUCGGAGUCCCGGAUGUGAUCAUGGACGUAAUGAGGAGUCUCGAAAUGGUUGAGACAUAAAGAUCAAUAUAUUGGAAGCCUAUAUUUGGACAUCGGAAUCGUUCCGGGUGAAAUCGGCAUUUUACCGGAGCACCGGGAGGUUACCGGAACCCCCCCGGGGGGUUAUUGGGCCUACAUGGGCCUCGAGGAAGAAGAGGGAAGGAGGCAGGAGGGGGCCGCGUGCCCCUCCCCUUCCUAGUCUGAAUAGGACAAGGGAAGGGGGGCGGCGCCCCCCCCCCCCUUUUCCUUCCCCUCUUCCUCCUCUUUCCCCCCUUCUCCUAUUCCAACUAGGAAAGAAGGGAGUCCUACUCCCGGUGGGAGUAGGACUCCCCCCUUGGUGCGCCCUCCUUGGCCGGCCGACUCCUCCCCCCUGGCUCCUUUAUAUACGGGGCCGGGGGGCACCCCAUAGACACACAAGUUGAUCUACGGAUCGUUCCUUAGCCGUGUGCGGUGCCCCCCUCUACCAUAUUCCACCUCGGUCAUAUCGUCGCGGAGUUUAGGUGAAGCCCUGCGCCGGUAGAACAUCAUCAUCGUCACCACGCCGUCAUGCUGACGGAACUCAUCCCCGAAGCUUUGCUGGAUCGGAGCCCGGGGAUCGUCAUCAAGAUGAACGUGUGCUGAACUCGGAGGUGCCGUCCGUUCGGUGCUUGGAUCGGUCGGAUCAUGAAGACGUAUGACUACAUCAACCGCGUUGUGCUAACGCUUCCGCUUACGGUCUACGAGGGUAUGUGGAUAACACUCUCCCCUCUCGUUGCUAUGCCAUCACCAUGAUCUUGCGUGUGCGUAGGAAAUUUUUUGAAAUUACUACGUUCCCCAACAAUACCUACCUCCGCUGUGCUGCAUCAUCCCUUCCUCUUUGGGGAAAUACCGACGUAGCUUCAAGCGACAUCAGAGAUCCAUAUGAUGUAAGCCUUUUUGUGGUGUGUUUGUUGGGAUCCGAUGAACUUUGAGUUUAUGAUCAGAUCUAUGUUUUUAUCCAUGAAAGUUAUUUGAGUCUUCUUUGAUCUCUUAUAUGCAUGAUUGCUUAUAGCCUCAUAUUUUUCUCCGAUAUUUGGGUUUUGUUUGGCCAACUUGAUCUAUUUAUAAUGCAAUGGGAAGAGGUGCUUUGUAGUGGGUUCGAUCUUACGGUGCUUGAUCCCAGUGAUAGAAGGGAAACCGACACGUAUGUAUCGUUGCUACUAAGGAUGACGAGAUGGGAUCUAUAUCUUCCUUAUAUAUAAACCGAUCUUGUCUACAUCAUGUCAUUGUUCUUAUUGCAUUACUAUGUUUUUCCAUUAACUUAACACACUAGAUGCAUGAUGGAUAGCGGUCGAUGUGUGGAGUAAUAGUAGUAGAUGCAGGCAAGAGUCGGUCUACUAAUCUUGGACGCGAUGCCUAUGUAAUGAUCAUUGCUUGGAUAUCGUCAUGAUUAUUUGAAGUUCUAUCAAUUGCCCAACAGUAAUUGUUUUCCCACCGUUUGCUAUUUUUCUCGAGAGAAGCCACUAGUGAAACCUACAGCCCCUAGGUCUCUUUUCAUCAUAUUUGCCUUUGCGAUCUAUUUUCUCUUGCGUUUCAGAUCUAGUAAUCCAAAAAUACAAGAAAUACCUUGCUGCAAUUUAUUGUUCCGCGAUCUAUUUAUCCUAUCUACAAAUUUACCUCACGUCCUUUGCCUAUCUUGAGGCGCCGUACCCCGAAAGGGAUUGACAGCCCCUUUAACACAUCAAGUUGUGAGGUGUUGUUAUUUGUGUGCAGGGGUUGUUUACGUUGUGUUGCUUGGUUCUCCUACUGGUUCGAUAACCUUGGUUUCAUAUCUAAGGGAAAUACCUACCUCUGGUAUGUUGCAUCAUCUCUUCCUCUUUGGGGAAAUACCUACGUACUUAAAGCGACAUCAGAGAUCCAUAUGAUGUAAGCCUUUCAGCGGUGUAUUUGUUGGGAUCCGAUAAACUUUGAGUUUAUGAUCAGAUCUAUGUUUUUAUCCAUGAAAGUUAUUUGAGUCAUCUUUGAUCUCUUAUAUGCAUGAUUGCUUAUAGCCUCGUAUUUCUUCUCUGAUAUCUGGGUUUUGUUCGGCCAACUUGAUAUAUUUAUCUUGCAAAGGGAAGAUGUGCUUUGUAGUGCGUUCGAUCUUACGAUGCUUGAUCCCAGUGACAGAAGGGGAACCGACACGUAUGUAUCAUCGCUACUAAGGAUAACAAGAUGGGAUCUAUAUCUUCAUAAUAGAUAAAAGGAUCUUGUCUACAUCAUGUCAUCGUUCUUAUUCCAUUACUCCAUUUUUCCAUUAACUUAAUACAUUAGAUGCAUGUUGGAUUGCGGUCGAUGGGUGGAGUAAUAGUAGUAGAUGCAGGCAGGAGUCGGUCUACUAAUCUUGGACAUGAUGCCUAUCUAAUGAUCAUUGUCUGGAUAUCAUCAUGAUUAUUUGAAGUUCUAUCAAUUGCCCGACAGUAAUUGUUUUCCCACUGUUUGCUAUUUUUCUCGAGAGAAGCCAUUAGUGAAACCUACGGCCCCCGGGUCUCUUUUCAUCAUAUUUGCCUUUGCGAUUAUUUUCUCUUGAGUUUAUUUUCAGAUCUAUUAAACCAAAAAUACAAAAAUACCUUGCUGCAAUUUAUUUGUUCCGCGAUCUAUUUAACCUAUCUAUAAAUUUACCUCAUGUCCUUUGCCUAUCUUGAGGCGCCGUACCCCGAAAGGGAUUGACAACCCCUUUAACACGUCGGGUUGCGAGGUGUUGUUAUUUGUGUGCAGAGGAUGUUUACAUUGUGUUGCUUGAUUCUCCUACUGGUUCGAUAACCUUGAUUUCAUAUCUGCGGGAAAUAUCUACCGCCGUUGUGCUGCAUCAUCCCUUCCUCUUUGGGGAAAUACCGACGUAGCUUCAAGUGACAUCAGAGAUCCAUAUGGUGUAAGACUUUUUGCGGUGUGUUUGUUGGGAUCCGAUGAACUUUGAGUUUAUGAUCAGAUCUAUGUUUUUAUCCAUGAAAGUUAUUCGAGUCUUCUUUGAUCUCUUAUAUGCAUGAUUCGUUAUAUCCUCGUAUUUCUUCUCCGAUUUGGGUUUUGUUUGGCCAACUUGAUCUAUUUAUCUUGCAAUGGGAAGAUGUGCUUUGUAGUGGGUUCGAUCUUACGAUGCUUGAUCCUAGUGACAGAAGGGAAACCGACACGUAUGUAUCGUUGCUACUAAAGAUAACAAGAUGGGAUCUAUAUCUUCAUAAUAGAUAAACCGAUCUUGUCUACAUCAUGUCAUCGUUCUUAUUGCAUUACUCCAUUUUUUCAUUAACUUAAUACACUAGAUGCAUGCUGGAUAGCGGUCGAUGUGUGGAGUAAUAGUAGUAGAUGCAGGCAAGAGUCGGUCUCCUAGUCUUGGACGUGAUGCCUAUGUAAUGAUCAUUGCCUGGAUAUCUUCAUGAUUACUUGAAGUUCUAUCAAUUGCCCAACAGUAAUUGUUUUCCCGCCAUUUGCUAUUUUUCUCGAGAGAAUCCACUAGUGAAACCUACGGCCCCCGGGUCUCUUUUCAUCAUAUUUGCCUUUGCGAUUAUUUUCUCUUGCGUUUACUUUUAGAUCUAUUAAACCAAAAACACAAAAAUAUCUUGCUGCAAUUUAUUUGUUCCGCGAUCUAUUUAUCCUAUCUACAAAUUUACCUCAUGUCCUUCGCCUAUCUUGAGGCGACGUACCCCGAACGGGACUGACAACCCCUUUAACACGUCGGGUUGCGAGGUGUUGUUAUUUGUGUGCAGGGGCUGUUUACGUUGUGUUGCUUGGUUCUCCUACUGGUUCGAUAACCUUGGUUUCAUAUCUGAGGGAAAUACCUACUGCCGUUGUGCUGCAUCAUCCCUUCCUCUUUGGGGAAAUACCGACGUAGCUUAAAGCGACAUCAGAGAUCCAUAUGAUGUAAGCCUUUUUGGGAUGUGCUUUUUGGGAUCCAAUGAACUUUGAGUUUAUGAUCAGAUCUAUGUUUUUAUCCAUGAAAGUUAUUUGAGUCUUCUUUGAUCUCUUAUAUGCAUGAUUGUUUAUAGCCUGAUAUUUCUUCUCCGAUAUUUGGGUUUUGCUUGGCAACUUGAUCUAUUUAUCUUGCAAUGGGAAGAGGUGCUUUGUAGUGGGUUUGAUCUUACGGUGCUUGAUCCCAGUGACAGAAGGGGAACCAACAUGUAUGUAUCGUUGUAUCUUCAUAAUAGCUAAACGGAUCUUGUGUACAUCAUGUCAUCAUUCUUAUUGCAUUACUCCGUUUUCUCAUUAACUUAAUAGACUAGAUGCAUGCUGGAUAGCGGUCGAUGUGUGGAGUAAUAGUAGUAGAUGCAGGCAGGAGUCGGUCUACUAAUCUUGGACAUGAUGCCUAUGUAAUGAUCAUUGUCUGGAUAUCGUCAUGAUUAUUUUAAGUUCUAUCAAUUGCCCAACAAUAAUUAUUUUCCCACCAUUUGCUAUUUUUCUCGAGAGAAGCCACUAGUGAAACCUACGGCCCCCGGGUCUCUUUUCAUCAUAUUUGCCUUUGCGAUUAUUUUCUCUUGCAUUUAUUUUCAGAUCUAUUAAACCAAAAAUACAAAAAUACCUUGCUGCAAUUUUUUUUCCGACAUCUAUUUAUCCUAUCUACAAAUUUACCUCAUGUCCUUUGCCUAUCUUGAGGCGCCGUACCUCGAAAGGGAUUGACAACCCCCCUUUAACACGUCGGGUUGCGAGGUGUUGUUAUUUAUGUGCAAGGGUUGUUUACGUUGUGUUGCUUGGUUCUCCUACUGGUUCGAUAACCUUGGUUUCAUAUCUGAGGGAAAUACCUACCGCUGCUGUCCUGCACCAUCCCUUCCUCUUUGGGGGAAUAUCGAUGUAGCUUCAAGCGACAUCGGAGAUCCAUAUGAUGUAAGCAUUUUUGCGGUGUGUUUGUUGGGAUCCGAUGAACUGUGAGUUUAUGAUCAGAUCUAUUUUUCUAUGCAUAAAAUUUAUUUGAGUCUUCUUUGAUCUCUUAUAUGCAUGAUUGCUUAUAGCCUCAUAUUUCUUCUCCGAUAUUCGGGUUUUGUUUGGCCAACUUGAUCUAUUUAUCUUGCAAUGGGAAGAGGUGCUUUGUAGUGGGUUCGAUCUUACGGUGCUUGAUCCUAGUGACAGAAGGGAAACUAACACGUAUGUGUCGUUGCUACUAAGGAUAACAAGAUGGGAUCUAUAUCUUCAUAAUAGAUAAACGGAUCUUGUCUACAUCAUGUCAUCGUUCUUAUUGCAUUACUCCAUUUUUUUCAUUAACUUAAUACACUAGAUGCAUGUUGGAUAGCGGUCAAUGUGUGGAGUAAUAGUAGUAGAUACAGGCAGGAGUCGGUCUACUAAUCUUGGAUGUGAUGCAUAUGUAAUGAUCAUUGCCUGGACAUCAUCAUGAUUAUUUGAAGUUAUAUCAAUUGCCCAACAGUAGUUGUUUUCUCACCAUUUGCUAUUUUUCUCGAGAGAAGCCACUAGUGAAACCUACGGCCCUCGGGUCUCUUUUCAUCAUAUUUGCAUUUGUGAUCUAUUUUCUCUUGCGUUUAUUUUCAGAUCUAUUAAACCAAAAAUACAAAAAUACCUUCCGGCAAUUUAUUUGUUCCGCAAUCUAUUUAUCCUAUCUACAAAUUUACCUCACGUCAUUUGCCUAUCUUGAGGCGUCGUACCCCGAAAGGGAUUGACAACCCCUUUAACACGUCGGGUUGCGAGGUGUCGUUAUUUGUGUGCAGGGGCUGUUUACGUUGUGUGGCUUGGUUCUCCUACUCGUUCGAUAAUCUUGGUUUCAUAUUUGAGGGAAAUACCUACCGCCGUUGUGCUACAUCAUCCCUUCCUUUUUAGGGAAAUAUCGACGUAGCUUCAAGCGACAUCAGAGAUCCAUAUGAUGUAAGCCUUUUUGCGGUGUGUUUGUUGGGAUCCAAGCAUCCCUUCCUUUUUAGGGAAAUAUUGACGUAGCUUCAAGCGACAUCAGAGAUCCAUAUGAUGUAAGCCUUUUUGCGGUGUGUUUGUUGUGAUCCGAUGAACUUUGAGUUUAUGAUCAGAUCUAUGUUUUUAUCCAUGAAAGUUACCUGAGUCUUCUUUGAUCUCUUAUAUGCAUGAUUGCUUAUAGCCACGUAUUUCUUCUCCGAUAUUUGGGUUUUGUUUGGCCAACUUGAUCUAUUUAUCUUGCAAUGGGAAGAGGGGGUUUAUAGUGGGUUCGAUCUUACGGUGCUUGAUCCCAAUGACAGAAGGAGAACCGACAUGUAUGUAUUGUUUCUACUAAGGAUAACAAGAUGGGAUCUAUACCUUCAUAAUACAUAAAUGGAUCUUGUCUACAUCAUGUCAUCAUUCUUAUUGCAUUACUCCAUUUUUGCAUUAACUUAAUACACUAGAUGCAUGCUGGAUAGCGGUCGAUGUGUGAAGUAAUAGUAGUAGAUGCAGGCAGGAGUCGGUGUACUAAUCUUGGACGUGAUGCCUAUGUAAUGAUCAUUGCCUGGAUAUCGUCAUAAUUAUUUGAAGUUCUAUCAAUUGCCCAACAGUAAUUGUUUUCCCACCGUUUUCUAUUUUUCUCAAGAGAAGCCACUAGUGAAAGCUACGGCCCCUGGGUCUCUUUUCAUCAUAUUUGCCUUUGAGAUCUAUUUUCCUUUGCAUUUAUUUUCAGAUCAAUUAAACCAAAAUUACAAAAAUACCUUGCUGCAAUUUAUUUGUUCCACGAUCUAUUUAUCCUAUCUACCACUUUUACCUCAUGUUAUUUGCCUAUCUUGAGACGCCGUACCCGAAAGGGAUUGACAACCCCUUUAACACGUCGGGUUGCAGGUAUUUGUUAUUUGUGUGCAGGUGUUGUUUACGUGGUGUGAGGAGGUUCUCCUACUGGUUCGAUAACCUUGGUCUCAUCACUAAGGGAAAUACCUACUGUCGCUAUACUGCAUCAUCCCUUCCUCUUUAGGGAAAUACCGACGUAGUUCUAGCAGACAUCACCCACAACUCCCCAUUAUCCUUUUGUCAUGCUGACAGUCCCGGGGCAUUUCGGCAUCAAUGGAAAAUUUUCCUUCAUUGAGGGCAAAUCCCAAUUUGUCUCUUGUUGUGUUGUCCUUUCUUUCUUGUUGAGUAAACUUAUUAUUGCAAUGCUGCCCCUUGUAGGUUGGUCACCUUUUGCCAUGUUUUGUUGUGCAUGAUGUACACUUGUGUUUGUUAUGCUCAUGUCCCCUAUUUUUCAUUCAAAUGUAACUAUUGCCAUGUUUGUUCUCUGCAUUUUCCAUUUUUUGGGCCAUGUGAUCUAGUUACAUGUUUGAUUUGUGUACUUUGUUGUCAUGCUCUUUCUUUGUGUGUAGGAAUUUUGUUCCCUAUUUUUUUCCAUGGUUCAUGUUUAGUUAUGUGCCUUAGAUAACUUCAUUUCCAUGCUCUUAUGUAUGCAGAAGAUUCUUAUCUUCAAAAAUUCUAGCUUUCGGUGAUUGACUCACAUUUUUUCCAUGUUGUCAUACAUGUACUUAUUUUUCUAGUGCAAAUUUGCCAUGUCAUCUUAUAGGUGUGAUUUUCUUUUAGUUGUUUUUCUUCUUUUGUUUUUGCCAUGUUUUUGUGUGUAGGAGUUAGUUGGUUAAAUGCAAAAUUUGCAAUGCCAACAUGUACUAUGUGGUUUGCUUACUUACAUCGUAUCAAUUUCCAUAGUACUAUGUUCACAUUCUUGUCAUUCUAAUAUAUGUGGUGGUUUAUUACGUAAAUGUCACUUUCAUAUUUUUGUAUUUCUAUUUUAUAUGAGUGGAAAUAGAGCUUGGCAAGGUUUCUUUUCUCUCUUUUUUUCAGAAAAAAAAUGUUGCCUUAAAUUCUUAUUAUGUAUUUUUCAUUUGCAGAUCUUUUUGCAUCAUUGUUCGGAAUGCCCUGGCUACUGCUGUUGAUGGUUUCAUGCCGACGAGAGGGAAUGCUGUCGCAGCCGGCAAACAGAUUCGAAAGGAGGUAUUUUAUACUUGUUUCAUAUGUUUAAUUCUUGGGGCAAAUUAACCAUGGCAAGUUUCUUUAACCACUCACGGAAACUUAAGUGACAUAUCCAUAUCAUGCCAUUUUGUAAUUUGGUUAUCCUUCUGCAGGCUGAUGACCAACAAGUAUGGGGGAUCAAUCGUAGUCCUUUCGAUAAGUAAGAGUGUCAAAUCCAAUGAGGAGCAGAAGGAAAUGAUAAGCGGUUUUCAACAAGGUAUUCUCUGCAAGUGUUGUAAGUACUGGCAAUAGGUAGUUUGGUAGAAAGAUAAUUUGUAGCAAGUAACAAUAAUUACAAAGGUGUAGCAAGGUGGCCCAAUCCUUUUUGUAGCAAAGGACAAGCUAAAGGUACUUCUUAUAGUGAGCAAAACGUUCUCGAGGACACGUGGAUCAUUUAGUUACGUUCAUCAUGUUUAGUUGAUUCACAUUCACUAUUUUGAUAAUUUGAUAUGUGGACUGGUGUUAGGGUGUUUUUCUUACUUGAACAAACAACCCACUUAUGAUUACCCCCUCUCGCAAACAUUCACAACUACGAAAGGAGAAUUAAGAUAAAUCUAACAAUAGCAUGAAACAUACGGACCCAAAUCAGCCCCUUAUGGAGUAGUGCAUAAACUAGGGUUUAAGUUUCUCUCACUCUCAGAACCCAUCAUCUACUUACUACUCCCCAAUGCCUUCCCCUAUGCCCAAACAUGGUGAAGUGUCAUGUAGUUGACGUUCACACAACAUCACGAGGGGUAUGUUUGGUUGCCUGUGCAGCUUUGCCUACACCAUAUGGGGGAUCCUGGUUGAGCCUGGCUUGAUUGAGAUGAUGAGGCGAAGGACCAAAAGGUGGCAACGAUGGCCAAUCGGAGAACCAGCGGAGGAGAAACCGAGGAAGUCGGGGGACACUUCAGGUAAUAAAAACGAUUUCGGGUCUGGAUCUGGCAGAUGCCUCGCACAUGGAGUAGAUGAGAUGUGGCAGGGAGCAAUGGUGGCGGAGGCUGGCGAUGAUGUGCACAGGGGCGAGAGUGAGCCAGAAACGCAAACGAGGGAGUUGUGGUGAAGGGAAUCGUUACCCCUGCAUGAAGUUGAACGCGCGAUGGGAUUGGGGAGGUGGGUGUGGGGGGGUUUGCAUCAGCUCGUGCCUGCAUGCAAGGAACUGAGGAUUCAUGCGUAUCCGCUCAGCCUGGCUCGGGAGCCCUAUAUGCAUCAGUCGGGCCAGGCCCAGUUAUGUGUGCAGUCUACAAACACCCAGUUAUUGCACGGGGGAUGAGAGUAAGCAAACACGCCCUAGAGGAAUAACAACAUAUGCAUCAUCAAAAUAUUGAACGAAUACCAACUUCACAUGUACUUAUAACAAGACUUCUCUUAUGUCCUCAAGAACAAACGGGACUACUCACAAAUCAUAUUCAUGUUCAAUAUCAGAGGAGUAUAAUAUAUGAUUGAGGAUCUAAACAUAUAUUUUUUUUCACCAAAUAAACCAACUAGCAUCAAAUCCAAGAUGUAAUCAACACUACUAGCAACUCAAAUGUAUUAAUCUAAGAUUUGGAGGCAAAGAUCGAAUACAACAGAUGAACUAGGGUUUGAGAUAAGAUGGUACUGGUGAAGAUGUUGAUGGAGAUGAGUCCUCCCAUGAUGAGAUGAGCAUUGAUGAUGCCAAUAGUUUCGAUUUCACCCUCCUAGAGGGAAGUAUCUGCGGCGAAAUCGCUCCGCCGGAAAGCAAAUGUGCUCCUGCUCAGGUUCCACCUCGAGACGGUGGCUCUUUGUCCCGAAAAUAUUCUUCUAUUUUUUUUUGGGAAAAAGGCUUCAUAUAAGAGAAGGGGGCCACAGAGGCCUGCUGUUGGGUCCACAAGCUUAGGUGGCGCGCCCCACCUAAGAUUGUGGCUUUCUGGUGGGGUCCCUCCUCGUGAUUCUUCUUUCAGUAUUUUUAUUAAUUCCAAAAUAAAUCUUCGUAAAAUUUUAGAUCAUUUGGAGCUCCAGAGAAUAGUUAUCUCUGUUGUAGCUCUUUUUAGGCCCAGAAUUCAGGCUGCCGGCGAUUUUCCUCUCCAUAGAAAUCUUGCACAAUAAGAGAGAAAAUACAUUACAAUUGCGUCAUAAAGUGAAAUAUGACUCUAAAACAUUAUAAAUAAUAGUAGAAAAACAUGAAACGUGAUCAACUAAAUUUUUGGGACAAAUCAACUAAAUUUUUGUGUGAAUUUAAAUAAUGUUAAAUAUAAAAAAUCCAUAGAAAGAAAGUUUAGCGCAAAAUGAAUGUACGUAAAUUCUUUGGGACAAAUCAACUAAAUUUUUGUUUGAAUUUAAAUAAUUUUAAAUAUAAAAAAUCCAUAGAAAGAAAUUUUAGCGCAGAAUGAAUGUACGUAAAUUCUUUGGUACAAAUCAACUAAAUUUUUGUUUGAAUUCGAACAAUGUUAAAUAUAAAAAAUCCAGAGAAAGAAAGUAUAGCACGGAAUGAAUGUACGUAAAUUCUUUGGGACAAAUCAACUAAAUUUUUGUUUGAAUUCGACAAUGUUAAAUAUAAAAAAAUCCAAAGAAAGAAAGUAUAGCGGCGAAUGAAUGUACGUAAACUCUUUGGGACAAAUUAAUGGAAUUUUUGUUUGAAUUUGAUUAAUUUUAGAUUUAGAAUCUAGAUAAAGAAAAUAUAGUGUCGUAUGAAUGUACGUAACCUUUUUUUUGGGGGGAAAUCAACUAUUUUUUAAAUUCAAAUAAUGUUAAAUAUAAAUAUUGAGAUAAAAGAAAAUAUAGCGCAGAAUGAGUGUACGUAAAUUCUUUGGGACAAAUCAAUGAAAUUUUUGUUUGAAUUCAAAUAAUUUUAAAUCUUUAAAUCUAGAUAACAGGAAAUAUAGUGUAGUAUGAAUGCAUGUAAUUUUUUGGACAAAUCAACUAAAUUUUUGUUUGAAUUCAAAUAUGUUUAGUCUAAAAAUCUUUUGGACAAAAUAUGUUUGAAUUCAACUAUAUUUUUUGGAUAAAAAAAUAUAAUGCAGAAUGAAUGUACGUAAAUUCUUUUGGACAAAUCAACUAAACAAGAACGGACAAAAUAAAUUUCUUUUAUCCCUAUUUUACAUCAUGUGUCCUUGUGGUCGUCACUCAUUUGCAGGUUCAAACAGCGGGCUUCUUAUUAUUUGGUUAGAUUUACCUUUAAUUUUUUCGGUCAGUCUUGAAAUGAUAUUCGUUUGGUGGCUGUACGGGUGGGUGAGCCUACUAGCAGUGGAUGUGCGUUCUAACUUCUAAACCACCAGCCCCUCCUUUUUUCAUUUUAUUUGAGGGACUCUGUGUGCGUCAAUGAAAAAAAUGCAAGGCAAUUUCUGUAGAAAAAAAAUCCAGUGCAGCCGCUACCAGCCACUGACAGUGGCCGCCUGUACGCUGGCACGCCAGGUAAGCGCAAAAUACGGCUGGAUAUGGGAGGAAGCACCGUAUUUGAACUAUCGGACAAGUUCGCUGACCAGAAAUAUAUAUUUUACAAGUUUAUACACUAAACUGACCGUUAACGUGCAAGUUCUAUGACCCAUGAUGUAUUUAGGUCUUGAAUAAAGCCCUAUGCUUCAUUAGAAAGGAAAAACAUGUCACUGUCGAAUUCAAAAGGAAAAACAGGUCACCGUCGAAUAACCCAAAGUUCCAGGACAUCAGCACCCACUGGACAAACAAAUGUGGACGUUCUACUCGCCAAUGAUUCAACAACAUACUAACAGAAAAGACACAUCUGUGCUUACAAGAUUUAAGAUUCCAGCGCGAUAAAAUUACAACAAGACGAGACAGACUCUGUGGUCGGAAAUUUGUAUACAGCUGAAAGCCUGAAACUGCAGCAACAUCUAGGGCGCAAAGCUUGACUGUUGGUGUGUCUAACUAAAAUGAACAAGGGCAUGAACCACUACACACGAGGUGAUGAAGGGGGCAGCUUUGUCUCUAGAGGUCUUUCACCUGACCGUAGGAUAGCCGUCGCCCGUUGAGGAUUGCAGUGGUUGAAGCUUCAGUUUCGUCGGACUUGAAUUUCCACUCUGAAAAUGAACCACCAUACCUGCAUCUCUGCUCAAGGACAACCAGUACUGUAGUUCCAAUUCCCAACACACCCUGAACUUACUUCUACAGAUUAUCACAAUUCCUCUACUAACCUUAGUACACAUCAUUAACUCAACUAGUAAUAAUGUACGUAUUUCCCAGCUCCUGAAUCACUGCUAUGAUAACCACGCCCAUCCAAGUGCAGUAUAAGGAUCAGUCAUGCAAACCAUACCUGCCAGUUUACUGAAACUGAAAUUAUCAGGGAACUCGUGAACCAUCCCCAUUUGCUUGCAUACUGCAGGUCCGGCUUCCAUUACCUACAAUAUCACAGCAUUUUCUAAGGAAGCAGUUACCCACAACAAUUGAACUAGUACAUCUGUUCUAGAGAAUUGUGGUACAUGAGGCCGCCUUUCAUUCAAAGCUUCCUAUACACUCACUUCCCUCUGGGAACGUAAGUAAAGCACUGACCUUGUACAGCUAGGAAUCAGCAAGUUCCUGGAGGAGUCUGACUGACUACAAAAUUACACUUGCCCAGAUUCUUCAUAGCAAAGGAUGCAUUCCAAAGCUUGCCACCACAUUGUGUGACGAUUCGGUAUUCGACUGGACAAUCUGUGCAACUUCUACUCGCUUCAUUCACUGCUACUCAAUGUAAAAUAUUAAGAGACCAUGACAGUUCUAAUGCAAAGGAUACAGAGGAGCUAACUGCAGUCCCCUCCACAUUUUCUCAUCCGGGCUUGGGACCGGCAAAGGCAGUGUUAAACUACUCCUACUUAAACACAAAAAACAGCAAACACUACAAACAAUUAUAUUGAGCUAAGCAUACAAGCCAAGCAACCAACCAAAGGCGGCAUUGGCAUGACACACGAUUGGCAAUAAAUAUUCAUGCCGUGCGGAACAAACAAAGAAUGCCAUAAAUUCCAGAACCUGAAUGGGAGUAACUAAUUUAUCUAGUGGGAUGAGCGUGAUUCCAAUCUUUGCACAGAGAAAGCUUUAGUAGUUCUAUGCCAUUAUAGGGUCAGAGGACCGUAAGGUGUGUUAACAGACUUCCGUGUCUUCAAAAUCUAGGAUUUAUUAUGUAGUAUGACUGUAUGAAACAGAAUGGGUUUAUCUAAUUUCCAAGUUAAGAAUAUGCAAUCGGCAGGUAUCAUCAAAUUAGUAGUUUUGCUAGUUGCCAACUAUUUUAAAACUAGGAAGUUGCCCGAAAACUAAGAAUAUAUGUAAUUAAAGAGAACAUGCGAUUCAAGAUUCAGAAUCCAGAUCAAAUUAGCAAAUUGCUGGAAAAGAAGCUCAAUUAGCCAUUAGAGGACCUAAGAUGUGUGAACGCUGUGAAAUUAUAUAUUUAUAAGAAUAUGUAACUGAAGAUUCCAUAAUCCAUAUCAAAUUAGCAGUUCGGUGAAAAGAAGUUCAAAUUAGCAACUACAGGACCAUAAGAUGUGUGAACACCAUGAAAUUUUAGAUUUAAUAAGAAUAUGUAAUGGAAGAUUCCAUAAUCCAGAUCAAAUUAGCAGUUCGCCAUAAGAGAUAAAAUUAGCCAUCGGAGGACCAUAGAGAUGUGUGAGCGCUUUGUGUCUUCAAAUCCAGGAUGAAUGAAAUACGAAACAAACUGCCAUAUGUUGAAAGUAAUCAGCAGGAUUCAUCAUCAAAUUAGCCAAAGUGUUUAAGAAUCAUCAAAUUAGCCACUGUUUUGCUAGUUGUCACUUUAAAGUAGGAAGUUCCCCAGCAAACCGAGAAUCCAGAUCUCACUGGAGAAGCACCAAUGAGAAGAACAUCACUUCUGAAAAUCAACUCCAUACCAACAAACCAGAAUCAUAUUCAGUGGACAUGAGCGGAGUGUUCAGGGCAAAAAUUUUGUUCAAGCUUCCAGUUCAGAACCUUCCAAUUCCCCAUUGUUUAUAGUAUAUAUAGCAAUAACUCCUAACCUCUUUCUGCAUAUCAAGUCAUCAGUAUUACCCUACUACACAGGAGGCCACUACUGUUAAACCAACACAAGUGCGAGGGUGGGAUCUUUCUUUAUCACCAAAGUUAAAAAUAUGUGCACACCAAAAGUUGAUUUUGUGUCAUAAGAUGAACCCAAAGAAUGUAUAUACAUAAUAUACAUAAACCAAGUGCAAUCAUGUAUAUAUGUAGAAUAGUAGACCAACAAAUCCAAGUGUAACCAAUUCAUGUGUAUAUAUAUAAUAUGCAUUAACAUUUUAACUGCAUUCAGAGCUCAUGUACAUGCGAUCUUUUACUUCCUACUACGUGAUAUAUUUGCAAAUUGAAAGAUACAAGCAGCCAAAUAUCAAAACAAAACUUCCUGAAACAGUAUGGUAACCAGGUAAUUAAUAGCCAAACCAAACUUUGAUAAUCUGCUAUACAGACUGAGUACGAACUGAUAUUUCCAUUUUGGAAGACUUCUAGCAUUUUCUUGAUUCGAGCAAAAGAUGAGAUCAUAUUCCAUCCAAGUUGGAAGAGGAUACCGUAACCAGUAAGAUUUUUUUUUAUCAUAUACCGUAACCAGUAAGAUGGCACAACAGAAACCUAGUAAGAUGCUUCAGGACAGUUGAAAGAAUCAGAUGCACACACUACCAACUCCAAGCUGCACCAAAGAUAUGAGGCCACUGAAUGCAAGUUCAAACUGAAAACUACCACAAAGACCAUAUCAUUAUGCUUCAGGAUCAGUAAUCAGAGGUCAAAACCAUCAGGGAAGUCCAUUUGCUUCACCAAGUCCCCGCGCUAACUGACUAUCCAACUCUACAAUCUUGCAAUAAAACCUCCAACAAUGCAAAUCAAUUAACGGCCCAAAUAUAAUCAGCAUACUUCAAGUUUCUUCAAGGAAAGUCAGACCAUAGUGAAAUCUGGUAAAUCAGUUGAAACAAGCAUGGAGUCCAGGUGUAAGUUUUUGUGGUUGAAGGAAGAUUCCAAACGAAGAUCCCAAACAGCCAUUAGACAAACAUAAAUCGAAGAACUUAAUGUAUAGCCACUCAAAUCUGACGUCACCAAGCACAGUUGAGGAAUCCAGUAAACCAGUGUGACCAAGCAUGGGAAACUGACCUGCCUCGAGUCCCCUUCACCAUACGUUCACACACCACAUGGAGCUUCACUCCCAAACCAGAUCAAGAUCCAGUACUGCGAUAACAAAUGAAACAAACAGACUGUCUACGAGACACUGACCUCCAUGUACAGAGCAAAGGUUUGGGCCCAAACUCCUAAUAACAAUUACUUGGCCAACCCACACACAAGACCAAGAGAACACAGGGAUCAAGAGUACAGAUAACAAGCAUGGAGAGCUAGUCAUUGCCCACAUGGCCUGGGAUAAAGAAAAAUCUGCAACCAUAGGAAGGGCAGGGGCAAAAACCUAUAUCAGAGAGAUGGCCAAGUAACUACAUGAAAAAUAAAAUAGGAAGGUAAGAAUCUUUUUCGGUUGUAGGAUGUGUCAUUAGUUGAAAGCUCUGGAUUAUCCUUAUAUUCGUGCUGCAUAUGAAUCUGUAUUUAAAAUAUUGUCUAGUAAGAUAAGUUAUAGGUUAUGUAUAAGUUACAAUGAAUUGAAACGACACUAGUAGAUUUAGAAGAUCAGUAGACGGAUUCAUCGUCAGGCUGGACAGGAGUUCGUCAACUACAUCCUGCAGCGAGCAAGAGACCGUUUCUAUAAAAAAAUUGUUAGGGGAAAUGCUGCUUAUAAAUAGCAAAAGCAUGAAUGAUGAGUGGGAACAAGUAAAGCCUGUCUAGGGUCAGGUAUGGAUGAUGGAGGACAACAACGCCAGUUCCAAACUGAAGUUAUAUCCUUUCCAAGUCAGUAUCUGCAAGAGCUGAUAAUUACCAAGGCAAAGAGAACCUAAUGUCUAGAGUUCAAUUAGAGUAAAAAAGGUUGAAAAAGUUUUAGCCACAGAAGGAACCGCCAUGCCGAGGAAAAAUAGGACCGCCUACUAAGCCAUAUCAUUCCAAUUUCUGGAGAGCCACCAAGAAAUAGUUUAAAUCAGAAUUGUGGAGAACCAAAACAGAACAGUGGAGACGAAAGAGUAAAACAGAGGGAGUGAUAAUUAUCCAAAUGCAGAGCAGCAAGAUGCGUCGCUCCCGCUAAGCCAUAUAAUUCCAAUUUCUGGAGAACCACGAACAUAUCCAAAUAUCCUGCACAUAGGCUCAGACUUCCUAAAUAUAUCCUGCAACUGAUACACGCAGAAGACCAGCACAGGAAUCAAGAGUACAAACCAAACGAUUUUAACAGAUUCCGACUCACUACCAGCAUGGUUUGGGAUUAAUCUGCAACCAAAUGGAGGGUAGAAGGAAAAACCUAAAUCAAAGACAUGAACAAGUAGCUACGUGAAACAAAAAUAAGAGGUGAGUUAAAACUGGAGCAGCCUUUUUCACUGUAAGAUGUUCCAUUAGUUUGAAUCUCCAUUGUUGAACCUUGGCAGAUAAAUCUGAAUUCAAAAUAUUGUCUGGUAAGAUAAUUUUAAAGGCUGACUAAGUUCUGAUGAAUUGAGAAAAUAGUUGAUUUAGAAGAACUGCAAACAGAUUCAAGUCGGCAUCAGGUUGGACGAGUUCAUCAAGUACGAUCUGCAACGAGGAAGAUACCUUUCUAUAAGUUACAAGAGGAAAACUAGGCUCAGCUAAAGCAUGCAUCAAAUGUUGAGGUAAAGGGUAAGUAAGCCUGUCUUGGCCGGAAAGUCAGGUAGACAACACUGGUUCCAAUUAUUUCGCCCCCAAGUCAGCAUCUGCACGAGCUGAGAAUUACCAACCAAGGCAAAGAAAAUAACAUUUUGAAAGUUCAAUUAUCAAGGGAGGAUAAAAGGUCGGAUAUGUUGGACCACAGAAAGAACCACCAUGCCGAGGAAAAAUGGGUCACCCGCUAAGCCAUAUAAUUCCAAUUUCUGGAGAACCAGCAGAAAUUCUAAAUCAGAAUUGUCGGGCAACUAAUUGAGCUAUGGAGAAGAAAUUGUCGGGCCUUAGGCAUUUGCCCGAAGAUCUUGAACCGAGGGUAGGAGGUCAGAGAUCUCCACGGCAGCGCCUCCAAACCGCUGCCGAUGAGCAACAACGGGGCAGGUCUUCACCCGGAGCAUCUCGAACACCACCUCCACGCGCCGCAAUCCGCUCACCCGCUCGCCUCCCAUGCAACAACCGCGCUAUCGCCGUAUGGGAGCCACCACGUAUCUCGCCGGCACCAUGUCGGGCCAGAUCCGGCCGCAACCGGAUCACCAUCUAGCCUCACGCCGGAACCCCGGCUGCCUUCAGCCACCAAACGGACGAGGCCGCCGGGCUAGCAAGCCAGCCAGAUUUGCAGCACCAAGCCGGGAGGGGGCGUGCCACCCUGCCCCAUCCCGCAGUGUGGAGCUGCCGACCCGAAGCACAGGCAGCCCGCAGCAGCCGCUACACCGCCAAGAGGGCGCCGUCGAACAUGCGUAAGCCGCCGACUGCCACCCCAUCUUCCAGAUCCAUGCGCCAGGAGCCACCAAGCCGCCACCAUCCGCCGGAUCCACAGCGGCAGGAGCUGCCAGUGCACCACCGAGACGCUGCCGAGCCGAGCACCACCAUCCCGCGCAGACCGCAGGCAACGCUCGUCGUCGCGCCGGAUCCGCACCUGGCCGCGCCCGCCCACAGCUCCGCGACGCAAAGGGAGACGGCCGCCGCCAGGAGCAGUCCUCCCGCCGCCGGCACCGCACGGGCUUUGCCCGAUGGUGGCCGGGGGGAGGGGGGAGGUGGCCGCUGGUUAACGGCUGGGGCGCCCCAAUGCCACCCGGGUGCGAGAGGCAAAAUAGUGCCAUACUUGCGGCGAUUUGGAUGAGAAGAAGAUGAUGUACUCCCUCCAUUCGAAAUUACUUGUCGCGGAAAUGGAUGUAUCUAGACGUAUUUUAGUUUUAGAUACAUCCAUUUCCGAGACAAGUAAUUCUGAACGGAGGAAGUACGUAUAUCCUAAGAAGUCUAUCGAUAUUUUUGUUAUUCAUGGAUCAAUGCAUUUUGGUCCUAUGCUUUAGAAAGGAAAGACAGUUUGAACCCCACAACGGUUAGGGUCACUUAUGCCGAAUAAUCCAAAAGUUCCAGGACAUCAGCAUCCACUCGACAAACAACUGCGGACAUUCUACUCGCCAAUGAUUCAACAACGUAUAUUAACAUCUGCGCUGAUCAAAUAUUUAAGAUACAGCGCGAUGAAAUUACGAGACGAGACAGACACUGUUGUUGGAAUUUGUAUACAGCCGAAACUGCAGCUAACAUCUACAGUAGUGCGCAAAGCUUGACUGACGGUGUGUCUAACUGAAAGAAACAAGGGCACGUACCUCUACACACGAGGUGAUGAAGGACGUCUCCAGAGGGGAUCGCAGCAAGGCCGGUCCUGAGGUUUUGAGAGCCCGGGCGAAACUCAAACUCGGGGCCCUUUAAUAUAGACAUCAUGACAAUAAAAUUGUUGGUCUGGCAAACGGCGGUUUCCUGAAAAUGGCAACAACAUCGGUCGAUUUUCCUAAGGAGAACACGAGGCGUGAACGGGAGUGACGUGGCCGACCGCAGCAGCUGGGCAAGGCCCACGUUGUCGCGGGUAGCAGGGUCUCGGGGGUAGACACCAGGCCGAAAAAGAGGGGUAGUAGAGUGAUGGUCGGAACGGCGGCAGACCGACAACGCACGAGGUGGCUAUAGCAAGCCGGCGCGUCAGCGUAACACAAGCUGAGGGUGAUGGUGGACAGCAGUACAUCCAGGGACGGAGUUAGAAAAUUGGCAUGGAGGGGGCUAGACUAUAAGCAAUUGGCUUUAUUAUUUUUAUUAAUUACCUCUCUUCCUAAUCGUGUCUUCCAAGUACAAAUGGAUAACUGAAAAUUUCCUAAUUAAUUAUUGAUGUUUGUAACUUCUAAAAUUCAUCCCACUUCUGUAGUUUUAUAGUCACAAAUUAAUCUAAUGUAAAAAAUAGAGCUGAGGCGCAAUCAAAUUAGAUAUAGCGUAAACUAACCUUUCUUCCUUAGACCAUCACUGUCAUGCUUAUUCGUGUGGGUGACACCAGCCGGCCGGCCAUGCGUGGUGCCCCUGCAGUUCUGCAUUGCUGCCCUUCUCACCCUCUAUGGAUCCACUGGUAUCAGCUUGAUCAGGCGCUCUGCUGAAUCGAUGUCCAUUGGCAGGCAGUCGGCGAACGUGCGUUUGUGCGUGUGCUACAAGGACUUGGAGUCCAGAUCGCGGAGAACGGAGUUGCGGACUUCAUCGGCGACUCGGCGUCGGCGCAUCGCGACUCCACCUGCGACUCUCGGUCGCGGCCAGUCAGCUAGGGUUAACCUGAAUCGGGAUCGGGAAGAAGAAUCGGGCCACCCGCGACUCACGAAGACACCGUGUGAUCGGUGUAAUCAGCGGCUACAUGCCUUCCUAGCCCAUGGGCUACCUGCCUACGUAACAGGCUUUUGGGGGGCCCUGGAUUUGGGGGGCCCGGGGCGGCCGCCCCCCCUGCCCCCCCCUCAGGGCCGGCCUCGCAGUGGUUGAAGCUUCUUCAGUUUUGUCGGACUUGAAUUUCUACUCUGAAAAUGAACCACCAUAUAUCUGCAUCCCUGACUUUCUUAUGGGCGCAAAAUGAGAUUGUGUGAACGGUAACCACAACUUGACAAGGACAACCAAUAAUGUACGUAUUUCCGAACACGCCCUGAACUUGCUUUUACAGAUUACAAAAAUUCCUCCGCUAACCUCAUUAACUCAACUUGUAAUAAUGUACUCGUAUUUCCCAACUCCUGAAUCACUGCUAUGAUUACCACUACCAUCCAAGUGCAAUAUCAGGACCAGUCACGCAAACGUACCUGCUAGUUUACUGUAACUGAAAUUAUCAGGGAACUCUGUGAACCAUCCCCACUUGCUUGCAUCUGCUACCCUUUUACCCUACUGCGGAUCUCUUGUCCAGCAAUACCACAGCAUUUUCUAGGAGACCUUUCAUGCAAGGCUUCCUACACACUCACGACUUCCCUUCGGGGAAGGUAAGUAAAACACUGACCUUGUACAGCUAGAAAUUCAGCAAGUUGUUGACAGUCCCGACUAACCAAAAUUACCCUUGCCCAGAUUCUUCAUAGCAAAGGUCUGUGCAGCUUCAGUAUUCGACUAGGACAGUCUGUGCAGCUUCUACUCGCUUAAUUCGCUGCUACUCAAUGUAAAAUAUUUGGGCACCAUGACAGUUCUAAUGCAACCGAUACAGAGGAGCUAACUGCAGUUCCCUCCACAUUUUCUCAUCCGGGCUUGGGACCGGCAAAGGCAGUGUUAAACUACUCCUACUUAAAACACAAAAAUUAGCAAACACUACAAACAAUUAUUCAGGUAAGCAUACAAGCCACGUAAUCAACCAAAGGAAGCACUGACACCACACACGAUUGGCAAUAAAUAUUCACGCAACAUUUUCGGAAGAUCAUCACACAGACAUAGGGCACAAACAAAGAAUGCCAUAAAUUCCAGAACCUGAAUGGGAGUAACUAAUUACACUAGUGGGAUGAGCGCGAUUCAAGUCUUUGCACAGGGAAAGCUUUCGAAGUUUUAGCCAUUAUAGGGUCAGAGGACUGUAAGAUGUGUGAACAGAUACUUCUGUGUCUUUAAAAUCUAUAUAUAGGAUUUAUUAUUUAGUAUGAAACAGAAUGGGUUUGUCCAAGUUUCAAGUUACGAAUAUGCAAUCGGUAGGAAUCAUCAAAUUAGUACUUCUGCUAGUUGCCAACUAUAUUAAAACUAGGAAGUUGCCAGAAAACUAAGAAUAUAUGUAACUCAAGAGAAUAUGUGGUUCAAGAUUCAGAAUCCAGAUCAAAUUAGCAGUUCACCGGCAAAGAAGGUCAAUUAGCCAUUAGAGGAUGUGUGAACGCUAUGAAAUUAUAGAUUUAAGAAUAUGUAAUUGAAGAUUCCAUAAUAAUCCAUAUCAAAUUAGCAGUUUGACAGUAAAGAAGGUCAAAUUAUCCAUUAGAUGACCACAAGAUGUGUGAACGAUAUGAAAUUGUCUAUUUAAUAAGAAUAUGUAAUGGAAGAUUCCGUAAUCCAGAUCAAAUUAGCAGUUUGCCGUAAAGAGAUCAAAUUAGCCAUUGGGGGACCGUAGAGAUGUGUGAGCAUUUUGUGUCUUUAAAUCCAGGAUGAAGUACGAAACAAACUGCCAUAUGUUGAAAGUAAUCAGCAGGAUUCAUCAUCAACUUAGAGUGUGUUCAGGAAUCAUCAAAUUGGCCAGACUGUUCUGCUAGGUGUCAAUUUAACCAAACCGAGAAGAUGCAUUGAAGAAUCCAGAUCUCACUGGAGAAGCACCAAUGAGAAGAACAUCACUUCUGAAAAUCAACUCCAUACCAACAAAGCAGAAUCAUAUUCAGUGAACAUGUUCAGGGCAAAAUAUUUGUUCAAGCUUCCAAGCUCAGAAGCUUCAACUAUCUAUUGUUUUAGCAUAUAUAGCAAUAACUCCUAACCACUUUAUGCAUAUCAAGUCAUCAUUAUUACCCAACUACAGGAGGCCAACCAACACAAGUGCGAGCGUGGGAUCUUUCUUUAUCACCAAAGUAAAAAAUAUGAGCACACCAAAAUUUGAUUUUGUGUCAUAAGAUGGACCUAAACAACGUAUAAUCAUGGACAACAGUAUGUAGAAUAUGACAAAUCCAAGUAUGACCAAUUCAUAUAUAUAUAUAUACAUAUAUAUAUAUAUAUAUAUAUAUAUAUAUAUAUAUGCAUUAACAAUUUUUACUGUGUUCAGAGCUCAUGUACAUACGAUCUUUACUUCCUAUUGGGUGAUAAAUUUGCAAGUUGAAAGAUACAAGCAGCCAAAUAUCACACUUCCUGAAACAGUAUGGUAACCAGGUAAUUUAUAGUCAAAUCAAACUUUGAUAAUCUGCUAUACAAACUGAGUAUGAACUGAUAUUUCCAUUUCGGACCCUUAUUUGAGACUUCUAGCAUUUUCUUGAUUCGAGCAGAAGAUGAGAUCAUAUUCCAUCCAACCACAUGCAAGUUGAAGAAGAUACCAUGACCAGUAAAAUGGCAGAACAGAAACCAAGUAAGAUGCUUCAGGACAGUUGAAAGAAUCAGAUGUGCACACUACCAACUCCAAGCUGCACCAAAGAUAUGAGGCACUGAAUGCAAGUUCAAACUGAAAACUACCACAAAGACCAUGGCAUUAUGCUUCAGGAUCACUAAUCAGAAGUCAAAACCAUCAGGGAAGCCCAUUUGCUUUCACCAAGUCCCAGUGCUGACUGACUACCCAACUCUACAAUCUUGCAAUAAAACCUCCAAUAAUGCAAAUCAAUGAACGGCCCAAAUAUGACAGGCAUACUUAUCUUCAAGGAAAACCAGACCAUAAUGAAAUCUGGGAAAUCAGUUGAAGCAAGCAUGGAGUCCAGGUUUAAGUUUUUGUGGUCAAGGAAGACUCCUCCAUCCAGAACGAAGCUCCCAAACAGCCAUCAGACAAACAUAAAUCAAGGAACUUAAGGUAUAGCCACUCAAAUCUGACGUCACCAAGCACAGAUGAGGAAUCCAGUAAAUCAAUGUGACCAAACAUGGGAAACUGACCUGCCUCAAGUACCCUUCACCGUUCACACACCAUAUGGAGCUUCAUUUCCAGACCAGAUCGAGAUCCAGUCCUGCAAGCUAAAUUGUAGAGGAGGCCAUAACAAAUUAAACAAACAGACCGUCUACAAGAAUCUGACCUUACUCCAUGUACAGAGCAAAGGUUUGGGCGCAAACUCCUAACUAUUAUAUCUUGCCAACCCACACUCGCAGAAGACCAAGAGAGCACAGGGAUCAAGAGUACAGAUAACAACCAUGGAGAGCUAGUCAUUGCCCACAUGGCCUGGGCUAAAGAACAAUCUGCAACCAUAGGAAGGGCAGGGGCAAAAACCUAUAUCAAAGAGAUGGCCAAGUAACUAAUAAAUGAAAUAAAGAAAAUAGGAAGGUAAGAGUCUUUUUCGGUUGUAGGAUGUGCCAUUAGUUGAAAGCUCUGGAUUAUCCUUAUAUUUUUUUUGCAUAUGGAUCUGUAUUUAAAAUAUUGUCUUAUAAGAUAUUUCAUAGGUUAUAUAAGUUAAAAGAAUUGAAACGAUACUAGUAGAUUUAGAAGAUCAGUAGAUGGAUUCACCGGGUUGGAAAGGAGUUCUUCAACUACAACCUGCAGCGAGCAAGAGGCCUUCUCUAUAAAUUUUUGGUUAGGGGAAAUGCUGCUUAUAAAUAGCUAAAGCAUGGAUGAAACAAUGUGGGAACAAGUAAAAGCCUGUCUAGGGUCAGGUAUGAAUGAUGGACGACAACACCGCCAGUUCCGAACUGCAGUUUCCUUUCCAAGUCGGUAUCUGCAAGAGCUGAGAAUUACUAAGGCAAAGAAAACCUAAGGUCUAGAGAGUUCAAUUAUAGAGUAAAAAAGGUUGAAAAGUUUUAGCCACAGAAGGAACUGCCACGACGCAAAAUAGGACCGCCUUCUAAGCCAUAUUAUUCCAAUUUCUGGAGAGCCACCAACAAAUAGUUCAAAUUAGAAUUGUGGGAAACCAAAACAGAACAGUGGAGACGAGAGAGUAAAAGAGAGGGAGUGAUAAUUAUCCAAACGCAAAGCAGCAAGAUGUGUCUCUCCGCUAAGCCAUAUAAUUCCAAUUUCUGGAGAGCCAACAUAUCCAAAUAUAUAUCCUGCGGCCCAGACUUCCUAAAUAUAUCCUGCAACUGAUACACGCAGAAGACCAGCACAGGGAUCAAGAGUACAAACAACAAAUCGAUCCAGAGAGAGAGAUAGACCGCAAACCAAAUGAUUUAACAGAUUCCGACUCACAACCAACAUGGUUUGGGCUCAAUCUGCAACCACCAAAGGGAGGGUAGAAAGAAAAACAUAAAUUAAAGACAUAAACAAGUAGCUACGUGAAACAAAAGAUAAGAGGUGGGUUAAAAUAGUCUUUUUCAUUGUAGGAUGUUCCAUUAGUUUGAUUCUCCUUUGUUGAACCUUUGCAGAU